RNAcentral lists this long non-coding RNA (228792 nucleotides) under Daucus carota (carrot). RNAcentral describes it as "long non-coding RNA (DCAR_LNC002601)". The record is from RNAcentral. Lineage: Eukaryota; Viridiplantae; Streptophyta; Magnoliopsida; Apiales; Apiaceae.
AACUGAUAAUUUGUAUCGUUUCCAGGAUGGCAAAGGAGUUUUUUGUUUCCGUUAUGAAGCAUCUGUCUCAUUAACUGUGAAGGGAACAGAGUAUGAAGUGAAAAAAAUCCUUCAUAUUUACACAACCAUUGAUCUGUCCUGCAACAAAUUUCAAGGAGAAAUUCCAGACGUUAUUGGAGAGCUUAGAUGGCUUGCAUUGCUCAACUUAUCUCAUAAUAGUCUAACAGGACCUAUCCCAUCAUUGCUGAGGAAUAUGAAAGAACUCCAAUCUUUAGAUUUGUCUUCAAAUCAACUGACAGGGGCUAUUCCACCUCAGUUAACUGCAUUGACAUAUCUAGAGGUCUUGAACCUCUCGGGAAACCAUCUUAGUGGAGAGAUUCCUCAGAAAGGACAGUUCAGCACAUUCAACAAUGAUUCUUAUCUUGGAAACUCCGCGUUAUGUGGAUCACCUUUGACGAAGAAAUGUGCAAACACAGCAUCACCUCCACAAGAAGUCGGAAAUGGUGAUGAAGAUGAUGCUGGUGAUGAAUUGACAUGGGAAGCAAUCGUGAUGGGAUAUGGAUGUGGACUGAUAUGUGGAUUGUCAUCUGCAUACAUUGUUCUCAAACUAGGAAAGCCUUGGUGGUUUGUGAGAUAUGUCGAAGUACUGCAACUGAAGUUGAUGAAAAGAUAUGCUUGAAGAAUGGUACUGGCCGAUCAAGACGAACUUGAAAGUUGUUGUCCUUGUGCAUUUCUGAACCAGUUGUGUACUAUUCUCUUUGUGGCUGCAUAAGUAUUUGGUAUUGUGUAAUAUUCUGUUUGGUCUUGAAUCAUAAUGAUUCUUCUUGCUCCAGGGUUAUUAAUAUAAACCUUGGUAUUGUGUGCUAGCUGUAAUAUUCUGUUUGAUCAAUGUUUAUACCAGUAAUUUUAUGCUCCGCAGUGCAUCAUGCAGCUCUCAUAUUAUCUCUAUGAUUAACCUGAAUUCAGUUUCAUUUUGUUUCCGAAUCUCAACUACUUCAACUUGAGCUACAAUAGCUUCACUGGUCUAAUACCCCCAGAUAUUGAAAAUUUAACAGAGCUGCAAUACCUUGAUUUUAGCUCUAAUAAACUCACUGGUGCAAUUCCGGACCAGGUAAGCCAUCUUCAAACAUUGCGAACCUUAAACCUGUUGGAUAAUCACUUGGAAGCUCCAAACUGGUCCGCUUUUUCCCCUCUGCCUUCUCUGACAAACCUCUGUCUCAAUAAUAAUAAUCUUUCGUCGAAAUUCCCAGACUUCAUAUCAAAUUACAUCUUUUAUACGAUAUAUUAUGAAAACACUAUAUUUUGUAAUGUUCAUCUUAUCCUACCAGCAAAAUUACAUCGCUAACAAAAUUAUAUCAAUUUUAUUUUAUAAACUCAAAUAAUUUAAUUUAUGAAACAACUCUAUGAGAUUCUUAUCAUGAGUUAGAAUUCAAAUAAAUAAAGAGUUCAUAUUGAUAAGUGGAAUUGAUGUGCAAGUAAGGGGUAUAAAAAAAUCUCAAAAUAACUCCAAAAAGCACAUGACAUGUUUGAUUUAAUAGAACUGGUACAUAAACAGGGGGACCAUUAUAUUUAUAAGCAAGUGACCAACAAUAGUUUACUACUGAUAUUUUGUGAUAUUUUUUGUGAUAUUUUUUGAGACCUUUAACAUUAUUCUGUGAAGUGGUAUACUACUGUUACUAGUUCUGAAACUUCAAACAAAGUAGGCGCAACAUUGUAAGAGUGAUUAAUAAAGUUGAGAAACAGUGUGUACAUUGAGCAGUAUGACAAUCAGGUUCAGCAUAUAAUACAAUCAGAUUCACAAUCAGGUUCACGAGAAACAUGCUGCAUUCCAAAAAGCCUUAUUAUCUUCUUCACUAAAUAACAAGGCAAAUACAGCAUAUAAAUACAAGUGUGCAGUGUGGUAUUAGAUUCAUAACCCAGUUGAGGAGAAACAUGGCACACUUUGUAAGGCCUUCUCACCUUCUUCUCUUUGUUUUCUUUCUCUCAUCACUUGAAUCCAUUCUUGCAACAAGACAAGAGGGGGAAGCUCUUGUGAAGUGGAAGAAUAGCCUAGCCCCUUCUUCUUUUCUCCACUCUUGGUCACUCACCAAUCUCGAAAAUCUUUGNNNNNNNNNNNNNNNNNNNNNNNNNNNNNNNNNNNNNNNNNNNNNNNNNNNNNNNNNNNNNNNNNNNNNNNNNNNNNNNNNNNNNNNNNNNNNNNNNNNNNNNNNNNNNNNNNNNNNNNNNNNNNNNNNNNNNNNNNNNNNNNNNNNNNNNNNNNNNNNNNNNNNNNNNNNNNNNNNNNNNNNNNNNNNNNNNNNNNNNNNNNNNNNNNNNNNNNNNNNNNNNNNNNNNNNNNNNNNNNNNNNNNNNNNNNNNNNNNNNNNNNNNNNNNNNNNNNNNNNNNNNNNNNNNNNNNNNNNNNNNNNNNNNNNNNNNNNNNNNNNNNNNNNNNNNNNNNNNNNNNNNNNNNNNNNNNNNNNNNNNNNNNNNNNNNNNNNNNNNNNNNNNNNNNNNNNNNNNNNNNNNNNNNNNNNNNNNNNNNNNNNNNNNNNNNNNNNNNNNNNNNNNNNNNNNNNNNNNNNNNNNNNNNNNNNNNNNNNNNNNNNNNNNNNNNNNNNNNNNNNNNNNNNNNNNNNNNNNNNNNNNNNNNNNNNNNNNNNNNNNNNNNNNNNNNNNNNNNNNNNNNNNNNNNNNNNNNNNNNNNNNNNNNNNNNNNNNNNNNNNNNNNNNNNNNNNNNNNNNNNNNNNNNNNNNNNNNNNNNNNNNNNNNNNNNNNNNNNNNNNNNNNNNNNNNNNNNNNNNNNNNNNNNNNNNNNNNNNNNNNNNNNNNNNNNNNNNNNNNNNNNNNNNNNNNNNNNNNNNNNNNNNNNNNNNNNNNNNNNNNNNNNNNNNNNNNNNNNNNNNNNNNNNNNNNNNNNNNNNNNNNNNNNNNNNNNNNNNNNNNNNNNNNNNNNNNNNNNNNNNNNNNNNNNNNNNNNNNNNNNNNNNNNNNNNNNNNNNNNNNNNNNNNNNNAUUAAAACGUCUUUUUCUUUGGAGUAAUAAGUUUUCAGGUUCUGUUUCCAAUGAUAUAGGUUUGCUUUCUGAGCUUGAAUUUCUCAAUCUUUACGAUAAUUUUUUUGAGGGGCCGCUUCCAUGCAUCAAAUAUAUUCAAGCUCUCCAAAUUAAGGGUUCUUUACCUUAACGGUAAUAAACUUCUAGGUUCUCUUUCCAAUGAUAUAGGUUUGCUUUCUGAGCUUGAAAGCCUCGAUCUUAACUCCAAUUUUUUUGAGGGGCCGCUUCCGCCAAAUGUAUUCAAGCUCUCCAAACUAAAGAUUCUUUCCCUUUAUGAGAAUAACUUUUCAGGUUUUAUUUCUAAGGAUAUAGGUUUGCUUUCUGGACUUGAAACCCUCUAUCUUGACUCUAAUUUUUUUGAGGGUCCGCUUCCCCCACAUAUAUUUAGGCUGUCCAAAUUAAGAGAUCUGGACCUCUCAUACAGUAGAAAUUUAUUUGAAGGAAGUAUUCCUAUUGGACUGGGACUCUUGACUAACCUCAGGUACUUAGAUCUAUAUUCCAAUAAUCUCAGUGGCUAUAUUCCAUCUGACAUUGGAAACCUGAAGCUACUAGAAGGUCUUAUUCUCGGUUCUAAUAAAUUGACUGGACCAGUUUCAAAGAUCAUUUCUAAUCUCACAAAUCUUAUAUAUCUUGAUGUAAGUGAUAAUAGUCUUAGUGGAAAUAUUCAGAGUGACUUGUGGAAAUAUAACGAUCAUCCAACUUUGGAAUACAUCAAUUUAAGUGGGAACCAUUUUACGGGUAUAGUUUUUCUCUAUAGAUCUUUUCCUUUUCUCAUAUGUAACUAAGCUGGUAAUCUGAUUAUUGCAGUUUUACCAAAGUUUCAACAAUCUUGACAGGUGAGCUUCCAACAACAAUUUGCAAUGUCACUUCCCUUUCGGUUCUUGAUUUGUCAAAUAAUGCGUUAAGUGGUGCACUUCCAAACUGUUUCGGGAAUCUUGCUGAUGGAUUGCUUUACAUUAAUCUUGCUCAUAAUCAGUUUCGAGGAACAAUACCAACUACUUUCUCCAGGAGUUGUCAGCUGACAUAUCUGAACAUGGAUGAUAAUGAGUUUGAAGGAUUGAUGCCCCCAUCUUUGGCGAACUGUAAGCACUUGAAAAUUUUUGAUAUUGGCAAUAAUAAAAUAGGUGGUACAUUUCCGUCAUGGCUUUAUGUACUUGGAGAGCUAGAAGUCCUUGUCUUGAAAUCAAAUAAACUCUAUGGUACAAUAAGUGGAAGGAGCAGUGAAGAUCCCUUCCCCAAGUUGCGGAUUGUGGAUCUGUCCAACAAUCAAUUCACAGGCCAUUUGCCAAUUCAAUACUUUAAGAAUAUGAAAUCAACUGAUAAUUUGUAUCGUUAUCAGAAUGACACAAGAGUUUUUUCUUUCCAUUAUGAAGCAGCAGUCUCAUUAACUGUGAAGGGAACAGAGUAUGAAGUGAAAAAAAUCCUUCAUAUUUACACAACCAUUGAUCUGUCCUGCAACAAAUUUCAAGGAGAAAUUCCAGACGUUAUUGGAGAGCUUAGAUGGCUUGCAUUGCUCAACUUAUCUCAUAAUAGUCUAACAGGACCUAUCCCAUCAUUGCUGAGGAAUAUGAAAGAACUCCAAUCUUUAGAUUUGUCUUCAAAUCAACUGACAGGGGCUAUUCCACCUCAGUUAACUGCAUUGACAUAUCUAGAGGUCUUGAACCUCUCGGGAAACCAUCUUAGUGGAGAGAUUCCUCAGAAAGGACAGUUCAGCACAUUCAACAAUGAUUCUUAUCUUGGAAACUCCGCGUUAUGUGGAUCACCUUUGACGAAGAAAUGUGCAAACACAGCAUCACCUCCACAAGAAGUCGGAAAUGGUGAUGAAGAUGAUGCUGGUGAUGAAUUGACAUGGGAAGCAAUCGUGAUGGGAUAUGGAUGUGGACUGAUAUGUGGAUUGUCAUCUGCAUACAUUGUUCUCAAACUAGGAAAGCCUUGGUGGUUUGUGAGAUAUGUCGAAGUACUGCAACUGAAGUUGAUGAAAAGAUAUGCUUGAAGAAUGGUACUGGCCGAUCAAGACGAACUUGAAAGUUGUUGUCCUUGUGCAUUUCUGAACCAGUUGUGUACUAUUCUCUUUGUGGCUGCAUAAGUAUUUGGUAUUGUGUAAUAUUCUGUUUGGUCUUGAAUCAUAAUGAUUCUUCUUGCUCCAGGGUUAUUAAUAUAAACCUUGGUAUUGUGUGCUAGCUGUAAUAUUCUGUUUGAUCAAUGUUUAUACCAGUAAUUUUAUGCUCCACAGUGCAUCAUGCAGCUCUCAUAUUAUCUCUAUGAUUAACCUGAAUUCAGUUUCAUUUUGUUUCCGAAUCUCAACUACUUCAACUUGAGCUACAAUAGCUUCACUGGUCUAAUACCCCCAGAUAUUGAAAAUUUAACAGAGCUGCAAUACCUUGAUUUUAGCUCUAAUAAACUCACUGGUGCAAUUCCGGACCAGGUAAGCCAUCUUCAAACAUUGCGAACCUUAAACCUGUUGGAUAAUCACUUGGAAGCUCCAAACUGGUCCGCUUUUUCCCCUAUGCCUUCUCUGACAAACCUCUGUCUCAAUAAUAAUAAUCUUUCGUCGAAAUUCCCAGACUUCAUAUCAAAUUGUCGAAACCUGACUUACCUUGAUCUUUCAUUAAACUUGUUAACAGGUGAUUUGGUUCUUGGUAAUACGGAAUCGCUCUAUCACAGAAGUAAUUCUUUUGAGGGGUCAUUUCCACCAAAUAUAUUAAAACUUUCAAAAUUAAGAGUUCUUUCCCUAUCNCUUUCCCUAUCAUAUAAUAGAUUUUCAGGUUCUAUUCCGCAUGAUAUAGGAAUGCUUCGUGUUUUGGAAUCCCUUUUUUUUAGUAGCAGUUCUUUUGAUGGCCUGCUUUCACCAAAUUUAUUUAAGCUUCCAAAAUUAAAAGUUCUUUCCAUGUCAUUUAAUAACUUUUCGGGUUAUAUUCCAAAUGAAAUAGGAUUGCUUCAUGAUUUAGAGUCCCUUUAUUUUAAUGGAAAUUCUUUUGAGGCCGUUUCCACCAAAUAUAUUCAACCUUUCCAAAUUAAAAGUUCUUUACCUCUCAAAUAAUAACUUUUCAGGUUCUAUUCCUAAUGAUAUAAGUGUGCUUCGUGAUCUUGAGAUACUUGAUUUGUCCUCUAAUUCUUUUGAAGGGAUUAUUCCAUUGGAGCUGGGGUUCUUGAAUAAGCUGAGCUAUUUAUAUCUUGAUUCCAAUCAAUUGACUGGACCGCUUUUGAAGAACAUGUAUAAUCUCAGUAAUCUUAUUGAGAUCAACUUUAGUGGAAACCGCUUAACAGGUUUGCUAUUCAUUCUUGUUUUCUUCUUUAUGUAACUUCUUUAUGUAACUUCUUCAAUGCUGAUGAAAUGAUCACGAACCACAAUUUCACCAAAGCUCCUUUAAUUUCAACAGGUGAGUUUUCGACAGCAAUUUACAGAGAGAGAAUUACGAUGUUAUUAGGGAAAUCUAAAGAGAAGGUGCAGAGACCUCGGCAUAAUGAUCCUCCAACCUCUCAUUAACAAUGUCCAGGUUUCUUUAAAAGUAUUAAAUGUUAUUAACAUAGUACUUAAUGGUGUUAUAAAGAGAGUCGUGAUGUAACACUAUAUUUUGUUUACGAGAUAUUUUAAGUGUAAGAAGGUCCAUGCUGAGUUGUGAACAAUUAUUCUCACGUAUAUUAUCAAUGGUGAACAUCUUUAUUAGUAAGAUUGUGCUUUUUAGUUGGAUUGUGGUCCUUCUGUUGCUCCUUGGUAAGAUUUUUCGUCCUAGGUGGGAUUGUUAGGCACAAUGCCAGUCUAAUCAAGUUUGCGAAGGAAGUGUUAAAUACUAGAAUUAUUAAACCUGUAUAUAAAUUUAGAUGUCUGCACAGCGUUGUUACAUUGUCGAGUAGACAACUAAUUUUAAUCUGGUGGCAGGAAAUAGGGAAUCAAGAAGAAGAUGCAGCCAACAAUGAGAAGCUAGAGAAGCAAUUGAACUACUCGAACAAGAGCAAAAGCGGAUAGAAGCAGAACCAGAUGUUAAACUAGAGGCAAAAAAGAGAGCCUCCAACAGGCUUAUUUUAAGGUAAAUUACAAGAAAAGAAAGUCUGCCAUCAAUGUUAGACAAAAAGAUAUGCCGAUGCUCACAGAUAAUAAUAGUAGCAGGCGUACUUACUCUCUCUACAUAUAAUACUGUAACAAAGGUUUUCAAUGAGCCAAUUUAUUCCAACUAAGCAGGCACUAAGCAGCCACGUCAGAUCCACCUUAGCAAUCACUUUGCAUUUGUGAUGAUGAUCACAAUUAAAUCUUUAUCCCAAUGAUUUUUCUAUUAAUCUUUUGUGGAAUUCUAUGUCUGCAGAGAGAGCAAUACGUGUUGGUCAUGGUUUCUAUAAGUGAAGGUGAGACAACAAUGGUGUUCUCUUUGCCUCAAUUACACCCCUAAUUGCUGGCUAUUUGAGCUGCUGAAAGUUUAAUAAUGGCAAUCGUUUGUAGCUCGAAGAGAAUGAUGUAAGAAUUUAAUCUCAAUAGGAAGCUGUAGAACACAACAAUAUUGCAUAUAGAAGCCAUCCAGCUGCACACCCUGAUCACGGAGUUUUUGAGUCUUUAGAAUGCAAAAAUACAAUGCACAUGGGUAUGCCUACAAGUGGAGAUAUUUAGAAAACUGCUUCUUGUGCACAGUUAGUUAAAUAUUUACUAAUAAUAUAUCUUCAAUAACAACAUUACAGCUACAGUUCAGCAAUGAAUGAUCAUCAAAUGGCUUCUGCAGCACCGACACAGAAUGCCAGUGGACUAGUGGAGUAAUUCCAGGGGAUGCUCUGAUCAUAAAUUCUCGCUGGUGAAUUGAAGAAUUGAGCUUGAGCUAAGAAGGUGAUCUGCAUAUAAUCUUUAACCAUUUUCUGAUGGUACAAAUGUUGCUAUUUAAAAAAAUAAAGAUCAAAUAAACAAAUAUUACUUUACUAAUAUUUUACAUAGCUGCUGCUGUCGAAAACUGGAAACUUGUUGUGUAUUAUAAAAAUAGCAAGGAACUGAACUAAAUAAGCGAGGCAGGUAACUAUUGGAACAAACUGGCAUAUACCUUCUCUUUUCUUAUACUUCUUGCUUGGGGGCAAUAAGUCGUCUCUACCAUAAUAAAGUAAAAAGUAGUCAAAUUACAACUCCCUUGGGUUUCCGUUUGAAUUAGGACAUGUGUGGUGCACCAUACUCUCUUGUCAAAUAUUUUGAAGUUUUGCAUAUUGCAGUUUCACUUUUCAAAGAAACCUCUCUGUCAUUGCUAUAUUAGUAUGCGACUGUUAUUUGGAUUAGUUAUGAUCUGUAUCUAAAAUUAAUGGCACAGAUCUUGAUUUCUAGAACACCAGGUAAUAUUCUCAGAAACAGUGAUAUUCUGUUACAAAGUGAUUGUUGUCGACCAUCUUUACACAUUUUUCUUAUUAUUAAAAAAUAAAUUUUAUAAAAUAGAUUUUUAAAAUAUAGAUACUAUUGAUAUGGUCUUUAUAAUAGAUAUUAGAUAUUAAAAUUUUUAUUUAUAAAAAUUUAUGGAUGAGUUAUUGUAAUAACUGAUUGUCGAGAUCCUAGGUUCCUGGCUAAAUAGGAGUCCAUAUAUUUUGUUAUAAUAUAAUCAAAUAUCAAAACAUUCCUAGGAGGUCUAUAAGUUUAUAACGGUCCGAUAAAGGAAACAUGAAUAAAAUUGAUCAAAAUAUUUUGACCAUUUCAGGUGAUAAUGAUCAUAUAAUUUUCAUAUGACAGAACAAUAAGCCGUAGAGUUUGCUUAGGGGAUUAUGUAGGUUGCAGCAAGAUUUUCAAAAUAAAGCUGAUUUAUCAUUCAUAUAUUUUUUUGGUCCUCUUGGUUUAUGAGUGCUCUUUGUAUCUCUUGCUCUUAGCAUGCAUCCCCUCCCUUUAGUAAAUCAGCUUUGUGCUCAAUUACCUAAUUAUAGAUGAUGUUUCCUAAAUGGAAUAUUUCAAUUAAAUAUAUUAAUUGCUAAGCAACAGCCAAUAUGUUGUGUUGGUUAUUAAAUUAUUGUAGGCAUUUAUUCUUACAGAUGGUUUGGAGAUAAUUUCGAGCAAUCUAUGAGUUUGAAUAAUAUGUCUUAACAGUAUAUAGGGCCAUGAGGAGCUUGGCGCUGCCAGCUUGCGCUUGCGGGAAGAUGAAGAUUUUACGAGAUUUAAAAAUAUUGCAACUAUAGAGCUAGGAAGAUAAGAGAUUGGAAGUUGGUAAUUCUCCCCUUUCCCAUCAGAAUUCAAUGACUCUUUGAAACUGUACUUUCGUGAAUUUUGUCUUAAUUUCAUCAGGCGACCAGAACAACUUCAGAGACAUAUGGUGAGUUGUUGUCGAGUAUUUUGAAGAGUAUCGUUCGCAGGGAAGGAUUGAUAUCAAUACCAAUUUCAAGUCUUUUAUCUCUUAUGAUUCAGAAGUGUGGAGAAGAAUUUGGUGGGAUUUUCUAUCAACUAAUUAAUGUAAUAAGUAAAUAAAUAUAAUAAAUAUGAGAGAAAACAACCCAAGAAUUAGAGUUCUUCAAUCGCUAUCAUGAAUGUCUAAUUUGUGUCUCUUGUUUGCUAAAAACAAUCCUUCUAAUAUUAAUAAACUCCUCUCCCAAGGUAGAUUAUAAUGCUUACAAUUAUCCAUUAAAAGCCACUCCCAUGGUCAAUCAAAGAACACUUGUAAACUAUUAAGAACCAAGGAUUUUAAGUCUCACAAUUCUCAUAUCAAUCUCCCGAUCUAAUACUCAAAUUGUGUCCAUCAUAUCAUGUACUAGAAUUAUAACUCCUCUCCCGAUUCGUUAUAACUCCUAGAGAUUCAAUCACAAGUUAGCUACUCCUGUAAUUGUAUAAAGAGCUCAAUGACAGAUUAACAAAUCAAGAGAAAACACAAUCCAACUAAACAAACAUAUUAAGCCAAAGAAUACUACCUAACUCUUGGAUCAAAGGAUUAGCUACUCAUGAUAAGAUGAAACAAAUAUAUAUUUAUACCACAAACCAUGAGCGUAAGAAUUUAAAUACGAAGAAUACAACUUGACGAAAGAGCUUGAAGUCCGGAUGAAUCCCUUCACUCCUUCUUCCAAUAUCUCUCACAAGUGCUUCUCUCCCUUUUCUCUCUAAAAAAGCUAUCUCUAUAUUAUUCUAUAUGAUACAAAGUUAGUUGUCUCUAAUCUCUAUCAAAACCCUAAUAUAUAUAAGAGUUUUCUUAAUUUACAAGAAAAUAAAAUAAUAUCCUAAAACUAGUUGGAUUCUGAUGCUGAAAUUCGUAGGCUUCUGUUCAGGCCUGAUUCUGGGCUGAUCCAGUUGGAUUUUGACAUCUGGACCACCUUAAACUUGUAGAAAAUUCCUAUAUCUUCGCGUGGGCUGUUGAAUCGCCCAAUUCUGACAUCCAGAACUCAAGUUACGGCCCAAACAAGAUUUGCUUCGCUGGCUAUAUAUAAAGUCCGAAUUUCCAUCUAAUUAAGCCCAAAUAAGCUUGAUUUAAUCCAACUUUAGGAAUAUUUAUUUUCCUGCCACUAAACACUUAAAAUCAAUUAGUAAUAACCCGAUUAUUUACAAAAUACUAAAAUUAUGGGAAUAAAAUCAUAUAAAAACAUAUAUAAAUAUAUGCUCUAUCAUGAGUUUUGUGUCCUGCUUCUCAUUUCACAUACAUUGCCUUUUAAGAAGGGUGUUCUUAUAUAAUUUUGGAAGUGCUAUUGCUAAUUUGUUUCAGGUAAUAGCUGCACCGCAUAUAUAAAAUAUACAAAAAAUGUUUUUCCCGGCCUUCUUAAAAGUUUGAAUAAUAUUCCCCCUGUCUUGUGAUUGCAAACAAUAAUUGUUUUUGUAUCCAAGUACUUAAGCUUUUCCAUUAACUUUUUGGAUUUUGAACCAUGAUUGCCAAUGAGCAUUGAUAAUAUAGCCUAGGCCUCGGUCAUUUGAAUUUUUUGGAUAUUGUCUAAAGGCUUUCAAUGUAGUGAUUCUGUGACAACGUUGGACAAUAAUGUGUACAAGCUGGAUUCAGCAGAUUUCUAACAUGUGUUGAUUAUUACUAAUUAUGGAUUUACUGGUAUAGCAAGAAAUUACAGGCCCGAGGUCUUAAAGUUUGGGUGUCAUCACUUUUCUGGUCUACUUGCAAUCUUUUCUUCUUACUACCUCUUCUAGCAGUGUGUAGUUCCACUUUGCUAUUAAAUGAGCAAGUUAAUGACUGUUUAGGGGAUUGAGAUCUGACAAGUCUUGCUACUUUUGAUGGGUUUGAUAGGUUUGAUGAGUGCUUAAGUGAUAUUAAUCACCAAACUUAUGUAUAUGCAUUUUGAUGUGUUGAUUAUUUAGCAUAGUUGCUGCAUAACAAAUAUUAGUUAAAGGAUGAGAUCUUCUAAAAGAAGUCAGAAAUGUAAAAGCCAAUGUCAAAGUGGAUUUGAUCAAAAAGAGAUUCGCAUGCUGAUUAUUACUUUUUUGUGCAGAAAAAAUGUGAUCUCAAACAUCCCCUGGCAAUGAGAUAUAUCGCAGGGCACAUUGUCAAUGUUUUAGAUAUGUUUACAUGUUUAGCUGAUCUGCAAAUUCCUUUACGUCUUGGUUUCUGUCUCAUGUGAUUAUAUUCUCAGCGUUUGGAACUUGGAAUUGCAUAGCUUACCGCCAACACAAUUAUACAACUUCUUUUACUCAGUGAAUGAUGCUACACUUGAGACUUUCAUUAUGAUAUUUAUCUUGAGACACAUGUUCCCCAGUUUUAUAACUGGUAUAUUUGGCCUUGCUUUGUAUUUUUAAAUAUUACUGUUCAAUGGACUUAUACUAAACCCUUGCUUAUAAACAAGUACUCUUCAUCUGUUUGUUUGUUUAACUAUAUGACAUUUUACAUGUUUUUAUAGGUAGAUGGGAAAAAGAAUAAGGUUUAUGGGCAGAAUCUUUGUUAUCUGGAAAAAUUGUUUCUUGAUUACAAAACACUAUAUUAUAACGUCGAUUCACAAUAACUUAAUUGAUCAGCGCUCGGAGUCUCCUUUCUAAUCAAGGCUGUGGAGUGUGGAGGCCUAGGGCCUGAGCAUAUAAGGAUAUUCACAAUAAUUUUUUUUUUUUAUGAAUUUAUUUUCAUAGAUAUUUGUGUGUAGUUCCUUAAAUUGGGAAUACGGCUCGAGAGGAUAAGGGAUUGUUUGGUUGUUUAGUGUGAUUGGUAUUUUACUAGAUCAGAGAGUUUAUUACCACAAGCAUCCUAUGCAUUAACACUUGUCAGCAGCUGAAUUCCUGACAUAACACAUGAAUUCAGAAGACAUGACACAUGAAUUCAGUAUUUGGAAUUUGAUUGAAAUUCUGAAUGAUUUAUUGUUUACCAGAGGUUAUAACCACUACUUGUAUAUGGUAUCGGGUGUGUCCAUCUCCGGAAGAUCUAAUUGGCGUUAUAUGUUAAAUUUUCAAUAAAUAUCUCCGGAAGAUCUAAUUGGCGUUAUAUGUUAAAUUUUCAAUAAAUAUCUCCGGAAGAUCUAAUUGGCGUUAUAUGUUAAAUUUUCAAUAAAUAUCUGGAUGUGUAUUUUUGAUUAUCGAAAGAGUUCCCAUAUUAUUAUGUCGUUUUAUUUUCCUUCACUUUUGGCAGCCCCAAGUGAAAGUGAUGACUAUUGGUACUUGAGUUUUUUUGGCUGAAAUCACUAAUAUAAUUGUUACACUACAACAAAACUGGCAUCAGACAACACUAGUCACACAACGGACGCUGGAAAAAGUGUUGGCCGAAACAAAGACACAACACUUUAUUUUCGUCCUCGAAAAACUAUUGUCUAACACCUACGACCUACAACGGUUAAAAAACUGUUGUCUAAUAAAUUUAAUCAGACAACGGUCUCUUAACUGUGGUAUUGUGUAAUGAUGCACGUUAGACAACUGUUUUUAGAGCCGAUGUGUGAAGAAACUUCAGACAAUAUUCCGAGAAACCGUUGUUGUAAUGAGACAAGUGUUUUAUUUGUUGUGUUGUUUACGAAAAGAUCAGACAAGGGUUCCAUAGAGUGUUGUGUGACUGGGAAGCUAACAUACAAGUGUUUUUGUUAGCAUCGUAUCAUGGCCUUAUAGACAAGCCUUUAGCUAGUAAAACGUUGUCUGACUGAAUGACUUAUAAGAAAAUAAAUGUACAUAAAAGAGUGCAAACAUUCAAAAGUCCUAACCAAAGUUACAAAUAUAUAUUCAUUUUCUUAGUAGUCAUAGGCUUUUCUAGCAUUAGAUCAAGUAUUGAUCAAGGAAAUGCGAAUUUUUAACUCAUAAAAAUGAAAGUUUAUUAUACAACGGUUUUCUUCCCAUAAAUCGUUGUGUCAUUUUCAAUGAUACAACUUAGAUGCUUAUAAAAACCGUUGUGUGUUAGACACUACGGGACAAAAAAUACCUUUUUAUAAUAAGACAAAAUUUACAAUUAACAAGUAAUGUUAAAAAAACAUACAAAAUGAAUAUAAAAAAUUUAGAUUUUUUUUAUACAUGACUAAUAUUGUUAGUUCUCGACAUCCGUACGGUUAGAUCAUCGAAAAAAAUAUUUAAAAAUUAAUAUUAUGCUCAUCUUAUACAUAACAAAGAUUNNNNNNNNNNNNNNNNNNNNNNNNNNNNNNNNNNNNNNNNNNNNNNNNNNNNNNNNNNNNNNNNNNNNNNNNNNNNNNNNNNNNNNNNNNNNNNNNNNNNNNNNNNNNNNNNNNNNNNNNNNNNNNNNNNNNNNNNNNNNNNNNNNNNNNNNNNNNNNNNNNNNNNNNNNNNNNNNNNNNNNNNNNNNNNNNNNNNNNNNNNNNNNNNNNNNNNNNNNNNNNNNNNNNNNNNNNNNNNNNNNNNNNNNNNNNNNNNNNNNNNNNNNNNNNNNNNNNNNNNNNNNNNNNNNNNNNNNNNNNNNNNNNNNNNNNNNNNNNNNNNNNNNNNNNNNNNNNNNNNNNNNNNNNNNNNNNNNNNNNNNNNNNNNNNNNNNNNNNNNNNNNNNNNNNNNNNNNNNNNNNNNNNNNNNNNNNNNNNNNNNNNNNNNNNNNNNNNNNNNNNNNNNNNNNNNNNNNNNNNNNNNNNNNNNNNNNNNNNNNNNNNNNNNNNNNNNNNNNNNNNNNNNNNNNNNNNNNNNNNNNNNNNNNNNNNNNNNNNNNNNNNNNNNNNNNNNNNNNNNNNNNNNNNNNNNNNNNNNNNNNNNNNNNNNNNNNNNNNNNNNNNNNNNNNNNNNNNNNNNNNNNNNNNNNNNNNNNNNNNNNNNNNNNNNNNNNNNNNNNNNNNNNNNNNNNNNNNNNNNNNNNNNNNNNNNNNNNNNNNNNNNNNNNNNNNNNNNNNNNNNNNNNNNNNNNNNNNNNNNNNNNNNNNNNNNNNNNNNNNNNNNNNNNNNNNNNNNNNNNNNNNNNNNNNNNNNNNNNNNNNNNNNNNNNNNNNNNNNNNNNNNNNNNNNNNNNNNNNNNNNNNNNNNNNNNNNNNNNNNNNNNNNNNNNNNNNNNNNNNNNNNNNNNUUUUUUUAUACGUGACUAAUAUUGUUAGUUCUUGACAUCCGUACGGUUAGAUCAUUGAAAUAAAUAUUUAUGAAUUAAUACACAACUAAUUGAAUACAUAACAAAGAUUAUAUCUACUACUUUUUAAAUUGUAAACAUAAAACACAUACUAAUACAUGCGUCCGAAGUACAAAAUUGUCUCGGUUUUACACAUGAACAAUACAUAUUUGCAUAUAUACAUAACAUAAAUAUAUUUUUUUAAUACAAAGAGUGCAAAAACAAGAAUUAAUCAAGGAAAUGCGAAUUUUUAACUCAUAAAAAUUACCUUUUUAUAAUAAGAAAAAUUUUANACGAUUGACUAGUGUUGUUAAAAACCGUUGUCUGAUGCUGUUUUUGUUGUAGUGUUAUAUUAAAUUCUUGUGCUAAAACUUGUAUGGUUUGCCCCGCCCGCGGCUUCAAACAGCCAACAAGGUAAGCUAUUAUACUCAGGGGACCGAAAAAGGUAACAAAUGCAUAAACGAUUAGCUUUUCUUCUUUGCUGCAUAGUUUUUUUUUUUUUGUCAGGUUCUUUGCUGCAUAGUUAAUAACAAAUAACAUGAUCUCAAAAAAAAAAAAGAGGCGCGUACUAUGAAUGUAAAAAUAACAAUUUCAAUACUCUUUUUCACUAUAGAAAAACAAAAUUAUUGUGCUAGAUCUUUGCCCGUGCCUUGCACGGGCUUUAAAGCUAGUUUUUUAUUAAUAUGUGAAACUCCAAUAUAUAUUAUUAUACGAUAUAUUAUGAAAACACUAUGUUUUGUAAUGUUCAUCUUAUCCUACCAGAAAAAUUACAUCGCUAACAAAAUUAUAUCAAUUUUAUUUUAUAAACUCAAAUAAUUUAAUUUAUGAAACAACUCUAUGAGAUUCUUAUCAUGAGUUAGAAUUCAAAUAAAUAAAGAGUUCAUAUUGAUAAGUGGAAUUGAUGUGCAAGUAAGGGGUAUAAAAAAAUCUCAAAAUAACUCCAAAAAGCACAUGACAUGUUUGAUUUGAUAGAACUGGUACAUAAACAGGGGGACCAUUAUAUUUAUAAGCAAGUGACCAACAAUAGUUUACUACUGAUAUUUUGUGAUAUUUUUUGUGAUAUUUUUUGAGACCUUUAACAUUAUUCUGUGAAGUGGUAUACUACUGUUACUAGUUCUGAAACUUCAAACAAAGUAGGCGCAACAUUGUAAGAGUGAUUAAUAAAGUUGAGAAACAGUGUGUACAUUGAGCAGUAUGACAAUCAGGUUCAGCAUAUAAUACAAUCAGAUUCACAAUCAGGUUCACGAGAAACAUGCUGCAUUCCAAAAAGCCUUAUUAUCUUCUUCACUAAAUAACAAGGCAAAUACAGCAUAUAAAUACAAGUUAUAAGUACAAGUGUGGUAUUAGAUUCAUAACCCAGUUGAGGAGAAACAUGGCACACUUUGUAAGGCCUUCUCACCUUCUUCUCUUUGUUUUCUUUCUCUCAUCACUCGAAUCCAUUCUUGCAACAAGACAAGAGGGGGAAGCUCUUGUGAAGUGGAAGAAUAGCCUAGCCCCUUCUUCUUUUCUCCACUCUUGGUCACUCACCAAUCUCGAAAAUCUUUGUAAAUGGACUGGCAUUACUUGUAACUCUGCAGGUUCAGUCUCUGAGAUUAACCUUUGUGAGAAACAACUUGAUGGAAUGCUGUCCGAGUUCGGUUUCACUUCAUUUCCAAAUCUCAAGAAUCUCACCCUGGCAGACAACUUCUUCUCAGGUCCAAUACCACCAGCCAUUGAGAAUUUAACACAGCUUCAAUAUCUUGAUUUAAGCAUGAAUAGUCUUAAUGGUCCCAUUCCGUUCCAGGUUAGCCAUCUUCAGAGCUUGCUCAUCUUGAACCUGUCACAGAAUGCAUUGCAAGCUCCAAAUUGGUCCCAUUUCUCUCCCAUGCCUUUCUUGCGCAUCCUCGACCUUAGUUUUAAUAAUCUUGUGUCGAAAUUCCCAGAAUUUAUAUCCAAUUCUCAUAGCCUGACUCACCUUAACCUUUCAAAUAACAAGUUUACUGGUCAUCUUGUGCAUAAAUUUACCAAUCUACAAAAUCUUGAAACCCUCUACCUUCAGAUCAAUUCUUUUGAGGGGCCGUUUCCACCAGAUAUAGUCCAGCUUUCCAAAUUAAAACGACUCUCCCUGUCAUGUAACAAAUUUUCAGGUUCAAUUCCCAAUGACGUAAGGUUGCUUUUUGGUCUUGAAUCCCUAAAUUUAGGCAACAAUUCCUUUGAAGGACCGCUUCCACCAGAUAUAUUCAAGCUUUCAAAGUUAAAACGACUUGUUCUUUGGAGUAAUAAGUUUUCAGGUUCUGUUUCCAAUGAUAUAGGUUUGCUUUCUGAGCUUGAAACCCUCCAUCUUUACUCUAAUUUUUUUGAGGGGCCACUUCCGCCAAAUUUAUUCAAGCUCUCCAAACUAAAAGAUCUCACCCUGUCAAGUAACAAAUUUUCAGGUUCAAUUCACAAUGAUAUAAGGUUACUUUGUGAUCUUGAAGACCUAUAUUUAGCUAACAAUUCCUUUGAAGGACCGCUUCCACCAGAUAUAUUCAAGCUUUCAAGAUUAAAACGUCUUUUUCUUUAGAGUAAUAAGUUUUCAGGUUCUGUUUCCAAUGAUAUAGGUUUGCUUUCUGAGCUUGAAAGCCUCGAUCUUAACUCCAAUUUUUUUGAGGGGCCGCUUCCGCCAAAUGUAUUCAAGCUCUCCAAACUAAAGAUUCUUUCCCUUUAUGAGAAUAACUUUUCAGGUUUUAUUUCUAAGGAUAUAGGUUUGCUUUCUGGACUUGAAACCCUCUAUCUUGACUCUAAUUUUUUUGAGGGUCCGCUUCCCCCACAUAUAUUUAGGCUGUCCAAAUUAAGAGAUCUGGACCUCUCAUACAGUAGAAAUUUAUUUGAAGGAAGUAUUCCUAUUGGACUGGGACUCUUGACUAACCUCAGGUACUUAGAUCUAUAUUCCAAUAAUCUCAGUGGCUAUAUUCCAUCUGACAUUGGAAACCUGAAGCUACUAGAAGGUCUUAUUCUCGGUUCUAAUAAAUUGACUGGACCAGUUUCAAAGAUCAUUUCUAAUCUCACAAAUCUUAUAUAUCUUGAUGUAAGUGAUAAUAGUCUUAGUGGAAAUAUUCAGAGUGACUUGUGGAAAUAUAACGAUCAUCCAACUUUGGAAUACAUCAAUUUAAGUGGGAACCAUUUUACGGGUAUAGUUUUUCUCUAUAGAUCUUUUCCUUUUCUCAUAUGUAACUAAGCUGGUAAUCUGAUUAUUGCAGUUUUACCAAAGUUUCAACAAUCUUGACAGGUGAGCUUCCAACAACAAUUUGCAAUGUCACUUCCCUUUCGGUUCUUGAUUUGUCAAAUAAUGCGUUAAGUGGUGCACUUCCAAACUGUUUCGGGAAUCUUGCUGAUGGAUUGCUUUACAUUAAUCUUGCUAAUAAUCAGUUUCGAGGAACAAUACCAACUACUUUCUCCAGGAGUUGUCAGCUGACAUAUCUAAACAUGGAUAAUAAUGAGUUUGAAGGAUUGGUGCCCCCAUCUUUGGCGAACUGCAAGCACUUGAAAAUUCUUGAUAUUGGCAAUAAUAAAAUAGGUGGUACAUUCCCGUCAUGGCUUUAUGUACUUGGAGAGCUAGAAGUCCUUGUCUUGCGAUCAAAUAAACUCUAUGGUACAAUAAGUGGAAGGAGCAUAGAAGAUCCCUUCCCCAAGUUGCGGAUUGUGGAUCUGUCCGAUAAUCAAUUCACAGGCCAUUUGCCAAUUCAAUACUUUAAGAAUAUGAAAUCAACUGAUAAUAUGUAUAAUUAUCUGAAUUCCACAGGAGGAAUAUAUUUCACUUAUGAAGCAGCAGUCUCAUUAACUGUGAAGGGAACAGAGUAUGAAGUGACAAAUAACCUUCAUAUUUACACAGCUAUUGAUCUGUCGUGCAACAAAUUUCAGGGUGAAAUUCCAAAAAUUAUUGGAGAGCUUAGAUGGCUUGCAUUGCUCAAUUUAUCGCAUAAUAGUCUGACAGGACAUAUCCCAUCAUUUCUGAGAAAUAUGAAAGAACUCCAAUCUUUAGAUUUGUCCUCAAAUCAACUGACAGGGGCCAUUCCACCUCAGUUAACUGCAUUGACAUUUCUAAAGGUCUUAAAUCUCUCGAAAAACCAUCUCAGUGGAGAGAUUCCUCAGGAAGGACAGUUCAGCACAUUCAACAAUGAUUCUUAUCUAGGAAACUCCGCGUUAUGUGGAUUACGUCUGACAAAGAAAUGUGCAAACACAGCAGGGAUUCCUCAGAAAGGACAGUUCAGCACAUUCAACAAUGAUUCUUAUAUAGGAAACUCCGCGUUAUGUGGAUCACCUUUGACGAAGAGAUGUGCAAACACAGCAUCACCUCCACAACAAGUCGGAAAUGGUGAUGAAGAUGAUGCGGGAGAUGAAUUGAGAUGGGAAGCAAUCGUGAUGGGAUAUGGAUGUGGACUGAUAUGUGGAUUGUCAUCUGCGUACAUUGUUCUCAAACUAGGAAGGCCUUGGUGGGUUGUGAGAUAUGUCGAAGUACUGCAACUGAAGUUGAUGAAAAGAUAUGCUUGAAGAAUGGAACUGGCCGAUCAAAACGAACUCGAAAGCAGUUGUCCUUGUGGACAUUUCUGAACCAGUAGUGUACUAGCUGCAUAAGUAUUUGGUAUUAUGUAAUAAUCCACAUAUUCAAUAUCACACUCUUCCUGUGAGGAAACAAAUAUGGAGAAACAUUUCUAUUUACAAAACUUUUACCAUUAUACACUCUUAUAGUACUGGUUAAUAGUUUGUUGUUCAGCCUAGUCCUAAACUGAAAUUAUCAGUUCUAUGUGAGUAUGCUUUCAAAUAAGAAUUAGGUGAUCUGCCUAGUCCAAAACUACUCUAAUACUAUAUCGCUGGUAGUCUUUCAGUUCAUCCUAUUGUAUACAAUAGUUUCUUCCUUUGACACAAAAAUGUCUGCAGUCAGUGUCACCACCACAGGAAGUCGAAAAUGGUGAUGAAGAUUGAUUUGCGGAUUGUCUUAUGGGUACAUUUUUUUCAAAAAAGGAAGGCCUUGGUGGUUUGUGAGAUACAUCGAAGUGCUGCAACUUAAGUUGAUGUUACCAAGAAUGAAAAAUAUUGUUCGACCAAGAUCAACAACUUGAAAAUGUGUUCUGAAUCUGUAAUAAUAUUAAAAUAUUAAAAUAUUAUUCAUUUAACAAUAUCGUCCAAUCAAUUUAAUUGAUUAUCAUUUAAUCAAUAUAUAUAGAUGGAUAUUAAUUGUCUUCCCUAGCUCCAACCAAUGAUGAAAUAACCUCCCUAUAAAUCUAUUGAGUCAAAAUUGCAAACAACACUUUCAAAACAUAGGUGCCGAAUAGUCCUUAUUUUAAAUUAAUCAGAAUUGAAUAUUUGAUGGCGCUAAAAAAAUCUGUUGAAAUUAGCAGUUUAUAAGGCAUAUAAAUAGAAGUGUGCGUUACUUUAAGGAUUCAUGAUCAAGUUGAGGAGAAAUAUGCACAGUAUAUAAAGCCUCAUCAUCUUUUUCUCUUUGUUUUCUUUCUCUCAUUACUCCCAUCCAUUCUUACAACACUAGCUGAAACAAGACGAGAGGGAGAAGCUCUUGUGAAAUGGAAGAAUAGCCUAGCCCCUUCUUCUUUUCUCGACUCUUGGUCCCUCACCAAUCUCGAUAAUCUUUGUAACUGGACUGGCAUUACUUGUAACUCUGCAGGUUCAGUCUCUAAGAUUAACCUUUUUGAGAAACAACUUGAUGGAAUGUUGUCCGAGUUUGGUUUCACCUCAUUUCCACAUCUCAACAAUCUCACCCUUGCAGACAACUACUUCUCGGGUCCGAUACCACCAGCCAUUGAGAAUUUAACACAGCUUCAAUUUCUUGAUUUGAGCAAUAAUUAUCUAGAUGGUCCCAUUCCUUUCCAGGUUAGCAAUCUUCAGAGGUUGCUCAUCUUAAACCUGUCACAGAAUGCAUUGCAAGCUCCAAAUUGGUCCCAUUUCUCUCCCAUGCCUUUUUUGCGCAUCCUCAACCUCAGUAGCAAUCCUCUAGCGUCGAAAUUCCCAAAUUUCAUAUCCAAUUCUCAUGGCCUGACUCACCUUAGCCUUAAUUAUAACGAGUUUACUGGUGAUUUAGUACGUGAAUCAAUAUUUGCCAAUCUGCAUAAUCUUGAAGUCCUCGGUCUUGUUGACAAUUCUUUUGAGGGGCCAUUUCCCCCGGAUAUAUUCAGGCUCUCCAAAUUAAAACGUCUCUCCCUGUCAGGUAACAAAUUUUCAGGUUCAGUUCCCAAUGACAUAAGGUUGCUUUGUGAUCUUCAAUCUCUAUAUUUAGCUAACAAUUCCUUUGAAGGACCGCUUCCACCAAAUAUAUUCAAGCUUGCAAAAUUAAAAGAUCUUGCUCUUUGGGGUAAUAAGUUUUCAGGUUCUGUUUCCAAUGAUAUAGGUUUGCUUUCUGUGCUUGAAAUUCUCAAUAUUCACUCUAAUUUUUUUGAGGGGCCCCUUCCGCCAAAUAUAUUCAAGCUCUCCAAAAUAAGGUUUCUUUACCUCGGGGGUAAUAACUUUUCUGGUUCCGUUUCCAAUGAGAUAGGUUUGCUUUCUGAGCUUGAAUCCCUAUAUCUUGGUUCUAAUGUUUUUGAGGGGCCGCUUCCACCAAAUAUAUUCAAGCUUUCCAAAUUAAAAUGGCUUGACCUCGCAGACAAUAGAAAUUUAUUUGAAGGAAGUAUUCCUAUUGGACUGGGACUCUUGACUAACCUCAGCUACUUAGAUCUAAGUUCCAGUAAUCUCAGUGGCUAUAUUCCAUCUGUCAUUGCAAACCUGAAGCUACUAGUAUUUCUUGAUCUCAGUUCUAAUCAAUUGACUGGACCACUUUCGAAGAUCGUUUCUAAUCUCACAAAUCUUAUACUUCUUGGUGUGGAUUAUAAUAGUCUUAGUGGAAAUAUUCAGAGUGAUUUGUGGAAGAACUCUAUAUCCUUACGUUACAUUGAUUUUGAAAAUAAUUAUUUUUCUGGAAACAUUCCUGAGGAAUAUAACGAUCAUCCAACUUUGGAAUACAUCAAUUUAAGUGGGAACUAUUUUACAGGUAUAUUUUCUUAAUAUAUCUUUUCCUUUUGUCAUAUAUAUGUAACUAAGCUAGUAAUCUGAUUAUUGCAGUUUUACCAAAGUUUCAACAAUCUUGACAGGUGAGCUUCCAACAACAAUUUGCAAUGUCACCUCCCUUUCGGUUCUUGUUUUGUCAAAUAAUAAAUUAAGUGGUGCACUUCCAAACUGUUUCGGGAAUCUUGCUGAUGGAUUGCUUUACAUUAAUCUUGCUAAUAAUCAGUUUCAAGGAACAAUACCAACUACUUUCUCCAGGAGUUGUCAGUUGACAUAUCUAAACAUGGUUAAUAAUGAGUUUGAAGGAUUGAUGCCCCCAUCUUUAGCGAACUGUAAGCACUUGAAAAUUCUUGAUAUAGGCAAUAAUAAAAUAGGUGGUACAUUUCCGUCAUGGCUUUAUGCACUUGGAGAGCUAGAAGUUCUUGUCUUGCGAUCAAAUAAACUCUAUGGUACAAUAAGUGGAAGGAGCAUAGAAGAUCCCUUCCCCAAGUUGCGGAUUGUGGAUCUGUCCAACAAUCAAUUCACAGGCCAUUUGCCAAUUCAAUACUUUAAGAAUAUGAAAUCAAAUGAUAAUUUGUAUCGUUAUCUGAAUUCCACAGGAGAAAUAUAUAUCUCUUAUGAAGCAGCAGUCUCAUUAACUGUGAAGGGAACAGAGUAUGAAGUAGCAAAGAACCUUCAUAUUUACACAGCCAUUGAUCUGUCGUGCAACAAAUUUCAGGGAGAAAUUCCAAAGGUUACCGGAGAGCUUAGAUGGCUUGCAUUGCUCAAUUUAUCUCAUAAUAGUCUAACAGGACCUAUCCCAUCAUUGCUGGGAAAUAUGAAAGAACUCCAAUCUUUAGAUUUGUCCUCAAAUCAACUGACAGGGGCUAUUCCACCUCAGCUAACUGCAUUGACAUUUCUAGAGGUCUUGAACCUCUCGGGAAACCAUCUUAGUGGAGAGAUUCCUCAGAAAGGACAGUUCAGCACAUUCAACAAUGAUUCUUAUCUAGGAAACUCCGCGUUAUGUGGAUCACCUUUGACGAAGAAAUGUGGAAACACUGUAUCACCUCCACAGGAAGUCGGAAAUGGUGAUGAAGAUGAUGCGGGUGAUGAAUGGACAUGGGAAGCAAUCGUGAUGGGAUAUGGAUGUGGACUGAUAUGUGGAUUGUCAUCUGCGUACAUUGUUCUCAAACUAGGAAAGCCUUGGUGGUUUGUGAGAUAUAUCGAAGUACUGCAACAGAAGUUGAUGAAAAGAUAUGCAUGAAGAAAGGUACUGGUAGAUCAAGAUGAAAAGAUAUGAAGAAGUAUUUGGUAUUAUGUAAUAAUCCGUUUGGUCGGGACUCAAAAUGAUUUCUCUUGCUUCAGGGGUAUUAAUAUUAACCUUGCUAUCUUGUUCAAUGUUAAUGCAAAUUAAAAAGAAUAUAAAAGCAAAAAAUUUGCAUCAAACACCUGUUGUACCAACAUGCAUCCAUUAAUUUGCUUUCAUCUAUUAAGUAACAAUUUAAGAGCGCUUCCACUCUGUUUAAGCAUGGAGAUUACACAAAGAAGGCAAGUCCAUGGAUUAACACGUAGUCCACAUCUAUGCUACGAACAAUUCACAUUGAUCUUAUAUCUGUUCAACAGUCUCCCGAAGAUAGGCCAUAAAUGUCAUCUGUGGCUCUUAUGUUUGUCAGUAAAGGAGAAUCUCUGAUGCCUAUAACCUGGUUUUCUUACAAGAUGCCCAGGUUAUCAUGGCCAUGCAGAAAAAUGCCCAAAAAUGAAUAGCUCAGGUCUCCCCAAGCCUUCCAGGACUCAUUCCAAGUCUUCGGAGGACCACUGCCUCCCCCUUUCAAAGAUGUGAUUGUAGCUCGAAAGUGAUAUAAAUUAUUUUCCCCACAUUAAAAAUAAAAAAUCAGAUUAAAUUAAUCAAUAAUAAAUUAAGGAUGAAAUCCAAAUUAAUCCUAAAUUUUGAUAAUAUAUAAAAAUUAUAAUUAUAAAUUAUAUAACCAAAUCAGAAUUGAAUUAACUUACUUGGCACUAGAAUUGCUAAAGACAGUAUAAUAAUUUAAUUGAUGAAAAGUCAAAGUCUUCUAAUAAAUCCAUAAAGAAUAUGAUAAUAUGAAAAUUAUAAUUGAAAAAUCAAAAUCAAUAGUGUAUUGGAAUAGUGUUCACACACUUAUAUAUCAAAAUUUGUGGUCCAAAAACUAUAGCACAAUAUCCUAAAUACAUCACAUUAAAUAAUAGCACAAAAAUAUUCAAUAAAUAAUUGAUUUCAUUCAUAAAUUUGUUAUUUUAAAAACUAAUAAUUUGGUUGAUGUUAACCUAUAUUUUAUAUAUAAUUUCGUCUUAUUUUAUUUUACUAGAAACAAUAUUUUUAUAAUAUUUAUUACAUUAAAUAUAUUAAAAGAUAUAAUUUUAUUAAAAAAAUUGAAUAAAAUUAAAAGGAUAAGUCUCGGCCUCUCCAAGUCUACAAGACUCAUUUCAAGUCCACCGAGGGCCUCAACCAUUGAGAGAUGUGAAAGUAGCUUGAGAGUGAUAUAAAUUAAUUAAAUUAGUUAAUAAUGAAUCAAGACUAAUCAUGAAUUAUGAUAAUAAUUAAAUAAAUUAUAAAAUUAAAUUAUACAAAUAACACUAAACCUUAGUUACUUUAUUGGUAAAAUAAAUAUAAUAUAAUAAUUAAAUUGAUGAAAAAUCAAAAUCAUCUAAUAAAUUCACAAAAAAUAUAUGAUCAUUAGUAUAUUAUAUUAGUAUCCACACACUUAUAUUUCAAAUCUAUCCUCCAAAAUUAUCAUCUCGAUAAACUAGCCGCAUAAAAUAAAAAUUUAACGAUAUUAGAUAUUUAGCUAUUUUCAUUAUAUAAUUUUUCCACACUAAAUAACAAAAUAUCUUUAUCAAAUUAUUAUUUAUGAAUUAAAUAUUCAAGUUAUAAUUCCAGCAUGCAGCGUAUAAAUAGAAGUGUGCAGUAUGAUAUCAGAUUCAUAACCCAGUUGAGGAGAAACAUGGCACACUCUGUAAAGCCUUCUCACCUUCUUCUCUUUGUUUUCUAUCUCUCUUAACUUGAAUACAUUCUUGCAACAACACAAGAGGGAGAAGCUCUUGUGAAAUGGAAGAAUAGCCUAGCCCCUUCUUCUUUUCUCGACUCUUGGUCACUCACCAAUCUCGAUGAUCUUUGUAACUGGACUGGCAUCACUUGUAACUCUGCAGGUUCAGUCUCUCAGAUCAACCUUUUCGAAAAACAACUUGAUGGAAUGCUGUCCGAGUUUGGUUUCACUUCAUUUCCGAAUCUCAACAAUCUCACCCUCGCAUACAACUUCUUCUCGGGUCCGAUACCACCGGCCAUUGAGAAUUUAACACAGCUUCGGUAUCUUGAUUUAAGCUUUAAUUCUCUCCAUGGUCCCAUUCCGUUCCAGGUUAGCCAUCUUCAGAGCUUGCUCAUCUUAAACCUGUCACAGAAUGCAUUGCAAGCUCCAAAUUGGUCCCAUUUCUCUCCCAUGCCUUUUUUGCGCAUCCUCAACCUCAUUAGCAAUCCUCUUGCGUCGAAAUUCCCAAAUUUUAUAUCCAACUCUCAUAGCCUGACUCACCUUAGCCUUAAUUUUAAUGAGUUUACUGGUGAUUUAGUACGUGAAUCAGUAUUUGCCAAUCUGCAUAAUCUUGAAUUGCUCAGUCUCGUUGAAAAUUCUUUUGAGGGGCCAUUUCCGCCGGAUAUAUUCAGGCUUUCCAAAUUAAAACAUCUUCACCUGUCAAGUAACAAAUUUUCAGGUUCAAUUUCCAAUGACAUAAGGUUGCUUUGUGAUCUUGAAUCCCUAUAUUUAGGCAACAAUUCCUUCGAAGGACCCCUUCCAUCAAAUAUAUUCAAGCUUUCAAAAUUAAAAAAUCUUGUUAUUGGGAGUAAUAAGUUUUCGGGUUCUGUUUCCAACGAUAUAGGUUUGCUUUCUGAGCUUGAAAGCCUCUAUCUUGACUCCAAUUUUUUUGAGGGGCCGCUUCCGUCAAAUAUAUUCAAGCUCUCCAAAUUAAGGAUUCUUUCCCUUUGGCAUAAUAACUUUUCAGGUUCUAUUUCUAAGGAUAUAGGUUUGCUUUCUGGACUUGAAACCCUCUUUCUUGACUCUAAUUUUUUUGAGGGUCCGCUUCCCCCGCAUAUAUUUAGGCUCUCCAAAUUAAGAGAUCUGGGUCUCUCAGACAAUAGAAAUUUAUUUGAAGGGAGUAUUCCUAUUGGACUGGGACUCUUGACUAACCUCAGGUACUUAGAUCUAUAUUCCAAUAAUCUCGGUGGUUAUAUUCCAUCUGACAUUGGAAACCUGAAGCUACUAGAAGUUCUUGAUCUCAGUUCUAAUCAAUUGACUGGACCGCUUUUAAAGAUUGUUUCUAAUCUCACAAAUCUUAUGUUUCUUGAUGUAAGACAAAAUAGUCUUAGUGGAAAUAUUCAGAGUGACUUGUGGAAAUAUAACGAUCAUCCAACUUUGGAAUUCAUCAAUUUAAGUGGGAACCAUUUUACGGGUAUAGUUUUUCUCUAUAAAUCUUUUCUUUUGUCAUAUGUAACUAAGCUAGUAAUCUGAUUAAUUGCAGUUUUACCAAAGUUUCAACAAUCUUGACAGGUGAGCUUCCAACAACAAUUUGCAAUGUCACUUCCCUUUCAAUUCUUGAUUUGUCAAAUAAUGGAUUAAGUGGUGCACUUCCAAACUGUUUCGGGAAUCUUGCAGAUAGAUUGCUUUUCAUUAAUCUUGCUAAUAAUCAGUUUCGAGGAACAAUACCAACUACUUUAUCCAAAAGUUGUCAGCUGACAUGUCUAAACAUGGAUAAUAAUGAGUUUGAAGGAUUGUUACCCCCAUCUUUGGCGAACUGUAAGCACUUGAGAAUUCUUGAUAUUGGCAACAAUAAAAUAGGUGGCACAUUUCCGUCAUUGCUUUAUGUACUUGGAGAGCUAGAAGUCCUUGUCUUGCGAUCAAAUAAACUCUGCGGUACAAUAAGUGCAAGGAGCAUAGAAGAUCCCUUCCCCAAGUUGCGGAUUGUGGAUCUGUCCAACAAUCAGUUCACAGGCCAUUUGCCAAUUCAAUACUUCAAGAAUAUGAAAUCAACUGAUAAUUUGUAUUGGUAUCGUAUUUCCACAGGAGAAUUAUUUUUCCAAUAUGAAGCAGCAGUCUCAUUAACUGUGAAGGGAAGAGAGUAUGAAGUAGCAAAUAACCUUCAUAUUUACACAGCCAUUGAUCUGUCGUGCAACAAAUUUCAGGGAGAAAUUCCAACGGUUACUGGAGAGCUUAGAUGGCUUGCAUUGCUCAAUUUAUCUCAUAAUAGUCUAACAGGACCUAUCCCAUCAUUGCUGAGAAAUAUGAAAGAACUCCAAUCUUUAGAUUUGUCCUCGAAUCAACUGACAGGGGCUAUUCCACCUCAGUUAUCUGCAUUGACAUUUCUAGAGGUCUUGAACCUCUCGAAAAACCAUCUUAGUGGAGAGAUUCCUCAGAAAGGACAGUUCAGCACAUUCAACAAUGAUUCUUAUCUAGGAAACUCCGCGUUAUGUGGAUCACCUUUGACGAAGAAAUGUGCAAACACAGCAUCACCUCCACAAGAAGUCGGAAAUGGUGAUGAAGAUGAUGCUGGAGAUGAAUUGACAUGGGAAGCAAUCGUGAUGGGAUAUGGAUGUGGACUGAUAUGUGGUUUGUGAGAUAUAUCGAAGUACUGCAACAGAAGUUGAUGAAAAGAUAUGCAUGAAGAAUGAUACUGGCCGAUCAAGACGAACUUGAAAGUUUGUUGUCCUUGUGGACAUUUCAGCUGAACCAGUAGUGUACUAUUCUCUUUGUGACUGCAUAAGUAUUUUGUAUUGUGUAAUGUUCUGUUUGGGCUUAAAUCAUAAUGAUUUUUCUUGCUUCAGGGGUAUUAAUAUAAAACCGUUUGGUCGGGACUCAUAAUGAUUUCUCUUGCUUCAGGGGUAUUAAUAUCAUCCUUGCUAUCUUGAACAAUGAUAAUGCAAAUUAAAAAGAAUGAAAAAACAAAAAUAUUGCAUCAAACACCUGUUGUACCAAGAUCCAUUAAUUUGCUUUCAUCUCUUACGCAACAAUUUAACAGCACUUCCACACUGUUUGAAAGAUUAUCAUAAAUUCGAGUUUUCCUCUCCAGCACCAAAUCCAAAUUAAUAUACAAUGCCACACAUUCCAGUCUCAGCUUCAGCUCCCAGGGUAGCAUUCAUUUAGCCAAGCACGACAGUGGCCGCUUACGUGCCUAACAAUAACAGUUGGGGAUUUGAGUGAACUUGCCUUGGUCCUGCCUUCAAAUGUCUGACAAUAACAGUUGGAUAUGUCGACAAAAAAAUUGUUCCUCACAGAGGAGCUAAUAGCAAUUGACUUCGAAUAAAUCCGACAGUUCUUUUCAUCCAGUUAUUAUUUCAGCAAUAUGUCUAGCAAAUAUGUAGUGCACUGGACACCAUACUACCAACACAAGUAGUAAAAGGAGAGACCAUUGUUUCGAAUGCUCGGAAAUUUGAACAGGGUUUUUUCCACCUGCCCCCUGACUUUUUACACAAACAGGUCAAGAAAAACAGAAGCCGGCUUCUGGAAAAAUGAAGCACUACUUUAUGAGUGACCAUUGUUUUGAAUGCUCGGAGAUGUGAAGUGGAUUUUUUCAGCCUGCCCCCAGACUUCUUUUUGUAAAACUAGAUUUCUUUAGCUCCGGUGUCUUAGUAUUGGAGAUUAUGAGUGACUGUAGAAAAGACUUUAAUAUGAGUGUGAGAUAUACCCCGGUGGAAACAGGACCUUGAUCCAAAGGGUCACGGGUUCAAACCUCACCUGAUCGGGUUCCACUCCACGCUCGGUCCACAUCUAUGCUGGAUUCAUAUUAAAAUGAUAAUGGAACACGGGCGUCCAUGGUUGGGGAUAUCAUAUUAAAAAGAUUAGCUGGGCACAGAUGAAUAUUUAUAUGGAUUUUAAAAACAAACUAUGACUUAAUAUAAGAAAAAUCAUUAUUUUUUAUUUUUCCGACUAAACAUUUGUUAGCCUUCUCUGGUGCCCAUCCAAAUCAUUCAGCGGGUUCUACUUUCAGCUCAUCACAAGAACAUCAUUCUGCAGGUACUUUCUUAUAUUGUUUGCCAGCGGUGACCGAGCCAGAAACUUUUUCGAGGAGGGGCCGGAAUAGAAAUAUUAUUUAAAUUUGAAAAUAUUAUAUAUCAUAUUGAAAAUAGUAUUAGUAACAAAAAUCCAUUUAUUUUAGGUUUCUAUGAGAAAACUCAGUCGUUUCAUUAAGAAAAUUUAAUUACUUAAUUACCAAACGGUUGAGGAUGAAGAUUUGAAAGAACGAGUUGCAACGGGGAGACUCAUAGACGCGACAGAAAAAAAUAGAAAAAGAUAUUGUUCAACAACCGAGUCUAUAUUAUUAAAAUUUAUGAUAAAUGAGAUAAUUUUAUUUUAUAAACUAACUAAAUACAUAUAAUAUAGUAUUAUAUGUAAUGCUACGUAAAAUUGGAUACAAGAUUUUGCACAAAAUGAUAUGAUAACUAAAGUGAAAUAUUUUAAUUGGUGCUAUUAAUGUAUAUAUACAUUUAUUACAAUUAAAACUUAACACAUAUUAUUAAUUUUGUGAAUAAAAUAUUUUUCUUAAUAAUAUAUAAGUAAAAAAAAUAAAAAUCUAGGAGGGGCUCAGGCCCCCUCUGGACCCCUCUAGCUCCGUCUGUAUACACCUAUCAUAUUAUUGACAGGUGGCUCUCUCAUAUUGCUCACAGGCGAACUCCUGCAUAUACUUUGUGAACCAAUCAUGACAAAAAUAUCAUCAUCCAAUCAAUUCGAUUAAUUAUUCUUUAAAUCAGUACAAAUAUUGUUAAAUAUAUGGAUGAUUAUCGUGUUUCCGCGAACCAAUCAUGAAAUGAAAUUACCUCUGUAUAAAUCCAUCGGAAAUAAGACAAUUAAUGGGGCCGUUUGGGCAAGCUUAAAAGAAGUGACUUCUUGCUUAAACUAGAGAAGUGGAGCAGAAGUGAGAAGUAAAUAAGUUAUUAAAGUGUUUGGAAAAGAAGCAGAAGCUGUGAGACAAAAGCUAGCAUUCUCAGCUUUUUAAAAGUGACUUCUUUACACAAACGGGUAAAAAAAGCAGAAGCCAGAAGCAGCUUCUGCUUCCGUUAAACAAACAGGCCCAAUAUCUCAAUCGAAUACACCCCGUGAGUUGUCAAACUCCUCGAAACGUAUUAAUCACUUUAGAAAUUUGUUCCACUGGCGCCAUUCAGUUCCAGAGUUGGUGGUAGGGGCCGUGCUUCUUGUGUUUCUUCUUUUCAUUAUUGACAUUGUCAUCUAGGUCCUUGCUUCUGGGCUUUGGAGAAGUAAACAAUGGAUCUAUUAGUCUUCCAUAUCGCUGAUACGCGCUAACGCGCAUUAUAGUGGAUUGAUCUUUAUUAGUGAUUUCUGUGGAGAUGCAUAAUCAUUAUAAGCUCCAAUAUAAAAUAAACCUAAUUUAAAGUUAGUAUGGGCAUUUGUGUUGAUAAUUUACGCAAUGUUAACAGGGAUUGCUCCCAAGUCUUGGACGGAUUCUUUCCAAGUCUUCUGAGGACCUAUUUGCACACUAAUUUGUCGCCAACUAAAAAUUCAACGAUAUUGCUAGCUCCCUCUACUAAUUUUUUGCGGGACGUUUUUUACUUUUAACACAUAUCUUUAGAUAGAAUUAGUAUUGUAAAAAGCGGGAAUCAGACUUAAUCGGUGAAGUCACAGAACAACGAUUAAUCGAUGAUUAAUUGGAUUGAUUGGGUAUCAAUCGGAUGAUUAAUGAAAUAAUCGGAUAUUUAAUCCGUUCGACGAGUUACGGAACAGGGAUUAAUCGUGAUUAAUCACCGACUUUUAGAACAGAGGAUAGGAUAAUAAAAUUAUUAUUUUUGAUUAUUUUUUUUGUGAAUAAAAAUUUUGAUUAUAUAUUUUUAUUAAAAAAGAAUUUAAAAUAAUAUUUUUAACUAACCGGUCCAAACAGCUAAAAGUGUGUGCCCAAGCGUCAUAUAAAAACGGAGGGAGCGAGCAUGUGCUGACUAACGGUUCAACUAACAGUUUACAAGUACUCCAUCUGUCCCAUUUAGUCCUAUUUAAUUAUAUACGUUUUUUUUUAACUGUUUGACACGCACUUCAAUGCUCUUCUAAAAUAUGGUUCUAUAACUUAUUUUUAAAAUUUUCUUUUUCUGAAUAAAAAUAUAACAUUCAAACUUUUAUUCAGAAAAAAAUAUCGUAAAAAUAAGUUAUAGAAUUAUAUUUUAUAAGAGCAUUAAAGUCCAUGUCGCGUCCCCGUCUUCUGAUGUAUAAAUUUGCGCAAUGUUAACGGGGAUUGCUCAUUUGCUCUCAAGUCUUGGACGGACCAAGUCUUCUAGGACCCAUCUGCACACUAAUUUGUCUGCCAACUAAAAAAUCAACGAUAUUGCUGCCUCUGCUAUUUUUUACCAGGACGUUUUUUACUUUUAACACAUGUUUAGAUAGGAUAAUAAAUAUUAUUAUUAUUGAUUAAUUUUUUUGUGAAUAAAAAUUUUGAAUAUAUAUUUUUAUCAAAAAAAGAAAAUUUUAAAAAUAAUAUUUUUAAGGGAAAUUAUUAAUGGUACUAUUGUGCUACUGGCUUUUCUAAAUGGUACUAUUUUGGUGUUUUCGACUUACAUGCAUUAUCACUUCCAUUAACGAUACUACCAUUCCGUCCCUCAAAACGUUAAAACCAUUAGUUGACCGUAUUUAUUUUGUAUUUUCCUUGUAAAAAAAACAAAAGAAUACAACUAAUAUUUGUAUUUUUUGUUUGUGUUCAAAUCGUCGAGAUAUGGAAGAGGUUAUCAGAAUUUUAGAAUUGAUUCGAUGUCCUUCAGAAAGUCAGGGGGAAACGGAAUGAGAUACGAGUUUUGAACAAGAAUCCAGUUUAGUUGUUGUUUAUCUUGAAAAACAGAUUUGGAAGUCAUAUAUUUUCAGCCUUUGGCUUCAUGUAUUUCUGUCUCAUCAUUCCCAGAUACUUGCUGAGGUUUAUAGUCACUGUUUAUUAAAUGUUGUCGUACAUUUUCCUGUAUUAUGCACCCAUGUGGCGCCUGUGUUUUGCAUGUCAUGCACAAUUUGCUCAACUACAUACAGGUCACAGGAUGAGUGCAUGUGCCAAAGGGAUUAGUGCAUUGAUCUGUGUAGUGUGAGGACACUGUGAUACAAGGCACAAUUUCUCAGAUUUCUUCUGUCAACACCACUCCCAUCCAUAGCUCCCACCUUUUCUCUCUCAAUCUCAUGUUUCUCUCUUUCUCUCGCAGCUCCGCCGCCACCACUACAUCAGUCUUCAAGAACUCAAGAAAAAAUAUGGAUAUCAGUUAUAUUUUUUGUGUUUUUUAAAGAAGUAUAUGAAAUAAAUAUAGUCAACUAAUGUUUUUAACGUUUUGAUGGACCGAAUGGUAGUAUCAUUAACGGAUCAUAAACUGAGUGGUACCACUUGUAAGUAAAAACCAGUGUUGUAAAAAGCGGGAAUCGGAUUUAAUCGGUGAAGUCACGGAACAAAGAUUAAUCGGAGAUUAAUCGGACUAAUCGGUGAUUAAUCGGAUAUUUAAUCAGUUCGGCGAGCUACGGAACAGGGAUUAAUCGGUCGUGAUUAAUCACCGACUUUUAGAACAGAGGUAAAAACACGAAAUGGUAUUAUUCAUAAAAGCCAAUACCACGAUGGUACCAUUAAUAAUUUCCCUAUUUUUAAUUACCGAGUCCAAAUAUUUAAACGUGUGUGCCCAAAAUUAAAGCCGCAUAUAAAAAAACGGAGGGAGCAUGUACUAACCGUUUCCAUAACAGUUUACAAGUAUAAGUUAUACUCCCUCUCAAUUUUUUUAUUUUUUUAUAUGACGUUUUGAUCUUGGGCACACAUUAUUAAGUGUUUUGACCGGAUAGUUAAAAAUAUUAUUAUUUAAAUUUUCUUUUCUGAAUAAAAAUAUAUAACCAAAAAUUUUAUUCACAAAAAUUUUUAGUGAUUUUUUCGUGAAUACCUAAGGCCAAUUUUUCAAAUAUUUUGUAAAAAUACCAAUUUUUUGAAAAUAUUUGCAAAGAUAAUGUAUUCAACCACAUGCAACCAUACUUAUAACCAGAUGUAACCAUAAUUGCAACCUCUGCGGGACCAAUUAACUGAAUUUGUAUUUGGUUGCACUAGUUAGUAUUUUCUUAAAGUUAGUAUUUUUGUAAAUAUUUUUAAAAAAAAGUAAAAUCGCAAAAAAAAAAAUCGAAAAAAUGGUUUGAUAAAUUUCUAAAUAUUUAAUCACAGAACAAUAACUUUUACAAUCCGAUCAACUCAUUUAAAAAUGUGUGUCAAAAGUAAAAAUGUCAUAUAUAUAUAUAUCAUAUAAAUGUCAUAUAAAUUUAAAACAAAGGGAUNCAUAUAAAUGUCAUAUAAAUUUAAAACAAAGGGAUAUAUAUUUUUUAAUAAAAUAUACUCCCUCUAUCCCAAAUAAGUGUCAGUGACAUUUUGCAAAAAUAGCUUGGGACAAUAGAUUUUUUUGCCACUCAACUUAAUGUGUUUUUAGAAAUUCGCCACCCAACUAAUUUUUUUUUCCUUUUACUCACUAAUGUUAGGUUUGGAUUUUUUUUAGCCACCAACUUAGGUUCGGAUUUGAUUACUAGUAUUAUGAUAAUUUUAUUUAUCACUAAACUUACUGCGUCUUUAGGAAUUAACCACUGAACUAUAAUUUUUUUAUUUUACUCACUAAUGUUAGGUUCAUUUUUUUUGUCACUGAAGUUAGGUUCGGAUUUGAUUAUUAGCAUUAUAUUAAUUAUGUGUAACAUUAUUAAAAUAUAGUGGUCUAUAAUAUUUUGAUGAUUUGGUAUAUGUCUGUAUCUUUAUAUAUAGUACUUUUUAUGUCUCCAAUGUCGUUUAACUUGAGUGGUAAGAAUUUUACACGCAUUUUAUGGCUUUUAAAAGAUGUAGUUUCAUAAAUAAUUUUAUUUUUUUCUUCCGAAUAAAAAUUCAGCGUUUUACACACAAAAAAAUAACAAAAAAAAGUUAUGAAGCUAUGUUUUAUAAGAGUCUUAAAAUACGUGCUAAGCAGUAGAAAAAACUGUAAACUAAUGAGAGGGACAUGUAGUAAUAAUAAUAAAAUGAUGCAUUAUAGAGGACAAUCAUCGAAAAUUAAGUUAACCUCUCUAUUUAUUUAUCUUGAAAAUUGUAGUAAAAUAAAGUUAUUAAAAUUUAUGAAGAUAAAUUUGAGAGAGAUCUUGGACUGAGCUAGUCAAUUGAAACUUUAAUAGCGAAAGAUGAUGCAUCAUAUCAAUCAAUUACACUUUAUCUUCUUAUCAUCAGGGAGGGUGAAUUGUUUGAAGUCAUUGAUUUCAUAUUCAUGAUUUAUUGAAUUUUAGAAUUCUAAUUACGAUUUUUCCUGGUUUUAAUUUUUCAUCGGCUCAUUUUAUAUUAUUUUUGUUAUAUAUAAGGAUAUAAACAUACGACACAUCAUCAAAAUAUUACAUACUAUCACUAUGUAUAAAUGAUGCGACAAAAAUUAUCAUAAUGCUAGUAAUUAAAUCCGAACCUGAGUAGUGGCUAAAAAAAAAUCCAAACCUAAUAUUAAUGGUAAAAGGAAAAAAAAAAUAGUUAGGUGGCAAGUUUCUAAAAACACUAUAAAUUGAGUGGCAAAAAAAAUCUAUUUUCCAAACAUAGCUUGGGGUAAUAACAAAACCUUAAUCAACGCAAGCACAGCAGACCGCAGGCAUAAGGCUUAUAAAUAGAAGUGCAGUAUUGUGUUGAUGGUCAAGUUGAGUGGAAAUAUGGUACACUUUGUAAAGCCUUGUUAUCCUCUUCUCUUUGUUUUCUUUCUCUCAUUACUUCAAUCCAUUCUAACAACACUACCUGAAUCCAGACGAGAGGGAGAAGCUCUUGUGAAAUGGAAGAAUAGCCUAGCCCCGUCUUCUUUUCUCGACUCUUGGUCACUCACUGAUCUCGAUAAUCUUUGUAACUGGACUGGCAUUACUUGUAACUCUGCAGGUUCAGUCUCGGAGAUUAACCUUUGUGAGAAACAACUUGAUGGAAUGCUGUCCGAGUUUGGUUUCACUUCAUUUCCAGAUCUCAACUAUCUCACCCUCGCAGACAACUUCUUCUCGGGUCCGAUACCAUCAGCCAUUGAGAAUCUAACACAGCUUCAAUAUCUUGAUUUAAGCAUGAAUAGUCUCAAUGGUCCCAUUCCUUUCCAGGUUAGCCAUAUUCAGAGCUUGCUCAUCUUAAACCUGUCACACAAUGCAUUGCAAUCUCCAAAUUGGUCCCAUUGCUCUCCCAUGCCUGUCUUGCGCAUCCUCGACCUUAGUUUUAAUAAUCUUGUGUCGAAAUUCCCAGAAUUUAUAUCCAAUUCUCAUAGCCUGACUCACCUUAACCUUUCAGAUAACAAGUUUACUGGUGAUCUUGUGCGUGAAUUUACCAAUCUACAAAAUCUUGAAACCCUCUACCUUCAAGAUAAUUCUUUUGAGGGGCCGUUUCCGCCUGAUAUAGUCCAGCUUUCCAAAUUAAAACGUCUCGCCCUGUUAGGUAACAAAUUUUCAGGUUCAAUUCCCAAUGACAUAAGGUUGCUUUGUGUUCUUGAAUACCUAUAUUUAGGCAACAAUUCCUUUGAAGGACCACUUCCACCAAAUAUAUUCACGCUUUCAAAAUUAAAAUUACUUGUUCUUUGGGGUAAUAAGUUUUCAGGUUCUAUUUCCAAUGAUAUAGGUUUGCUUUCUGAGCUUGAAACCCUCGUUCUUGACUCUAAUUAUUUUGAGGGGCCACUUCCGCCAAAUAUAUUCAAGCUCUCUAAAUUAAAGGUUUUUUCCCUUGUGUACAAUAACUUUUCAGGUUCUGUUUCCAAUGAUAUAGGUUUGCUUUCUGAGCUUGAAUAUCUCCGUAUUGGCUGCAAUUCUUUCGAGGGACCGUUGCCAACAAAUAUAUUCAAGCUUUCCAAAUUAAGUAAACUUGACCUAUCAAAUAAUAGUAAUUUUUUUGAAGGAAGUAUUCUUAUUGGAUUGGGACUCUUGACUAACCUCAGCUACUUAGAUCUAGAUUCCAAUAAUCUCAGUGGCUAUAUUCCAUCUGAGAUUGGAAACCUGAAGCUACUAGUAUUUCUCGAUCUUAGUUCUAAUCAAUUGACUGGAUCGCUUUCAAAGAUCUUUUCUAAUCUCACAAAUCUUAUAUAUCUUCAUGUAUAUGAUAAUAGUCUUAGUGGAAAUAUUCAGAGUGACUUGUGGAAAAACUCUGUAUCCUUGCGUUUCGUUGAUCUUGCAAAUAAUUAUUUGUCUGGAAACAUCCCUAAGGAAUAUAACGAUCAUCCAACUUUGGAAUACAUUAAUUUAAGUUGGAACCAUUUUACAGGUAUAUUUUCUCUAUAUAUCUUUUCCUUUUCUNCUCAUAUGUAACUAAGCUUGAUUAUUGCAAUUUUACCUAAGUUUCAACAAUCUUGACAGGUGAGCUUCCAACAACAAUUUGCAAUGUCACUUCCCUCUCGGUUCUUGUUUUGUCAAAGAAUGGAUUAAGUGGUCCACUUCCAAAUUGUUUCGGAAAUCUUGCUGAUAGAUUGCUUUCCAUUAAUCUUGCUAAUAAUCAGUUCCGAGGAACAAUACCAACUACUUUCUCCAGCAGUUGUCAGCUGACAUAUCUAAACAUGGAUGAUAAUGAGUUUGAAGGAAUGUUGCCUCAAUCUUUGGCGAAAUGUAAGCACUUGAAAAUUCUUGAUAUUGGCAAUAACAAAAUAGGUGGUAUAUUUCCGUCAUGGCUUUAUGUACUUGGAGAGCUAGAAGUCCUUGUCUUGCGAUCAAAUAAACUCUAUGGUACAAUAAGUGGAAGGAGCAUAGAAGAUCCGUUCCCCAAGUUGCGGAUUGUGGAUCUGUCCAACAAUCAAUUCACCGGCCAGUUGCCAAUUCAAUACUUUAAGAAUAUGAAAUCAACUGAUAAUUUGUAUCGUUAUCGGAAUUCCACAGGACCAUUAUCUUUCUCUUAUGAAGCAGCAGUCUCAUUAACUGUGAAGGGAACAGAGUACGAGGUAGCAAAGAACCUUCAUAUUUACACAGCCAUUGACCUGUCAUGCAACAAAUUUCAGGGAGAAAUUCCAAAGGUUACUGGAGAGCUUAGAUGGCUUGCAUUGCUGAAUUUAUCUCAUAAUAGUCUGACAGGACCUAUCCCAUCCUUGCUGAAAAAUAUGAAAGAACUCCAAUCUUUAGAUUUGUCCUCAAAUCAACUGACAGGGGCUAUUCCACCUCAGUUAACUGCAUUGACAUUUCUGGAGGUCUUCAACCUCUCGGGAAACCAUCUUAGUGGAGAGAUUCCUCAGAAAGGACAGUUCAGCACAUUUAACAAUGAUUCUUAUCUAGGAAACUCCGCGUUAUGUGGAUCACCUUUGACAAAGAAAUGUGCAAACACAGCAUCACCUCCACAAGAAGUCGGAAAUGGUGAUGAAGAUGAUGCUGGUGAUGAAUGGACAUGGGAAGCAAUCGUGAUGGGAUAUGGAUGUGGACUGAUAUGUGGAUUGUCAUCUGCGUACAUUGUUCUCAAACUAGGAAAGCCUUGGUGGUUUGUGAGAUAUAUCGAAGUGCUGCAACUGAAGUUGAUGAAAAGAUAUGCUUGAAAAAUGGUACUGGCCGAUCAAGACGAACUUGAAAGUUGUUGUCCUUGUGGACAUUUCUGAACCAGUAGUGUACUAGCUGCAUAAGUAUUUGGUAUUAUGUAAUAAUCCGUUUGGUCAGGACUCAUAAUGAUUUCUCUUGCUUCAGGGGUAUUAAUAUUAACCUUGCUAGUUAAUUCAAAUUAAAACAAAUAUAAAAUCAAAAAAUUUGCAUCAAACACCUGUUAUACCAACAUCCAUUAAUUUGCUUUCAUCUCUUACGUAACAAUUUAACAGCGAUUCCACACUGUUUUAGGCAUGGAGAUUACACAAAGAAGGCAAGUCCAUGGACUAAUAUACGAACAAUUCAUAUUGGUCUUCCAUCUGUUCAACCGUCUCCCGAAGAUAGGCCAAAAAUGUCAUCUGUGGUUCUUAUCUUUGUCAGUAAAGGAGAAUCUCUGAUGCCUAUACAACCUGGUUUUCUUACCGAAAGGAAUGUAGGUGAAACCAGGGGCAUAAAAUGAAUCGGGACUAAAAUCUGCUAAAAUGAUAAUUAUUUACUCAUCAUUCGAGAUUAGUCGGGCUCGAAUGAAGAUUUAUAUGGAUUUUAAGAACAAACUAUGACUAAAUAUGAAAAAAUCAUUAAUUUUUCCGACUCAAUAUUUUUAGCCUCCCCCGGCCCUGGGUGAAACCAUAAGCUUCUCUGGUGCACAUCCAAAUCAUUCAGCUGGUUCUACAUUCAGCUCACCCACAGGAACAUCAUUCUGCAGGUACUCUCUUAUCUGUACUUUCUUAUAUUGUAUGCCAGAAAAUUUAAUAUCGACAAACUGCACAAUACACCUCGAUCUCAUAUUAUUGACAGGUGAGCUCCUCUCAUAAUGCUCACAGGCGAACUCCUGCAUAUAUACUUUGUGAUGUCAUUGAUGAUCGAUAGGCUUGAAAAAAAAUUAUGACAAAGAUUCAUAAAAUAUCUACUUCCAUCCUAAUUCAGUAUUCAAUAUUAUUCAUUCCGUAUCAUCAUCCAAUCAAUUCUAAUAGUUCUUCUUUAAAUCAGUAUAAAUAUUGUUAAAUAUAUUGAUGAUGGUUGUCUUUCCGCGAACCAAUCAUAAAAUUACCUCUGUAUAAAUCCAUCGGAAAUAAGACAGUUAAUAUCCCAAUCGAAUACACCCCUGUCAGUUGUCAAACUCCUCGAAACGUAUUAAUCACUUUAGAAAAUUUGUUCCACUGGCGCUAGUCAGUCCCAGAGUUGGUGGUGGGUGCUUCUGGGCUUUCGAAAAGCACCCAUUUACUCCAUUGUUUAGAGAAGUAAAACCCCACCUUCCGCUCAUUUGAUUGAUCAGCUGAAUUAGGCAGAGUUUACAUGGUCAUGAUCAUAGUCUCCCAUUUCCCAGAUACGCGCAUUAUAGUGGAUUUAUCUUUAUCAGUAAUUUCUGUGGAGAUGCAUAAUCAUUAUAAACUCCAAUAUAAAAAUUUAAAGUUGGUAUGGGCAUUUGUGUUGAUAAUUUGCGCAAUGUUAACAGGAAUUGCUCCCAAGUCUUGGACGGACUCUUUCAAAGUCUUCUGAGGACCCAUCUGCACACUAAUUUGUCUCCCAACUAAAAAAUCAACAAUAUGUUACUCCCUCCGUUUUUCUUAAACGAGGUUAAAAUUUUUGACACAAGAUGGGUUGACAGUAUAAUAAAAAUUUUUGUGAAUAAAAUUUUUUUUAUUUAGAAAGAUAAUCUUGAAAAUAAUAUUAUUAACUAAGUUAAAUCACUUAAAAGUGUAUGUCCAAAAAUUAAAGCGGCAUAUAAAAAAAAGGGAGGGAGCAUGUACUAACUGUUUCCAUAACAGUUUACAAGUAUAAGUUAUACUCCCUCUCUAUUUUUUUAUAUGACGGUUUGAUUUUGGGCACACAUUUUUAAGUGUUUUGACCAGAUAAUUAAAAGGGGUUUUCUCAUAAAUACCUAAGUCUAAAAUUAUUUUUACGAAAAUAUUAUAUCUUUUUUUAAAUAUUUUGCAAAAAUACCAAACUUUGUAAAUAUUUACAAAAAUACGGUAUGCAACCCGUUGCAACCACAUGCAACCUUACUUGCAACCAUAUUUGCAACCCCUGCGGGGUCAAUUAACUGAAAUUGCAUCUGGUUGCGUUUAGUUGCAGACCGUAUUUUUGCAAAUAUUUUCUAAAAAGUUAGUAUAUUUGCAAUUUUUUUAAAAAUAUAAGAAAAUCGCAAAAAUUAUAACAAAGCUUCAAGAUUUUUAACAGGUGAGCUUCCACUAAAAAUUUGCAAAGUCACUUCCCUUUCGCGUCUCAUUAUGUCAGAUAUUGGUCAAGUGGUGCACUUCCACAGUGUUUGGGGAACCUUUCUUUGCUUGGUUUCAAUAAUCUUGCUAAUAAUCAAUUUCAAGGACCAAUACCAACGACUGUCCAAGACUUGUCUGUGCAUAUCUAAACAUCCAUAACAAUCACUUUGAAGGUUUGUUGCUCCAAUCUUUGGCAAACUGUAAACACUUACAAAUUCUUGAUAUUGGAAACAACAAAAUAGGUGGUACAUUUCCGUCAUGGCUAUUUACUGUUGGAGAGCUAGAUGUCCUAGUUAGGACGGUAUUUCGACUAGAGCAAGCCGAGUUUUGAGCGGAGCCCAAUUCGAGCCAAGUUUAAUCGAGUCGAGCCGAGUCAGUUCGUUUGGCUAAUCGAGCCUAAAACUCUGUCCGAACUCGACUCGUUUAAUUUCACGAGUUGAGUCAAGCCAGCUCAUUUAGCUAAACGAGUUGGUUUUAACGAGUUAAACGAGUGAGCUCGUAUAAUUUUAACUUAAUCGAGCCUGGAUCUCUAUCCGAACUAUUGGCUCGUGUAAUUUCGCGAGUCGAAUCGAGCCGGCUCGUUUUAUUAAACAAACCGAAAUUUUUGCCCAAAUUUUGCUCGUUUAACAAGCCGAUCUGAACCUAGUUAAAUGAGUUCGAGCUAGUCGAGCUCGCAGCUUGCGAGCUCGCCGGACAGCUCUAGUACUAGUCUUGCGAUCAAAUAGGUUUCACGGUAUAGAAAGUGGAAGGAACACAAGGCAUCUGUACUUUCUUGUACUGUAUGCCACUUUGACAGUAAAAUUUAUACUCCCUCCGUCCGAAUGAAUUGUAUACAGUUUACUUUUUGGGACGUCCCAUCAAUUGUAUACAUUCCUAAAGUAGUAAACUUUUAUAAUAUAAAACAUCAUUAAACCAACUACUUUCUUCCCCUAUCUCCAUUCUAUAAUAAUAUAAACACUAUUACACCCACUACUUUCCUCCACUAUCUCAAAUUUAUUAUUAAAUAUAAAUGGGUCCCACCACUAUACUCACUUUUCAUCCAACUUUACUCAUUUCUAAUAAAAUUUCUUGGUCUCCGUGUCCCAGCCAUUUGUAUACAAAUGACUGGGACGGAGGGAGUAUCAACAAACUGCACGAUUAAAUCCUCGUACAAUUGACAGGUGAACUCCUGCAUAUGUUCUGAACUAUUACGUACUAUAUUAUGCAAGCUGUUUGCAACUUUCAUCAAAAUUUUCAAACAUUUCUUAAUAUGUUUUUUCAAAAAAUUCUCGGGCCCUCUUAAGGCCUAUUAUUAUUGCAACUCUCACGUUAUGGACCACUAUGUAUUUUACAAGCACGACGAAUCAUGUGGUCAUUAUGGACUCCCCAAGCCUUCGAGGACUCACUCCAGGUCUUAGGAGGACCACUGCCUAGCUCACCCUUUCGGAGUGAUGUAAAUUAUUUUCUAGACACUAAAAAUAAGUAUUCAGAUUAAUCAUUACAAAAUUAAGGAUAUAAAAUCAGAAUAAAUCCUAAACUUUGAUGAUACAAAAAAAUUAUAAUUGUAAAUUAUACAAUCAAAUUAAAAUCGAAUUAACUUCCCUCACACUUAAAAUUUAUAGCGAUCAAAUCAAAAUCGAAUUAACUUUCCUAUUACUAAAAUAUAAUUACAAUAUUAUUAGAUAAAGAGAAUAUAUAAUAAUCAAGAGAAAAUAGAUUUUUUUUUGCCACUCAACUUAUCGUGUUUUAAGAAACUUACCACCCAACUAAAUUUUUUUUCCUUUUGCUCACUAAUGUUAGGUUUGGAUUUGUUUUUAGCCACCAACUAAGGUUCGGAUUUGAUUACCAGCAUUAUGAUAAUUUUUUUUGUCACUAAACUUAUUGCGUCUUUAGAAACUAACCACUCAACUAAAUUUUUUUUUAUUUUACUCACUAAUGUUAGGUUCAGUUUUUUUUUGUCACUGAAGUUAGGUUCGGAUUUGAUUAUUAGCAUUACAUUAAUUCUGUGUAGCAUUUUUAAAAUAUGGUAGUACUCUGUGAUAUUUAGAUGAUUUGAUAUAUGUCUGUAUUUUUAUAUAUAGUAUAUUUUAUGUCUCCAAGAUCAUUUACCUUGGGUCAUAAGAAUUUUACACGCAUUAUAUGACUUUUAAAAGAUGUAGUGUCAUAAAUAAUUUUAUUUUUUUUUCCGAAUUAAAAUUCAGCAUUUGAAUUUUACACACACAAAAAUCGCAAGAAUAAGUUAUGAAAUUAUGCUUUAUAAGAGUCUUAAAAUACGUGCUAAACGGUAGAAAAAACGGUGAAAUAAUGAGAGGUACAUAGGAGUAAUAAUAACAUAAAAUGAUGCACAAGUUAGUAUAUUGGACUAAUAUUCACGCAUUUAUAUACGAGAAUAUAUGGUCCACAAGUUAGUGCACAAUGUCCAAGAAUCUUUAUCAAAGUAACACGGCAAGCAUGCAGCAUAUAAAUAAGAGUGGGCAGUAUGGUAUUGCAUUCAUAACCCACUUGAGGAGAAAUAUGGCACACUUCCUAAAGCCUUCUCACCUUCUUCUCUUUGUUUUCUCUCUCUCGUUACUUCAAUCCAUUCUACCAACAAGACCAGAGGGAGAAGCUCUUGUGAAAUGGAAGAAUAGCCUAGCCCCUUCUUCUUUUCUCGAUUCUUGGUCACUCACCAAUCUCGAUGAUCUUUGUAACUGGACUGGCAUUACUUGUAACUCUGCAGGUUCAGUCUCUGAGAUUAACCUUUAUGAGAAACAACUUGAUGGAAUGCUGUCCGAGUUUGGCUUCACUUCAUUUCCGAAUCUCAACAAUCUCACCCUCGCAUACAACUUCUUCUCGGGUCCAAUUCCACCAGCCAUUGAGAAUUUAACACAGCUUCAAUAUCUUGAUUUAAGCAUCAAUAGUCUCGAUGGUCCCAUUCCGUUCCAGGUUAGCCAUCUUCAGAGGUUGCUCGUCUUAAACCUGUCACAGAAUGCAUUGCAAGCUCCAAAUUGGUCCAAAUUCUCCCCCAUGCCCUUUUUGUGCAUCCUCAACCUCAGUAGCAAUCCUCUUGCGUCGACAUUCCCAAAUUUCAUAUCCAAUUCUCAUGGCCUGACUCACCUCAGCCUUGAUCAAAACGAGUUUACAGGUGAUUUAGCGCGUGAAUCAAUAUUUGCCAAUCUGCAUAAUCUUGAAGUCCUCAGUCUUGUUGGCAAUUCUUUUGAGGGGGCCAUUUCCGCCAAAUAUAUUCAAGCUUUCCAAAUUAAAACAUCUUAGCCUGUCAGAUAACAAACUUUCAGGUUCAAUUCCCAAUGACAUAAGGUUGCUUUGUGAUCUUGAAUACCUAUAUUUAGGCAACAAUUCCUUUGAAGGACCGCUUCCACCAAAUAUAUUCAAGCUUUCAAAAUUAAAACAUCUUAUUCUUUGGGGUAAUAAGUUUUCAGGUUCUGUUUCCAACGAUAUAGGUUUGCUUUCUGAGCUUGAAAGCCUCUAUCUUGACUCCAAUUUUUUUGAGGGGCCGCUUCCGCCAAAUUUAUUCAAGCUCUCCAAACUAAAGAUUCUUUUCCUUUAUGAGAAUAACUUUUCAGGUUUUAUUUCUAAGGAUAUAGGUUUGCUUUUUGAACUUGAAACCCUCUAUCUUGACUCUAAUUUUUUUGAGGGGCCGCUUCCCCCACAUGUAUUUAGGCUCUCCAAAUUAAGAGAUCUGGGUCUCUCAGACAAUAGAAAUUUAUUUGAAGGAAGUAUUCCUAUUGGACUGGGACUCUUGACUAACCUCAGAUACUUGCGUCUAUCUUCCAAUAAUCUCGGUGGCUAUAUUCCAUCUGACAUUGGAAACCUGAAGCAACUAGAACUUCUUGAUCUCGGUUCUAAUCAAUUGACUGGACCGCUUUCAAAGAUCGUUUCUAAUCUCACAAAUCUUAUAUAUCUUGAUGUGAGUUAUAAUAGUCUUAGUGGAAAUAUUCAGAGUGACUGGUGGAAAAACUCUGUAUCCUUACGUUACAUUGAUUUUGAAAAUAAUUAUUUGUCUGGGAACAUUCCUAAGGAAUAUAACGAUCAUCCAACUUUGGAAUACAUCAAUUUAGGUGGGAACCAUUUUACAGGUAUAUUUUCUCUAUAUAUCUUUUCCUUUUGUCAUAUGUAAAUAAGCUAGUAAUCUGGUUAUUGUAGUUUUACCAAAGUUUCAACAAUCUUGACAGGUGAGCUUCCAACAACAAUUUGCAAUGCCACUUCCCUUUCGGUUCUUGUUUUGUCAAAUAAUGGAUUAAGUGGUGCACUUCCAAAAUGUUUCGGGAAUCUUGCUGAUGGAUUGCUUUACAUUAAUCUUGCUAAUAAUCAGUUUCGAGGAACAAUACCAACUACUUUCUCCAGGAGUUGUCGGUUGACAUAUCUAAACAUGGAUAAUAAUGAGUUUGAAGGAUUGUUGCCCCCAUCUUUGGCGAACUGUAAGCACUUGAAAAUUCUUGAUAUAGGCAAUAAUAAAAUAGGUGGUACAUUUCCGUCAUGGCUUUAUGCACUUGGAGAGCUAGAAGUUCUUGUCUUGCGAUCAAAUAAACUCUAUGGUACGAUAAGUGGAAGGAGCAUAGAAGAUCCCUUCCCAAAGUUGCGGAUUGUGGAUCUGUCCCACAAUCAAUUGACAGGCUAUUUGCCAAUUCAAUACUUUAAGAAUAUGAAAUCAACUGAUGAUUUGUAUAGUUUCCGGAAUUCCACAGGAACCGCAUCUAUCUCUUAUGAAGCAUCGGUCUCAUUAACCGUGAAGGGAACAGAGUAUGAAGUAGCAAAUAACCUUCAUAUUUACACAGCCAUUGAUCUAUCGUGCAACAAAUUUCAGGGACAAAUUCCAAAGGUUACUGGAGAGCUUAAAUGGCUGGCAUUGCUCAACUUAUCUCAUAAUAGUCUAACAGGACCUAUCCCGUCAUUGCUGAGAAAUAUGAAAGAACUCCAGUCUUUAGAUUUGUCUUCAAAUCAACUAACAGGGGCUAUUCCACCUCAGUUAACUGCACUGACAUUUCUAGAGGUCUUGAACUUCUCGGGAAACCAUCUUAGUGGAGAGAUUCCUCAGAAAGGACAGUUCAGCACAUUCAACAAUGAUUCCUAUCUAGGAAACUCUGCGUUAUGUGGAUCACCUUUGACGAAGAAAUGUGUAAACACUGUAUCACCUCCUCAGGAAGUCGAAAAUGGUGAUGAAGAUGAUGCUGGUGAUGAAUUGACAUGGGAAGCAAUCGUGAUGGGAUAUGGAUGUGGACUGAUAUGUGGAUUGUCAUCUGCGUACAUUGUUCUCAAACUAGGAAAGCCUUGGUGGUUUGUGAGAUAUAUCGAAGUACUGCAACUGAAGUUGAUGAAAAGAUAUGCAUGAAGAAAGGUACUGGUAGAUCAAGAUGAACUUGAAAGUUGUUGUCCUGGUAGACAUUUCUGAACCAGUAGUAUACUAGCUGUGUAAGUAUUUGGUAUUAUGUAAUAAUCCGUUUGGUCGGGACUCAAAAUGAUUUCUCUUGCUUCAGGGGUAUUAAUAUUAACCUUGCUAUCUUGAUCAAUGUUAAUGCAAAUUAAAAAGAAUAUAAAAGCAAAAAAUUUGCAUCAAACACCUGUUGUACCACAGGCUUCCGACUCAAUAUUUGUUAGCCUCCCGUGCCCUGUGUGAAACCAUAAGCUUCUCUGGUGAAUAUCCAAAUCAUUCAGCUGGUUCUACUUUCAGCUCACCGCAGGAACAUCAUUCUGCAGGUACUCUCUUAUCUGUACUUUCUUAUAUUGUAUGCCAGAAAAUUUAAUAUCGACAAACUGCACAAUACACCUCGAUCUCAUAUUAUUGACAGGUGAGCUCCUCUCAUAAUGCUCACAGGCGAACUCCUGCAUAUACUUUGUGAUGUCAUUGAUGAUCGAUAGACUUGAAAAAAAAUUAUGACAAAGAUUCAUAAAAUAUCUACUUCCAUCCUAAUUCAGUAUUCAAUAUUAUGCAUUCCGUAUCAUCAUCCAAUCAAUUCUAAUAGUUCUUCUUUAAAUCAGGACAAAUAUUGUUAAAUACAUGGAUGAUGGUUGUCUUUCCGCGAACCAAUCAUGAAAUUACCUCUGUUUAAAUCCGUCGAAAAUAAGAAAAUUAAUAUCCCAAUCGAAUACACCCCGUGAGUUGUCAAACUCCUCGAAACAUAUUAAUCACUUUAGAAAAUUUCAACAAUCUUGACAGGUGAGCUUCCAACAACAAUUUGCAAUGUCACCUCCCUUUCGGUUCUUGUUUUGUCAAAUAAUAAAUUAAGUGGUGCACUUCCAAACUGUUUCGGGAAUCUUGCUGAUGGAUUGCUUUACAUUAAUCUUGCUAAUAAUCAGUUUCAAGGAACAAUACCAACUACUUUCUCCAGGAGUUGUCCGUUGACAUAUCUAAACAUGGAUAAUAAUGAGUUUGAAGGAUUGAUGCCCCCAUCUUUGGCGAACUGUAAGCACUUGAAAAUUCUUGAUAUAGGCAAUAAUAAAAUAGGUGGUACAUUUCCGUCAUGGAUUUAUGCACUUGGAGAGCUAGAAGUUCUUGUCUUGCGAUCAAAUAAACUCUAUGGUACAAUAAGUGGAAGGAGCAUAGAAGAUCCCUUCCCCAAGUUGCGGAUUGUGGAUCUGUCCAACAAUCAAUUCACAGGCCAUUUGCCAAUUCAAUACUUUAAGAAUAUGAAAUCAAAUGAUAAUUUGUAUCGUUAUCUGAAUUCCACAGGAGAAAUAUAUAUCUCUUAUGAAGCAGCAGUCUCAUUAACUGCGAAGGGAACAGAGUAUGAAGUAGCAAAUAACCUUCAUAUUUACACAGCCAUUGAUCUGUCGUGCAACAAAUUUCAGGGAGAAAUUCCAAAGGUUACCGGAGAGCUUAGAUAGCUUGCAUUGCUCAAUUUAUCGCAUAAUAGUCUAACGGGACCUAUCCCAUCAUUGCUGAGAAAUAUGAAAGAACUCCAAUCUUUAGAUUUGUCCUCAAAUCAACUGACAGGGGCCAUUCCACCUCAGUUAACUGCAUUGACAUUUCUAAAGGUCUUAAAUCUCUCGAAAAACCAUCUCAGUGGAGAGAUUCCUCAGGAAGGACAGUUCAGCACAUUCAACAAUGAUUCUUAUCUAGGAAACUCCGCGUUAUGUGGAUUACGUCUGACAAAGAAAUGUGCAAACACAGCAUCACCACCACAAGAAGUCGGAAAUGGUGAUGAAGAUGAUGCUGGUGAUGAAUUGACAUGGGAAGCAAUUGUGAUGGGAUAUGGAUGUGGACUGAUAUGUGGAUUAUCAUCUGCGUACCUUGUUUUCAAACUAGGAAAGCCUUGGUGGUUUGUGAGAUAUAUCGAAGUACUGCAACUGAAGUUGAUGAAAAGAUAUGCAUGAAGAAUGGUACUGGCCGAUCAAGACGAACUUGAAAGUUGGUCCUUGUGGACAUUUCAGCUGAACCAGUAGGUACUAUUCUCUUUGUGACUGCAUAAGUAUUUUGUAUUGUGUAAUGUUCUGUUUGGUCUUAAAUCAUAAUGAUUUUUCUUGCUUCAGGGGUAUUAAUAUAAAACUUGGUAUUGUGUACUAGCUGUAAUAUUCCGUUUAAUCAAUGUUAAUACCUGUAAUUUUAUGCUCCUGACUGCAUCAUGCAGCUCUCAUAUUAUCUUCAUAUGUGUAUUUAUUUGGAUAUUGAAGUUGCAUGGACAUAUGGAUAUGUGUUAACGGGGAUUGCUCCCAAGUCUUGGACGGACUCUUUCCAAGUCUUCCGAGAUCCUAUUGGUUCAAAUUAGUCCAAUUUGAACUGCCAUCAAAUGCAACUCUGUAGAUUCUGUCUCUGAGAUUAACCUUUCAGGACAUCAGCUCAAUGGUACACUUGCUGAAUUCAGUUUCGUUUAAUUUCCGAAUCUACAAAUUAAGCUACAAUAACUUCACUUGUCCAAUACCCCCAGACAUUGGAAAUUUAACAGAGCUGCAACACCUUGAUUUUAGCUCUAAUAAACUCACUGCUGCAAUUCCGGACCAGGUAAGCCAUCUUCAAACAUUGCGGACCUUAAACCUGUAGGAUAAUCAACUUGGAAGCUCCAAACUGGUCCGCUUUUUCCCCUAUGCCUUCUCUGACAAACCUCUGUCUCAAUAAUAAUAAUCUUUCGUCGAAAUUCCAAGACUUCAUAUUAAAUUGUGGUAACCUGACUUACUUUGAUCUUUCAUUAAAUAUGUUAACAGGUAAUUUGGUUCCUUCAUCAAUUUUUAGAAAUUUGUAUAAUCUUGAAUUCCUUUAUCUUUCUAGCAAUUAUUUUGAGGGGCCUUUCCCGCCANNNNNNNNNNNNNNNNNNNNNNNNNNNNNNNNNNNNNNNNNNNNNNNNNNNNNNNNNNNNNNNNNNNNNNNNNNNNNNNNNNNNNNNNNNNNNNNNNNNNNNNNNNNNNNNNNNNNNNNNNNNNNNNNNNNNNNNNNNNNNNNNNNNNNNNNNNNNNNNNNNNNNNNNNUUUCCCUAUCAUAUAAUAGAUUUUCAGGUUCUAUUUCCAUAUGAUAUAGGAAUGCUUCGUGUUUUGGAAUCCCUUUUUUUAGUAGUAGUUCUUUUAAUGGCCCACCUCCACCAAAUUUAUUUAAAUUUUCUAAAUUAAAAGUUUUUUCCCUAUCAUUAAUAACUUUUCGGGUUCUAUUCGAAAUGAAACAGGGAUGCUUCAUGAUUUAGAGUCCCUCUAUCUUAAUGAACAUUCUUUUAAGGGGCCGUUUCCACCAAAUAUAUUCAACCUUUCCAAAUUAAAAGUUCUUAAUUACCUCUCAAAUAAUUCCUUUUCAGGUUCAGUUCCUAGUGAUAUAAGUGUGCUUCGUGAUCUUGAGAUACUUAAUUUGUCCUCUAAUUCUUUUGAAGGAAUUAUCCCAUUGGAGCUUGGGUUCUUGAAUAACGUGAGCUAUUAUUAUAUCUUGAUUCCACUCAAUUGACUGGACCGCUUUUGAAGAACAUUUAUAAUCUCAGUAAUUUUUUGUGUUGGCUUGAAUGGAUCAUUCCAUUCCCUCCAAAACUCAUUCCGUUCAUGUCAACCAAACAGAGCAUCAAUUACUAGUUACUGGGAAAUGCAUUAGCCUAAAUGUUCCUGGUUCAUUGUUACCGGUAUUUCUUAACUGCUGUGAUUGCAAAUUCAGUUGCAGAUUGUUCAUAUAUAUCUAGAGAGACCUGACAUAACUUUAGCCUCUGAUAUACAGCUUCCUUUCACAGUUGUGCCUAUUCACCUAGACGCGUUUUUAACUGCAUAAUGUUGGGUCAACUUCCGACCAUUUAUUUUCUCAUUUGAAAUUAGUGUAUUAAAGUUCGACUUUAAGAAAAUAUAUAGUUUUGUUAAACAAAAAUUCCAAAAGGUUUGGUACGUUUUGAGCUGGGACUUUGAAAUUGUUUGUCGUUAAAGAUGAAGAUUCACUUUUUAAGUUAUAUUAAUCUGUAGUGGUAGACUGGUAGUUUUUCUUUAUUGCUACUUUCCUUGUGCGUUCUUUAUAUUGAUUUAUUAUUUAAUUCGUAAAGUGUUGCGAACUACAUUCCUGCAAAAGUAAAAUCAGUGGAAUUUGUUUGAUAGCAUGAUGAAUAUUUAAAGGGGUUAAUUAUCAAAUUGGUCACUGAAGUGACUUUAAUGUAUCAAGUUGGUCACUGAACUCAAAACGGUAUUAAGAUAGUCACUGAAGUGGACAUAAAUAUCAAACAGGUACCUUGAAAUAUAAGUUCAAGCAGUAAAGAUAUUAUUUAUAAAAUUUUACACAUUAUUUUUAAAUGUUACCACAACCAACUAAAAGGUUAUGACUUCUAGUAUUUAAAUUAAUAUAUUUAUUUUAUCAAGUUUAUUUAUUAUUUAUAUUUUAUUAUAUAGUUAUUUUCUUUGUUUUAAUUAAAAAUAAAUAAUAAAUAAACUUGAUAAUAUCUAAAUAUAUUAUCAUAAAUAUUAGAAUUCAUAACCUUUUACUUGGUCUAGGUAACAUUCAAAAAUAAUGUGUAAAACUUUAUAAAUAAUAUUAUCUUUAUAUUCUUUCCUUUUCUAUGUACCUAUGCUAAUUAUCUGAUUAUUAAAAUUAUAACAAAGCUUCAAGAUUUUUAACAGGUGAGCUUCCACUAAAAAUUUGCAAAGUCACUUCCCUUUCGCGUCUCAUUAUGUCAGAUAUUGGAAACAACAAAUAGGUGGUACAUUUCCGUCAUGGCUAUUUACUGUUGGAGAGCUAGAUGUCCUAGUUAGGGCGGUAAUUCGACUAAAGCAAACCGAGUUUUGAGCGGAGUCAAAUUCGAGCCAAGUUUAAUCGAGUCGAGCCGAGUCGGCUCAUUUAGCUAAUCGAGCCUAAAACUCUGGUCGAACUCGACUCGUUUAAUUUCGCGAGUCAAGUCGACCCAGCUCGUUUAGUUAAAUGAGCUGGUUUUAACGAGUCAAGCGAGUGAGCUCGUAUAAUUUUAACUUAAUCGAGUCUAAAUCUCUACCCGAACUAUUGGCUCGUGUAAUUUCACGAGUAGAAUCGAGCUGGCUCGUUUUAUUAAAGAAGCCGAAAUUUUUGCCCGAAUUUGGCUUGUUUAACAAGCCGAUCUUUCAUCAAAAUUUUCAAACAUUUCUGAAUAUGUAUUUUCAGAGAAUUUCUCCGGCACUCUUAAGGCCUAUAAUUAUUGCAACUCUCACGUUAUGGACCACUAUGUAUUUUACGAGCACGACGAAUCAUGUGGUCAUUAUGGACUCCCCAAGCCUUCGAGGACUCAUUCCAGGUCUUAGGAGGACCACUGCCUAGCUCACCCUCUCGGAGUGAUGUAAAUUAUUUUCCAGACACUAAAAAUAAGUAUUCAGAUUAAUCAUUACAAAAUUAAGGAUAUAAAAUCAGAAUAAAUCCUAAACUUUGAUGAUACAAAAAAAUUAUAAUUGUAAAUUAUACAAUCAAAUUAAAAUCGAAUUAACUUCUCUCACACUUAAAAUUUAUAGCGAUCAAAUCAAAAUCGAAUUAACUUUCCUAUUACUAAAAUUUAAUUACAAUAUUAUUAGAUAAAGAGAAUAUAUAAUAAUCAAGGGAAAAUAGAUUUUUUUUUGCCACUCAACUUAUUGUGUUUUAAGAAAUUUACCACCCAACUAAAUUUUUUUUCCUUUUGCUCACUAAUAUUAGGUUUGGAUUUGUUUUUAGCCACCAACUAAGGUUCGGAUUUGAUUACUAGCAUUAUGAUAAUUUUUUGUCACUAAACUUAUUGCGUCUUUAGAAACUAACCACUCAACUAAUUUUUUUUUUAUUUUACUCACUAAUGUUAGGUUCAGUUUUUUUUUUGUCACUGAAGUUAGGUUCGGAUUUGAUUAUUAGCAUUACAUUAAUUCUGUGUAGCAUUUUUAAAAUAUGGUAGUAGUCUGUGAUAUUUAGAUGAUUUGAUAUAUGUCUGUAUUUAUAUAUAUAGUAUUUUUUAUGUCCCCAAGGUCGUUUACCUUGGGUCAUAAGAAUUUUACACACAUUUUAUGACUUUUAAAAGAUGUAGUUUCAUAAAUAAUUUUAUUUUUUUCUUCCGAAUUAAAAUUCAGCGUUUGAAUUUUACACACAAAAAAAUCGCAAAAAUAAGUUAUGAAACUAUGUUUUAUAAGAGUCUUAAAAUACGUGUUAAACGGUAGAAAAAACUGUAAACUAAUGAAAGGUACAUAGGGAGUAAUAAUAACAUAAAAUGAUGCACAAUCAUCGAAUUAAGUUUUCCUCUCUCUCUAUAUAUUUAUUUUGAAAAUUAUAAUAAGAUAAAGUUAUUAAAAUUUAUGAUAUAAAUUUAAAAGAGAUCUUAGACUGAGUGGCAAAAAUUUAGUUGGAUGGUAAGUUUCUAAAAAUACAAUAAAUUGAGCGGGAACAAAAUCUAUUUUCCCAAUAAUCAAAGUGAUGAAAAAUUAAAGUCAUCUAAUAAGUCCAGAAAAAAUAUGACCAUUAGUAUUUUGGAAUAAUAUUCACGCAUUUAUAUACGAGAAUAUAUGGUCCACAAGUUAGUGCACAAUGUCCAAGAAUCUUUAUCAAAGUAACACGGCAAGCAUGCAGCAUAUAAAUAAGAGUGGGCAGUAUGGUAUUGCAUUCAUAACCCACUUGAGGAGAAAUAUGGCACACUUCCUAAAGCCUUCUCACCUUCUUCUCUUUGUUUUCUCUCUCUCGUUACUUCAAUCCAUUCUACCAACAAGACCAGAGGGAGAAGCUCUUGUGAAAUGGAAGAAUAGCCUAGCCCCUUCUUCUUUUCUCGAUUCUUGGUCACUCACCAAUCUCGAUGAUCUUUGUAACUGGACUGGCAUUACUUGUAACUCUGCAGGUUCAGUCUCUGAGAUUAACCUUUAUGAGAAACAACUUGAUGGAAUGCUGUCCGAGUUUGGCUUCACUUCAUUUCCGAAUCUCAACAAUCUCACCCUCGCAUACAACUUCUUCUCGGGUCCAAUUCCACCAGCCAUUGAGAAUUUAACACAGCUUCAAUAUCUUGAUUUAAGCAUCAAUAGUCUCGAUGGUCCCAUUCCGUUCCAGGUUAGCCAUCUUCAGAGGUUGCUCGUCUUAAACCUGUCACAGAAUGCAUUGCAAGCUCCAAAUUGGUCCAAAUUCUCCCCCAUGCCCUUUUUGUGCAUCCUCAACCUCAGUAGCAAUCCUCUUGCGUCGACAUUCCCAAAUUUCAUAUCCAAUUCUCAUGGCCUGACUCACCUCAGCCUUGAUCAAAACGAGUUUACAGGUGAUUUAGCGCGUGAAUCAAUAUUUGCCAAUCUGCAUAAUCUUGAAGUCCUCAGUCUUGUUGGCAAUUCUUUUGAGGGGGCCAUUUCCGCCAAAUAUAUUCAAGCUUUCCAAAUUAAAACGUCUUACCCUGUCAAGUAACAAAUUUUUAGGAUCAAUUCCCAAUGACAUAAGGUUGCUUUGUGAUCUUGAAUUCCUAUAUUUAGGAAACAAUUCUUUUGAAGGACCGCCUCCACCAAAUAUAUUCAAGCUUUCAAAAUUAAAACAUCUUGUUCUCUGGAGUAAUAAGUUUUCAGGUUCUGUUUCCAAUGAUAUAGGUUUGCUUUCUGCGCUUGAACUUCUGAAUCUUCACUCUAAUUUUUUUGAGGGGCCGCUUCCGCCAAAUGUAUUCAAGCUCUCUAAACUAAGGUUUCUUAACCUCUGGGGUAACAACUUUUCAGGUUCUGUUUCCAAUGAUAUAGGUUUGCUUCCUGAGCUAGAAAUCCUCAAUCUUCACUCUAAUUUUUUUGAGGGGCCGCUUCCGCCAAAUAUAUUCAAGCUCUCUAAACUAAGGUUUCUUAACCUCUGGGGUAACAACUUUUCAGGUUCUGUUUCCAAUGAUAUAGGUUUGCUUCCUGAGCUAGAAAUCCUCAAUCUUCACUCUAAUUUUUUUGAGGGGCCGCUUCCGCCAAAUGUAUUCAAGCUCUCUAAACUAAGGUUUCUUAACCUUUGGGGUAAUAACUUUUCAGGUUCUGUUUCCAAUGAUAUAGGUUUGCUUCCUGAGCUAGAAUUCCUCAAUCUUCACUCUAAUUUUUUUGAGGGGCCGCUUCCGCCAAAUGUAUUCAAGCUCUCUAAACUAAAGUUUCUUCAUCUUCGAGGUAAUAAGUUUUCAGGUUCUGUUUCCAAUGAUAUAGGUUUGCUUCCUGAGCUUGAAAUCCUCAAUCUUCGCUCUAAUUUUUUUGAGGGGCCGCUUCCGCCAAAUGUAUUCAAGCUCUCCAAACUAAGGUUUCUUUCCCUUAAGGAAAAUAAAUUUUCAGGUUCUGUUUCCAAUGAUAUAGGUUUCCUUUCUGAGCUUGAAUACCUAUAUCUUGACUAUAAUUUAUUUGAAGGAAGUAUUCCUAUUGGACUGGGACUCUUGACUAACCUCAGCUACUUAGAUCUAAGUUCCAAUAAUCUCAGUGGCUAUAUUCCAUCUGACAUUGGAAACCUGAAGCUACUAGUAUUUCUUGAUCUCAGUUCUAACCAAUUGACUGGACCGCUUUUAAAGAUCGUUUCUAAUCUCACAAAUCUUAUGAAUCUUGAUGUAAGUGAUAAUAGUCUUAGUGGAAAUAUUCAGAGUGACUUGUGGAAGAACUCUAUAUCCUUACGUUACAUUAAUUUUGCAAAUAAUUAUUUGUCUGGGAACAUUCCUAAGGAAUACAACGAUCAUCCAACUUUGGAAUACAUCAAUUUAAGUGGGAACCAUUUUACAGGUAUAUUUUUCUCUAUAUAUCUUUUCCUUUUCUCAUAUGUAACUAAGCUGGUAAUCUGAUUAUUGCAGUUUUACCAAAGUUUCAACAAUCUUGACAGGUGAGCUUCCAACAACAAUUUGCAAUGUCACUUCCCUUGCGGUUCUUGUUUUGUCAAAUAAUGGAUUAAGUGGAGCACUUCCAAAUUGUUUCGGGAAACUUGCUGAUAGAUUGCUUUCCAUUAAUCUUGCUAAUAAUCAGUUUCGAGGAACAAUACCAACUACUUUCUCCAGGAGUUGUCAGGUGAAAUAUCUAAACAUGGAUAAUAAUGAGUUUGAAAGAUUCUUGCCCCCGUCUUUGGCGAACUGUAAGCACUUGAAAAUUCUUGAUAUUGGCAAUAAUAAAAUAGGUGGUACAUUUCCGUCAUGGCUUUAUGUACUUGGAGAGAUAGAAGUCCUUGUCUUGCGAUCAAAUAAACUCUAUGGUACAAUAAGUGGAAGGAGCGUAAAAGAUCCCUUCCCCAAGUUGCGGAUUGUGGAUCUGUCCAACAAUCAAUUCACUGGUCAUUUGCCAAUUCAAUACUUUAAGAAUAUGAAAUCAACUGAUAAUUUGUAUCGUUAUCAGAAUUCCAAAGGAUAUCUAUCUUUCCAUCAUGAUGCAGCAGUCUCCUUAACUGUGAAGGGAACGGAGUAUGAGGUAGCAAAGAACCUUCAUAUUUACACAGCCAUUGAUCUGUCGUGCAACAAAUUUCAGGGACAAAUUCCAAACGUCACUGGAGAGCUUAGAUGGCUUGCAUUGCUCAAUUUAUCGCAUAAUAGUCUAACAGGACCUAUCCCAUCAUUGCUGAGAAAUAUGAAAGAACUCCAAUCUUUAGAUUUGUCUUCAAAUCAACUGACAGGGGCUAUUCCACCUCAGCUAACUGCAUUGACAUUUCUAGAGGUCUUGAACCUCUCGAAAAACCAUCUUAGUGGAGAGAUUCCUCAGAAAGGACAGUUCAGCACAUUUAACAAUGAUUCUUAUCUAGGAAACUCCGCGUUAUGUGGAUCACCUUUGACGAAGAAAUGUGCAAACACAGCAUCACCUCCACAAGAAGUUGUAAAUGGUGAUGAAGAUGAUGCUGGUGAUGAAAUGACAUGGGAAGCAAUCGUGAUGGGAUAUGGAUGUGGACUGAUAUGUGGAUUGUCAUCUGCGUACAUUGUUCUCAAACUAGGAAAGCCUUGGUGGUUUGUGAGAUAUAUCGAAGUACUGCAACUGAAGUUGAUGAAAAGAUAUGCAUGAAGAAUGGUACUGGCCGAUCAAGACGAACUUGAAAGUUGUUGUCCUUGUGGACAUUUCUGAACCAGUAGUGUACUAGCUACAUAAGUAUUUAGUAUUAUGUAAUAAUCCGUUUGGUCGGGACUCAUAAUGAUUUCUCUUGCUUCAGGGGUAUUAAUAUUAAACUUGCUAUCUUGAUGAAUGUUAAUGUAAAUUAAAAAGAAUAUAAAAUCAAAAAAUUUAAAUCAAACACCUGUUGUACCAAGAUCCAUUAAUUUGCUUUAGUCUCUUACAUAACAAUUUAAUAGCACACUUCCACACUGUUCACACGUGUAAUGUAUAAAAAUUCCAGUCUUCUUCGGAGGCCUACAGCUUCAACAACCUCUCAAAGAUGUAGCAGUUGCUUGACAGUGAUAGAUAUAUAUUAGAUAAACACUAUGCAAUAACCAAAGUGACAGAAAAAUCAAAGUCCGCUAAUAAAUUCAUAAAAAAUAUAAUAAUCAACAACAAGAAUCAUAGUCUUACAAGUUCAUAUAAAAUAUAGGAUCAUUAGUAUUCCACAUGUAUAUUUUCUUCUCUUUCUUUUCGAGUUUUCCUCUCCAGCACCAAAUCCAAAUUAAUAUACAAUGCCACACAUUCCAGUCUCAGCUUCAGCUCCCAGGCUAGCAUUGAUUUAGCCAAGCACGACAGUGGCCGCUCUUGGUCCUGCCUUCAAAUGUCUAACAAUAACAGUUGGAUACGUCGACAAAAAUAUUGUUCCUCAUCAUACUGAGGAGUUAUUGAAUUCGACAGUUUUACACAAAGAAGACAAUUCCAUGGACUAAUCUAUUAGUAACACGUAAGCUAUAAACACGUAGUCCACAUCUAUGCUACGAACAAUUCAUAUUGGUCUUCUAUCUGUGCAACAGUCUCCCGAAGAUAGGCCAAAAAUGUCAUCUGUGGUUCUUAUCUUUGUUAGCAAAGGAGAAUCUCCGAUGCCUAUACAACCUGAUUUUCUUACAGAAAGAAAUGCAAGUGAAACUAGGGUCGGAUACCAUGUUAAAUGAUCAAUUCUCCUAAAACUAGGUUCAGGAUGAUCAUGAUAUAUUCUAACAUCAAGAUUAGCAGGACUAAAAUGAAGAUUUAAAUGGAUUUUAAAAACAAGCUCCUACUGAAUAAAAAGAAUCAUUAAUUUUUCUGACUCAACAUAUGUUAGCCUCCCCUGGCCCUGGGUGAAACCAUAAGCUUCUCUGGUGCACAUCCAAAUCAUUCAGCUGGUUCUACUUUCAGCUCAGCACAGGAACAUCAUUCUGCAGGUACUCUUGUAUCUGUAGUUUCUUAUUAAUUUAUUAACAAAAUUUAGCUAUUAAAUAUUUUGAUAAAAUAUCUAUUUAUUAAAAUAUUUUUUUAUUUAAUUGGUCUGAUAAAAAUAUUAUUGAUAUAUAAAUUUUACCUUUUUUCUGAAACAAAUUAUAAUUUUUGCUUCAAGCUUUUGUAUGAUAAGUUGAGAAAUAUUAGUUUUCUUUAUCACCGUGAGAGUAGAUCCUCGUUCCACAAAAAUUUGUAACUGAAAAAUAAAAUAGAGCCCUAAAACUUUUCGAUAAAUAUGGACUAAACAAUUUUGAUGCUCAAGUCUCAAUAGGAUUUAUAAACGGUCAUGAUGAGUUUGAUUAUCAAUGACACCAAAAAAAUAUUAGAAUUAUAUUUAAGUUAUAAAUUUGUCAAUAAAUUGUGUGAUAAUCAUACUUUCCAAGUCUUCUUCAGAGGCCUCCUGCCUCAACAACCUUUCAAAGAUGUAGUAGUUGUUGCUCGAGAGGGACAAAUAUAUUAGGUAAAGACUAUGCAAUAAUCAACGUGACAGAAAAACCAAAGUCCUCUAAUAAAUUAAUAAAAAAUAUUAUAAUCAAUAUCAAGAAUCAUAUUAUCAUAGUCUUCUAAGUUCAUAUAAAAUAUAGAAUCAUUAGUAUAUAAAUAGAAGAGUGCAGAGUAAAGCCUUUCAUAAUCCAGUUGAGGAGAAAUAUGGCAUACUUUGUAAAGCCUUAUCACCUUCUUCUCUUUGUUUUCUUUCUCUCAUCACUUGAAUCCAUUCUUGCAACAACACGAGAAGGAGAAGCUCUUGUGAAAUGGAAGAAUAGCCUAGCCCCUUCUUCUUUUCUUGAUUCUUGGUCACUCACUCAUCUCGAUAAUCUUUGUAACUGGACUGGCAUUACUUGUAACUCUGCAGGUUCAGUCUCUGACAUUAACCUUUUCAACAAACAACUCACUGGAAAGCUUUUUGAGUUUGGUUUCACUUCAUUUCCAAAUCUCAACAAUCUCACCCUUGCAGAUAACUUCUUCUCUGGUCCAAUACCAUCAGCCAUUGGGAAUUUAACACAACUUCGGUAUCUUGAUUUGAGCAAUAAUUAUCUCAAUGGUUCCAUUCCGUACCAGGUUAGCCAUCUUUCAAGAUUACACAUCUUAAACCUGUCAGAGAAUGAACUGCAAGCUCCAAAUUGGUCCGAUUUCUCCCCCAUGCCUUGUUUGACCAUCCUCGACCUUUAUCAAAAUAAUCUUAUGUCGGAAUUUCCAGAAUUUAUAUCUAACUCGCGUAACCUGACAUACCUUGACCUUUCAUAUAACAAGUUCACAGGCGAUCUUGUGCGCGAAUCAGUAUUAACCAAUCUAGGUGAUCUUGAAACCCUCUAUCUUAAUGAAAAUUCUUUUAGGGGGCCAUUUCCACCAGACAUAUUCAAACUUUCCAAGUUGAGAGUUCUUGCCCUGUUCAAUAAUUUUUUUGAGGGGCCGCUUCCGUCAAAUAUAUUCAAGCUCUCUAAACUAAGAUUCCUUUUACUUUGGAGUAAUAAUUUUUCAGGUACUCUUUCGAAUGAAAUAGGUUUGCUUUCUGAGCUUGAAGACCUAGAUCUUCACUCCAAUUUUUUUGUGGGGCCGCUUCCGCCAAAUAUAUUCAAGCUGUCUAAACUAAGAACCCUUUUCCUCUGGGGUAAUAACUUCUCAGGUUCUAUUUCCAACGACAUAGGUUUGCUUUCUGAGCUUGAACACCUAUAUCUCGACUCCAAUUCUUUUGAGGGACCUUUUCCAACAAAUAUUUUCAAGCUUUCCAAAUUAAUACAACUUGGUCUCGCAAACAAUACAAAUUUAUUUGAAGGAAGUAUUCCUCCAGGACUGGGGCUCUUGACUAACCUAGAGGACUUGUCUCUUGCUUACAAUAAUCUUGGUGGCUAUAUUCCGUCUUCCUUUGGAAACCUAACACUACUAGUAUAUCUUAAUCUCGCUCGUAAUCAAUUGGUUGGAACACUAUCAAAGACCAUUUCUAAUCUCACAAAUCUGUGGUUUCUUGAUGUACAUCAUAAUAGUCUCUCUGGGAAUAUUCAGAGUGACUUCUGGAAAAACUCUACAUCACUGCUUUACAUUAAUUUGGCAGACAAUAAUUUUUCUGGGAACAUUCCUAAGGAAUAUAAUGUUCUUCCAAUCCUGGAUCACAUCAAUUUUAGGGGGAACAACUUUACAGGUAUUUUUAAUUCCAUAUUUUUUCCUUCUGUUGUAUUUAAUUAUGCUAACAACUACUGCCUCUGUUUUCAAAUACAUAUCGUUUGACUUUUUGGCACAAAACUCUAUAAUAAUUCUAACUAUAAGGUCAAUGAACUUAGAAAUAUAUGUCAAAAAGUCAAACGUCAUAUAUUUGAAAUUAGAGGGAGUAUGGCUUAAUGACCUUUUAGCCCUUAAAGUUUGGGUAGAAGUUCCGAUGCGGCGUCGAAGUUUAAAAACGUACCUUUCGACCCUCAAAGUAUCUUUGUCGUACCUUUUAACCCUUAUGGCGUAUACCGGUAUAUAACGGGUGGGCAAAGUUGACAUUUCACACGUGAGGGUUAAAUGGGGCAUUAAACAUUAAGGGUUAAAAGGAACAUUUAAUAUAUUUUAAUGUAUUAUUUAGGGAUUAAAAGGAACGAGAUGUAUACUUUAAGGGUUAAAAGGUACGCCCAAACUUCACCCCGAAUAUGAAUUGUCAAGUUUAUCCCCCGAUUUGUAUCGGUAUUUUUAAAAAGGGCUAAAAAGUACGACAAAGAUACUUUGAGGGUCGAAAUGUACGUUUUUAAACUUUGAGGCCGCAUCGGAACUUCCACCCAUUCUUCGAGGGCUAAAAGGUCAUUAAGCCGAGUAUAUAUUACAGUUUUACCAAAGUUUCAACAAUCAUGACAGGUGAGCUUCCACCAACAAUUUGCGAUGCAACUUCCCUUUCGAUUCUUGAUCUGUCAAAUAAUGGAUUAAGUGGUGCACUUCCACAUUGUUUGGGGAAUCUUGCUGAUAAAUUGAUUUCGAUUAAUCUUGCUAAUAAUCAGUUUCGAGGACCAAUACCAACAAAUUUCUCCAAGAGUUGUCGUCUGACGUAUCUUAACAUCUAUAACAAUCACUUUAAAGGAUUGGUUCCCCAGUCUUUGGCAAACUGUAAGCACUUGCAAAUUCUUGAUUUUGGAAAAAAUGAAAUAGGUGGAACAUUUCCGUCAUGGCUUUUUACUCUUGGAGAGCUAGAAGUCCUGGUCCUGCGAUCAAACAGAUUUUUCGGGAGAAUAACUAGAAGGAGCAUACCACACCCCUUUCCCAAGUUGCGGAUUUUGGAUCUAUCCAACAAUCAGUUCACCGGCUAUCUGCCAAUUUCAUACUUCAAGAAUAUGAAACCAAAUGAUAAUAAUUAUGAUUAUUUCAACAACACAAACGAAGCCUAUUACGUUUAUCAAGUUUCUAUCACAUUAAAUGUGAAAGGAAGCGAGCAUGAAGUGACAAAUAUUCUUUAUAUUUACACGGCCAUUGAUCUGUCGUGCAACAAAUUUGAAGGAAAAGUUCCAGACAUUACCGGAGAGCUUAGAUGGCUUGCAUUGCUAAAUUUAUCUCAUAAUAGUCUUUCGGGGCCUAUUCCAUCACAACUGGGAAAUAUGAAAGAGCUCCAGUCUCUAGAUUUGUCGUCAAAUCAAUUGACAGGUGUUAUUCCGGAUCAACUUACUAGUAUGACAUUUCUUGCUAGUUUGAACCUGUCAGAAAACCAUCUUUCUGGGAAAAUCCCUCGGAAAGGACAGUUCAGCACUUUUGGCGAAGAAUCUUACUUAGGUAACUCGGCCUUGUGUGGAGUUCCUUUGACAAAGAAAUGUAUAGACGAAGUGCCCCCUUCACAAGUUGGAAAUGGCGAUGAUGAAAAUGUUGAUGAAGAUGAUACCGUUGAUGAAUUCAAUUGGAAAGUGAUCCUGAUGGGAUAUGCAUGUGGAUCAAUAGGCGGAUUGUCUGCAGGAUACAUUGUCUUCACAGUUGGAAAGCCUUGGUGGUUUUUGAGGUACAUUGAGACACUGCAGCAGAAGUUGAUGUGAUGCGCAACUAGAAACAACCUUAUCUUAGAAUGAAUCUGAUCAAUGUUAGCAUAUACUGAACUUUUUUUUUUGUAAAUAUGAUUUCAAGUUCUCAUACUAAUACAAGAACCACUUGUUAAAUCUUGACCAUGCUAAGAGGAUGCUGAAUGCUGAUUUAACACUUUGCGAUGCAAAGCAGGGGCGCAUUAGUAUUUUAUAUGUGUUGAUAAUUUGCGCAAUGUUAACAGGGAUAGGUCUUCUUCUCUGCCAGAUCUUCGACAGACUCUUUCAAGGUCUUCUGAGGACCCAUCGGCUCGAAUUAGUCCAUCGUGAAUUAUGAUCUGAGAGCUAUCUGCACACUAUUUCCAGGUCUUCUGUCUCGUUAACUAUGAAAGGAAGAAAUCAUGAAGUGAAUAAAAUUCUUCAUAUUUACACAAUUGAUCUAUCAUGCAACAAAUUUUGAGGAGAAAUUUCAGAGGUUUCCGAAGAGCUUAAAUGGCUUGCAUUGCUCAAUCUAUCUCAUAAUGAUCUUACUAGACAUCUCCCCGUUGCUCGCCAUUAGAAAACAGGGAUUAUUCACUCGUCCGCCGCACCGCGAACUCAUUCUUAGGUGCUCGGAGGUUUUUGAGGAUUCUUGUUGAUUAUUAAUUUUGUGAUUUUGUUGAAUACUCUAUCACUUAAUAAUGUAAUAAUUGUGUUAUUAAAUAAUUAUAUUUUAAAUUGUUAAGGAUAUUGAACUAUUUGUUUGAUUAUUUGGUUUAAAUAUAAAUGUAACUCUUGAAAUACAUUUAUUAUAUAUAUAUUUAACAUGUUAAUAUUUACUGAAUCCCUCGCAUCCGAAUCCCGAUAUUUUUAAAUUUACGGAUUCUCGUAUUCAUGUACCGUGCACUACCAUACCUUCAACCACACUCAUACUUUCUAGCUGCUCGGAAAUAUGAAUCAAUCUUUAGAUUUGUCUUCAAAUCGAUUGACGGAGGCUAUUCCACACCAGUUAGGCAGUUAACUAGAUUGACAUUUCUAGAGGUCUUGAACUUCUCAGAGAAUAAUCUUACCGGGAAAAUACCGCAAAAAGGAAAAAUCAGCACUUUCGAGAAUAUAUGAGUCAGUGUGGUUCACCUGUCUAGACCAAAAAUGUCAUCUGAGAUUCUUAUGUUUUUUAGCUAUAUAUGAGUGGAAGAAAAUUGUCGAGUCGAGGUUAAUCGAAUAAGGCGAGCCGGCUCAUUUUAAUUUAAUUGAGACAAAACUUCUACGGAGUUCGACUCCUUUAAUUAAACGGCUAUGAAAUCUCAUUAAAGUCAGCCUUGUAUAUAAACUCAAGCCAGGUCGAGUUUUAUUGAACAAAUUUCAGCUCAAACCAGUCGCGAGCAGCCCAGCUCAAGUUCGAGGCCUGCUCAUCUGUCUUCGAGUCUUGGACGAGAUUUGAAUCAUCAACUCCUUCCAAAAAGAGUAUUACACUGACAAAAAUGCAGUAACAUGUUUAAUUUAAAAGUAUAUCAUCUGUUCCCGCAGUUUAAUUUUACCCAUAUUUUUGAGAUUCAUAUAAAUUAUAAUUCCAUAAUAUUUUUUCAAUCAUAUUGGUUUUGAAUAAAAAUAUAAAUAUCAAACUUUUAUUUUUAAAAAAAUUAUAAAAUUAUAUUUUAUAAGAGUCUCAAAUACGUGGGAAAGUGGGAGUAUUAAUUUCGCCCACUAAGUCACUGACAGGUUUGUUAAUUUGUUUCCAUUUGAAGGUGUACACUGCAUAUUUUCACCAGGGAUGGCAACAAGUCGAAUCAGUUCAGAUAUAUCAGAUAUCUCAAUCCAAAUCCAAAUUAUUUUUAAAAUCCAAAUCCAAUCGAGUUUCACAUAUCAAAUUCAAAUCCAAAUUCACGGGUUUCAGAUCGGGUUCAGGUUUGUUUGGGUUUAUCCAAAACCCGAAUCCAGAAAUGUAAGUAGUAUUGUAAAAAUAUUAUUUUUUAUUUUUUCACCCUUGAAUUUCAUUAUAUUUAAAACUAAACUACACACAUUCACACUUUAUCUAUCCAUAUUAUAAACACAAUUUAGUAUAUUUAAAAUUGAAAAAAAGUAUAUUAGUAUACUACAUACAUAUAUUUGGAUAUUUGGAAAUUUUUUCGGGUUUUGUGUUUGGAUCGAAUUUAGAUUUCGGGUCCGGUUUUGAUACGGAAUACUUAAUAUCUAAAUCCAAAUUCAAACUGGUUCGGGUCUAAAAAUUAAAUUCAAAUCCAAAUCCAAAAUAUCAUGUUCGUUAAAAUUCAUUCGGGUCGAGGUUGAGUAUCCAUUCGGAUCAGAUUUUUCUCUAACCAAUAAAUUUUGUAAAUGGUCUGCACAAACGCAGUUACCGGCCCAUUUCCGUAUGAAGCCCAUGAACAAUUAUUUGUUCUGUAUAUUUUUCAAUCAAACCAAACCCAAACGCUAACAGCAGAAUUAAUUAAAUUCCUUUCACAUGUGAUUUUGUAAUGGGCCUACAUUACAAAAAUACUGUAGGACUAUCCCACUAUCCCUGACCCUACAUGUUUUCUCAAUAAUUUUGAUAAAUAUAUUAAACAGAUAUUGAACUGUUACAAAAAUAUAACGUCUGUUUUUCAAAUAAGUAACGUACGGUUUCCGAGAGAUAAAGUUUGACUUAUAUUGACAAGAUAACGCUUGAAUUUAAUAUCUUUUUAAAAAAAACUAAUAUAAAAUCUAAAUUAAAUCUUCUUCUUAAAUGAGAAUCCAGAAAAAUCUCAAAAAUUCACAACUACAUCAAUAAAAUAUAAUAUCCAACAUUAAAUAAAAAUCUUUCAAUAUCCAUUUUUUGUGUAAUUUUCAACCAAUCUGCUCUAAUUAUUUCGUCACCUUUUAAAAUUUAAAAUUUUUAAAUACUCAAAACAAUUACCCUAACCGCCAACCACCUUAGAAUUAUAAAAUCUUAAAAUUAAAUGCUAAUAAGAUUAUCAGUGUUACUCACCUAAACCAAAACGGUUACAAAAUCUAACGGCAAUAUUAUAAACUUUUAAAAAUUAAAUUUUUAAUUAAUUUGGCAAGUGGUAUUCAUAUAGAACAAAACAGUUACAAAAUCAAACUGCAAAUUAUAAAAUCUUGAAAUUAUAUUUAAUACUGUAAGAUUUAGCAUGUGGGUCCCACACAAUCAGAAAAUAAUAUGAACACGAAAUCUUGCUCUAUUAAAUACACACACCUGUACAUACAUAUAUAAACACCCACCGCCUCUUCAACUUUCCAACAUCAAAACCCUCGUAAUUCAAUUGGGUUUCUGCUGUUAUUCUCCCCUCUCUCCUCUCUCUCGCCGAGAUUUUUAUAUGCAUACAUGCGUGGGUAUAUGUAUAUGUACACCCCCUUGGCAAAAACACAGACUAAACACUAAAAGAACCCACAGAAUCAUACCCAUGUUAUGGAUAUUAUCUGGGGUUUGUUGAAAUUGUUGUAGAAGGCCUAAAGAUUUGAUUUUGGAGUAGCCCAUUUGGUUCUUGAUUGAAUUUGGUUGUGUUUUGAGUGUGAAAAGGCAAGAUUUUAUGAUUCUUGAUGGAUGAAAGUGCUAUGUUUGGCUUGAAUGGAGAUAAUGANACAAAAUCUUGAAACGCUGUUUCUUGAUGGUAAUUCUUUUGAGGGGACGUUUCCACCGAAUAUAUUCAGGCUUUCUAAAUUAAAACACCUUUCCCUAUCUGCUAAUAAGUUUUCAGGUUCUGUGCCGGAUGACAAGUUGGUGUCGAAAGUGAGAAUGUUGCGGUAGGGGGUGAUUCGGAUGAGCUUGUUGUUGUUGGGGAGACAGGGCAGGUAUAAUGCUGCAUUUGUUGUUUUUGUCGAUAUUAUGUGUUGCUUUUGUGUUUUUUGUUAUGUUUUCAUAUGUUUAGUCCGUUAUUUUUUGGAGAAUUAAGUAGUCUGAUGAAUGUUGAUUAAUCCAAUAUAUAAGCUGGGCGUUUUUGUUUAAUGUGCUUAUUAUGAUUAUAUUAUUUUGUUUGAUAAUUGAAUUGUGUUUAGAUUGUUAAUCCAAAGCCAAGGUCAAAAGACGUAAGGUAACAUUGAUGUUAAUUGAUAAAACUAACCUCAGAAAGUAGAUUGUUUGAGGCAAUAGAGAGUGUGAGCCUCUAUCAUGACAAUUUAAGAAGUUUAUAGUUGAGUCGUUGACUGCAUUACUAUCAAAUGCAUAGGGGUAUGGAAAUGAAAACGGUUAAUAACAUAUGGGCAUUUAACCUAAUAAUUUGACAACUCGACACUCGGACUUGUAUAUGUAAGUUGUAGUAGAUGCAUACGGUGUUUUAGUAGUUUAUUUGUGUACAAAUUAUUUCAUUGGGUAUUAUUUGAAGUGAAUAGUAUAUUGGAUUCAUGCAUGUUCAGACUUUAAUAUCAACAUCUUUCAGAUUUUUCUGGAUAAUGGUUAAUAAAUUCUUUGUUUAAUAAUGACCGCUUCACUUAAUGUCAUUUCUCUUCUUUCUUUUUUUAAUUAUCGGAGUGGAUAUUUAUUUAAUUUUUUCUGAUUUAUGUUGCAACUUCCAAUAUAAUUUGUUUGGGUGCUAUACUUUGAUGGAUUAUAGGUCGCAUGUCGAGACUAUCCUCACCCACGAGAUCUUUGUGCUAAACUUCCCUUUACAUCUACUCCUCAUGAANUGCUAAACCAGGUAAUAAUAUUUUUUCUCAGAAUUAAUUAUUACACCUCUUUUCAGUGCCGAACGUUCUGCGUAUCUUAUUUGACCAUUGUCUGUUGCAGUGUCACUGUUAUGUUUGUGAUGCACCGGCUCCAUGUCUCAAAUGGGGAACUGGCAUAUCUGUCAGUGACCAUUGUCAUGCCACUGGGAAGGUGGAAUUCUGGAAUCAACAAAGCCUAAAUUUUUUGAAAAGGCUUUAAAAAAUUUGGAAUUUUUUAAAAAAAUGAAAAAUGUAAAAAUUAAAAAAAUCUAAAAAUAUCUGGAAAUUCAAAAAAUAUACCUAAAUUUUUGAAAUUAAAAAAUUUUAGAAUUUUUCCAAAUUUUCAGAUUUUUUCAAAGUUUUAAAUUUAUUUUCAAAAUUUUUAGAUUUUUUCGAUGUUUUUUCAUAUUUUUUAAAGUAUUUUAAAAAAAUUCAACUUUAUUAAAAAAUCGAUAUUUAUAUUUUUCUCAAAGUUUUUUUUAUUUUUUUUAAAGGAUUCUGUUAAAGGCAGCUGAUAUUUAACGUCGCAGUGACCUAUUUGCAAACUUUUAUUAGUUCAGUGAGUUGACUGCAACUUAAAUCGAGUUCUGUGAUCCGUUUGCAAACUUUUUAAGUUCAGUGACUUAACUGCAAGUUGGCCAUGAGUUCAAUGAUCUUUUCGCCUAUUAACCCGGACUAAAUCUACUAAAAUGAUAAUUAUGGACUCACAAUGUAUAUUUUUAAUUUAUAUGUUUAGUUAAAAAUUGGUUAAUUUGACUUUCGAAAAUCAAAAUGAACAUGUAAAAGGAGAUCGUGGUAAUAAGCCCCUCAACGUGUGUAAAUGUUAAGUAAAAGGGAUAUGUUUAUUUUUAUUUUAAAAAAGAAUUAAAAAUAUUAUUUUACAAAUUAAAUUAUAAAAUACUCUCUAUAUUCCAAAUUAGUGAGUUCGUUAAUUUUAGGCACACUAAUUUAGAUGAUUUAACUGCAUAGCUAUAUAAUUUAUUUUUAAUAUUUUUAAAAAACAAUUAAAAAUAAUUUCACGAAUAACAGAUGAUCAUUAUCUUUUAAAUCACAUGCUGAAAAUCGGAUGUUGCCCUUAUCAUUAUCACAUUUUUAAGUAGUAAUGUCUCGAAAAUUAAAUAUUAGAUCCAAUAUGAUUUCAAAUAUCACUUUAUAAUAUUCUUUUUUGUCAUAAUAUCACUUAAUAAUGUUAAAUGAGUGACGUUUAUAUUUUUUUUAAAGUGUUACACAAUGAGAAACUCUAAAAAAUAUAACGGUAGAUAAUGUAGUAUCAUAUCAAAACAUUACUUUAUCUAACCAGAACAUAAUAUUCCAAGGACAAUUUAACUUUUUUUAUAAUAUUCAGAACCUUCUUUUUUUUUUUUGAAUAAAAGACAAAUUUCAUUAAUACGAAAUGUCAUACAGAAAAAUCUCCAACAAUACAUCUCGAGGAGACAUAAACACUUUUUGACAAUUUAAAGAACAGGAUAAUUUAGCUACUAGAUGAGCUACUCCAUUCGCUUGUCGUUUAACAAAUGAAACUGAAUAACAUGGCUUCGAAUUUAAAAUAAGCUUGCAGGCAUUCAAGAUGUGACCAACUUCUAAAAGAUUUUCCUGAGAGUCAUGCAAGGCUUUAAUGGCCAGGAGAGAGUCUGAUUCAAUUUCCACCACCUCAUGAUUUAAUGAGCACAACCACGGGAGACCUUCAAAAGAGAAAAGGCCCCCAGUAACCUUUUUUUAGUGUCAAAUGCCCUAGUUGUCAUUAUAAUAAAAAAUGGCCCUCAUUAUCACUCUAUAACACUACUUAAACUCACGUUCUGUUUUUCCAUCAUAAACGGCACACGCAACAGUGUUUCCAGGUUUAAUACUUUUUAAAAAAAGUCUAACGUAACAUGAAGUUACGUUCACUGAUCUGAGUUUUUUUUUCAUAUUACUCACAUCUUGCUUAUUUCCAUAUAGAAAGAAAUUCACUCACUAGUCAACGUUAUAACAAAUUAUAAUAAUAUUUAACCAGUGCACCCCAAAGGGUAGCGGCUGCGGUUUCCUACGUUAAAAAGAAUAUUUAAGCGUUCAUACAUGGGGUUUAGAAAAAUUUGUUUAUAAUUGUAAAUUAAUUUUCUGAACGUUAGGGUUUAGGAUUGAGGGUGUAGGGCCGGUAGGCCCUACUCCCUCGAGCCUAAAACCUAAUUAAUGCGAGGCUGAAGGGCCGAAGGCCCUGAAGCCGAGAAAUCGGCAGAAUAAAUAAAUUUACAAUCGUUAACAUUUAGGGUUUAGAUUUGGGUUGCAGAAUGAUUAAUUCAUACUGUAAAUUAAUUGGCCGAACGUUAGGGUUUAGGAUUGAGGGUGUAGGGCCGGUAGGCCCUACUCCCUCGAGCCUAAACCCUAAUUAAUGCGAGGCUGAAGGGCCGAAGGCGAGAAACCGGCGGAAUAAAAAAAUUUACAAUCGUUAACAUUUAGGGUUUAGGUUUGGGUUGCCAUAAUGAUUAAUUCGUACUGUAAAUUAAUUGGCUAAACGCUAGGUUUUAGGAUUGAGGGUGUAGGGCCGGUAGACCCUCCUCCCUCGAGCCUAAACCCUAAUUAAUGCGAGGCUGAAGGGCCGAAGGCGAGAAACCGGCGGAAUAAAUAAAUUUACAAUCGUUAACAUUUAGGUUUAGGUUUGGGUUGCCAUAAUGAUUAAUUCGUACUGUAAAUUAAUUGGCCAAACGCUAGGUUUUAGGAUUGAGGGUGUAGGGCCGGUAGACCCUACUCCCUCGAGCCUAAACCAUAAUUAAUGCGAGGCUGAAGGACCUUCAAGCCCUAAACGCUCGAGCCUAAACCCUAAUUAACUCGAGGCUCUAGGGCCGUGAGACCCUAAAGCCGAGGAACCGGAAUUAAAAUAUAAAACAAAAUUUUAAAUGGCGUUUAAAGUGGCGACAGAAUUGUAAGUUGGGUGUUAAGCUAGCAAACGACAUUAAGUUACGUUUUAGAUUUUUAGGUUAUUAAAAAAUAAAAAAAAAAAUCAAGAACGUCACAUGAAGGCACGUUUUACUUCUGAUAUCAAGAACGUCACAUGAAGGCACGUUUUACUUCUGAUAAACACACCAGCACGUGACUAAAGUCUCGUUUUCAUAUAUAACAGCAAUUGAAGUGACGUUUUGCUUUUUUUAGUUUAAAAUAAUAACCCCAUAACGUGACCAGGAGUCACGUUUUAGUAUAAAUCCUAAACGCUGCUUCAGAACAUGUUUUGGAGUGACACCCGGGGCCAUUUUACGGGAUUGUGACUUUAAGGUCCAUAUUGUUACUGAUGGUGACUCACAGGGCCAACACCCCCUUCAAAAAUAGCGCUUGCUUCGGCUUCAAGGACAGUAGCCACCAUGGCUUUACAUAUUGUUUUACCCAUCACAAAAACUCCCUCGCUGUCACGCAGAACCAAACCCAACGAGACCGAGGCCUCACCGAAACGCACACCUGCAUCAACAUUUAGUUUGAGAACUCCAUCCGUCAGCUUUUUCCACUUCACUCGAGAAGAAGAUGCGGAACUAGAAGUACUACCAACCUGAACAACACGCUUAGCUUUAGCCUCCUUCCAGUCAGAAAUAAUCUUAGCGCUCCAAUCCAUAGCUAUAGCAGCUGUAACAACCUUGUGAUCCCAAACCUUCUUGUUUCGAAAAAACCAAAUUCCCCAAAGAACUCGAGCAAUAUUAAAAGUUUCAUGAUCAGGACCUGAUUCAAACCUAGCAAGUAACCAAGAGGGGGCAAACUCCACCAGAGACAAAUCAAAGACCAUACCUGAGUAUUGCCAACAUAACAUUGCAAACUGGCAGGUGAAAAAUAUGUGAAUAAGGUCUUCGUCACCAGAGUUACACAUGGGACAGUCAAGAGAAAGAUUUACUCCCUUAGAUUGUAAUCGACUUUUCACAGGCACAUUAUUCCUGCAAAAACGCCAUAAAAACACUUUGAUCUUAAGAGGAACCUCCAACUGCCAGAGUUUCUUCCACCCACUAGAUUGUGUAACAGUGCCAGUGCCAAUAUUUUGGGCAUGUCAAAACUGGUAACCUGUUUUCACAGAAUUUUGGCUGUUAGUAGUCUUUGACCAAGCUAGACGAUCCACGGUCGACCUACAGGGAACAUAAGUUUUUAAAAAUUAUGUAAUUCAUUCAAUUCCGUAUCAGACAAUACAUCUUAUCAUCGGUGAUAAUGAAAAUAGUGUAGAUGUUUGACCUAGUCCCUGUUUGACAACCAAUAUAAUAAGAAAUAAAUUCUUAUUUUUCUAAAAAAUAUAUUUUUGUAUAUAAAUGUUAAAGAGAUAUUUCUUAUUUGUUGUUUGAAAAAAGUAAAGACUUAUUUCAGAAUAAAAAAAAAUUAUUGUACAUUCUCUUUAUUUCUGAAAAUAAGUUUGGUCAAAUCAUCCAUAAUUCACGUAAUUCAAAAGCCCAUUAAUUUUUUUUUUCUUGCUAAUUGAUCAGCACACGCACACGUUUCCAACUUCCCGCAAAGGGUACAGGAGUACCACCGGAGUACCAUCACACCGACGCUUUGUUGGGCCCAAUAAUUGGCUGAAGUUGAACGGGGCUUUCUGCCUCCGCUGGACCCCAGUUGGGAGGACUCUUUCCAAGUCUUUCGGAGCCUCUUUCCCAUUGACUCCAACUUUCCAGGGUGUAUACAAAUUUUUUGAAAGAGGGUGUAUACAAAUUAUUCACGGCCAUCAAAUCAACCAGCGUAGCUGGUGAACAAAUAUUAUUGUUUAUUAUAAUUUUAUUUAAUUUAAAUGUGAUUAUAAGAACAUAAGAGGACGUUUGAAAGUGUGGGUCUUAUUUCAAACAGUAGAUUUAAAAAAAUAUGAUUUCAAUUGUUAUUUAAAAUUCUUAAAUUUAUAUUAUAUUAAAAUGUUCUUAUUCUAAUUAAUGAGUCACUAUUCGUAUUCUCAAGCAUGUUAGUUUGUUAAAAUUUAAAAUUUCAAAUGAAAUUAGGCUAAAAGACCAUAAUAUCAAAGCAAAAUCUCAUUAUCCAAUAUAUUGGUGGGCAAAAAUAUUAAACCUGGCUAUUCAUUAAUAUUGGUUCUUUAUUCAAAUUAUGUCAAAUUUAUAUAAAAUUUCGAAAAUUAUUUAUGAAUAAGAGUCGGCAUUCAUAUAUUUAUUAAGGAUACAAGUGAGAAAAUGUUAUUAAAUUAAUAUUUUUUUAAUAUACGUAAGUUUUUUAAAAUAAAUUUGUAGCGUGGGACGGGAGUAUUAGACUGAUUCUGGCUUGGAGUGAAUCAGCCCAUAAAGUUUACAGGGUAGAUGACCAUUCUUAAAUCUUAAAGAAUCUUACGGUGACAGCUAACUGAACGACUCGGUUUCAGAAGUGCUGAAAAGUUUCGACGUAAACUACAAUUUGCCUAGCAUGUAAUUUCCAUGCAUUUUCUCGUUACUAGUGACAGAUAACUUUUUUGAUAUUUAUAUAUUUUUAAUUAUAAUAAAGAUACUAGUGAUUAUGGUUAGCUUUUGGAGUACUUUCGGAGUACUUGGAAAUUUUCUUUUCGAGAAAGACGAGAGUACCUAUUUCAAUUUUUUACCAAAAAUUAUAAUUGAAAACAACGGACUUUUAUACUUAUCAUAACAAUUUUUAACAUCUUGUUUAGAAAUAACCUGUUGUUGUAUUAUGCAAAAGUAAUAUCACUAGUUUCUAUAUUCGUAUUCUAAUGAUAAUAAAAACAUCUCUAAUUCAUUAAAACUCUUACAUAGAAAAUGAUAAAAAAAAAAAAGAAGAUAUAAAAUAAUUUAUUAAAAAUAUAUCAAAGNGAAGAUAUAAAAUAAUUUAUUAAAAAUAUAUCAAAGUUUUUGCACUCGGUUAUAAUUAUUGUGUAAUUUCUUUUUUCAAUUCCAAGAUAUUGUUAUAAGAAAAUUUUACAUCAUAUAUAUAUUACAAAAAAAAUUAAUGUAUUCUAUAUAUAUAUAUAUAUAUAUAUAUAUAUAUAUAUAUAUAUAUAUAUAUAUAUAUAUAUACAAUAAANNNNNNNNNNNNNNNNNNNNNNNNNNNNNNNNNNNNNNNNNNNNNNNNNNNNNNNNNNNNNNNNNNNNNNNNNNNNNNNNNNNNNNNNNNNNNNNNNNNNNNNNNNNNNNNNNNNNNNNNNNNNNNNNNNNNNNNNNNNNNNNNNNNNNNNNNNNNNNNNNNNNNNNNNNNNNNNNNNNNNNNNNNNNNNNNNNNNNNNNNNNNNNNNNNNNNNNNNNNNNNNNNNNNNNNNNNNNNNNNNNNNNNNNNNNNNNNNNNNNNNNNNNNNNNNNNNNNNNNNNNNNNNNNNNNNNNNNNNNNNNNNNNNNNNNNNNNNNNNNNNNNNNNNNNNNNNNNNNNNNNNNNNNNNNNNNNNNNNNNNNNNNNNNNNNNNNNNNNNNNNNNNNNNNNNNNNNNNNNNNNNNNNNNNNNNNNNNNNNNNNNNNNNNNNNNNNNNNNNNNNNNNNNNNNNNNNNNNNNNNNNNNNNNNNNNNNNNNNNNNNNNNNNNNNNNNNNNNNNNNNNNNNNNNNNNNNNNNNNNNNNNNNNNNNNNNNNNNNNNNNNNNNNNNNNNNNNNNNNNNNNNNNNNNNNNNNNNNNNNNNNNNNNNNNNNNNNNNNNNNNNNNNNNNNNNNNNNNNNNNNNNNNNNNNNNNNNNNNNNNNNNNNNNNNNNNNNNNNNNNNNNNNNNNNNNNNNNNNNNNNNNNNNNNNNNNNNNNNNNNNNNNNNNNNNNNNNNNNNNNNNNNNNNNNNNNNNNNNNNNNNNNNNNNNNNNNNNNNNNNNNNNNNNNNNNNNNNNNNNNNNNNNNNNNNNNNNNNNNNNNNNNNNNNNNNNNNNNNNNNNNNNNNNNNNNNNNNNNNNNNNNNNNNNNNNNNNNNNNNNNNNNNNNNNNNNNNNNNNNNNNNNNNNNNNNNNNNNNNNNNNNNNNNNNNNNNNNNNNNNNNNNNNNNNNNNNNNNNNNNNNNNNNNNNNNNNNNNNNNNNNNNNNNNNNNNNNNNNNNNNNNNNNNNNNNNNNNNNNNNNNNNNNNNNNNNNNNNNNNNNNNNNNNNNNNNNNNNNNNNNNNNNNNNNNNNNNNNNNNNNNNNNNNNNNNNNNNNNNNNNNNNNNNNNNNNNNNNNNNNNNNNNNNNNNNNNNNNNNNNNNNNNNNNNNNNNNNNNNNNNNNNNNNNNNNNNNNNNNNNNNNNNNNNNNNNNNNNNNNNNNNNNNNNNNNNNNNNNNNNNNNNNNNNNNNNNNNNNNNNNNNNNNNNNNNNNNNNNNNNNNNNNNNNNNNNNNNNNNNNNNNNNNNNNNNNNNNNNNNNNNNNNNNNNNNNNNNNNNNNNNNNNNNNNNNNNNNNNNNNNNNNNNNNNNNNNNNNNNNNNNNNNNNNNNNNNNNNNNNNNNNNNNNNNNNNNNNNNNNNNNNNNNNNNNNNNNNNNNNNNNNNNNNNNNNNNNNNNNNNNNNNNNNNNNNNNNNNNNNNNNNNNNNNNNNNNNNNNNNNNNNNNNNNNNNNNNNNNNNNNNNNNNNNNNNNNNNNNNNNNNNNNNNNNNNNNNNNNNNNNNNNNNNNNNNNNNNNNNNNNNNNNNNNNNNNNNNNNNNNNNNNNNNNNNNNNNNNNNNNNNNNNNNNNNNNNNNNNNNNNNNNNNNNNNNNNNNNNNNNNNNNNNNNNNNNNNNNNNNNNNNNNNNNNNNNNNNNNNNNNNNNNNNNNNNNNNNNNNNNNNNNNNNNNNNNNNNNNNNNNNNNNNNNNNNNNNNNNNNNNNNNNNNNNNNNNNNNNNNNNNNNNNNNNNNNNNNNNNNNNNNNNNNNNNNNNNNNNNNNNNNNNNNNNNNNNNNNNNNNNNNNNNNNNNNNNNNNNNNNNNNNNNNNNNNNNNNNNNNNNNNNNNNNNNNNNNNNNNNNNNNNNNNNNNNNNNNNNNNNNNNNNNNNNNNNNNNNNNNNNNNNNNNNNNNNNNNNNNNNNNNNNNNNNNNNNNNNNNNNNNNNNNNNNNNNNNNNNNNNNNNNNNNNNNNNNNNNNNNNNNNNNNNNNNNNNNNNNNNNNNNNNNNNNNNNNNNNNNNNNNNNNNNNNNNNNNNNNNNNNNNNNNNNNNNNNNNNNNNNNNNNNNNNNNNNNNNNNNNNNNNNNNNNNNNNNNNNNNNNNNNNNNNNNNNNNNNNNNNNNNNNNNNNNNNNNNNNNNNNNNNNNNNNNNNNNNNNNNNNNNNNNNNNNNNNNNNNNNNNNNNNNNNNNNNNNNNNNNNNNNNNNNNNNNNNNNNNNNNNNNNNNNNNNNNNNNNNNNNNNNNNNNNNNNNNNNNNNNNNNNNNNNNNNNNNNNNNNNNNNNNNNNNNNNNNNNNNNNNNNNNNNNNNNNNNNNNNNNNNNNNNNNNNNNNNNNNNNNNNNNNNNNNNNNNNNNNNNNNNNNNNNNNNNNNNNNNNNNNNNNNNNNNNNNNNNNNNNNNNNNNNNNNNNNNNNNNNNNNNNNNNNNNNNNNNNNNNNNNNNNNNNNNNNNNNNNNNNNNNNNNNNNNNNNNNNNNNNNNNNNNNNNNNNNNNNNNNNNNNNNNNNNNNNNNNNNNNNNNNNNNNNNNNNNNNNNNNNNNNNNNNNNNNNNNNNNNNNNNNNNNNNNNNNNNNNNNNNNNNNNNNNNNNNNNNNNNNNNNNNNNNNNNNNNNNNNNNNNNNNNNNNNNNNNNNNNNNNNNNNNNNNNNNNNNNNNNNNNNNNNNNNNNNNNNNNNNNNNNNNNNNNNNNNNNNNNNNNNNNNNNNNNNNNNNNNNNNNNNNNNNNNNNNNNNNNNNNNNNNNNNNNNNNNNNNNNNNNNNNNNNNNNNNNAAUCAUCUGACAGGGCCUAUCCCCCAAAAAGGACAGUUCAGCACAUUCAACAAGGAUUCUUACCUAGGUAACUUUGCCUUGUGUGGAUUACCUUUAACUAAUAACUGUACACACACUGUGUCACCACCACAAGAAGGCGGAACUGGUGACAAUGAUGCCUAUGAUGAACCCGAUUGGGAAGUGAUCCUCAUGGGAUAUGGAUGUGGACUAAUAUGCGGAUUGUCCACUGGGUACGUUGUCUUCACAUUCAGAAAGCCUCAGUGGUUUAUGAGAUACACUGAAAGCGUGCAACAGAAGUUGAUGAGAUGAUGCAUGUUGAGUACCGUUCAAUCAUGAAGCACAACUGGAAACAAUGUUAUCUUAGGAAAACAUGUGUUCUGAACCAGUAGUGUUUGCACAAAAUUUGUGGUGCUAUGUAAUACUUAUAUAAUUGUACGUAUGAUUAUUGAUUAGUCGUUGAGAAAAUGCAUUUUAUUUCAGUGUCAAUGAUAAUCUACAUGUUUUGGAUACUUCCAGCUUCUCAUACUAAUAUAGGAACCACUUGAAAAAUUUUGCGAUGCAAAGCAGGGACUCAUGAGUAUUUUCAUAUGUGUAUUAGUUUUGAAGAUAAAAGUUGUAUGGACAAUUGUGUUGAUAAUUUGCGCAAUGAUAACUGGGAUAGGUCAUCUUCUCUCCCAAGUCUUGGAUGGACUCUUUCCAAGUCUUCUGAGAACCCAUCAGCUCAGAUUAGUCCAUACAAUGUCAAGGGUCCUAUGAUAUGGUCUACUAACAGCCCAGUGUCGGUAAUAAAUCCAAUUGCAUAUAACCUAUUCAAAAUCAAUCCCCUAUAAACAAUCAUCUCUAAAAACUAUUCACAUAAAAUAAAAUUUUAAAAAUAUAAAAUAUCUAGUUGUUUUCAAUAUAUAAUUUUCCACAGUAGAUAACAAAAUAUCUUUAUCAAAUUAUAUUAUUUAUGGGUUCAAUAUUUAAGCUAUAAUUCCAAUAACACGGCAAGCAUGCAUGCAGCAUAUAAAUAGAAGUGUGCAGUAUGUAUGGUAUUCAUAACCCAGUUGAGGAGAAACAUGGCACACUUUGUAAAGCCUUCUCACCUUCUUCUCUUUGUUUUCUUUCUCUCAUCACUUGAGUCCAUUCUUGCAACAAGACGAGAGGGAGAGGGAGAAGCUCUUGUGAAAUGGAAGAAUAGCCUAGCCCCUUCUUCUUUUCUCGACUCUUGGUCACUCACCAAUCUCGAUAAUCUUUGUAACUGGACUGGCAUUACUUGUAACUCUGCAGGUUCAGUCACUGAGAUUAACCUUUUCGGAAAAAAACUUGAUGGAAGGCUGUCCGAGUUUGGUUUCACUUCAUUUCCAAAUCUCAACAAUCUCACCCUUGCAGAUAACUUCUUCUUGGGUCCAAUACCACCAGCCAUUGAGAAUUUAACACAGCUUCAGUAUCUUGAUUUAAGCUUUAAUUAUCUCGAUGGUCCCAUUCCGUUCCAGGUUAGCCAUCUUCAAAGGUUGCUUGUCUUAAACGUGUCACAGAAUGCAUUGCAUUCUCCAAAUUGGUCCAAUUUCUCAAACAGAUGAAAUUAUGCAACUGAAAUUGAUGUAGUCUUAAAGAAUUCUCAGGCACUUAAACAUGUUUCAAAGAAUUCUCAGGCACUUAAACAUUUGGACGGGUUCUUUGGAAGCCAAGAUGCCCAGGUUAUCAUGGCCAUGCACAAAAUGCAGUAUAAAAAAAAAAUGAAUACCUUAAGAGAGAUUGCUCUGGGUCUCCCCAAGCCUUCUAGACUCAUUCCAAGUCUUCUGAGGACCACUGCCUCGCGCUUUCAAAGAUGUGAUGGUAGCUCGGGAGUGAUAUAAAUUAUUUUCGGGACACUAAUAAUAAAUAAUCAGAUCAAAUUAAUCAUCAAUAAUAAAUUGAGGAUACGAAAUCAAAAUUAAUCCUAAAUUUUGAUAAUAUAUAAAAAUUACUUUACGUACACUGUUUGCACGCAUUUUGAGCUCGUAUAAAGUAUAGUUUCAUAACUUUUUUUAAAAAAUUUCUUUUUUGAUAAAAGUUUAAACGUCAAACUUUUAUUCAGAGAAAAAAAAUUAAAAAAUAUAUCACGGAACUAUACUUUAAAUUAGUAUGGAAAAACGUGCCAAAAUUAACGUAAAGAAAUGAGGGGAACAAAGAUAGUAUAAUUAUAUUAUAAAUUAAAAUUGAAAUAACUUACGUGGCACUGAAAUUGAUAAAGGCAAUAUGGUUAAAUUGAUGAAAAGUCAAAGUCCUCUAAUAAAUCCAUAAAGAAUAUAAUAAUCAAAACGACGAAAAUUAUAAAUGAAAAAUCAAAAUCAUCCUAAUAAGUACACAAAAAGAAUAUGAUCGUUAGUGUAUUGGAAUAGUGUGCACACACUUAUAUAUCAAAAUUUGUGGUCCAAAAGCUAUGGCACAAUAUUCUAAAUACACCACAUUAAGUAAUAGUUCAAAAAUAUUCAAUAUAUAAUUGUUUUCAUUCAUAAUUUUGUUAUUAUUUUAAAAAAUAAUUUGGUUGCUGUUAACCUAUAUUUCAAUUAUAUAAUUAUAUUAUUUUUUAUUUUAUGUAUCUAGAAACAAUAUUUUUGUAAUAUUUAUUACAUUAAUUAUAUUAAAAGAUAUAAUUUGUUAAAAACUUGAAUAAAAUUAAGAGGAUAACUUUAUGUCUCUCCAAGUUCACAGCACGGGUGAGCAUUGGGUUCGGAUAUCCAUAUACCGAAUGGAUAUAUCAAAUCAAAACUAAUCAUGAAUUAUGAUAAUAAUUAAAUAAAUUAUAAUUAAGCUAUAUGAAUCAACUCCAAAUGACAACAACAGCACCAAACCUUAGUUACUUUAAUAUUGGUAAAUAAAUAUAAUAUAAUAAUCAAAUUGAUGAAAAAUCACAUCAUCUAAUAAAUUCACAAAAAAUAUAUGAUCAUUAGUAUAUUAUAUUAGUAUCCACACACUUAUAUUUCAAAAUCUAUCCUCCAAAAUUAUCAUCUCUGUAAGCUAGCCACAUAAAAUAAAAAAUUUAAAGAUAUUAGAUAUUUAGUUAUUUUCAUUAUAUAAUUUUUCCACACGAAAUAACAAAAUAUCUUUAUCAAAUUAUUAUUUAUGAGUUAAAUAUUCAAGUUAUAAAUCCAGUAUUCAGCGUAUAAAUAGAAGUGUGCAGUAUGAUAUCAGAUUCACAUAACCCAGUUGAUGAGGAGAAACAUGGCAUACUCUGCAAAGCCUUCUCACCUUCUUCUCUUUGUUUUCUUUCUCUCAUCACUUGAAUCCAUUCUUGCAACAACACGAGAGGGAGAAGCUCUUGUGAAAUGGAAGAAUAGCCUAGCCCCUUCUUCUUUUCUCGAUUCUUGGUCCCUCACCAAUCUCGAAAAUCUUUGUAACUGGACUGGCAUUACUUGUAACUCUGCAGGUUCAGUCUCUGAGAUUAACCUCUGUGAGAAACAACUUGAUGGAAUGCUGUCCGACUUCGGUUUCACUUCAUUUCCAAAUCUCAAGAAUCUCACCCUCGCAUACAACUUCUUCUCGGGUCCAAUACCACCAGCCAUUCAGAACUUAACAAGGCUUCAAUGCCUUGAUUUAAGCUUUAAUUAUCUCAAUGGUCCUAUUCCGUUCCAGGUGAGCCAUCUUCAGAGCUUGCUCAUCUUGAACCUGUCACAGAAUGCAUUGCAAACUCCAAAUUGGUCCCAUUUCUCUCCCAUGCCUUUCUUGCGCAUCCUCAACCUCAGUUACAAUCCUCUUGCGUCGAAAUUCCCAGAUUUUAUAUCCAGUUCUCAUAGCCUGACUCACCUUAGCCUUAAUUAUAACGAGUUUACUGGUGAUUUAGUACGUGAAUCAGUAUUUGCCGAUCUGCAUAAUCUUGAAAAGCUCAGUCUUGUUGGCAAUUCUUUCGAGGGGCCAUUUCCGCCGGAUAUAUUCAGGCUUUCCAAAUUAAAACAUCUUAGCAUGUCAGAUAACAAACUUUCAGGUUCAAUUCCCAAUGACAUAAGGUUGCUUUGUGAUCUUGAAUACCUAUAUUUAGCCAACAAUUCCUUUGAAGGACCGCUUCCACCAAAUAUAUUCAAGUUUUCAAAAUUAAAACAUCUUGUUCUUUGGGGUAAUAAGUUUUCUGGUUCUGUUUCCAAUGAUAUAGGUUUGCUUUCUGAGCUUGAAACUCUCGAUCUUAGCUCUAAUUUUUUUGAGGGGCCGCUUCCGCCAAAUGUAUUCAAGCUCUCCAAACUAAAAGUUCUCACCCUGUCAAUUAACAAAUUUUUAGGUUCAAUUCCCAAUGACAUAAGGUUACUUUGUGAUCUUGAAUACCUAUAUUUAGGCAACAAUUCCUUUGAAGGACCGCUUCCACCAGGUAUAUUCAAGCUUUCAAAAUUAAAACAUCUUUUUCUUUGGGGUAAUAAGUUUUCAGGUUCUGUUUUCAAUGAUAUAUGUUUGCUUUCUGAGCUUGAAACCCUCGAUCUUAACUCUAAUUUUUUUGAGGGGCCGCUUCCGCCAAAUGUAUUCAAGCUCUCCAAACUAAAGAUUCUUUCCCUUUAUGUGAACAACUUUUCAGGUUUUAUUUCUAAGGAUAUAGGUUGGCUUUUUGAACUUGAAACCCUCUAUCUUGGCUCUAAUUUUUUUGAGGGGCCGCUUCCCCCACAUGUAUUUAGGCUCUCCAAAUUAAGAGAUUUGGACCUCUCAGACAAUAGAAAUUUAUUUGAAGGAAGUAUUCCUAUUGGACUGGGACUCUUGACUAACCUCAGGUACUUAGAUCUACAUUUCAGUAAUCUCAGUGGCUAUAUUCCAUCUGACAUUGGAAACCUGAAGCUACUAGUACUUCUUGAUCUCAGUUCUAAUAAAUUGACUGGACCGCUUUCAAAGAUCAUUUCUAAUCUCACAAAUCUUAUAUUUCUUGAUGUAAGUGAUAAUAGUCUUAGUGGAAAUAUUCAGAGUGACUUGUGGAAAUAUAACGAUCAUCCAACUUUGGAAUACAUCGAUUUAAGUGGGAACCAUUUUACGGGUAUAGUUUUUCUCUAUAGAUCUUUUCUUUUUCUCAUAUGUAACUAAGCUAGUAAUCUGAUUAUUGCAGUUUCACCAAAGUUUCAACAAUCUUGACAGGUGAGCUUCCAACAACAAUUUGCAAUGUCACUUCCCUUUUGGUUCUUGAUUUGUCAAAUAAUGAAUUAAGUGGUGCACUUCCAAACUGUUUCGGGAAUCUUGCUGAUAGAUUGCUUUUCAUUAAUCUUGCUAAUAAUCAGUUUCGAGGAACAAUACCAACUACUUUCUCCAGGAGUUGUCAGCUGACAUAUCUAAACAUGGAUAAUAAUGAGUUUGAAGGAUUGUUGCGCCCAUCUUUGGCGAACUGUAAGCACUUGAAAAUUCUUGAUAUUGGCAAUAAUAAAAUAGGUGGUACAUUUCCGUCAUGGCUUUAUGCACUUGGAGAGCUAGAAGUCCUUGUCUUGCGAUCAAAUAAACUCUAUGGUACAAUAAGUGGGAGGAGCAUAGAAAAUCCCUUCCCCAAGUUGCGGAUUGUGGAUCUGUCCAACAAUCAAUUCACUGGCCAUUUGCCAAUUCAAUACUUUAAGAAUAUGAAAUCAACUGAUAAUUUGUAUAGUUAUCAGAAUGACACAGGAGUUUUUUCUUUCCAUUAUGAAGCAUCUGUAUCAUUAACUGUGAAGGGAACAGAGUAUGAAGUGAAAAAUAUCCUUCAUAUUUACACAACCAUUGAUCUGUCCUGCAACAAGUUUCAAGGAGAAAUUCCUGACGUUAUUGGAGAGCUUAGAUGGCUUGCAUUGCUGAACUUAUCUCAUAAUAGUCUAACAGGACAUAUCCCAUCAUUGCUGAGAAAUAUGAAAGGACUCCAAUCUUUAGAUUUGUCUUCAAAUCAACUGACAGGGGCUAUUCCACCUCAGUUAACUGCAUUGACAUUUCUAGAGGUCUUGAACCUCUCGGGAAACCAUCUUAGUGGAGAGAUUCCUCAGAAAGGACAGUUCAGCACAUUCAACAAUGAUUCUUAUCUAGGAAACUCCGCGUUAUGUGGAUCACCUUUGACAAAGAAAUGUGUAAACACAGCAUCACCUCCACAGGAAGUCGGAAAUGGUGAUGAAGAUGAUGCUGGCGAUGAAUGGACAUGGGAAGCAAUCGUGAUGGGAUAUGGAUGUGGACUGAUAUGUGGAUUGUCGUCUGCGUACAUUGUUCUCAGACUAGGAAGGCCUUGGUGGUUUGUGAGAUAUAUCGAAGUACUGCAACUGAAGUUGAUGAAAAGAUAUGCAUGAAGAAAGGUACUGGUAGAUCAAGAUGAACUUGAAAGUUAUUUUCGUGGAUGACAUUUGUGAACCAGUACUGUACUAGCUGCUUAAGUAUUUGGUAUUAUGUAAUAAUCCGUUUGGUCGGGACUCAUAAUGAUAUUUCUUGCUUCAGGGGUAUUAAUAUAAACCUUGGUAUUGUGUACUAGCUGUCUGUUUGGUCGUGACUCAUAAUCUUUCAUGUAUUAACAUAAGGUUUUAAUACAUCCCGUACCAGGUUAGCCAUCUUCAGAUAUUACACAUCUUACUGCUGUCGCAUAAUGAAUUGCAAUCUCCAAAUUGGUCCAACUUCUCUUCCAUGCCCUUUUUGCGCAUCCUCGGCCUUGGCAGCAAUAAUCUGGUGUCAAAAUUCCCAGAAUUUAUAUCUGACUCUCAUAGCCUCACUUUCCUUGACCUUUCUUUUAACAAGUUUACAGGUGAUCUUGUGCUUGAAUCAAUUUUUACCGAUCUACAUAAUCUUGAAAACCUCCAUCUUGCUGGAAAUUCCUUUGAGGGGCCGAUUCCACCUAGAGUAUUUAAGCUUUCCAAUUUAAAAGUUCUUGAACUCACGGGUAAUAACUUUUCUCGUUCUAUUUCCAACGAUAUAGGUUUGCUUUCUGAACUUGAGACCCUCUAUCUUGACUUCAAUUUUUUUGAUGGACCAAUUCCCCCAAAUAUAUUCAACCUUUCCCAAUUAAAAAUUCUUGAACUAACAGAAAAUAACUUUUCUGGUCCUGUUUCCAAUGAUAUAAGUUUGCUUUCUGAGCUUGAAAACCUCAAUCUUGCCUUAAAUUCUUCUGAUGGGCCUUUUCCAUCAAAGAUAUUCAACCUAACCAAAUUGAGACAUCUAAAUCUCUAUGGCAAUAAGAAUUUAUUUAAAGGAAGUAUCCCACUGGAUAUCAGAAACCUGAAGCUCCUGGAAUCUAUUAAUCUCGGUUCUAAUCAAUUGGUUGGACCACUUUCAAUGCUCAUUUCUAAUCUCACUAAUCUUAAGAUGGUUGGGCUAAGCGAUAAUAGGUUUUUUGGCAAAAUUCCUAGUGACUUCUUGAAAAACUUGCCAUCCUUACACGUCAUUGAUCUUUCAAAUAAUAAUUUGUCCGGAAAUAUUCCCAGGGAGUAUAACGUGCAUCCAAUUUUAGAAUACAUCAAUUUAAGUGGAAACCAUCUUACAGGUUUACUUCUCCCUCAAUAUAUUUUAUUUUCCUUUUGUAUGUUACAUUGAUUACACUUUUACCGAAGCUCAAACAAUUUUAACAGGUGAGAUCCCAGCAACAAUUUGCAAUGCUACAAACCUUUAUAUUCUGGUUCUGUCAGAUAAUGGAUUAAGUGGUGCCCUUCCGCAUUGUUUGGGAAAUCUUGCAGAUAAAAUGCAUUGCAUUGAUCUCGCUAAUAAUCAGUUCCGAGGACCAAUACCAACAACCUUCUCAGAGAGUUGCCAGUUAAGAUAUCUAAACAUGUAUGACAAUCAGUUAGAAGGACUUUUGCCCCGAUCUUUGUCAAACUGUAAGCACUUGAAAAUUCUUGACAUCGGGAACAACAAAAUGGGCGGUACAUUUCCUUCAUGGCUAUUCACUCUCAGAGAGCUAGAAGUCCUAGUCUUGCAAUCAAAUAAACUGUAUGGUCCAGUAAGUGGAAGGAGCACACAUCACAUCCAUUCCCCAAGUUGCGGAUUCUAGAUCUCUCCAACAACCAAUUCACGGGCUAUUUGCCAAUUCAAUACUCUUUAAGAAUAUGAAACCAGCUGCUGAUAACAUUUGUCUUAGGAUGACACAUGUUCUAAACUAUGACAAUAGUAUGCAAUCUCGUUUAAUACUUUCAUAUUAUGAACUAGUUCUGUUGAAUAAAUAAAUAUUAUUAAUUAAUCAAUCAUGUGCGCUCGAGUUUCCCUGGCCAGAUGCCCAGAUUAUUAGAGCAUCUCCAGCAGAGUCUUAACCGGUUCUCUAAAUAUAUAAUAAAAUAUGUAUCUUUUAAGGGAUUACUACAUUUUAGUGAAUGAGAACUCCAACAACAUUCCCUAUUUACAUUCUCUAUUAUUAUUAUAAUAUUAUAUUCAACUUGUAAUAAGAGAGAGAAAGUUUGGAAAGAGUAAAAGUGAGAAAAAAUAAGUGAAUAUUUUAUUCUUCAGAAUAAUAUAAGGAAAGAAAAUGCCAAAACAAUUAACUAUAAUCUACGCAAUAAUUUUUUAUAUUGAUUAGACGUUAUCUUUAUCAAUAUUUAGUCAGAUAUUCGGAUAUAUAUCAUUCCCUUUGUUUUUAUACCAUCUUUUUUUUGACUUUCGGGCCAAAUCACUACGUGGGUUGACUGGAUAGUAGAAAUUAAUAUUUUUGUCUGUUUUUUAAAAUAAAAAUCUGUAUUUUUAUUUUGAUUUCGAAGAAUAUAAUCCAUAAGGUAAAUAAUUUUUAANNNNNNNNNNNNNNNNNNNNNNNNNNNNNNNNNNNNNNNNNNNNNNNNNNNNNNNNNNNNNNNNNNNNNNNNNNNNNNNNNNNNNNNNNNNNNNNNNNNNNNNNNNNNNNNNNNNNNNNNNNNNNNNNNNNNNNNNNNNNNNNNNNNNNNNNNNNNNNNNNNNNNNNNNNNNNNNNNNNNNNNNNNNNNNNNNNNNNNNNNNNNNNNNNNNNNNNNNNNNNNNNNNNNNNNNNNNNNNNNNNNNNNNNNNNNNNNNNNNNNNNNNNNNNNNNNNNNNNNNNNNNNNNNNNNNNNNNNNNNNNNNNNNNNNNNNNNNNNNNNNNNNNNNNNNNNNNNNNNNNNNNNNNNNNNNNNNNNNNNNNNNNNNNNNNNNNNNNNNNNNNNNNNNNNNNNNNNNNNNNNNNNNNNNNNNNNNNNNNNNNNNNNNNNNNNNNNNNNNNNNNNNNNNNNNNNNNNNNNNNNNNNNNNNNNNNNNNNNNNNNNNNNNNNNNNNNNNNNNNNNNNNNNNNNNNNNNNNNNNNNNNNNNNNNNNNNNNNNNNNNNNNNNNNNNNNNNNNNNNNNNNNNNNNNNNNNNNNNNNNNNNNNNNNNNNNNNNNNNNNNNNNNNNNNNNNNNNNNNNNNNNNNNNNNNNNNNNNNNNNNNNNNNNNNNNNNNNNNNNNNNNNNNNNNNNNNNNNNNNNNNNNNNNNNNNNNNNNNNNNNNNNNNNNNNNNNNNNNNNNNNNNNNNNNNNNNNNNNNNNNNNNNNNNNNNNNNNNNNNNNNNNNNNNNNNNNNNNNNNNNNNNNNNNNNNNNNNNNNNNNNNNNNNNNNNNNNNNNNNNNNNNNNNNNNNNNNNNNNNNNNNNNNNNNNNNNNNNNNNNNNNNNNNNNNNNNNNNNNNNNNNNNNNNNNNNNNNNNNNNNNNNNNNNNNNNNNNNNNNNNNNNNNNNNNNNNNNNNNNNNNNNNNNNNNNNNNNNNNNNNNNNNNNNNNNNNNNNNNNNNNNNNNNNNNNNNNNNNNNNNNNNNNNNNNNNNNNNNNNNNNNNNNNNNNNNNNNNNNNNNNNNNNNNNNNNNNNNNNNNNNNNNNNNNNNNNNNNNNNNNNNNNNNNNNNNNNNNNNNNNNNNNNNNNNNNNNNNNNNNNNNNNNNNNNNNNNNNNNNNNNNNNNNNNNNNNNNNNNNNNNNNNNNNNNNNNNNNNNNNNNNNNNNNNNNNNNNNNNNNNNNNNNNNNNNNNNNNNNNNNNNNNNNNNNNNNNNNNNNNNNNNNNNNNNNNNNNNNNNNNNNNNNNNNNNNNNNNNNNNNNNNNNNNNNNNNNNNNNNNNNNNNNNNNNNNNNNNNNNNNNNNNNNNNNNNNNNNNNNNNNNNNNNNNNNNNNNNNNNNNNNNNNNNNNNNNNNNNNNNNNNNNNNNNNNNNNNNNNNNNNNNNNNNNNNNNNNNNNNNNNNNNNNNNNNNNNNNNNNNNNNNNNNNNNNNNNNNNNNNNNNNNNNNNNNNNNNNNNNNNNNNNNNNNNNNNNNNNNNNNNNNNNNNNNNNNNNNNNNNNNNNNNNNNNNNNNNNNNNNNNNNNNNNNNNNNNNNNNNNNNNNNNNNNNNNNNNNNNNNNNNNNNNNNNNNNNNNNNNNNNNNNNNNNNNNNNNNNNNNNNNNNNNNNNNNNNNNNNNNNNNNNNNNNNNNNNNNNNNNNNNNNNNNNNNNNNNNNNNNNNNNNNNNNNNNNNNNNNNNNNNNNNNNNNNNNNNNNNNNNNNNNNNNNNNNNNNNNNNNNNNNNNNNNNNNNNNNNNNNNNNNNNNNNNNNNNNNNNNNNNNNNNNNNNNNNNNNNNNNNNNNNNNNNNNNNNNNNNNNNNNNNNNNNNNNNNNNNNNNNNNNNNNNNNNNNNNNNNNNNNNNNNNNNNNNNNNNNNNNNNNNNNNNNNNNNNNNNNNNNNNNNNNNNNNNNNNNNNNNNNNNNNNNNNNNNNNNNNNNNNNNNNNNNNNNNNNNNNNNNNNNNNNNNNNNNNNNNNNNNNNNNNNNNNNNNNNNNNNNNNNNNNNNNNNNNNNNNNNNNNNNNNNNNNNNNNNNNNNNNNNNNNNNNNNNNNNNNNNNNNNNNNNNNNNNNNNNNNNNNNNNNNNNNNNNNNNNNNNNNNNNNNNNNNNNNNNNNNNNNNNNNNNNNNNNNNNNNNNNNNNNNNNNNNNNNNNNNNNNNNNNNNNNNNNNNNNNAUAUACACUUCCAUUUCCACUUUCCAGUAUUAAGUUUAGAAUUAAGAUCUUAACAACAUAGCAAUCAUUUAAACCUCGAAGAAAAUUGUGCACAUUAACAAGACCAAAGAGAAAACAGAUAGCAUAAAAUUGUGUAACACGUAUAAUUUAAAUCCACUUCUCAGUAUACUCCACAUUCAAGGUGAUCUAACUGCUACAAUAUUCUAAUUUUCACAGCUACGACACUGAACAAUAUAAGAACCAGUUUACUGUAAGUUUACUGAACAUAUAUAUACGACAUUGAACAAUAUAAAAUAGCUAUCCUUUGUAAGACCAAAAACAAAGGACACUAGCUAGCUAAUUCAAUAUACAAAACCACUCCAAUCAGUUUAUGAUAAGCAACUACAAACAUACAAAUACAUAUAAACAUACAAAUACAUAUAAACAUACUAUCUCAUUUUCCAAAAACCACAACUACAAACUAUCUCAUUUUCCAAAAACACACACUGAAAUACAUAUAUACAUACACAUACAACCACAAGGAUACCCAAACUCAAGUAAUAAAUAAGAAAUUACCUCCUCCAACUCGAAGAGAGCUUGAAUAGACUUGAACAGAGCUUGAACAGACUCCGAGCUCGAACUCCCUACAAACUCGAACUGAAGUACGAGCACCCACUAAACCCACAAACUCCACACUCGAACUGAACUCUGAGAUCUGUUGAAAAAACGAAUUAAAGAAGCAAAUGAGUAUUGUAAUCGAACAAACAUCAGUUUAUUAGGUACAAAUCAACCUUUAUCGCACAAAUUUAAGGAUGAAAUCGGCCGAAUUGGAACCUAGGGUUCGCUCGCUGAGAAAGGGGGAAGAACGGGGAGAGAGAAUGUAUUUUGUACAAAUGAUUUAAUUUAGGUAGUUUUAUUAGUUUUAUGUCUUUUUCCUUUUAAUUUUAUGUUUAAAGACAGGUGUUGAUGUCUUGUUCAGACAACACAUCAACUAAGCAGCGGGGUUUUAAAGGCGGGGUUUUUUUGUUUGUGAAAAAUUUGGCUAAGUGGGGAAUAGAAGCGGGGAAGCGCGGCCAAUUUUUUAAAAACAUGUUUUAGACAUCGGUUCUACACUAAGAUGAUGUCUAGUUUUUUAAUAGACAUCGGUUUUUAAAAUUUCGAUGUAAAAAAGGGUUUUAACAUCGGUGGUUUUUUUAACCGAUGUCUAAUCUGUGAUGUCUGAUCCUGUUUUUCUAGUAGUGAUCACUGCAACAAAAUAUUAGUUACGACGGAACAAUGUCGCUGGACUUUAUUUGUUUACAUUUUUUUAAUAGUAGUUAAUUUUUAAACUUGCGACGGAAAACAUACGACAGUCUACUUCGCGAGAGAAAAUCAUUUUAUUUUAUUUUUUAGCGCCAGAAUUUUAAUACUAAACUACUAUAGGGCCGUUUGGGCUAGCUUAAAAAAAGUGAUUUUUUACUUACAGUAAAGAAGUGGAUUAAAAGUGAGAAGCAAAUAAGUCAAUAAAAUGUUUGGAAAAGAAGUAGAAGCUGUGAGAGAGAAGUUAGCAUUCUCAGCUUCUUAAAAGUGCUUCUGCUUAUUUACAUAAACGGGUAAAAAAAAAAAAGCAAAAGCCAGAAGCAGCUUCUACUUCUCGAAACAAACAGGGCCAAUAUAUAUGAAGGAAACUGAUCUCUAUUGUUUUCAGCUUGCUCAUCCAUGGUAAGUAAUCCGUCGAAAAAGUUAGUUUGUUGUCGUGGUGUCUUAUCAUGAGAGAAAAUGGUAAUAUCGCAAAAUAUUUGCAACUGAAAGAUAAAUUAUAGUUCUAGAAACCAUUUAGGUAACGAUGCGCGGAGUUAUUUUCACUCACUUAGAAUUAAUGAUAAAUAUUUGCAACUGAAAGAUACAUUAUAGUUCUAGAAAAGGAUCCACGGAAUUAUUUUCACUCACUUAGAAUUAAUCCUAAGUUAUUGUGAGUUUUUGAAUAUGGAUUAUCUCAAAUUUUAUUAAAACACAUAUCGAUUCAUAUAGACAAAUUUGCCUACCUAAUAUUAUAAUAUUUAUGGCGAAGUUGUAUGAACAAUUGUGUAGAUAAUUAUACUUUACAAAGCAUACUUCUGCUAGCUGAAUUUUGAUUAAAAAAUCGAAAGGGAUAGGUCUGGGUCUCUCCAAGUCUUUGAGGACUCAUUCCAAGUCUUCUGAUGAGGACAAAAUAUAUCGCUGGUAGUCUUUCAGUCCUUCCUAGAGUAUUUUAUGCUCUGCACUGCAUUUGUGUUGAUAAUUUGCGCAAUGUUGAUGAGGAUUGCUCCAAGUCUUGGCGGACUCUUUCCAAAUCUUCCGAGGACCUAUCGGUUCAAUUUAGCCCAUUAAAAAUUUUAUUAUCUCAAAGCUAUCUGCAAAAUAAUAUAUAAGGUAAAAAUGAAUAUAUACCAUUGUUUUGUGAUUAAGUUGUAUAGGCAAUAUGCAUUGCAAAAUCAGCAACAGGAUAUAUGAAUACUAAUUAAUUACCUGAUAUCAGUAUGAACAAAUACUUUCUAUGUAGUUGUAAUAUUAGUCUUCUUUAAAAGUUAUCAUGAGGGAAGGUAUAUAUUGUGAUGCGGGAGAAAUAUUGUCACUGAAAAUAAUUAUAAUUCUAAAAUUUCCAUUAUACACUUUUUUUAGUGUUUGUACGUGGUAAGUACUUCAGACGACAUUUCUCGCGUAUGCCUCCGAUUAAGAAUUUGAUGUUCAGCCUAGUCCUAAACUAAAAUUAUUAUAAAUGUGUACUUCAAAAUUAUAUAUAUUGCUGGUAGUCUUUCAGUUCUUCCUGGUGUAUGCAAUUGUUUCAUUCAAUACCAAUUAUUUUAUACUAUGCACUCUGAUAUCAUGUUGAGAACAAUCCAUCAAAAACUUUAAACCUUAAUUAAGGUGUUAGAGGAAAAUACCAAUUAGAUCUUAUGCUAUAUUUCAAUACUUCCAACACUCUGCGAUGCAAAGCAGGGACUCUUGAGUAUUUUCAUAUGUGUAUUAGUUUUGAAGAUAAAAGUUGUAUAGAGAAUUGUGUUGAUAAUUUGCGCAAUUGCGCAAUGAUAACUGGGAUAGGUCAUCUUCUCUCCCAAGUCUUGGAUGGAAUCUUUCCAAGUCUUCUGAGAACCCAUCAGCUCAGAUUAGUCCAUACAAUGUCAAGGGUCCUAUGAUAUGGUCUACUAACAGCCCAGUGUCGGUAAUAAAUCCAAUUGCAUAUAACCUAUUCAAAAUCAAUCCCCUAUAAACAAUCAUCUCUAAAAACUAUUCACAUAAAAUAAAAUUUUAAAAAUAUAAAAUAUCUAGUUGUUUUCAAUAUAUAAUUUUCCACAGUAGAUAACANNNNNNNNNNNNNNNNNNNNNNNNNNNNNNNNNNNNNNNNNNNNNNNNNNNNNNNNNNNNNNNNNNNNNNNNNNNNNNNNNNNNNNNNNNNNNNNNNNNNNNNNNNNNNNNNNNNNNNNNNNNNNNNNNNNNNNNNNNNNNNNNNNNNNNNNNNNNNNNNNNNNNNNNNNNNNNNNNNNNNNNNNNNNNNNNNNNNNNNNNNNNNNNNNNNNNNNNNNNNNNNNNNNNNNNNNNNNNNNNNNNNNNNNNNNNNNNNNNNNNNNNNNNNNNNNNNNNNNNNNNNNNNNNNNNNNNNNNNNNNNNNNNNNNNNNNNNNNNNNNNNNNNNNNNNNNNNNNNNNNNNNNNNNNNNNNNNNNNNNNNNNNNNNNNNNNNNNNNNNNNNNNNNNNNNNNNNNNNNNNNNNNNNNNNNNNNNNNNNNNNNNNNNNNNNNNNNNNNNNNNNNNNNNNNNNNNNNNNNNNNNNNNNNNNNNNNNNNNNNNNNNNNNNNNNNNNNNNNNNNNNNNNNNNNNNNNNNNNNNNNNNNNNNNNNNNNNNNNNNNNNNNNNNNNNNNNNNNNNNNNNNNNNNNNNNNNNNNNNNNNNNNNNNNNNNNNNNNNNNNNNNNNNNNNNNNNNNNNNNNNNNNNNNNNNNNNNNNNNNNNNNNNNNNNNNNNNNNNNNNNNNNNNNNNNNNNNNNNNNNNNNNNNNNNNNNNNNNNNNNNNNNNNNNNNNNNNNNNNNNNNNNNNNNNNNNNNNNNNNNNNNNNNNNNNNNNNNNNNNNNNNNNNNNNNNNNNNNNNNNNNNNNNNNNNNNNNNNNNNNNNNNNNNNNNNNNNNNNNNNNNNNNNNNNNNNNNNNNNNNNNNNNNNNNNNNNNNNNNNNNNNNNNNNNNNNNNNNNNNNNNNNNNNNNNNNNNNNNNNNNNNNNNNNNNNNNNNNNNNNNNNNNNNNNNNNNNNNNNNNNNNNNNNNNNNNNNNNNNNNNNNNUGUAUUAGUUUUGUAAGAUAAAAGUUGUAUGGACAAUUGUGUUGUAUAAUUUGCGCAAUGAUAACUGGGAUAGGUCAUCUUCUCUCCCAAGUCUUGGAUGGAAUCUUUCCAAGUCUUCUGAGAACCCAUCAGCUCAGAUUAGUCCAUACAAUGUCAAGGGUCCUAUGAUAUGGUCUACUAACAGCCCAGUGUCGGUAAUAAAUCCAAUUGCAUAUAACCUAUUCAAAAUCAAUCCCCUAUAAACAAUCAUCUCUAAAAACUAUUCACAUAAAAUAAAAUUUUAAAAAUAUAAAAUAUCUAGUUGUUUUCAAUAUAUAAUUUUCCACAGUAGAUAACAAAAUAUCUUUAUCAAAUUGUUAUUUAUGGGUUCAAUAUUUAAGCUAUAAUUCCAAUAACACGGCAAGCAUGCAGCGUAUAAAUAGAAGUGUGCAGUAUGUUAUCAGAUUCAUAACCCAGUUGAUCAGGAGAAACAUGGCAUACUCUGCAAAGCCUUCUCACCUUCUUCUCUUUGUUUUCUUUCUCUCAUCACUUGAAUCCAUUCUUGCAACAACACGAGAAGGAGAAGCUCUUGUGAAAUGGAAGAAUAGCCUAGCCCCUUCUUCUUUUCUCGAUUCUUGGUCCCUCACCAAUCUCGAAAAUCUUUGUAACUGGACUGGCAUUACUUGUAACUCUGCAGGUUCAGUCUCUGAGAUUAAUCUCUGUGAGAAACAACUUAAUGGAAUGCUGUCCGAGUUUGGUUUCACUUCAUUUCCAAAUCUCAACUAUCUCACACUCGCAGACAACUUCUUCUCCGGUCCAAUACCACCAGCCAUUGAGAAUUUAACACAGCUUCAAUAUCUUGAUUUGAGAAAUAAUUAUCUAGAUGGUCCCAUUCCGUUCCAGGUUAGCCAUCUUCAGAGCUUGCUCAUAUUAAACCUGUCACAGAAUGCAUUGCAAGCUACAAAUUGGUCCAAUUUCUCUCCCAUGCCUUUUUUGCGCAUCCUCAACCUCAGUAGCAAUCAUCUUGUAUCGAAAUUCCCAGAAUUUAUAUCCAAUUCUCAUAGCUUGGCUAUCCUUGACCUUUCACAUAACAACUUUACAGGUGAUCUUGUGCGUGAAUUUACCAAUCUACAAAAUCUUGAAACCCUCUGGCUUUAUUGUAAUUCUUUUGAGGGGCCAUUUCCGCCGGAUAUAUUCAGGCUCUCCAAAUUAAAACGUCUCUCCCUGUCAAGUAACAAAUUUUCAGGUUCAGUUCCCAAUGACAUAAGGUUGCUUUGUGAUCUUGAAUCCUUAAACUUAAGCAACAAUUCUUUUGAAGGACCGCUUCCACCAAAUUUAUUCAAGCUUUCGAAAUUAAAGAGUCUUUUUCUUUGGAGUAAUAAGUUUUCAGGUUCUAUUUCCAAUGAUAUAGGUUUGCUUUCUGAGCUUGAAUUUCUCAAUCUUUACGAUAAUUUUUUUGAGGGGCCGCUUCCAUGCAUCAAAUAUAUUCAAGCUCUCCAAAUUAAGGGUUCUUUACCUUAACGGUAAUAAACUUCUAGGUUCUCUUUCCAAUGAUAUAGGUUUGCUUUCUGAGCUUGAAACCCUCAAUCUUCGCUCUAAUUUUUUUGAGGCUCCGUUUCCGUCAAAUAUAUUCAAGCUUUCCAAAUUAACAAUUCUUGACCUCGCAUACAAUAGAAAUUUAUUUGAAGGAAGUUUUCCUAUUGGACUGGGACUCUUGACUAACCUCAGCUACUUAGAUCUAACUUCCACUAAUCUCAGUGGCUCAUCUGCCAUUGGAAACCUCAAGCUACUACUAUAUCUUGGUCUCAGUUAUAAUCAAUUGACUGGACCGCUUUCAAACAUUGUUUCUAAUCUAACAAAUCUUAUAUUUCUUGGUGUGGAUCAUAAUAGUCUUAGUGGAAAUAUUCCGAGUGACUGGUGGAAAGCCUCUGUAUCCUUACUUUACAUUGAUCUUGGAUAUAAUUAUUUGUCUGGGAACAUUCCUAAGGAAUAUAAAGAUCAUCCAACUUUGGAAUACAUCGAUUUAAGUGGGAACCAUUUUACAGGUAUUUUUUUCUCUAUAUAUCUUUUCCUUUUGUCACAUGUAACUAAGCUAGUAAUCUGAUUAUUGCAGUUUUACCUAAGUUUUAACAAUCUUGACAGGUGAGCUUCCAACAACAAUUUGCAAUGCUACCUCCCUUUCGGUUCUUGCUUUGUCAAAUAAUGGAUUAAGUGGUGCACUUCCAAACUGUAUUGCGAAUCUUGCUGAUGGAUUGCUUUACAUUAAUCUUGCUAAUAAUCAGUUUCGAGGAGCAAUACCAACUACUUCAUCCAAAAGUUGUCAGCUGACCUAUCUCAACAUGGAUAAUAAUGAGUUUGAAGGAUUGCUGCCCCCAUCUUUGGCGAACUGUAAGCACUUGAAGAUUCUUGAUAUUGGCAAUAAUAAAAUAGGUGGUACAUUUCCUUCAUGGCUUUAUGCACUUGGAGAGCUAGAAGUCCUUGUCUUGCGAUCAAAUAAACUCUAUGGUCCAAUAAGUGGGAGGAGCAUAGAAAAUCCCUUCCCCAAGUUGCGGAUUUUGGAUCUGUCCAACAAUCAAUUCUCAGGCCAUUUGCCAAUUCAAUACUUCAAGAAUAUGAAAUCAACUGAUAAAUUGUAUCGCUAUCAGAAUGCCACAACAUUAACGGGUUUCCAAUAUGAUGCAUCAGUCCCAUUAACUGUGAAGGGAACAGAGUAUGAAGUGAAAAAUAUCCUUCAUAUUUACACAGCCAUUGAUCUGUCCUGCAACAAGUUUCAAGGAGAAAUUCCUGACGUUAUUGGAGAGCUUAGAUGGCUUGCAUUGCUGAACUUAUCUCAUAAUAGUCUAACAGGACCUAUCCCAUCAUUGCUGAGAAAUAUGAAAGAACUCCAAUCUUUAGAUUUGUCGUCAAAUCAACUGACAGGGGCUAUUCCACCUCAGUUAACUGCACUGACAUUUCUAGAGGUCUUCAACCUCUCGGGAAACCAUCUUAGUGGAGAGAUUCCUCAGAAAGGACAGUUCAGCACAUUUAACAAUGAUUCUUAUCUAGGAAACUCCGCGUUAUGUGGAUCACCAUUGACGAAGAAAUGUGCAAACACAGCAUCACCUCCACAAGAAGUCGGAAAUGUUGAUGAAGAUGAUGCGGGUGAUGAAUUGACAUGGGAAGCAAUCUUGAUGGGAUAUGGAUGUGGACUGAUAUGUGGAUUGUCAUCUGCUUACAUUGUUCUCAAACUAGGAAAGCCUUGGUGGUUUGUGAGAUAUAUCGAAGUGCUGCAACUGAAGUUGAUGAAAAGAUAUGCAUGAAGAAUGGUACUGGCCGAUCAAGACGAACUUGAAAGUUGUUGGACAUUUCUGAACCAGUAGUGUACUAUUCUCUUUGUGGCUGCAUAAGUUUUUGGUAUUGUGUAAUAUUCUGUUUGGUCUUGAAUUUCAGGGGUAUUAAUAUAAACCUUGGUAUUGUGUAAUAUUCUGUUUGAUCAAUGUUUAUAUCAAUAAUUUUAUGCUCCUCACUGCAUCAUGCAGCUCUCAUAUUAUCUUCAUAUGUGUAUUAUUUGGAUAUCAAAGUUGCAGGGACAUAUGGAUAUGUGUUAACAGGGACUGCUCGGUCUUGGACGGACUCUUUCCAAGUCCUCUGGGGUCCUAUCGGUUCAAAUUAGUCUAUUAUCUGCAUACUAAUUUGUCCAACUCGGGCUUGAAUAGUAAAGAUAAAGAGUGCGAGUUGAGUUUCUCAAAGUAUGAGUACAAUAUCGUUUUUGAAUGAUAGUUAGGGGUGCGAUAUGCAAUUACCUCAAAAAUAUAUGAUCAUUAGUAUAUUAUAUUAGUAUCCACACACUUAUAUCUCAAAAUCUAUCCUCCAAAAUUAUCAUCUCUAUAGGCUAGCCACAUAAAAUAAAAAUUUAAAGAUAUUAGAUUUUUAGUUAUUUUCAUUAUAUAAUUUUUCCACGCAAAAUAACAAAAUAUCUUUAUCAACUUAUUAUUUAUGAGUUAAAUAUUCAAGUUAUAUAAUUCGGACAUGCUGGGUAUAAAUUGAAGUGUAACGCCUAAUUUCCGGGGUCUGGGAGUAGUUGGCGGGGUAUGAGAGAGCAGGCUAUUUAGAAGUCUUGGUCAUGAAAACUUCCAAGCUAAACUUCGACAACGGAAUCUUCUGAGGCUACUAUUCUAAAGCACGCAUAAUCAUUGUAUCCAUUUUCCGACAAAAAGUCUAUUUAAGCAAAUGAAAUACAAACAACUGAGUGGAAUGCUGACCGAAAGUCUUUUUGACUAAGCUUAUGAUUUAUUAGUACAUGAUUAAUAUGAUAAGCUAAGCUGAGAGCAUAAGAUAUCGUGUGUAUAAUUUUGUGUUUAUUAAUGACUUAUAAAUUAUUAAAAAUAUAAUAAGAAAAAUAAAAAUGAUUUAUAACUAAUUUAUGUUUUAUGAGUAAUUUUUAUUAGAAAAAAGUUUUAAAAAAUUAUUUCACUGGAAAAAAAACCUCCAACUAACUUUUGGCUCUAAGUCAGUUUUUGAUUUAUUUAUGACUUUAUGUCGGAUUCUGAUUUUUACACAAAAAUCUGGUUUUAAACCUCUGAGUUUGGUUUCACUUCAUAUACAAACCUCAACAAUUUCACCAUCAAACACAAUGACUUCUCCAAUCUCCGGUCCAGUACCACCAGCCAUUGAGAAUUUGGCACAACUUCAAUUCCAUACCAGGUUAGUCGUCUUCGGAGAUUACACGUCUUAGACCUGUCAAAUACAAAUUUCAAUCUCCAAACUGGUCCGAUUUAUCUUCUAUGCUUUUUGUUGAGUCCGGCUCAUCUAAAGCCUUAAGAUGUUAGAGGAAGCACCCAAUGAAUCUUAUAUAUGCUAUAUUUUAACAAUUCUGAGCACACUCAACCUUGGUAUUAAUAAUAUUGUGUCGAAAAUUCCAGAAUUUAUAUCUAAUUCUCAUAGCCUAACUUUCCUUGACCUUUCCAUAUAACAAAUUUACAGUUAAUCCUGUGCUUGAAUCAGUAUUUGCAACCAAAAUUAUGCAAUUAUAGUGCAGGUAGUCUUCCAGUUUACGCUCUACACUCCAGGAUAAGCUCGCAUAUAAUUGACAGCUAUAAUCCUUCCAACACUUUGUGAUGCAAAGCAGAGGGAUAGGUUGGCUUAAAAAUAUAUAAGGUCACUUAUGCAUCGCUCUUCACACACUUAGACCCUGUUUGUGUGGGCUUUAAGUCCCGGCUCAAGCUAUUUCGACUUAAUCACUUCCGAGACCAAUACCAACAAGUUAAGAUAUCUAAAUAUGUAUGACAAUCAGUUAGAAGGACUAUUGCCGGGCAACAACCUUCUCAAAGAGUUGCCAGUUAAGAUAUCUAAACAUGUAUGACAAUCAGUUAGAACUUUAGAAGGACUAUUGCCCCCAUCUUUGUCAAACUGUAAGCACUUAAAAAUUCUUGACAUCGGGAACAAUAAAAUGGGUGGUACAUUCCCUUCAUGGCUAUUUAAUCUCGGAGAGCUAGAAGUCCUAGUCUUGCGAUCAAAUAGACUGUACGGUCCUGUAAGUGGAAGGAGCACAUCACAUCCAUUCCCCAAGUUGCGGAUUCUAGAUCUCUCCAACAAACAAUUCGCGGGCUAUUUGCCAAUUCUAAACUUUAAGAAUAUGAAACCAGCUGCUGAUGAUAACGCGUAUAGUUAUAAAAAUAAGUCACAAGGACUAAUUAAUUACAUCUAUGAAGCAUCUAUCUCCUUAAAUGUGAAAGGAACAGAGUAUGAAGUGAAGAACAUUCUUCAUAUUUACACAGCCAUUGAUCUAUCGUGCAACAAAUUUCACGGAGAAGUUCCAAAGAGAGCUUAAAUGGCUUGCAUUGCUCAAUCUAUCUCAUAAUAGUCUUGCCGGACAUAUGUUCUGAAUUAUUAUUAUGCUUUCAUCAAUAUUUUCAAACAUUUCUCAAUAUGUAUUUUCAAAGAAUUCUCAAGCCCUGGAACAUUUGGACCGGUUCUUUGGAAGCCAAGAUACCCAGGUUAUCAUGGCCAUGCACAAAAAUGAAUAAAUUAUUCCAAGUCUUCCAUGACUCAUUCCAAGUCUUCGGAGGAGACCCUGAGCACAAAGAUGCUCAGGGUCUCCCCAAGCCUUCCAGGACUCAUUCCAAGUCUUCGGAGCACGGUCUCGCCUCGCCCUUUCAAAGAUGUGAUAGUAGCUCGAGAGUGAUAUAAAUUAUUUUCCCGACACUAAAAAUAAAUAAUCAGAUCAAAUUAAUCAAUAAUGUAUUAAGGAUGAAAUCCAAAUUAAUCCUAAAUUUUGAUAAUAUAUAAAAAUUAUAAUUAUAAAUUAUAUACCAAAUCAGAAUUGAAUUAAUUCCUUGGCACUAAAAUUGAUAAAGAAAGUAUAAUAAUUUAAAUUUAAUUGAUGAAAAGUCAAAGUCUUCUAAUAAAUCCAUAAAGAAUAUGAUAAUCAAAAUAAUGAAAAUUAUAAUUGAAAAAUCAAAAUCAUUAGUGUAUUGGAAUAGUGUUCACACACUUGUAUAUCAAAAUUUGUGGUCCAAAAACUAUAGCACAAUAUCCUAAAUACACCACAUUAAAUAUUAGUUCAAAAAUAUUUAGUAAAUAAUUGUUUUCAUUCAUCAUUUUGUUAUUUAAAAAACUAAUAAUUUGGGUUGAUGUUAACCUAUAUUUUAAUAUAUAAUUAUAUUAUUUUCGUCUUAUUUAUUUAACUAGAAACAAUAUUUUUAUCAUACAUCAAUUAUAUUAAAAGAUAUAAUUUUAUUAAAAAAAUUGAAUUAUUAUUUAUGAAUUCCAGCAUGAAGCGUAUAAAUAGAAGUGUGCAGUUGAUCAGAUUUAUAACCCAGUUGAUCAGGAGAAACAUGGCAUACUCUGCAAAGACUUCUCACCUUCUUCUCUUUGUUUUCUUUCUCUCAUCACUUGAAUCCAUUCUUUCAACAAGACGAGAGGGAGAAGCUCUUGUGAAGUGGAAGAAUAGCCUAGCCCCUUCUUCUUUUCUCGACUCUUGGUCACUCACCAAUCUCGAAAAUCUUUGUAACUGGACUGGCAUUACUUGUAACUCUGCAGGUUCAGUCUCUGAGAUUAACCUUUGUGAGAAACAACUUGAUGGAAUGCUGUCCGAGUUUGGUUUCACUUCAUUUCCAAAUCUAAACAGUCUCACCCUCGCAGACAACUUCUUCUCGGGUCCAAUACCACCAGCCAUUCAGAACUUAACAAGGCUUCAAUACCUUGAUUUAAGCUUGAAUUAUCUCAAUGGUACCAUGCCUUUCUUGCGCAUCCUCAACCUCAGUAGCAAUCCUCUUGCGUCGAAAUUCCCAGAUUUUAUAUCCAGUUCUCAAAGCCUGACUCACCUUGACCUUUCAUAUAACAUGUUUACCGGUGAUCUAGCAUGUGAACCAUUAUUUGCCAACCUGCAUAAUCUUGAAGUCCUCAGUCUCGUUGAAAAUUCUUUUGAGGGGCCAUUUCCACCGGAUAUAUUCAGGCUUUCCAAAUUAAAACAUCUUAGCCUGUCAGUUAACAAACUUUCAGGUUCAAUUCCCAAUGACAUAAGGUUGCUUUGUGAUCUUGAAUACCUAUAUUUAGCCAACAAUUCCUUUGAAGGACCACUUCCACCAAAUAUAUUCAAGCUUUCAAAAUUAAAACAUCUUGUUCUUUGGGGUAAUAAGUUUUCAGGUUCUGUUUCCAAUGAUAUAGGUUUGCUUUCGGCGCUUGAAGCCCUCGAUCUUUAUUCUAAUUUUUUUGAGGGGCCGCUUCCACCAAAUAUAUUCAAGCUCUCAAAACUAAGGAUUCUUUCCCUUGGGAACAAUAACUUUUCAGGUUCUGUCUCUAAUAAUAUAGGUUUGCUUCCUGAGCUUGAAACCCUAUGUCUUGACUCUAAUUUGUUUGAGGGGCCGCUUCCCCCACAUAUAUUCACGCUCUCUAAAUUAAGAUAUCUAGACCUCUCAAACAAUAGAAAUUUAUUUGAAAGAAGUAUUCCUAUUGGAUUGGGACUCUUGACUAACCUCAGGUACUUAGAUCUAUAUUCCAGUAAUCUCAGCGGCUAUAUUCCAUCUGACAUUGGAAACCUGAAGCUACUAGUAGGUCUUAAUCUCGGUUCUAAUAAAUUGACUGGACCAGUUUCAAAGAUCGUUUCUAAUCUCACAAAUCUUAUAUUUCUUAGUGUAAGAAAUAAUAGUCUUAGUGGAAAUAUUCAGAGUGACUUGUGGAACUUCCCUAAGGAAUAUAACAAUCAUCCAACUUUGGAAUACAUCGAUUUAAGUGGGAACCAUUUUACAGGUAUCUUUUCUCUAUAUAUCUUUUCCUUUUCUCAUAUGUAACUAAGCUAGUAAUCUGAUUAUUGCAGUUUUACCAAAGUUUCAACAAUCUUGACAGGUGAGCUUCCAACAACAAUUUGCAAUGUCACUUCCCUUUCGGUUCUUGAUUUGUCAAAUAAUGGAUUAAGUGGUGCACUUCCAAACUGUUUCGGGAAUCUUGCUGAUGGAUUGCUUUACCUUAAUCUUGCUAAUAAUCAGUUUCGAGGAACAAUACCAACUACUUUCUCCAGGAGUUGUCGGCUGAAAUAUCUAAACAUGGAUAAUAAUGAGUUUGAAGGAUUGAUGCCCCCAUCUUUGGCGAACUGUAAGAACUUGAGAAUUCUUGAUAUUGGCAACAAUAAAAUAGGUGGUACAUUUCCGUCAUGGCUUUAUGCACUUGGAGAGCUAGAAGUCCUUGUCUUGCGAUCAAAUAAACUCUAUGGUACAAUAAGUGGAAGGAGCAUAGAAGAUCCCUUCCCCAAGUUGCGGAUUGUGGAUCUGUCCAACAAUCAAUUCACAGGCCAUUUGCCAAUUCAAUACUUUAAGAAUAUGAAAUCAACUGAUAAUUUGUAUCGUUAUCAGAAUGACACAGGAGAUUUUAUUUUCCAUUAUGAAGCAUCUGUCUCAUUAACUGUGAAGGGAACAGAGUAUGAAGUGAAAAAUAUCCUUCAUAUUUACACAGCCAUUGAUCUGUCGUGCAACAAAUUUCAGGGAGAAAUUCCAAAGGUUACUGGAGAGCUUAGAUGGCUUGCAUUGCUCAACUUAUCUCAUAAUAGUCUUACUGGACCUCUCCCAUCACUGCUUGGAAAUAUGGAAGCACUCCAAUCUUUAGAUUUGUCUUCAAAUCAACUGACAGGGGCUAUUCCACCUCAGUUAACCGCAUUGACAUUUCUAGAAGUCUUAAACCUCUCGAGAAACCAUCUUAGUGGAGAGAUUCCUGAGAAAGGACAGUUCAGCACAUUCAACAAUGACUCUUAUCUAGAAAACUCUGCGUUAUGUGGAUCACCCUUGACGAAGAAAUGUGUAAACACUGCAUCACCCCCACAGGAAGUCGGAAAUGGUGAUGAAGAUGAUGCUGGUGAUGAGUUGACAUGGGAAGCAAUCGUGAUGGGAUAUGGAUGUGGACUGAUAUGUGGAUUGUCAUCUGCAUACAUUGUUCUCAAACUAGGAAGGCCUUGGUGGUUUGUGAGAUAUGUCGAAGUACUGCAACUGAAGUUGAUGAAAAGAUAUGCAUGAAGAAAGGUACUGGUCGAUCAAGACAAACUUGAAAGUUGUUGUCCUGGUAGACAUUUCUGAACCAGUAGUGUACUAGCUGCAUAAGUAUUUGGUAUUAUGUAAUAAUCCAUUUGGUCGGGACUCAUAAUGAUUUCUCUUGCUUCAGGGGUAUUAAUAUUAACCUUGCUAUCUUGAUCUGUGUUAAUGCAAAUGAAAAAGAAUGGAAAAACAAAAAAAUUGCAUCAAACCUGUUGUACCAAGAUCCAUUAAUCUGCUUUCAUCUCUUACGCAACAAUUUAACAGCACUUUCACACUGUUUGAAUGAUUAUCAUAAAUUCGAGUUUUCCUCGCCAGCACCAAAUCCAAAUAUACAAUCCCACACAUUCCAGUCUCAGCUUCAGCUCCCAGGCUAGCAUUGAUUUAGCCAAGCACGACAGUGGCCGCUUGUGUGCCUAACAAUGACAGUUGGGGAUUUGAUGGAACGUGCCUUGGUCCUGCCUUCAAAUGUCUAACAAUAACAGUUGGAUAUGUCGACAAAAAAAUUGUUCCUCACACUGAGGAAUAACUCUGACAGUUCUUUUCAUUGUGCCUUGGUCCAGUAAGUGGAAGGAGCACAUCACAUCCAUUCCCCAAGUUGCGGAUUCUAGAUCUCUCCAACAACCAAUUCACGGGCUAUUUGCCAAUUCAAUACUUUAAGAAUAUAUGAAACCAGCUGCUGAUAAAGCGUAUAGUUAUCAAAAUAAGUCACAAGGACUAAUUAAUUACAUAUAUGAAGCCUCUAUCUCCUUAAAUGUGAAAGGAACAGAGUAUGAAGUGAAAAACAUCUCUUUAUAUUAUAGCUCCUGAUGCGUGAUUUGUACAGUUACCACACUGCUUAAUUCUUCACCUCAAAGUUCCACCUUAUUACAAAAAUGCCACCGCUCUAUUAAGCGGCACCCACGUAAGCUCAUUGCCACCACGUGCUAUCUUCCUGCUGUCUUUUGUUUAUUUUAUUCACUAAACCGUACUUACCCGAAGCUUAUGUAACAAGCUUACAUUCUUUACAUUUUACUCAUUUCAAAAUUUAAAACCCAGCCUCCACGGCUCCCUUACAAAAGUAACCGGUUUGAACGUAAAGUUUUCAAAACUAACCAGCCUACGUUCAACUUUUCAAAACUAACCAGCCUAAAUCAAAAAAAGUCGGGCGACCCUUACCUGUUUUUUUCCCGAGCACCGGUCGCCCUCCUCAGGGGCGUCCCCCAUUGGAGUUCAUCAAGCACAGGUCGCCCUCCUCAGGGGCGUCCCCCCUUGAAGUUCUGUGACGUGGUCCGCCCAAUCACGGGCGACCACGUGUGACACUACCCCCUUAAAACCCCCUCCCAGCCACACAAACACACAAUUACACACACAUUUGCACACACUCAGUUUGAAAACAACACUGCAGCAGCCACAGCAAGGAGCCGAAAGGGGAGAUUUUGGUAAAGGAAGGAAGAAAAGUGGGAGAGGAUCGCCCGAGCUAGCAUCAAGGUCGCCCACCCUAGCAAAAAAUUUGAAGGUACUACCUUAUUCCUCCCCUAAAUAUUAGUAUAUAAAGCCUUGAUUUGUAAUUUAUUACUUGAUUAGUUUGUCUUGCAUGUUACAAAUAUCGAUUAUGUUCAUGAUUAUGGCUAAUUUAUAGACUAGUGUUAUAAUUACCGGCUUGAGAUUAGUGUUAUAAUUACCGGAUUGAGAUUUGGUACAUUAUGAUUUUUAAAUUUGUUAAAAAAUUUAAAGAUUUAUAAUAGAAAUUAAGGAUAAUUUAUAGAUUUGAUAUGUUGGAAUUUAAGAUUUUAUGCUUUUUAGAUUUUGUAGGUAGUAAUUAAAUUUAGUUGGAGAGAAAAAAUAUAAUAUAAUAUUCGAAUUAAAAAGAUAUUGAGAAUAUAAUAUUCGAAUUAAAAAAUAUUCGAAUUAAAAUAUAUUAAAAUAUAAUAUUCGAAUUAAAAAUAUAAUAUAAUAUUCGAAUUAAAAUAUAAUAUAAUAUAUAUUCGAAUUAAAAAAUAUUCGAAUUAAAAUAUAUUAAAAUAUAAUAUUCAAAUUAAAAAUAUAAUAUAAUAUUCGAAUUAAAAUAUAAUAUAAUAUAUAUUCGAAUUAAAAAAUAUUCGAAUUAAAAUAUAUUAAAAUAUAAUAUUCGAAUUAAAAAAUAAUAUAAAAUAUAUUGAGAAUUAAAAAAAUUAGAAAGCAAAUAAAAUAUUCGGAUAAAAAAGAUAUUAAUAGCUAAUAUUAAAAAAAAUCGAUUUAUAAUAAUAAAAAUUCGAAAAAAAGCAAAAUAAUCGAAUUAAAAUAAAAUUUUCGAACAUAUAUUAAUAAAAAUCUUAAUUAUAUUAAUAUAUAAUUCGAAUAUAUGAAAUUUCGAGAAUUAGAAUAUUUAUGAAAUUAAGAGAAUUAAAAUAAAUAGGAAAUUCGAACAAAAAUUAAUUUAAGGUACGCUCUCGAUUCUCUCUAAAUUAAUGUGUAUAUAUAUAUAAUGACUUGAUUUGGAUUAUUGUUGUUUUAUUAGCUUGAGUUGCAUGUUAUAAGAUCGGUUAGUUUAUUGAUUGUGGCUUGAGAUUUGUUAUAAUUGAAAUUAAGGCUAAUUUAUAGAUUUGAUAUGUUGGAAUUAAGGCUAAUUGAAAUUAAGGCUAAUUUAUAGAUUUGAUAUGUUGGAAUUAAGGCUAAUUGAAAUUAAGGCUAAUUUAUAGAUUUGAUAUGUUGGAAUUUAAGAUUUUGUGCAUGUUAGAUUUUGUAGGUAGUAAUUUAAUUUAGUUAGAAACAAAAGCUUUGAAUUCGAAUUACAAAUAUUAUGUUGGAAUGAGAUUUUGUAUAUAUACAAAAGCUUUGAAUUCGAAUUAUAAAUAUAUUUGAAAAUUGUUGGCGCAGAUGGAUCCUGCAGCUUAUCAUCCCGGGCCGGUUAACGGCACUUUGUUGACAUUGCAGGACACGCAUAGGUCCACUUUUGUGUGGAACAGUAGUACGGUAAUGACUUGAUGGACUGUUGUUUAUUAAAGUUAAUGUUUGCUUCACUAUAAACUGCUGACAAGUUCCUGUAUUUUAAAUUGCAGGACAUUCCUGAUCUUAGAGUCAGGACGAACUUCGGUGAGUACUGGAAUGUAGUUGACCAAACCAGGCCGCCUCAGACGAUAAUAGAUGCUAUUAAUGAUGCGGGCUUUGAGUGGGUGUUCAGGUUGGGUCAGGUCAAGCAUGACAGGGGCUUGAUCACUGCUUUUAUCGAGAGGUGGCGUCCAGAGACGCACACUUUUCAUCUACCUUUCGGGGAGGCCACCAUUACACUGGAGGAUGUCCAUCACAUUCUCGGGUUACGAACCACUGGCCGGCCAUUUAUUCUACAUGGCUUCACCACCACAGCUCGCGAGAGAUUGGCCAUGAUACGCGAUGUUCUUGGAGUGACUCCUAAGCCGGCUGAUGUGAGGAAGAACGGCUUGAGGAUCGGUUGGUUGAUUGAAAAAUUUGGCGACUGUGCCCGGUUGGACGAGGCAGCGGAGGAUUUUGAUGCACAGACUAUCUUUCACAUCAGGGCACACCUACUGUGUGUUAUUGGAUCGUUGUUUCCUGAUAGCAGCGGGAACUAUGUGAAUCUCAACCUCCUUUGGAUGCUACGUGACUUGCAGAGCGUGGAUGGUUAUAGCUGGGGGAGUGCUGUUCUUGCAUACCUUUAUAGGAAGAUGUGCGAUUCCACCCAUAAAGUCACAACCGGCUUCAUUGGCUACGCCACCACUACGCCAUAUAUGAUCUAUCGCAAUGGUAUGAACGCGAGUGUUGCAAAAUUAUGUUGCAAUAGAGACACUGAUCCAUAUCUACCGCAACGAUAACCAUUCAUGUCAAUUAUAUGUUGCAAUAGCAAACAUUAUGUGUUGCAGCUUGUAAUAUACUUGUAAAAGUGUUAGCUUAAAGUAUUAUAAUAUUAUUUUAACAUUAAAUAAUAAUUUAAAUUAUUUUAACAAUAUUUUAAAGUGAUAUGCAAAUUAAAUAAAUAAGAUACGCGAUGAUAUGCAAAUUUUAUUCAUAAUAAUUAAAAAAAUUAAAAUAGGAAUUUUAAAAGUAAUUAAUUUUUUUAAAAGCAAUGAAAAGUAAAAAUAAUUAAAUUCCCCUUGUUUUGAUAUCAGAACUGAUAUAUAAGUUUCAAAAAUAAAAAUAUAGAUAUACGAAUUAUAAGUAGUAAUAAAUACAUAUAAUGAAUUUUGUUCCUAAAAUAAUUACAUGAAUUUUAUUUGUUAAAAUAAUAAAGUAUAGGUGCAGACGUGCAGUACAUUAUUUGACUUUAUUGAACUGGGCAAAUAUCGAGCUCAAAGCGGGUAAAAAUUAGGCUUACAGCCGCCCAAAUUUUCAGCCAAGUUUGAAAUUUUCACACAUACACUAUACACGCUCGAGUCUCCUUGAAUACCCUCAACACUCACUACACUCUCUCCCUCGCUCAACUCUCUCUCCCUUCUCUACUCUCUCUCUCUUGUUAAUCUCUCUGAAGCUAAUCUCUCUCUGGCCACCAUUUUCACUCAAUCUCGCCAUCACUUUUAAUUAACUUGGAUUUGCAUUUAUAGUUGGAGCACAGUUGAUUUGUGGGUCGAGGUUCCAAUUCUUCAAUUAGGGUUUUGGCUUUUCAAUCAGGGUUUUGGUUCUUCAUUAAACUUCAAUUAGGGUUCAAUUACUUACAUAUAAUCUCUUAAACUUCAUCUGAUAUCUCUUUCUCUUUGAUUUCAGGUGUUCUUAGUUUGGGUUUGCACUCCAAGACUUUAUUAUAAGGUAUUUUUGAAUUUAGGGCUUCAUGUUAUGAGUUUAUUUGCAUUUAGUGUUCUUUGUUUUUAUGUUUAUUUGGUUUAUUAUCUUUAUCUAGUUUAUUUCCUUUGAUUUUUUGUUUUUUUUUUCAUUUGUUUUGUGAAAUUGCAAUACUCUGUUUUUGUGUUAAUUUUUUUGUUGCUUAAAAGUGUUCAACAACAAUAUUCUUCUUAAUUAUAAAAGAUCUAUCACGAGGAAGAGGUCCCUGUUUUGUAUAAUAUCUUGUAUGUCUUUUCUUUUCUGUAUAUUAUUAAGCUACCUUGGGGCAUCCUUUUUCUAGACCAGAUUUCGUGCGCAAUCUUUAGUAAAGAGCAAAUAUUCCGAUUCUUUUGCAUUUGUCUCAAUGUCAGUGCUUUGCAUAUAUGGAUAUAUUUUACAUGAAAAUGGUGCUUUUGUUGUUGGCCUGCUUAAUGUUCAAGACAUGUAGUCAACUCAGUUUAGUGUGACAAUAAGACUUUCUCAUUUCAUUAUGAUUCUCACAUAUUUUAUGCUCGUCACAGUACAACACAGUUUUGUAUUUGGUGUGAGUGAGCAGUAAAGAAUUCUAUGGAAGAUGCUAGUGACUACCGGUGGUAUAUAACCAGGUAAAAAUAAUGCUCAGUUGAUAAUCCUUAUAAGGGAGGCUCUUACUAUUUCUUCCUCUUUAACAUUGAGUUGUUUUAAUGUACAUACUAGCUGGUUGCUCAAGUGUUCUAUCAUUAUAAUGUAUACAUUGGAUACAAUAUUUGUUCAAUGAGGUAUCUAACUAGCUUGCUGAUGGCCGGGGACUAUAGAUUUAUUCAUUGCUAAUUGGUUAUAUUCGUUGUACCUGUUAUGCCUCAAUCAUAAUGGCAUAGUGACAAUAAAAGGAAAACGAAUUAUAAAUAUUUCACAUAGCAUGCUCUAGUUAUCUACAACUAUUGUUUUGGACUUCUGGUUUGGCAUUUAUAAUAAGUUGGCAUAUGUCUUUGAAUUCAUAUAGUUUGUAGCAUGACCUAAUUGGCACAAGUCAUCCUCUGCCAUGUCUUAUAUCUUUAGUUAGUAAGAAUUAAUAUUUCCCAUGUUUCAGCCACUAUACAAAUAUUGAUCAUGGACGAAGUUCUUACCCUGUUUAGUAUUAAUUUCAUUAUCUGCUGCAACUUUAUUGUGUUAUCUGUGCACUGCCCAACUAAGUACACAUAAUUUGAGUUUAAAAUAAAGCAUGCUUCUUUACUGGAGCUCAGCUUAGUAGUUGCAUUGUAUUGUUGCAGGAGAAGCUUAAGCCGUUAAUGGAUCAACUUAACAAAGUCAAAGACUUGACUGUUCCAGAAUUUGGAAAUUUCCGAACUUGAGAAGUGCGAGCAAAUGCAAGAAUAUGUUUAUAUAUAAUAGUGUAGUGUAGUGGGAUGUUUGGUUGGAUUCGUUUAAUACUUUGAUUUGGUUGGAUUUGUUAGGUAGUUUUGUUUGGUUGGAUUUGUUAUAAACUUUGAUUUGUAUGAAAGAAUAGUUUAAUGUUUCAGUGGAUAUAGUGAAAUAUUGCAAAGUUGUUAAUUUAGUCUUGCAUUAGCACAUAUAUGUUGUAGUAGCUAAUAUAUAUAUGUUUCAAUUUAUAACAAAAAAUGUUGCAAACAUGCAACUGAAAAACAGGUGUCCAAACAUAGGACCCACAUGUGUGACCCACGUGUGGGUCCCACUUUUUUUGAAAUCAGGAGGUCUAACGUAACAUAAUAUAUUUGUUGCUAUAGGGUAGUCAGAUGUUGCAAUAUCACGUCUAUUGUAACAUAAAAAGCCGUGUUGCAGUAGGUUACCCAAAUGUUGCAAUAGAAGCCUAGGGCAACAUGAAAAAAUGCAACUUAAAUUUUAUGUUGCAAUAGCCCUUUUUCGGGCUAUGGCAACAUAUUUUGGGGUUAUGGCAUCAUUUUUUUGAUGUUGUCNNNNNNNNNNNNNNNNNNNNNNNNNNNNNNNNNNNNNNNNNNNNNNNNNNNNNNNNNNNNNNNNNNNNNNNNNNNNNNNNNNNNNNNNNNNNNNNNNNNNNNNNNNNNNNNNNNNNNNNNNNNNNNNNNNNNNNNNNNNNNNNNNNNNNNNNNNNNNNNNNNNNNNNNNNNNNNNNNNNNNNNNNNNNNNNNNNNNNNNNNNNNNNNNNNNNNNNNNNNNNNNNNNNNNNNNNNNNNNNNNNNNNNNNNNNNNNNNNNNNNNNNNNNNNNNNNNNNNNNNNNNNNNNNNNNNNNNNNNNNNNNNNNNNNNNNNNNNNNNNNNNNNNNNNNNNNNNNNNNNNNNNNNNNNNNNNNNNNNNNNNNNNNNNNNNNNNNNNNNNNNNNNNNNNNNNNNNNNNNNNNNNNNNNNNNNNNNNNNNNNNNNNNNNNNNNNNNNNNNNNNNNNNNNNNNNNNNNNNNNNNNNNNNNNNNNNNNNNNNNNNNNNNNNNNNNNNNNNNNNNNNNNNNNNNNNNNNNNNNNNNNNNNNNNNNNNNNNNNNNNNNNNNNNNNNNNNNNNNNNNNNNNNNNNNNNNNNNNNNNNNNNNNNNNNNNNNNNNNNNNNNNNNNNNNNNNNNNNNNNNNNNNNNNNNNNNNNNNNNNNNNNNNNNNNNNNNNNNNNNNNNNNNNNNNNNNNNNNNNNNNNNNNNNNNNNNNNNNNNNNNNNNNNNNNNNNNNNNNNNNNNNNNGCUUAUCCUCGUAUGUAGUUUGUUUAUGGUUAUGUACCUGACCAUGUACUCGUACAUUUUUAUUUCUUGAUCUGAUUAUGUACUCUUAGUCUAGUAGAUCGGUUGUUACGUUAUUAUGCAGUUCUUGUGCAUUCUUAUGUCAUAAUGUUUUAUAAUGAUUCAAGCAUUGAAAUUCAUAUGGACAAUAAAGGAAACCUAACAUAACAUAAUAAACGACAGAACACUAAAACACAUACACAUGUUGAUCUUUCUCGAAACCAGUAAAACUGACUUUAUUUUGACUAAACUUUACAUAUAUCAAAUAACUGAAAAAAAUAAUAUAAAAUUUGAAUUACUUGAACAACAAAAGUUGAGACAUUACAUAUAAGAUACAAUACAUAUAGUAAUGGGGGUGAUCUUUUGGAGAAAAUACCUAACUCAAAGGGAUUUCUUCAAAUAAUUUGAGAUGGGUCAGAGCUUCAAGAAUCUGUGUACUCUGCUUUUACAAGUACAAAGUGGGAAAAAGUGAGACAUAAAUAAAAUGUAGUGAAGUAUUUGAGAUGGGAGAAAGUAAAACUAACUUAAUUUCAUAUUAAUAUUGUGAAGAUAUUAGCAUAGAAUGAUAAAUAUACAUUUCUACUACCCAUUUAUAAAAGAAAUAUUAUAAAAUAUAAAACUCUACGCUUUAAAUUUAAAUUGUUUUAAGUUGUUUUCUAUUAAAUUAUUUUCCCCACAGGGGAAAAUAAUAUUAAAUUGUUUUAAUAUUAUUGUUUUAUUAUUAUUUGAUUAUUAAAUUAACGAGUACAUAAUUUGUAAAGUUUAGUGCUAAGAUAUAUAUAUUAUUUAAUUUUAUUAAUUAUAUUAAUUUCACAAAACAAUUAAAAUUUGAUUUUAAAUAAAAUAUUAAAUAUAUAAUACAAUAAUAUUAAAUGGCGUAUAAUCAGUGUUACAGAAAUCGGGAAUCGGACCUAAUCGGUUGAGCUACCGAUUCAGGGAUUAAUCGGAAAUCGGAGAUUAAUCGGACUGAAAAUCGGAUUUAUUUUAAUAUUAAAAUAUUAUUUAUUAUUUAGUUAUUAUUAUAUUAGGUAUCUAGUAACUAAUAUAUUUACUAUAUUCAUAAACUCUAUAAUUAUUCAUAUUUAAAGUAAUAUAGUAUUUUAAUUCUAAUAAUUUAUCACAUAUACUUCUAUUAGAAAAUAUGUUAUAAGGAUUAAUCGGAUUUUAAAAAUCGAAUCGGUGGCCGACCUUGCAGGAGAUUAAUCGAGGAUUAAUCAGUUAAAUCGGGGAUUUUUAGAACAUUCGGCGUAUUAUAAUACAAUUAUAUCAAAAUUUAAAAAAAAAUCAGUACCUCAGUUUGGGUAUCGGUCAGCCACCUAGGACAAGUGAAUGAGUGAAACCGCUACAAAAAAUGUAGUAGUAUGGGUCGCCCCUGUCAAGGGCGAUCCUAACUGUAUUUUGUAACAGUAUGGGUCGCCCCUGACGAGGGCGACCUGAACGGGGAAAAACUUCAGCUUGGGUCGCCCGACUUUUUUUGAUUUAGGCUGGUUAGUUUUGAAAAGUUGAACGUAGGCUGGUUAGUUUUGAAAACUUUACGUUCGAACUGGUUACUUUUGUAAGGGAGCCCAGCCUCCACCAUUGCAGCUCUGAGCAGCCAUGAACCAGGUUAUACUCCAGUCUCCUUUUCUCCCCCGCGUGUGUAAGUCUGUACUGCAGCCCACAUUUUCAACACGCUUCUGUCCUAAGCUUCGCAAGAAAUAUCUUUUUUUUGAAAUUCAAAAAAUUUGCGCACCAUAUCAUCGUCCAGCCAAACCACCAUCGGCGAAUCAGCAAAUAUACAUAUCAGAUCUAAUAUACACCAAUCUGAGCUUUGAUGACUGAGGUUUGAUUUGUGUUUUAUUUAAUAAAAUGAUAAAAUGAUGUCUUCUUUCAUGAUCAUGCGAUUAAUCGAUUGUAACUUUAAGGGAGAUGGAACAAGCAAUUCACGACGUCUAUUUACCUCCGAAGACAUGAUUAGUGGUAUGGUUACAUAAAUUUAACUUCUCUAUUUUUCUACCAUGUGUGGCCUAAUUGUUUCAUCUCUUGCUUUGUAGGUUAUCAGUCCAAAAAGCGGAGGAAAAGGGGCUACACAAUUAAGAGAUGAAACAGUAUUGAGCAUGUGAGCUUUAAAACUUGAUGAUUAAAUUUUUCAUAUUAUAUUUGUUCUGUAUUUAGAAAUUUGUGGAGGAUGUGUUUGAUAAUAUGUCUGAGAGAAGAAGUUAAUAAAUUUAUCGUGUUGAGGAUGUGUUUGAUGAUAUGUCCGAGUGAAAAAAUUAAUAAAUUUAUUUUCAAAAUGUUGCGAACAAAUUGUAAUUUAUAUCUAGCAGCUUCAAAUAAUUUUUUUUAGAGCAAAAAGAAUCGCAAUUGCAUGUGAAGAGAUGCACCUCCCUGAUAUUAGACUUUUAGUGUAAUUGCAUGUGUAACUAAACCGCUUGACUAUAAUGUUGGUGUAGAGUACGGAGCUUUAAUUUAUGAUGUUCUCCUCAAUCUGUCCAAAUUAUAGCUGAUCGUGGGAAUCAACUUUAGGGUAAGCUCUGCUCUGAAACUCAUUUUCUUAUAUUGGAACUUGGUUAUUUCUUAAAUGAAACGACUUUGACGUUUUCACCGAGUAGUCAUAGAUGCGUGAGUUGUACAAUAGUAAAAGAAAAAUAAAUUACAUAAAGACUGUCUGAGGUAAAAUAGUAUACAAGCUGCAAUUUUAUAUUUGGUACAUUGACGUAAAAAGUUAUUGUUAUGUUCAGGGGGAGGUGCUGAGAAAUGACAUGAUUAUAUCAUACGAGCGGCGACAAACUACUGAAGUUGCAAAAGAAAUGAUCUUAAAGAAAGCAGAGAAAGUGGGGGAGUUUUUUCAAGAAAAGAAUUUAAAGAGGAGAUGAGAUGCCAGAGUAUUACGCGCUAUUGCCGAAACAGGAUUAAAAACUAUAUUGGGUAUCUCUUCUUGAUCUCUUGAUUAAUUCCACUAGGAAGCUUCAAUAUUAUAUAGGAAGUUUUCUUUUUAAGCUUAAUUUUGAAUUUGAAUCCUCAAACUAUAACUACUGUAUAUCUCUUUAUAUUAUAGCUCCUGACGCCGGGAACUUCCCCUUCUACAACCAGCCCAACUGUACAUAACAGUUGCUUGCUUAUGAAUUUCAAAUUUAUAUUAUAAUGUUUAUAUGUAAUAUUGAAUCAAAGUUGCUUGCUUGCUUAUGUAAUAUUGAAUAUCUACUGUUGGAUGAUUGUUAACUGCUGUGUUACCAAGUGUUUGAUUAAAUUCCUACAAGUUUUGUUUGAAUUUUGUUCUUUAUUUAUCAUUAGUAUGUUUCAUUUUUAUGUUUGACUCUAUGCUAAUCGCUGAUAAGAUUUCUAUGAUUAUAGGAGAUGAGUGUUCUUAUGGCAUGAAUGAUAUUGGAAAAGUGAAAUGUGUUGAUGCUUUGUGUAAAUAAAUCAUGAUCUGCCGUUAUAGUUUUCUGUUUGUUUUCAAUUUGUGUGUACCUAGGUGGUUGUUACUGAGCAUUGAUCAACUGUGUUAAUUAAUUUAUUAAAAUGGAGUUGAGUCUGAGAACUAAAGGGCAAUUAUAUACUUCUUUAGGCUUUCCUUAACAUGUUUUUAUUCAUUAAAAAAAAUCGAUGAGUUUUUAUAAAUAUAUAUACUCUGUUAUUUUCUCUGUACCUAAUUAAAAGGAUUUUAAUUCGAAUUAUAGGUGUUUGUCAUGUGAAUAUUAUCUAAAAGAUAAUGGGGCCGUUUGGGUUAGCUUAAAAGAAGUGACUUUUUGCUUAUAGUAAAGAAGUGGAGUAGAAGUGAGAAGUAAAUAAGUUAAUAAAGUGUUUGGAAAAGAAGCAGAAGCUGUGAGAGAGAAGCUAGCAUUCUCAGCUUCUUAAAAGUGCUUCAACUUCUUUACACAAACAGGUCAAGAGAAGCAGAAGCCAGAAGCAGCUUCUGCUUCUCUUGGCCAAACAGGCCCAAUAUCUUUAAGGUCUCUUGCAUUGGUCAUUUAAUGUGUUAAUUAAAAGUUUACAUUUAAAUUUUUUGAUCUAAUAAUUUUGGAUAGAUGGUUUGUGAGGUUAAUGAAUGAACUAAUAUGGAAUGAUAAAAUGUAGGAGGUCUGGAAAGAUGGGUUUCAAUGCAGGUUUAUUGCUACUUUCCUUCAGGUCUGCAUUGCUUUGGUCUGUCUUCAGGACUGAGACUGUGAUUGGUUUCGGAACAGACACAAGUAUAUAUAUGGACCAAUGCAAAGCACCUGAUUAUCAUACUUUAGGCUUUUGCUCUGCUUUCUAUGGUAAAAAAAAGUGACAUUACUUCGAAUCUGAUACAGUUUAUCCAAGAGCUUGCUUCAAUAUUAAGAAUGCAAUACGUGUUGCAGAUAAAAUUUUGACCAGCAACAUUGGGGCACCCAACCCAAAUCUAGCAACAUUGGCCGUGGAGCUUUAAAUAUCUCCGUAAGAUUCUUUUCCCUCGCAGGCAGGCAUCUUUUUCUGCGAAAAAUAUACAAGAAAAAAGGACUAAUUUGUUUAAUUGAAAAUAAAUUUCGGAUGAGUUGGAUUAAGAAUCAAAUGGAGAGUCCUGUUUUGGUUUCAUUUUGAUGGAGAGGUUGCUUAGGUCCUGUUUUGAUCGAAAGGUUGAAAAAAUAUUUGGUAUUUUUUGGUCUCAUUUUGGUUUGUUUCGUUCCUUCACAGGUGUGCAACAAGUGAUGAUAGUAUUUAAACAUGAUUAGCAAACUGCCCAGCAAUCCAUGCAUGGCAAGGGGAAUGCACAGCUUAAUGAUUUCAGUCUCCGUACCAUCCAAGUGCAACAAAAAUCAAUUAUCUUGUGAUGUCUAGGAUUCUACAAAAGUAAGAAGCCUUCAUUCAUCUUCAUUCAUCCCCUGUUACUAGAAAAGCAUUGGUAGCCUAUAAGCAGGUACACUAAGUAGCUCACCUAAUUUUUGCAUUUCAGUAUCAACGGAAAGUGGUGCAGGACUCCACUUUAUAAUUAAAUUAUGUGUCUAAAUUAUGCGUGUUGUAAUGUUUAGUGACCAUGUUCCAGACCCGACAUGUCCUUACUUGGCAGAUCAAGUUAUCCAAGAUUUGGGAAGGAGUUUCGCCUUUGAGAUCUCCAACAAGUAAGAAGAAAUAAUGUCAAGGAAUGAACUAAUGUAAAAUGAUAAGAAGAUGAAGGUAUAAAACAAUGAUUAUAAUGUAGGCUUCUUCGUAAUGUAAUGAACAAAAUAAUGGAGUAACUAUAACUAUUCUUGCUGCAAGCCUGUGUUUGUUUAAUGCUAUCUGGCAGUAGUUUAGCAUUGGUAUAUUCCUUAAGGUGGAUUUGGAUAGAGUGAGAGGAGACAUUACUUAUCUUUACCUAGCUACUGCUUUUCAUGAGAUUUGGGCAGAGCGUAACAUUAGAAUUCAUCAUCCUAAGAGUUUUAAAGUUGCAAACCGGCUUAUCAAGGACAUAAUAGCCUCUGUUACUAUUUUUACAUGCUCCUCUAUUGUUGUGUGAACUUGCUGAACUCCUUUUUUCUGUUGUUCUACUUACUAAAAUCUUUUUAAUUUUCUUUUGUUAGGUACACUAAGUGGUUCACUCAAUUUUGGCAUUUUAGUAUCAUUGGCAAGUGGUGUAGGACUCCAUGAUUCUGUGUUGUCCACAAGCAACGAAAAAAANNNNNNNNNNNNNNNNNNNNNNNNNNNNNNNNNNNNNNNNNNNNNNNNNNNNNNNNNNNNNNNNNNNNNNNNNNNNNNNNNNNNNNNNNNNNNNNNNNNNNNNNNNNNNNNNNNNNNNNNNNNNNNNNNNNNNNNNNNNNNNNNNNNNNNNNNNNNNNNNNNNNNNNNNNNNNNNNNNNNNNNNNNNNNNNNNNNNNNNNNNNNNNNNNNNNNNNNNNNNNNNNNNNNNNNNNNNNNNNNNNNNNNNNNNNNNNNNNNNNNNNNNNNNNNNNNNNNNNNNNNNNNNNNNNNNNNNNNNNNNNNNNNNNNNNNNNNNNNNNNNNNNNNNNNNNNNNNNNNNNNNNNNNNNNNNNNNNNNNNNNNNNNNNNNNNNNNNNNNNNNNNNNNNNNNNNNNNNNNNNNNNNNNNNNNNNNNNNNNNNNNNNNNNNNNNNNNNNNNNNNNNNNNNNNNNNNNNNNNNNNNNNNNNNNNNNNNNNNNNNNNNNNNNNNNNNNNNNNNNNNNNNNNNNNNNNNNNNNNNNNNNNNNNNNNNNNNNNNNNNNNNNNNNNNNNNNNNNNNNNNNNNNNNNNNNNNNNNNNNNNNNNNNNNNNNNNNNNNNNNNNNNNNNNNNNNNNNNNNNNNNNNNNNNNNNNNNNNNNNNNNNNNNNNNNNNNNNNNNNNNNNNNNNNNNNNNNNNNNNNNNNNNNNNNNNNNNNNNNNNNNNNNNNNNNNNNNNNNNNNNNNNNNNNNNNNNNNNNNNNNNNNNNNNNNNNNNNNNNNNNNNNNNNNNNNNNNNNNNNNNNNNNNNNNNNNNNNNNNNNNNNNNNNNNNNNNNNNNNNNNNNNNNNNNNNNNNNNNNNNNNNNNNNNNNNNNNNNNNNNNNNNNNNNUUUUACAUGCUCCUCUAUUGUUGUGUGAACUUGCUGAACUCCUUUUUUCUGUUGUUCUACUUACUAAAAUCUUUUUAAUUUUCUUUUGUUAGGUACACUAAGUGGUUCACUCAAUUUUGGCAUUUUAGUAUCAUUGGCAAGUGGUGUAGGACUCCAUGAUUCUGUGUUGUCCACAAGCAACGGAAAAAAAGCCUGCAGAAAUGUUUCGAAUACUUUGAACGAAAUAAAGGUACAUUAUUAGGCAAGUGAUUGUGGCGGCAGAGAUAGCAGUUUGAUUGCUACACAAUUAUGUGUUUCACAAGAUUUUGCUAUUUUAAAUUAUAGUAAAUUUGAUUAAAUCCCACUCGGAAAGUUUGAAAUUUCUUGAUGUUGCUUAGUUAAAAUUUGGAUAUGGACAAUUAUGAUAUUUGUGAAUUUGGGUUCUUUUUAUAGGUGAUUUUUGAACAUUGCUAGAAUGAUAUAUGAUCUCAGGCCUCACACUCUUAACAUCUUUACGAGGCUUACGAGGUUCGAGAUGAGUUGGUUACUUAACAUGAUUCGUUUAAUUUAAUUAUGUGUUUGUGUAGUUGGGUUGAUUUGUUGUUUGUUUCGUUUAAUUGUACAAUUAAGGAGAUGGUGUUUACAAUAAUAAUAUUGAAGAUAGUUUGUAACUAGAGUAUGUUGUUAAUAAUUUGGUUAUGAGAAAUUGAGGCCGACACAAGUUUAAUCUGGCUUUCUCGAGAUGAUCUGACCUCGAGAAGAAAGAUUAUCUCAAAGUAGUUUUGUAAGUUGCUUCUCUCUGUUUUUGGACAAUGUAAAUUCUUACAUUACAUCUGCCUCUUGCAGGUAACAUCUUUGCUUUUAGGCUCUUUAUAUCGCCGAUGUAAGUUUUGCUCCAUAAAUUUCAGUGUUUGGCUAGAUCUCCUACAACUGUACUUUUAAAGAAAAAUAGAAGAAAUCAAGAACUGAGUUUACUGUACUUUUGCAGUGAUAAUCAGAUAUGUACCGGUUUUGCUUCGCAUAGUCACACCUUUUCUUUGUACAAUUGCAGACCCACUUUUAGGGGUAUUAUGAUGAGGAACGAGUGUACAGAAGACUUCUCAGGUCUUCCAUAUCUAUAUGCCCUCCUGCACUGCUUGAUUUGUGCCUGGUAUGGCAUGUCGUUUAUGUCAGAUGAUAAUGUGCUUGAUAACUGUAACCUUAUACAGCUACAUUUACUUUAAAUGUCUUGAACACAGUGGUUGCAAAUAAUGGUUAAAUGAUUAAUAUUUACACUGAUCUACUGCUUUUACACUGAUCACUGCUUAUGAUGUUGAAAAACCAAAAUUUGGUGGAGAAAUUGGGAUCAAUGGAGGGAGCUUGCACUGACACACGAAAUCUGUCAAAGCCUAGAUUACAAAGUAAUACUUUACUUGACUGAUCGACGGUUCAACUCAGCAGGAUAUGGAGUAUGCUCGCAGUGUACAUAACAUCCAAUCUCCCAAGGUCUCAUCAUCUACUUUGGAGACAACCUCAAAAUGGGUGUAGUUGCACUUGCACCCAAAAAUGAAGCCAGUGCAAAAAUCAAAGAGAUGACCCAUUUGUUAAAAAUGUUGAGGCUGAAGAGUACAAGGGAACCAAGGUCAGAGAUGUCUCCUCCGCUAAGAGAUGAGGAAAUAUGGCAGUCGUUGGUAUUUGGGAAAUGCAUGUUAGCAAAUACAUGGAUUAUAAAUUGUAUGAGUGACAGGAUGAUAAUAUAGCGUCUCAUAGUCUAAUAUUGCCAAUGACAGGGCUAAUAGCAAUAGCACUUUCAAAAGUAGGUUUGCAGCUGUGAAAUUCACUCAAAGUUGUGAAAUUUGUGAAAUUUGCUUUUGCUCUAACAUGUAAUACCCCGGGUUCCAUUCUUUUGUUUACUUGAAUUUGAAUUGUAUUGUUAUCUUUGUUUUUUUAUUAUAAUUAUCCAAAAAUAGAUGUCCAUCUUGACUUUUGGUUGGUUAUUAGACAGAGGAAUUGAGCCCGGAAAUAAAAGUGUUACUAAUUAUCAUCCAUUAUUAAAGCAAUUAUUAUAUUAGACCAAUUUUAUUUUUGCACUAUUUGAAAUAUUCACUUUAUCUGAAUGAUGAAUGGUUCUUCUUUCAGUUAAUACAGUGUCAUUCACUGGUUAACAAAUGACCUCUUAAAUUAUUCAUGAAAUCAUUUAAAAAUAUAUAAAGUUUAAUUGACAAAUUUAUCUUUUUUAAUAAAAUUAUACUCAAAUUUUUGGUUGAAAUGUAUGUAGCUUUAAGAUUAUAAUCACUUUUAGCCGAAAGUACUUUAAUAUUAGUGUUCAUAAAAAUAAUUUUUGAAUAACUUAUUAAUGAUUAAUUAUUUUAUGUAACGGUUUAAUAAAAUUAUACAAAUAUAAUGAUUUCUAAUUUGAGAAUAGUUUUUUAUAGUUCAAAACAAAAUUUAUAAUAAAAAAAUUUAACGAGUUAUCAGUAAUUAAUAAUAUACAUUUACAAUUAAAUUAUCCAAAUUAAUUAUAAAAUAUUAAAAUUUAAAAUAUUUGACUAAAGUGCGAGGCGUCACCGCUCGGCGACGUCGAGGGGCACUUGAUAGAAUAUGACUUUUCAUAUAUUACAAAGUUUAGCUAUAUAAUUAUUUUGAUUAUAAGAUAUUAAAAUAUAAAAUAUUCGACUAAAGUGUGAGGCGUCGCCGCUCGACGACACCGAGGAGGACUUGAUAAAAUAUGACUUUUCAUAUAUUACAAAUGUUUAGCUAUAUAAUUAUUUUGAUUAUAAAAUAUUAAAAUAUAAAAUAUUCUACUAAAGUGUGAGGCGUCACCGGUCGGCGACGACGAGGAGCACUUGAUAGAAUAUGAUCUUUCAUAUAUUACAAAGUUUAGCUAUAUAAUUAUUUUGAUUAUAAGAUAUUAAAAUAUAAAAUAUUCGACUAAAGUGCGAGGCGUUGCCGCUCGGCGAGCCGAGGAGUACUUGAUAAAAUAUGACUUUUCAUAUAUUACAAAUGUUUGGCUAUAUAAUUAUUUUGAUUAUAAAAUAUUAGAAUAUAAAAUAUUCGACUAAAGUGCGAGACAUCGCCGGGGAGCACUUGAUAAAAUAUGACUUUUCAUAUAUUACAAAUGUAUUAUAUAAUUAUUUUGAUUAUAAAAUAUUAAAAUAUAAAAUAUUCGACUAAAGUGCGAGGUGUCGCCGAGGAGUACUUGAUAAAAUAUGACUUUUCAUAUAUUGAAAAUGUUUAGCUAUAUAAUUAUUUAAAUUAUAAAAUAUAAAAUAUUCGACUAAAGUGCGAGGCGUCGCCGAGCGGCGACGCCGAGAAGUACUUGAUAAAAUAUGACUUUCAUAUCUUUAAAAAUAUUAUGUAAUUUUCGAACGUAAAUGAAUUUUAAUUACGAAUUAACUUUUAUAAAUACUCAAGUUAUACAACGGUUUUUGUUGAAUUUGAUUUUUAUUUUACACUGAACUUUUAUUUUUAUAACUACAAAAUCACAAGUUAUAUUUAAUAUUUUUUUUAUAACUCAAUUGUUGUUUUCUUGCAUAUAAAAGUUUGUAAGUAUAAGUAAUGGAUAUAAUAACGUCAUAUUAAUUUUCAAAAUAUAAUCAAUAUUUUAAAUCUUAUUGACAAAAAAAGGACUAAAUUCUAUCUAUUAUUUUAAAAUAUUAUUUUAAAAUAUUAUUGUAUAUACAAAUACUCACAAAUACUCCAUGACGCUGACGAACAUCCAAUAAUCAUUAUCAGGUAGUGAAAGAUCUGAGGAACACAUUAAAAUUUGUACUUCAAUAAAACACAAUUGAAAGAUGAAUUUUAGCCAAAAUAAAUAUGCAUGAAUACAGGUUGGCAAAUUGGCGUAACAACCACUGAGCUACUCAAGUACAAGGACUCGAUGAAAGGCCUCUACUACUCCCAGAACCUGAAAAUGCUAUUUCUAUAAUUCCAUCACGUUAUUUAUCUUAUUUAAUGUACUGUUCUGUGAUAACGUAUGGGAACUCGCUAAUAUGGAAUGCUAGCUUUGCAUUUGGUCUCCUCGCCAUAUUCACAAAUCAUUAGGAUUCAUAUAGAAUUGGUGCGUGUUCAAAACAGAAUUUUUUCAAGCACAAGAUCAGCAAAAAUAAAUUUAUUAAUCUUCUGCAAUUUAAAAUGCCCAGCAAGGCGGGCAUAAAUACUAGUUCUUCAUAUUUACACAACCAUUGAUCUGUCUUGCAACAAAUUUCAAGGAGAAGUUCCAAAGGUUACAUGAGAGCUUAAAUGGCUUGCAUUGCUCAAUCUAUCUCAUAAUAGUCUCACCGGACAUAUCCCAUCACUCCUCGGAAAUAUGGAAGCACUCCUAUCUCUAGAUUUGUCUUCAAAUCAAUUGACAGGGGCUAUUCCACACCAAUUAACUAAAUUGACAUUUCUAAAGGUGUUGAACCUCUCGGGAAAUAAUCUUACUGGGGAAAUCCCGCAAAAAGGGCAAUUCAGCACUUUUGGAAAUGAGUCAUACUUGGGGAACCCGGCCUUGUGUGGACUUCCUUUGACGGAAAAAUGCAUGCAUGCAGUGUCACCAACUCAAGAAGUCGGAAAUGGUGAUACUGAUGAAGAUGACGAUGCUGAUGAUGAACUUAAUUGGGAAGCCAUCCUGAUGGGAUAUGGAUGUGGAUUGAUAUGCGGAUUGUCUUUGGGGUACAUUGUUUUCAAGAUAGGAAAGCCUUGGUGGUUUGUGAAAUACAUUAAAAUACUACAACUGAAAUUGAUGAAAACAUGCACAAAGCAUAGCAGACGAAAGACUUGAGGAGAUGUUGUCUUAGGAUGCAAUCUCGUUUAAUACUUUCAUCAUUAUUCUCCAAGAUGUCUGAACAUGUAUUUUCAAAGAAUUCUCAGUUCACCUUUAGCCUUAUAAAGUAAAAGACAUUUUAAAGGCACUCUCAACUUACACCUAUAUAUACACGUACGGUUCACUUCAGUACAAAGAUUAUUAGCCAUGCAAAACAUGCAGAACCACUAGUAAUGCAGAAAAACAAAAUAUCAGUUUUCUCCAAAUAUCACUACAACAAAACUGCCAUUUUACGACGGAAAUCUAAUAUUCUAAAGGUUUACGACCAAACUAUGUUGGUGGACUUUAUUUUAAUUUACAGUUUUAACAGUAGUUAAUUUUGGAUAUCUAAACUUGCGACAGAAAACAUACGACAGUCUACCUCGCGAGAGAAAAUCAUUUUAUUUUAUUUUUUAGCGCCAGAAUUUUAAUACUAAAAUAUUAUAUAUAUGAAGGAAACUGAUCUCUAAUGUUUUCAGCUUGCUCAUCCAUAUGUAAGUAAUCCGUCGAAAAAGUUAGUUUGUUGUGGUGGUGUCUUAUCAUGAGAGAAAAUGAUAAUAUCGCAAAAUAUUUGCAACUGAAAGAUAAAUUAUAAUUCUAGAAACCAUUUAGGUAACGAUGCACGAAGUUAUUUUCACUCACUUAGAAUUAAUGAUCAUAAAUAUUUGCAACGGAAAGAUACAUUAUAGUUCUAGAAAAGGAUCCACGAAGUUAUUUUCACUCACUUAGAAUUAAUUGUAAGUUAUUGUGAGUUUUUGAAUAUGGAUUAUCUCAAAUUUUAUGAAAACACAUAUUGAUUCAUAUAUACAAAUUUGCCUACCUAAUAUUAUAAUAUUUAUGGAGAAGUUGUAUGAACAAUUGUGUAGAUAAUUAUACUUUACAAAGCAUACUUCUGCUAGAUGAAUUUUGAUUAAACAAAAUCGAAAGGGAUAGGUCUGGGUCUCUCCAAGUCUUUGAGGACUCAUUCCAAGUCUUCUGACGAGGACAAAAUAUAUUGCUGGUAGUCUUUCAGUCCUUCCUAGAGUAUUUUAUGCUCUGGACUGCAUUAUGCAGCUCUCAUAUAACUUUGCGAUGCAAAACAGUGGCAAGUAAGUAUUUCCGUAUGUGUAUUUAUUUGUAUAUUAAAGUUGCGUAACAUUUGUGUUGAUAAUUUGCGUAAUGUUGAUGAGGAUUGCUCCCAAGUCUUGGACGGACUCUUUCCAAAUCUUCUGAGGACAUAUCGGUUCAAAUUAGUCCAUUAAAAAUUUUAUGAUAUGAAGCUAUCUGCAAAAUAAUAUAUAAGGUAAAAUGAACCAUUGUUUUGUGGUUAAGUUGUACAGGCAAUAUGCAGUGCAAAAUCAGGAACAGAAUAUAUGAAUACUAGUAAUAUGAUAUCGGUAUGAACGAAUAUUUUCUAUGUAGUUGUUAUUGUGAUGCGGAAAAAAUAUUGUAACCAAAAAUAAUUAUAAUUCUAAAAAUUUCCAUUAUACACUUUUUUAGUGUUCGUGGUACUUCAAAUGACAUUUCUCGCGUAUGCCUCCAAUUAAGAACUUGAUGUUCAGCAUAGUCCGAAACUAAAAUUAUUAUAAGUGUGUAAUUCAAAAUUAUAUUGCUGGUAGUCUUUCAGUUCUUCCUAGUGUAUGCAGUAGUUUCAUUCGAUACCGAUUAUUUUAUGCAUUGCCCGAGAACCAGUCUAUCUAAAACCCUAAGAUGUUAUAUUUUUAUACGUGUAUUAGUUUUGAAGAUUAAAGUUGUAUGGACAAUUGUGUUAAUAAUUUGCGCAAUUGCGCAAUGAUAACUGGGAUAGGUCAUCUUCUCUCCCAAGUCUUGGAUGGAAUCUUUCCAAGUCUUCUGAGAACCCAUCAGCUCAGAUUAGUCCAUACAAUGUCAAGGGUCCUAUGAUAUGGUCUACUAACAGCCCAGUGUCGGUAAUAAAUCCAAUUGCAUAUAACCUAUUCAAAAUCAAUCCCCUAUAAACAAUCAUCUCUAAAAACUAUUCACAUAAAAUAAAAUUUUAAAAAUAUAAAAUAUCUAGUUGUUUUCAAUAUAUAAUUUUCCACAGUAGAUAACACAAUAUCUUUAUCAAAUUAUUAUUUAUGGGUUCAAUAUUUAAGCUAUAAUUCCAACAACACGGCAAGCAUGCAGCAUAUAAAUAGAAGUGUGCAGUAUGGUAUUGCAUUCAUAACCCAGUUGAGGAAAAAUAUGGCACCCUUCCUAAAGCCUUCUCACCUUCUUCUCUUUGUUUUCUUUCUCUCAUCACCUGAGUCCAUUCUUGCGACAACACGAGAAGGAGAAGCUCUUGUGAAGUGGAAGAAUAGCCUAGCCCCUUCUUCUUUUCUUGAUUCUUGGUCACUCACUCAUCUCGAUAAUCUUUGUAACUGGACUGGCAUUACUUGUAACUCUGCAGGUUCAGUCUCUAAGAUUAACCUUUUUGAGAAACAACUUAAUGGAAUGCUGUCCGAGUUUGGUUUCACUUCAUUUCCAAAUCUCAGCAAUCUCACCCUCACAUACAACUUCUUCUCGGGUCCCAUACCACCAGCCAUUGAGAAUUUAACCCAGCUUCGGUAUCUUGAUUUGAGCUAUAAUUAUCUGGAUGGUCCCAUUCCGUUCCAGGUUAGCCAUCUUCAGAGCUUGCUCAUCUUGAACCUGUCACAGAAUGCAUUGCAAGCUCCAAAUUGGUCCCAUUUCUCUCCCAUGCCUUUCUUGCGCAUCCUCAACCUCAGUUACAAUCCUCUUGCGUCGAAAUUCCCAAAUUUUAUAUCCAAUUCUCAUAGCCUGACUCACCUUAGCCUUAAUUUUAAUGAGUUUACUGGUGAUCUAGUACGUGAAUCAAUAUUUGCCAAUCUGCAUAAUCUUGAAGUCCUCAGUCUUCUUGGCAAUUUUUUUGAGGGGCCAUUUCCGCCAGAUAUAUUCAAGCUUUCCAAAUUAAAACAUCUUCACCUGUCAGGUAACAAAUUCUCAGGUUCAAUUCCAAAUGACAUAAGGUUGCUUUGUGGUCUUGAAAACCUAUUUUUAAGCAACAAUUCCUUUGAAGGACCGCUUCCACCAAAUAUAUUUAAGCUUUCAAAAUUAAAACAACUUGUUCUUUGGAGUAAUAAUUUUUCAGGUUCUAUUUCCAAUGAUAUAGGUUUGCUUUCUGAACUUGAAACCCUCAAUCUUCAAUUUAAUUUUUUUGAGGGGCCGCUUCCCCCACAUAUAUUUAGGCUCUCUAAGUUAACAGGUCUAGAACUCGGAGACAAUAGAAAUUUAUUUGAAGGAAGUAAUAUUCCUAUCGGACUGGGACUCUUGACUAACCUCAGGUACUUAGAUUUACAUUCCAGUAAUCUCAGUGGCUAUAUUCCAUCUGACAUUGGAAACCUGAAGCUACUAGUACUUCUUAGUCUCGGUUCUAAUCAAUUGACUGGACCGCUUUCAAAGAUCGUUUAUAAUCUCACAAAUCUUAUAUUUCUUGAUGUAAGUAAUAAUAGUCUUAGUGGAAAUAUUCAGAGUGACUUGUGGAAAUAUAACCAUCAUCCUACUUUGGAAUACAUCGAUUUUAGUGGGAACCAUUUUACAGGUAUAUUUUUUCUCUAUAGAUCUUUUCCUUUUGUCAUAUGUAACUAAGCUAGUAAUCUGAUUAUUGCAGUUUUACUGAAGUUUCAACAAUCUUGACAGGUGAGCUUCCAACAACAAUUUGCAAUGUCAUGUCCCUUUCGGUUCUUGAUUUGUCAAAUAAUGAAUUAAGUGGUGCACUUCCAAACUGUUUCGGGAAUCUUGCUGAUGGAUUGCUUUACAUUAAUCUUGCUAAUAAUCAGUUUCGAGGAACAAUACCAACUACUUUCUCCAGGAGUUGUCAGCUGACAUAUCUAAACAUGGAUAAUAAUGAGUUUGAAGGAUUGUUGCCCCCAUCUUUGGCGAACUGUAAGCACUUGAGAAUUCUUGAUAUUGGCAAUAAUAAAAUAGGUGGUACAUUUCCGUCAUGGCUUUAUGUACUUGGAGAGCUAGAAGUCCUUGUCUUGCGAUCAAAUAAACUCUAUGGUACAAUAAGUGGAAGGAGCAUAGAAGAUCCCUUCCCCAAGUUGCGGAUUGUGGAUCUGUCCAACAAUCAAUUCACAGGCCAUUUGCCAAUUCAAUACUUUAAGAAUAUGAAAUCAACUGAUAAUUUGUAUCGUUAUCAGAAUUCCACAGGAGUUUUUUCUUUCCAUUAUGAAGCAUCUGUCUCAUUAACUGUGAAGGGAACAGAGUAUGAAGUGAAAAAUAUCCUUCAUAUUUACACAGCCAUUGAUCUGUCCUGCAACAAGUUUCAAGGAGAAAUUCCUGACGUUAUUGGAGAGCUUAGAUGGCUUGCAUUGCUCAACUUAUCUCAUAAUAGUCUGACAGGACCUAUCCCAUCAUUACUGCGAAAUAUGAAAGGACUCCAAUCUUUAGAUUUGUCCUCAAAUCAACUGACAGGGGCUAUUCCACCUCAGAUAACUGCACUGACAUUUCUAGAAGUCUUAAACCUCUCGGGAAACCAUCUUAGUGGAGAGAUUCCUCAGAAAGGACAAUUCAGCACAUUCAACAAUGAUUCUUAUAUAGGAAACUCCGCAUUAUGUGGAUCACCAUUGACGAAGACAUGUGCAAACACAGCAUCACCUCCACAAGAAGUCGGAAAUGUUGAUGAAGAUGAUGCGGGUGAUGAAUUGACAUGGGAAGCAAUCUUGAUGGGAUAUGGAUGUGGACUGAUAUGUGGAUUGUCAUCUGCAUACAUUGUUCUCAAACUAGGAAAGCCUUGGUGGUUUGUGAGAUAUCUCGAAGUACUGCAACAGAAGUUGAUGAAAAGAUAUGCAUGAAGAAUGGUACUGGCCGAUCAAGACCAACUUGAAAGUUUGUUGUCCUUGUGCACAUUUCUGAACCAGUAGUGUACUUGCUGCAUAAGUAUUUGGUAUUAUGUAAUAAUCCGUUUGGUCGGGACUCAUAAUGAUUUCUCUUGCUUCAGGGGUAUUAAUAUUAACCUUGCUAUCUUGAUCAAUGUUAAAGCAAAUUAAAUGAAUGAAAAAACAAAAAGUAUGCAUCAAAUCCGCUCCUGCUGUACCAAAAUCCAUUAAAUUGCUUUGGUCUCUUACCUAACAAUUUAACAGCACACUUCCACACUGUUCAUACCUAAUUUGCGUGUAAUAUGAAAACUAAGAGGCAUGGCUUUUGUCUCUAUAAGUCUUUGAGAACUUAUUCUUCCAAGUCUUCUUCGGAGGCCUGCUGCCUCAACAACCUUUCAAAGAUGUAGCAGUUGCUCGAGAGUAACAUAUAUAUUAGAUAAAGACUAUGCAAUAAUCCACGUGACAGAAAAACCAAAGUCCAAUUAGUUUUCCAAGUUCAUAAAAAAUACUAUAGGAUCAUUAGCAUUACAUUAGUAUUCCACUAGCAUACAGCAUAUUAUAAGACAAAAGUAAGCGGAAAUAAACAUAAUUUCAAUAGAUUUAACUUACUCUUCAGAAUCGAUAAGUUUGGAACACGUUGAUUGAGCACAAGACGAAGGCCACACAUGCGCAUCAUCUGAUGCAGCUAUAUAUGGUGCCUUUACAGUUGCUCAUACAUAUAGUGAAACAAUAAGGAUCAACUCCUCCAUUGUACGUACACAUUUUCAUACAAGCUAUAAAGCAUGGUGAUAGAGUCUUUGCAAUCUCGUCAUGACCGGCACAUCCGAUUAUGAUAAACUCUAGCAGGAUCAUCCAAGUAAUAAUUUUCAUAAUGAUAUUAAUUAUCAUUGUGAAUAGUUGCAUUGAGUUAUAUAUGUGUGUGUAUAUAUAUGCAAUGGAUUUUGUGGUUGAGAAUAUCUAUUAGAUUUUGUAUAUCCAUAACAAUUAUUAAAAUUUAAACAAGAAUAUCUAUUAUUGGUUGUGGUUGACUAUUGUAGUAGUCCAAGAAAUCAAUGCAAGUGAAAUCUAUAUUAUAUUUUAAAAGAUUAUACAUGAAAUACAAAAGGUUUUUUUAGGACUGCUGUUAAAAAUUGUUAUGUUGUACGAAAAAAUGCUGAUAAAAAGAGUGUUAUACGAAAAAAUGCUGAUAAAAAAAAUGUCGUAUAAAUCAGAUAUGACAGCUUCCCACAAAAACUAAAAAAAACAGUUUUCCGUAAUAAUAUGGGAGAGGAAAAACUGUUUGUAGAUUUAUAGAACAAUUUUUCGGUAAAAAACUGUUGUUGUUUUCGAGAGUAAUGACAAACAGUGCCGAAAUCAUUUUGCAGGUAGUUAAUCUCACUUCCAUAUAAUAUACUCCUAUAUAUUACCGAAAAAACAUGAAAUGAUGCAAACCUCAUACUAUUGACAACAGCUAAACUCCUUGCAAUACUUUCAGCUGCAAAAUCCAUCAAAUUUUUUGAUUUAUCAUGUAACUGUUUGACAGAGUACUUCCAAGCCUAAGUAUCAAAAAUCACUACCUUACGAAAUAUAUCUCACCCUACCUUCUCUGCUUAACUGUUUCGAGUGCUUUUACCAAGCAUAUUUUCCAUUAAGCGUGAAAGGCACAGAAUAAUUAGGAUCACCGAAUAUCCCAUCAGUGCUGGGGAAUAUGGAACCAUCUUAUCAAUUAACUAGUUUAACAUUUCUUGCGGUCUUGAACCUCUCAGAAAACCAUCUUAUCCUAAUGUGCCGACUUCCUUUGACGGAGAAAUGGUGAUGCUGAUGCUAAUGAUAAUGAACUCAACUGGGGAGUGAUCCUUAUGGGAUACGGAUGUGGAUUGAUAUGCGGAUUUUCUUUGGGGUUUAUAUUUUGUGGUUUGUGAGAUACAUUGAAGUACUGCAGCUGGAGUUGAUCAUUAUAAAGAACAUAGGCAAGUUAAUCGCUUAUUGAAAUUAGUAAUUGUCAAAAGUAAAAUGUUGAAAUUACUUUUUUCGAUUGAAAUCAUUGAAAAAAAGUCUCUGUCGAAAUUGAUCUGCCAAAAUUAUGUUUAAUAUCUACGGCCAAGAUUAUCUGUCGAAUAUAUUUCCCGACAAUUUUAAAAGACAAAUUUUUCGCCUCUCAGCUGUGAGCGGGAACAGAUAUUUUCGACAGAAUUCCAUUGAAAUUAGCUAAUUUCAACAUAAAUUUUCUAUCGAAAUUACUUGAGUUCUUUGUAGCUUGUUUUCACAAAUACGCUGAUAGCCUUUGGGGACGGGUAUAUUGUUUUCACAAAGCCCUGGUGGUAUGUGAGAUGCUUCGAAGGACUGCAACUGAAGUCGAUAAGAACAUGCAGAAAGAAAACCGAUCCAUCUUGAUAAACUUGAAAAAUGUUGUCAUAUGGUGAUAUAUACUCCCUGGCCCCAGUCUCUUGGAAAGAACUUGGUUGAUUUUUUUUUUUCAGUAUUGUUGGAGCUGUCAUACUAGUGCUAGUGUGCCGACUAGCACUAGUAUGACAGCUCCAACAAGUAUCCAUCCCUAAUAAUUGCAGCAAAUUAAAAAAUAUAGCUAUAUCUUUUUAGCAAUGGUGCAAUUUGGAAAGCUUUCUCAUCAUCUUCUUCUUUUCUUUAUCUCAUUACUCUCAUCUAGUUCCACUGUCCUAUCUGCAACAAUUCGCGAAGGAGAAGCUCUUGUGGAAUGGAAGAACAGCCUAUCCCCGAAUUCAUUUCUUGGUUCUUGGUCACUAAUUAAUCUCACUUAUCUUUGUAAUUAAGUGGACUGGCAUUGUAUGCAACUCUGCAGGUUCAGUCAGUCAGAUUAAUCUUCAAGAACUCACACUUGCUAACCUCCGUUUCUUUUCGUUUCCAAAUCUCACCAAUCUCAACAUUACACAUAACAACUUCACUGGUCCAAUACCACCCGAGACUUUAGCUAUAGUAAUCUCAAUGGUACCCUUCCAUACCAGGUCAGCCAUCUUCAGAGGUCGGUCGUCUUAGGCCUCUAAUUUAAUCACUUGAAAGCUCUAAGCUUGUCCAAUUUUUCCCCCAUGCCUAUACUGGUUGGUCGCGGUCUUGGUGGUAAUAAGCUGGCGUCAAUUUUUCCAGAAUUCAUAUCUAAUUGCUAUAACAUGAUUAACCUUGAUCUUUCAUUUAACAUGUUAACUGGUGAUCCCUUCAACAACUUGCGAAUCUUGGAUCUCUUCGACAAUGAAUUCACUGGUUACUUGCCAAUCCAAUAUUUUAAUAAUAUGAAACCAGUUAAUACCGUGAUUGAUUAUUACAACAUAACAGUGAAUCAUGAUUAUCAAGCAUGUCUUGUUAACAUUUUGCACUCGUAUUAAUUGUCUUAUAUAUGACUAACUCAUCUUGCACUCGUAUUAAUUGUCUUAUAUAAUACUAAUAACAAAAAUAUGAGGCGGUGCUUAGUCAGAUGAUUUUAGUUGUUAAAAUAUUUUUGUGUUAUUUAUAGAUAGUGAAACAUGUCUAAUAUUUUAUCAAUUUUGUUUCGUUUCUUGAGAUUUCCAAAUAUUUAUUGGGACAUUGUACCAUGGUGUAUUUCACAUAUUCGCAAUUUUAAUUAUUUUGUAUUUUUAUUUUAAAGAUAUGAUAAAGUUUAUUUAUUUAUUUGUUUUUAUCUUAAAAGCGAUUUUCGAGUGUUGCUUAAACCUCGAAGAUUCCAAUCGAGUUUUAUUCUCGGAUCUGUUUCGGAAUUGAGCUUGGCCUUGAUUGUUUUCUGAAUAAAUCAGAUCUUUUGAAAUCAAAGGUUCGAUUGUGUUUUCCCGUCUCGCCUUUUGGCGUGUGUUGAUUUAGUACCCAAUUUUUGGGUGAUUCUGCGUUGUUAUAUUUGUGGUUGUUAUGUCUUUCUGUGUUAUCAAUGAGAAUGAUUGGGAUGGAGUUUUGGGAGAUUUGGCUUAUCGCAUCAUUACAUCUUUCGGCAUGUCUAUAGCUGGCUCCCGGCAUGUAGAUAGCUGGGGUAUGCUUGGAACGGUGGCGAUCGCAUGUGCUCACCUGUCACAAAUUAUAGUUGUUCAUUAUUCGAGGGCUCUUGUUCCUCGUUGCUUAGUUUUUACAACUGAGUCGUCUGAACACCGCAACAGCCAUGGAACUAUUGUGAAGGUCAAUUGUGAAGCUAUCAUUUUCGAGAUUGAUGUAGGCUGGAUUACUCGAGAAGCUUUUGUAUUCAUUUUCAGUUUCAAGAAUUCUUGAAUUCAGUGUGUUAAGCAGUCUGGAAACAAUGCGGCUAUUUGAUUAGCUCGUUUUAUUGUUUAUCAACCUGAUUGCAUUGUCAGUUGGGGAUUUGUCCCGAUUAAACUUGUUUUAAUAUAAUGGAAUGAAUUUGCAUUUUGUCAAAAAAAAAAAAAAAAAGCGAUUUUGAGUUGUUUGAGUUAGAUAUAUACUCCUACUGUGGUUCAACUAGUUUUGCCAUAAGUGAAUAACUUCCGGUCAAUAUUUUGAAAUUUGUCGUUAUCUUCUAAUUAAAAUAAAGGGUUAAAUAGCUACUUCAUCAUUAAUAUCGUUGAAAAUUUGCAGCUGAGUCAUGUUGUUGAAAAGACUUUCAAACUGCAUCAUUAAGUAAUUAAAAAAUUUCAAAAACACCACUCUCCGUCAGUUAUGUUAAACAAUUAACGGAAAGUUCGAAAAAAAAUAAAGAAAAGACAAAAAAACAUUAAAAAAAUUUGAAAAAAAAACCCGAAAAAAUGUGAAUAAACUAUGAUAUUUUUUUUCUUUUUUUGAAAAAUGUGAAUAAAAUCAAAAAAUCAAAAAAAAUGGGAAACCAAAAGUGGCAAGCUUUUUUUUUUUUUGUUCCUUUCAAAUUUUCUAAAAUCUGGGGAAAAAAGAACUUGCCAACUAAUUUUUUCCAAAUUUUUUCAAAUUCUUUUCAGAUUUUUGAAUUUUUUUCCAAUUUUUUCCUCACUUUUUUUCUGUUUUUUUUUGAAUUUAUUAAGAUUUUUUUUGUUUUUUCUGCUUAUUCUGAAUUUUUUAAGAUUUAUUCGCAUUUUUAAAAAAUAUUUUUGAAUUAUCCGUUAAGUAAUUAAUGGAACUGACGGAGAGUGAUGCUUUUGAAAGUUUUUAAUUACUUGAUAAUGCGUUUGAAAAUUUUUUCAACAACAUGACUCAGUUGCAAGUUUCCGGCGAGGUUAGUAAUGAAUUAGUUAUUUAACUCUUAAUAAAAAUCUAUCUAAACAAUAUUAUAAAUAUAAUGUUAUGGGUUCGAUGAGUCGUGUAAAACAUGGAAGAAGUUUAGGUGGGGUAAAAAGAGCCUAGCUGUGUGAUUUCCAUUCUGUUAUACGUGAUAUACUGUAGUUGAUCAUCUCCUUUGUCCGCUUCAUCCUGUGCAACCUUAACCUUUAAGGAAAAACUUAUGAGAUUCUCUAGUGCAUCUAAAUUCUUGUGUGAAGAAUGUGAAGAAAAAUGUUAGUCUCAGAUUAUUUUUCCUAAAAUGCUUGCAUGUUACAUUUUAUAUGUAUGUCCUGACUUUAAGUAUAAUUUAGCAUUUUUAUUUAGUAUUGUGUAAAAAUAAUAUAUUUUAUUCAGUCUUAUUAAAAAUAUAAUCAUGUUAUACUGUAAAAGUAUUUGUGAAUUUCUUUGUUACAUAUGUGUUUAAAUUAUUUUAUUUAUAUAUGUUUUACAAUUUUUUACAAAUAUAUAGGUUGAGUAUUGCAUAGGAAUAUAAUUACACGUUAGCAAAUAUGAUUAUGUGUAAACUGUUCUGCGUGCAUGUAUAUUGCUGCUAAGUUUUAAACUUCUUACUAACCGGAAUAAUUUUGACAGAUGUGUGGAACUUGAUUAAUUUAGUUGCACUAUAAGAGAAAGCGUUUUUGUCAAUAAAAAUUGUUAAGGAAAUUAGUCCGUUGGUAGUUCUCAACGGAUUUGUAACAAUUUGACUGGUCAAUGUUCUGUCAACCAAUUCGUAAUGAAAUACCCACACUUAUUUACAACGAGAUGUUCUAUUAGGAAAUAUAGCCACACAAUGGAAUAAUAACAAAAGACCAAGGAAUGAGCAACAGACUAGCAACGAAAGUAUCUGUUAUUACAUUCGUUGAUAUUCCCUUGAUAAAUACUAGACUUUUUAGCACUUUGGUGGCUUGUACUAUUUCAAAUUUGCACGUUAGUGGCCGACCUUUAAAAGUCAUCAAUUGUGUUGCUGAACUUAUUUUUUUUUAACACAUUAGGGGCUCCGCAUCAUAUCCGUUAAAUCGAAGUAACGGCGUCAAAUGAUCAAUACAUAUCUCCUCCUCCUCUUAUUUCCCUCCAAAUUAAAAAACGAAACGGCUACCCUCUUUUCCGAAGCAAGAACGACGACGAAUUCCUGCUUACAGAGAUGAGUUGGUUCCGGCGUCUUAAAGAGGAUGCUGAUGUGUAUUAGCCUCGACAGUGCCCCGAUUACUGUAGUAAGCUCUUCAACUUUUCUUCUUUGUAGCAUAUGAAAUGAGUUUAAUUGACCAUUAUUUCAGUGUUUGUUGUUGUUAGUGGCUAGUUGUUUAGUAUUAUGGACCUGCAAUUGCUUUAUACUAUUAAAAUGAAAGAUUCUGCUUGUGGGUUUUUAAAAAUUAAGGCUUUUACAUAGUCCAAGAUUCGGUCAUUAUAAAAUCAAUUUAUGCCUGUUUUAGUAUAGUGCUUGUUGUUAGUGGCUAUUUGUUAAGUAUAGUGUUGUUUAUUGUAAAUAAAACUGUUGCUUUGCACUCUACAUUUGCAGAACCUGGUGAUUUUACCCUAAAAAUAUAUCAUGGGGCCGAUUGGGUAGAUAACCCUAGGGCAUAUGUGGGAGGUACAGUAGAUUUCUUUGACUUCUGUAAUGCUGAUCAGAUCAGCAUAAUUGAGAUAUAUAGUAUGUUGAAAGAGGUUGAUGAGUUUGGGUUUCACCAACUGUGGUAUAAGCUACCUGGCACUACAUUCGAUAGAGCUUUUGUACUAAAUAAUGAUGAGGAGCUAAUGACCAUGUGUGAGCUUAUAUCUGAUGUGGAUAAGUAUAUGGAGAUUUAUGUCACCACUAUGGCACAUCUAAGUAUAGUGCCCUAUAGAGAUUUAGAGGUUGAAUUUGUUGAACCAACUCCUAAAGAAGCACCUGAAAAGAACAAUCCAUCACCUGAAAAGAUCAAUCCAGCACCUGAAAAGAUCAAUCCAGCACCUGCAAAGAUGUAUCCAGCACCUGCAAAGAGCAUUCCAACUGUGGGAAAUGAUGAUGAUCAGGAAGAGUUUGAGUUUGAUUUUGACAAUACACGGUUUUGGGAUACCACCCAAAAUGAAAUUGAAAUUGUGCAACAAGUUAGGGAAAUGGAGGGGUUGGAAGAGGAAUUUUCAGACACAGAUUCUGAUGAUGAGGAUUUUGUGCCAGAAGAAAAGGAAAGUAGUGAUGAGACCUUCCACUGUGAUAGUUCCAAUCAAGAUAAUUCUGAUGAUGAUUUGUUGUUUGAUGAUGAUUACUACCAUCCUUACCAGCAGAUGGAAACCAACAAAGAAAAAUAUACAACAACAACAACACAGCAAGAAUUUUCCAGUUCCUUGCUUGCUUCUGCGCCUCGGAUAGUUCUUCACUGUAGAAAUCCUUGUACUCAUCUUUGGCCUUAAUCAUUUCAGCAAAACAUUCAUCGUCCUUGUUCUUCAAACGCCUUAUCAGUCCAUUGAUUACACUCUUGCUGCGCGCAUCAAACUCGGGUUCAACCCACUUGAAGAAAUUGCACCUUCCAUUCACGCAAGUCAAGAAUCUUCUACCCGGAUUGUACUCCGUCCACGAUGUCUUCUCCACUGCCCAGCUUCCACACAUACAUUGUUGAUUCAUCUUUGCAGAGCUUUUUGGUUUGGAUGAGAGAUUUAGGUUUGAAUAUGCUCAAUUACACACAGCAGAAACGUAUAUAUAUACACAGCAUAUAGCCGUUGCAAAAAUAUUUUCCUGAAAUACCCCUGACGACCGUUACUUCGAUUUAAUGGAUAUGAUGCGGAGCCCCUAAUGUGUUAAAAAAAAAAUAAGUUCAGCAACACAAUUGAUGACUUUUAAAGGUCGGUCACUAACGUGCAAAUUUGAAAUAAUACAAGCCAUCAAAGUGCCAAAAAGUCUAAAUACUAACAGUUUCGUUAGUAAUUGAUUAUUAGUUUUACAUGGACAAUUGAUAUACACCACAUGAGCACAUACACGGAUACAAUGCCAGGCUCUUAGUUGAAAUGUGUGUACUGCUAAAGCUCAAGGAGAUUUAGUUGACUAAAUUGAUUUGAGUUGUAGAAAAAGGUUUAAUAAUAUAAUGGACUUUGAUAUAUGUAUUGUAGAUAUUAAGUAAUUCUCUUGAAUUUAUAUAUGUAACAUAAUUGUUAAUUGGCUCAUCCUUAACUAGAUAUUUUAUAUUACAUUCUUAACUACAGAUUUUGUAUUUAAAAUUUUUUUAAAAAAUUAACCUUUAUUUGGUAUGUGGAUUUUGUAGUCAAAUGUGGUCAAUUUACUUAGCCUUCGAUCGAAUACCUACCCAAAACAUAAAAAUAUUUUUUAAUCAUUUAUUUUCGACGAUCCAACUAUACGGAUAUUAUUGUAAUGUGAUAAUAUUGUUUACAAAUUUUUUUUAAAAAAAUUAGCCUUUUAUUUGGUAUGCGCAUUUUGUAGUCAAAUGCAAUUAAAUUACUUAGUCUUUAGUGGAAUCUUUACCCGAAACAUAAAACUUUUUUUUAAAAAAAAAUUUGGACAAUCCAACCGUACAGAUGUUAUUGUAACGUGUUAAUAUUGGUUAAAAUAAAUUUUGAGAAAAUAUGUCUUUUAUUUGGUGUGUGGAUUUUGUGGUCAAAUGCGGUCAAAUUACUUAGCAUUUAAUCGAAUACUUACCCAAAACAUGAAACUAUUUUUUUUAAAAAAUAAUUUCGGACGAUCCAACCGUACGGGGGUAUUGUAACACAAUAAUAUUGAUUAAUUUUUUUAUAGGAAAAUUAUAGCCUUUUAUUUGUUGUGUGGAUUUUGUUGUCAAAUGCAGUCAAAUUACUUAGCCUUUAAUGAAAUACUUACAUUAAACAUGAAUUUAUUUUUUUUUAAAAAUCAUUUGGAUGAUCCAAUCGUACGGAUGUUAUUAUGACAUGUUAAUUGAUUAAAAAAAUAUUUAAAAAAAAUGCCUUUUAUUUAGUAUGUGGAUUUUGUAGUAAAUGCUACUUAGCCUUUAAUCGAAUACUUACCCGAAACAUGAAACUAUUUUUCUAAAAAUCAUUUUGGACAAUCCAACCGUACGGAUGUUAUUGUAACAUGAUAAUAUUGAUUGUUUUUUUAUAUAAUAACCUUUUAUUUGGUGUGUGGAUUUUGUAGUAAAAUGCGGUCAAAUUACUUAGCUUUUAAUCGAAUACUUACCUGAAACAUGAAACUAUUUUUAAUAAAAUUAUUUUAGAUGAUCCAACCAUACAGAUGCUAUUGUAACGUGAUAAUUGAUUAUUUUUUAAAAAAAUUAGCCUUUAAUAUGGUGUAUGGAUUUUAUAGUAAAAUGAGGUCAAAUUACUUAGUCUUUAAUGGAAUAUUUAUUAGAAAUAUAUUUUAAAAAAUUAUUUUGGACGAUCCAAACUGUAUGAAUGUUAUUUUAACAUGUUAAUAUUGAUUAAAAUUGUUUUUAAAAAAAAAUUAGUUGUAUUUUAUGUGUGAAUUUUUAGUCAAAUACGAUAAAAUAUUUAUUUAGCUUGUAAUGAAAUAUUAAAACCCUACUUCAAAAGAAACUUGUCUAAAACUACCUAUAAGUGUUAGAGAAUCAUCGAUUUAGUUAUCAAAUUAGUUAUCAUAAGGGUUUUACUCCGCUUUUCUCUGGUAUGAUGUUGAUUUUUGGGGUUUGAUUGGUCGAUUUUCAUGUUUUAUAAGUUAUGUGAGUUCGAUUUUGAUGUUUUUACAAUUAGGUUUAUGUAUGUUCUUAUACAGGUUUCAUGUUCAUGUUUUGAUUUGUUGAUUUCCUAUUUUUCAUAUUUUGUUGAUUAGUUAUUUGUGUGGGUUUUGAACUUUGAUGAGUGUGUAUGUAAUCUCCUGUUUUUUUUUUUCAUUUUUCUGGUUCGAACACUUCGAUUAGUAGCUGGAAAAACAGCUGAUGCGGCAGUAGCGGCUAGUGAGAUGGAUAACAAGAAAAGGAUGAUUUCGAGGUCAUCUCGUGCAAGUCUUCAGAUAUAGUUUUGUUCCUUUAUGUUUUUAAUUGACAUAAAUUUUCACAUUUGAUGAUUAUAUUAUGGGGGAUUCUGGGUAUACUUGUAUAUAAUCUAGCAAGUUAUUAUAAUUCUGGACGGGGGGCUUAUUGUGAAAUUAAAUUGAGGGAUAAGUUGUGUUAUUGGUUCUAGUGGAUUAAAUUUAUGUUGACACUUGAUAUAUGCAUUGAUGUCGUAAAAUAAGUUGCACAUCAAACUAUUUGGCUUGUUUAAGUUGUAUGGAGUAAGGCUGUACGCGGAUCGGAUCGGUUCGGUUGGAGGGUAAUAACCAAACCAAACCGCAACUUACGGUUUUCUAAAAUCUCAAACCGCGACCAUACUGUUGGUUAAAAAAACCCAACCAAAUCCAUCCACGUAAUUGCGGUUGGUUGCGGUUCAACUGCUAAAAUAGUUAUAACAAAGAAAAUAUAUAAGUUAUUGCUUAAAAUCUUGCAUAAAGUACAGACUUUAACUCAAAAAUAUAUAAUUUAUCACUUAAAAUCUUGAAUAAAGUUAAUACAAUAAAUCUGAUUACAUAUUACAAAAGCAAACUACUCCGGAAAUAUAUAACUUGAAGCAGAGCUUCAAGUUAAUGGUUAUUAAAAAUUUCAUCCGCGACUGCCCACAUUUUACGGUUAUCCAUAAUACACGGAUCGGUUGCAGGUGGUUGUUGCGGUUAAUGCGGUGGAGCGGAUUGAACGUACAGCCCUAUGAAGUAUGGUUGCCAAGCAUUGGUUGGUUGUACACGUGUAAACAAAAUGAUAUUUUAAUAUUUAAACAAAACAAUACAGUCAUAAACAGAUCGUGUCGGGCUGGACUGAUUGUGAUUUUCCUUUUUGGAACUCGUACUCGGCAUCUUCCAAGCGAAUGAUAUUUAGAAGUUUGUUGCUAGUAUACUCCAUGUCAUAAUAAGAGUUCUUUAGAUUUUUUAUAUGUAAUUCGAAGUAUAAAAAACAUAUUUUAACAUAUUAUUUUUAAAUUUUUUAUACAUAAAAAUAUAACAUCUAUAUUUUUAUUUAGAAAAAAAUUUGAAAUAUAAUAUAUAGAUGCAUGUCUUUUUUAUACGUGAAAUUACAUGUAAAAAAUUAAAAGACUCUUAUUUUGAGUAAGAGAGAAUAUGAUGUACCAUAAAGUCAUCGAUCUUUUGUUAUCAAAUAAAUGUGAUAUUUAAUUAUUUAAGAGCAAGUCCAAAAGUAUCUUAGUUAAAGUCCUAAAUAUAAUAUAAAAUAUUACGUUCUGGUGAUUUAGGAUAUAUUUUACUAACUUGGACUCCAACAAUGUGUCUUAUUCUCAUAAGAAGUUUAAUAUUUUAUUAUUAAAGACUCUCUUUCAUCAUUAAAGCAUAAUAUAAAAGUAGAGAGAGAAAAAGAGUGUUGAUAAGAAUUAAUAAUAAAAUAUGGGAUAGGGUUAGGAGAGAUGUGCCUCAAAAAUAGGGUUUGAGGAGUUUCAUUAGGUGUGGACACGGAGACCAAGAAGUAAAAGAUGAGUACAGUUAAAUGAAGAUGUGGUAAAAUAAUGUGACCCAUUUAUAUUUAAUAAUACAUUUGAAAUAGUGGAGGAAAGUAACGAGUGUAAUAACGUUUAUAUUAUUAUAGCAUAUAGAUAGCAGAAGAAAGCAAUGGGUAUAAAAGUGUAUUAUAUUAUUAAAGUUUUGAAAUGUUUAGAAAUAAUGGGGCAAUCAAAAAGAAAACUGUAUAAAAAUGGACGAGAGAAUACAAUUCAAGAAGUAAUAUAUCUCAAUUCAAACUAGGUAAUAUAUUUAUGAAUUAUAUUAAAAAAAAUUUGACAUUCAAAUAUAAAAAUUUAUUUUAUCAUCUUAACAAUGGAAUAUUCGAUUAUUAACUUUCGUAAAUAACAUUAAUUUUUCAUUAUAAUAUACUCUAAACUUUUAUUUUAUGUGCCUGUUUGUUUACAAGAAGCUGGAGUCCUACUUCUCUUGACUCGUUUGUGUAAAAACGUAAAAAGUGCUUUUAAAAAGUACUGAGAAGGAAAUGGAAGUAGAAAAUGCUAGUUUUUCUUUAUAAUAUCUAUUUCUUUUCUAGACACUUUAAUAAUUUAUAUAUAUUAAUUUAUUUCUCACUUAUACUCCAUUUUUUUAUAGAGAACUUCUUUUAAACUAAUCGGCUCCUAUAAUCAGUAGUUUCUCAAUUUUAAUAGGAAUAAGAGCAUGUUUAUCUGAGCUUAAAGCCCGGGGUUUAUAUCAUCUCUGGCUUUAAGCUGAAAAAUGUAUGUUUGUGUAUUAAGUCGGAAGUCGGCUUAAAGUCGGAAAUAAGUCAAAAAUUGACCUAAAACCAGAAGUUAGUUUGAGAUACUUUUCUCGGUGACUAAUUUUUUUUUUAGCCAUUUUUUGAUAAAAAUUAUUCCUAAAUCACAAAUUACUCAUAAAUUACUUUUAUUAUUAUUAUUAUUAUAUUUUUAAUAACUUAUAAAUUAUUAAUAAAUCAAAAUUAAUCAAACAAAUAUUUUAAGUUCUCAUAUUAUGAGAUAACUAACGUUAAGUCAUGAAUCAACUGAACGGGAUGUAAGUCUUCUUCUCCCCGAGUCAUCAGCAGACUUUUUCCAUGUCUUCUGAGCCCCCAUUGGCUCACAAUUGGCCCAAAAAAUAUUUGGUUAUGCAUUGCUAUUCACACACUUAGACAUCAAAAUUUAUCAUCCGACAGGCGACAGCUAACUGCACACUAUUUUUCCCACAAGCUGAAAAAUCAACGAUCAAUUAAUUUUUCUUAUCAAUUAAUAAAGUUAUGAUUUCACGUACACGGCAGGCAAAAUGCUAAUAAAUAGACGAGUGCAGUAUAGUAUGGGUUCAUGAUCACCUUGAGAUUUAAUUGAAAAAUAUUAUGGUGAUAUAGAUUAAAUUAAAUUAUAAUAUCUUGAAAAGUUAUAAAUAAUUUUAAUUACUAAUAAUAUUUAUUUGUACAUUUAAAUAUUUUUAUAAAAACACAAAAAUAGCAUUAUACUCAUUUAAGUUUCUCGUAUCCGCCUCUCUUCUUGGAGAUUGUGGAUUUGCGAUAUUUAUAUUGAUUAUUAUAGGAAAAUGUUAUUUCCAGAGCAAACAUUUUUAUUUCCGGAGCAAAUUCAAACAAAUUUUUCCAAAUUGUUCUGGAAAUUAAAAUAUUGAUAUGGAUAUAACAAUUCCCUUAUUAUAUCCUAUGUAUAUUACAUUAAUGCAAUUAACAUGGUUGAUUGUUUUAGUAUAUAAUCAUAUUACUGUGACCUUUUAGUAUAUAAUUAUAUUAUUUUUGUUAUAUUUUAUGCAUCUAGAAACAAUUUUUUUAUGAUAUUUAUUAUAUUAAUUAUAGUAAAAGAUAUAAUUUUGUUUAAAAAAUUGAAUAAAACUAAGAGGGAUAGCCUACGUCUCUCCGAGUCUUCGAGGACUCAUUCCAAGUCCGAGAGGACCACAGCCUCAACCUUUAAGAGAUGUGAAAGUAGCUUGAGAGUGAUAUAAAUUUAUUUUUGACAAUAAAAUUUAAUAAUCAAAUAAAUUAAAUUAAAUUAAACUAGUUUAUAAUCGAUUAAAAAUAUAUAAAUCAAAAUUAUUCCCGAAUUAUGAUAACAAUUAAAAUCAUUUUAAAAGUUGCAUAAAUCAAAUCCAAAUCGAACAAAUUCCCCUAACACUAAAAUGUAGUUGCUUUAUUGUAGAUAAAAACAGUAUAAUAAUAGUAUUGAUGAAAAAUCAAAUUCAUCAAAUAAGUUUAUAAAAAAUACAUGAUUUUAAUUUUAAAAAAAAAACAUGAUUUUAGUGUGUUGUAUUAGUAGUGUGUCCACGCAUUUAUAUAUUAAAAUCUAUCCUCUAAAAACUAUCGAUCUAUUUACACAACUAUUGAUCUGUCGUGCAACAAAUUCCAGGGCGAAGUUCCAAAGAGAGCUUAAAUGGCUUGCAUUGCUCAAUCUAUCUCAUAAUAGUCUUAACGACAUAUGUUCUGAAUUAUUAUUAUGAUUUCAACAAUAUUUUCAAACAUUUCUUAAUAUGUAUUUUCAAAGAAUUCUCAAGCACUUGAACAUUUGGACCGGUUCUUUCGAAGCCAGGCAAUGCACAAAAAUGUCCAAAAAUGAAUAAAUUAAGAGAGAGUAGCUCACCCUUUCAAAGCCUUCCAGGACUCAUUCCAAGUCUUCGGAGGACCACUGCCUCCCCCUUUCAAAGAUGUGAUAGUAGCUCGAGAGUGAUAUAAAUUAUUUUCCCGACAUUAAAAAUAAAAAAUCAGAUUAAAUUAAUCAAUAAUAACUUAAGGAUGAAAUCCAAAUUAAUCCUAAAUUUUGAUAAUAUAUAAAAAUUAUAAUUAUAAAUUAUAUAACCAAAUCAGAAUUGAAUUAACUUACUUGGCACUAGAAUUGCUAAAGACAGUAUAAUAAUUUAAUUGAUGAAAAGUCAAAGUCUUCUAAUAAAUCCAUAAAGAAUAUGAUAAUAUGAAAAUUAUAAUUGAAAAAUCAAAAUCAAUAGUGUAUUGGAAUAGUGUUCACACACUUAUAUAUCAAAAUUUGUGGUCCAAAAACUAUAGCACAAUAUCCUAAAUACAUCACAUUAAAUAAUAGCACAAAAAUAUUCAAUAAAUAAUUGAUUUCAUUCAUAAAUUUGUUAUUUUAAAAACUAAUAAUUUGGUUGAUGUUAACCUAUAUUUUAUAUAUAAUUUCGUCUUAUUUUAUUUUACUAGAAACAAUAUUUUUAUAAUAUUUAUUACAUUAAAUAUAUUAAAAGAUAUAAUUUUAUUAAAAAAAUUGAAUAAAAUUAAAAGGAUAAGUCUCGGCCUCUCCAAGUCUACAAGACUCAUUUCAAGUCCACCGAGGGCCUCAACCAUUGAGAGAUGUGAAAGUAGCUUGAGAGUGAUAUAAAUUAAUUAAAUUAGUUAAUAAUGAAUCAAGACUAAUCAUGAAUUAUGAUAAUAAUUAAAUAAAUUAUAAAAUUAAAUUAUACAAAUAACACUAAACCUUAGUUACUUUAUUGGUAAAUAAAUAUAAUAUAAUAAUCAAAUUGAUGAAAAAUCAAAAUCAUUUAAUAAAUUCACAAAAAAUAUAUGAUCAUUAGUAUGUUAUAUUAGUAUCCACACACUUAUAUUUCAAAAUCUAUCCUCCAAACUUAUCAUCUCUGUAAACUAGCCACAUAAAAUAAAAAUUUAAAGAUAUUAGAUAUUUAGUUAUUUUCAUUAUAUAAUUUUUCCACACGAAAUAACAAAAUAUCUUUAUCAAAUUAUUAUUUAUGAGUUAAAUAUUCAAUUUAUAAAUCCAGUAUGCAGCGUAUAAAUAGAAGUGUGCAGUAUGAUAUCAGAUUCACAUAACCCAGUUGAUGAGGAGAAACAUGGCAUACUCUGCAAAGCCUUCUCACCUUCUUCUCUUUGUUUUCUUUCUCUCAUCACUUGAAUCCAUUCUUGCAACAACACGAGAGGGAGAAGCUCUUGUGAAGUGGAAGAAUAGCCUAGCCCCUUCUUCUUUUCUCGACUCUUGGUCACUCACCAAUCUCGAUAAUCUUUGUAACUGGACUGGCAUUACUUGUAACUCUGCAGGUUCAGUCUCUGAGAUUAACCUUAGUGAGAAACAACUUGAUGGAAUGCUGUCCGAGUUUGGUUUCACUUCAUUUCCAAAUCUCAACAAUCUCACCCUCGCAUACAACUUCUUCUCGGGUCCAAUACCGCCAGCCAUUGAGAAUUUAACACAGCUUCAAUACCUUGAUUUAAGCUUUAAUUAUCUCGAUGGUCCCAUUCCGUUCCAGGUUAGCCAUCUUCAGAGGUUGCUCAUCUUAAACCUGUCACAGAAUGCAUUGCAAGCUCCAAAUUGGUCCCAUUUCUCUCCCAUGCCUUUCUUGCGCAUCCUCGACCUUAAUAGCAAUCAUCUUGCGUCGAACUUCCCAGAAUUUAUAUCCAAUUCUCAUAGCUUGGCUAUCCUUGACCUUGGAUAUAACAACUUUACAGGUGACCUUGUGCGUGAAUUUACUAAUCUACAAAAUCUUGAAACCCUCUACCUAGAUGAAAAUUCUUUUGAGGGGCCAUUUCCGCCGGAUGUAUUCAGGCUUUCCAAAUUAAAACAUCUUCGCCUGUCAGGUAACAAAUUCUCAGGUUCAAUUCCCAAUGACAUAAGGUUGCUUUGUGAUCUUGAAUCCCUAUAUUUAAGCAACAAUUCCUUUAAAGGACCCCUUCCAUCAAAUAUAUUCAAGCUUUCAAAAAUAAAACAUCUUGUUCUUUGGAGUAAUAAGUUUUCUGGUUCUGUUUCCAAUGAUAUAGGUUUACUUUCUGAGCUUGAAACCCUCGAUCUUAACUCUAAUUUUUUUGAGGGGCCGCUUCCGUCAAAUAUAUUCAAGCUCUCCAAACUAAGGUAUCUUUCCCUUUGGGGUAAUAACGUUUCAGGUUCUAUUUCCAAUGAUAUAGGUUUGCUUUCUGAGCUUGAAACCCUCGAUCUUAACUCUAAUAUUUUUGUGGGGCCGCUUCCGCCAAAUUUAUUCAAGCUCUCCAAACUAAAGAUUCUUUCCCUUUAUAAAAAUAACUUUUCAGGUUUUAUUUCUAAGGAUAUAGGUUUGCUUUUUGAACUUGAAACCCUCUAUCUUGGCUCUAAUUUUUUUGAGGGGCCGCUUCCCCCACAUGUAUUUAGGCUCUCCAAAUUAAGAGAUUUGGGUCUCAGAGACAAUAGAAAUUUAUUUCAAGGAAGUAUUCCUAUUGGACUGGGACUCUUGACUAAUCUCAGGUACUUGAGUCUAUUUUCCAAUGAUCUCAGUGGCUAUAUUCCAUCUGAGAUUGGAAACCUGAAGCUACUAAAAGUUCUUGAACUCGGUUCUAAUCAAUUGACAGGACCGCUUUUAAAGAUAGUUUCUAAUCUCAAAAAUCUUAUAUAUCUUGGUGUAAGUGGUAAUAGUCUUAGUGGAAAUAUUCAGAGUGACUUGUGGAAAUAUAACGAUCAUCCAACUUUGGAAUACAUCAAUUUAAGUGGGAACCAUUUUACGGGUAUAGUUUCUCUCUAUAGAUCUUUGUCAUAUGUAACUAAGCUAGUAAUCUGAUUAUUGCCUUUUCACCAAAGUUUCAACAAUCUUGACAGGUGAGCUUCCAACAACAAUUUGCAAUGUCACAUCCCUUUUGCUUCUUGAUUUGUCAAAUAAUGAAUUAAGUGGUGCACUUCCAAACUGUUUCGGAAAUCUUGCUGAUAGAUUGCUUUACGUUAAUCUUGCUAAUAAUCAGUUUCGAGGAACAAUACCAACUACUUUCUCCAGGAGUUGUCAGCUGAAAUAUCUAAACAUGGAUAAUAAUGAGUUUGAAGGAUUGUUGCCCCCGUCUUUGGAAAACUGUAAGCACUUGAGAAUUCUUGAUAUUGGCAAUAAUAAAAUAGGUGGUACAUUUCCGUCAUGGCUUUAUGUACUUGGAGAGCUAGAAGUCCUUGUCUUGCAAUCAAAUAAACUCUAUGGUACAAUAAGUGGAAGGAGCAUAGAAGAUCCCUUCCGCAAGUUGCGGAUUGUGGAUCUGUCCAACAACCACUUCACAGGCCAUUUGCCAAUUCAAUACUUUAAGAAUAUGAAAUCAACUGAUAAUUUGUAUAGUUAUCAGCUUUCCACAGCAGUUUUUUCUUUCCAUUAUGAAGCAGCAGUCUCAUUAAUUGUGAAGGGAACAGAGUAUGAAGUAGCAAAUAACCUUCAUAUUUACACAGCCAUUGAUCUGUCGUGCAACAAAUUUCAGGGAGAAAUUCCAAAGGUUACUGGAGAGCUUAAAUGGCUGGCAUUGCUCAACUUAUCUCAUAAUAGUCUAACAGGACCUAUCCCGUCAUUGCUGAGAAAUAUGAAAGAACUCCAAUCUUUAGAUUUGUCCUCAAAUCAACUGACGGGGGCUAUUCCACCUCAGUUAACUGCGCUGACAUUUCUAGAGGUCUUAAACCUCUCGGGAAACCAUCUUAGUGGAGAGAUUCCUCAGAAAGGACAAUUCAGCACAUUCAACAAUGAUUCGUAUCUAGGAAACUCCGCUUUAUGUGGAUCACCAUUGACGAAGAAAUGUGCAAACACAGCAUCACCUCCACAAGAAGUCGGAAAUGUUGAUGAAGAUUAUGCGGGUGAUGAAUUGACAUGGGAAGCAAUCAUGAUCGGAUAUGGAUGUCGACUGAUAUGUGGAUUGUCAUCUGCAUACAUUGUUCUCAAACUAGGAAAGCCUUGGUAGUUUGUGAGAUAUGUCGAAGUACUGCAACAGAAGUUGAUGAAAAGAUGCUUGAAGAAAGGUACUGGUCGACCAAUAAGAACUUGAAAGUUGUUGUCCUGGUAGACAUUUCUGAACCAGUAGUAUUUGGUAUUAUGUGAUAUUCUGUUUGGUCCGGACUCAUAACGAUUUCGCUUGCUUCAGGAGUAUUAAUAUUAACCUUCCUAUCUUGAUCAAUGUUAAUGCAAAUUAAAAUGAAAAGGCAAAAAAUAUGCAUCAAAUCCCCUCCUGUUGUACCAAGAUUCAUUAAUUAAGAGGCAUGGCUUUUGUCUCUCCAAGUCUUCGAGAAAUUAUUCCAAGUCUUCUUUGGAGGCCUACUGCCUCAACAACCUUUCAAAGAUGUAGCAGUUGCUCGACAGUGAUAUAUAUAUUAGAUAAAGACUAUGCAACAACCAACGUGACAGAAAAAUCAAAAUAGGACAAAAUCCGUACGAAUCAAAAUAGUUUAUUUCUAAGGGGAAUAGCUGAAUUAAAUUGUAAGAGAAGUAAAACAGAUUCUUUUAUAUUUUGGAAUAUAACUGAAAAAGAUUUUGAGAUAAUUUUCAGAAAUCAAACCAGUCAAAUAAAUAUUCGCUGAAGGAACAGAGUAAAGAUACAACGAAUAUAACAAGUUGUAAGAUGAAUAUCGCUGAAUCAAACAGGGUAGAACCCGUACAAAAACGCCAAACAGAAAGGAUCAAAACAGAGUAAUCAAAUUUACCUAACACUAAUAGAAGUAGUGCUGAAUAAAAGAGAACGAAAUCUGUACCUUAAAAAUAGCAAACGCAAACACUAACCAACCUCACAAGGGACCAUCUAAACUCCCUAACCCCGACUUUAUCUUAAACUCCAAAUAUCUCCCUGACUCCAAUAUGCCCAGAACAAUAAACGAAUGUUUUGACCUUCUAAACGAUGUUUUCUGGAAUAACGCAAAACACGAAAAUCGUAGAGAACGAAAAGACCUUUCCGAAAAGGUAAGGCUCGUCAAGAACGGAGUCAUAACGAAUCGGGAAUUAAAUAAAACGUCCGCUGAUUCAGAACUCAAAGCGAGAACAGGAUCUGAUUAAGUUUUGUAAUUUUGAGAACAGUUUGAAACAUAAUCUGAGAAAACAUUAUAAACGAAAGUAUAUGAGAUUGAAAGAGCUUUCCGAAACAUCAAGAAUCAUCAAAUUCCGAUAAGAAUUGAAUUUUCUACGAAUUUUACAAGACAGCUGAUUUGUGAGAAUAAAGCCCUACGAAUUUUUGUCAUAAAAAUGAAGAGAAGGUUGAGUAGCUCUCAAAAGUAUAUAAAAAGAAUGAGAGAACAAAUCAAUAUACUCCCUUUGUCCCUCUCGUUUAUUUACAGUGUUUGACACGCAUUUUAAAGCGCAUAUAAAACAUAGUUCUAUGAUUUAUUUUCAAAAUUUUUCUUUUUUGUAUAAAAAUUUAAACAUCAAAUUUUUAUCUAGAAAAAAAGGAAGUUCAAAAUAAUUUAUUGAACUACGUUUUACGAGAGCAUUAGAAUGCGUGCCGAGCCCCCGUCCCCCAAUGUAAACAAAUGAGAGGGACGGAAGGAGUAUAUAUACAGAGUCUUGAGACCCUAAUUCUAAACCUAUCCAUUAUCUGAAUGCAAGGCUGAUCUAUAUUUUAAGUACACUAUCCUAAUUCAAUUUUAAAUCCUAUUCAUAAUCUAAUUUUAAUCCUUUAUUAUUAUUACUAACCAAUUAAUAUUAUUUUAAAAAAAUACUGGAUAUUACAUUCCUGAUCAGACUAGUGAUCGGAUUGCAACCGCAAAGCAGCCUAUAUAUAGUGACAAUUAAAUACACAACAAAACAACUUCUUUCUUCUCUCUUGGGUUAUAAUACUCAGACGGACAAGCUAUAUCUGAGGCGAUUUUCUGGGCGAUUAAACACACAAUAAAAGCAGCUUCUUCUUCUUCAAUUAAGGUUUAUUCUACACCCAAUCACAUACACACACACACUUUAAUAUGACUAGUGAGUUCAAUUUUUGGUGGUAUUAUAUGAUUAUCAUGUUCUCUUUUUAAAUAUUAGUAACGUUAUUUUCGGAGUGGACUCUGUUGAUGUUUAAAUUUGAUAUAGAUAUUGUAAUUGAAAAUUUAUGUUGAUUUGUUGUUCAGAUUUCAAGUAUUAAUUUGUGUGUGAUCAAAAUUUUGCUUCUACAUCGAUUAUCAGGAGGAAAUAUGAGGCCGAUCUUGAUCAAAGGACACGAAAGGCCAUUAACAUAUCUAAAGUAUAACAAGGAGGGUGACCUCCUCUUCUCCUGCGCAUUAGACAGAAACCCCGCUGUUUGGUACGCUGAUAAGGGAGAGCUUUUAGGCACUUACCGUGGGCACAUUGGUUCUGUUUGGGGUUGUGAUGUUUCUAGGGAUUCAAAACUUUUAAUAACUGCAAGUGCGGAUCAAACAGCAAAGGUAUGGGAUGUUCAAACUGGGUCUGAGCUGUUCACGUUUGAAUUUAAGUCCACUGUGAAAUCAGUAGAAUUUGGUGUCGGAGACAAGCUUGCUGUCAUUGCAACAGACUCCUUUCGUGACAUGUCUUCUGCAAUUCAUGUCAAACACAUAGCCAGAGAUCCUAGUGAACAGUGCGGUGAUUCUGUGAUUGAAUUCUCACCUGGAGGAAGAAUCAAUAGAGCUGUUUGGGGACCUUUAAAUAGGACCAUAAUAAGUGGUGGUGAACAAGGCGUUGUUCGUGUGUGGGACGUUGAGACAAAGAAAGUGAUUUAUGAGUCAGACAAGGAUACUGGUCAUCAGAAGGCCAUUACAUCACUUGCAAAAUCAAGAGACGGUUCACAUUUACUUACUGCUUCCAUUGACAAAUCAGCUAAGCUUUGGGACAUCAGAUCAAUGAAACUUCUCAGGACAUACAAGGCUGAAGCCCCAGUUAAUGCAGUUGCACUCUCUCCACUACUUGAUCAUGUCGUGCUCGGAGGUGGUCAAGAUGCAUCGACUGUUACAAACGAUCCUCGUGCUGGCAAGUUUGAGGCCAAAUUUUAUUCCAAGGUCCUUGAAGAAGAAAUUGGAUCUGUGAAAGGACACUUUGGUCCGAUAAAUGCAUUGGCAUUCAACCCUGAUGGAAAAAGUUUCGCAAGUGGAGGUGAAGAUGGUUAUUUGCGAUUACAUCACUUUGAUCAUGACUACUUCAACAUGGCGAUUUAAUUCGAAUUACUUACAUUGCUACGUCUUUUUUUUUUUUUUUCCGGUUUUAUUCAAGUUAUUUUCUGGUUUUUAUGUUGAUCUUAUGUUCUUUGUUAUAAAUAGAAGUGUGGUUCCUUUUAAAACUAUUUACAUAAGUUUUUGGCUUUUCAUGUAAUUUAAUCAAAGUAAAUGCCAUGAGAUCCUGAAUAUAUCUACUUAUCUAUCUAUCUACUUAUUAAAGCAGAAUCAGGGGAAAAAUAUACCAGAAAUUGGAUGAAAAAUUUACAUACACACCCUCAAUUAUUCAUCAAUUCCGAAAUUGGCCUGUAGUUUAGCUGUUAACUUGCAGGAUUUUUGUAAAAGUAGGAAUCAGCGAUUCUUAGGUACCCCAGUGACCCCGAAUCGGUUUCUCAGAUUCUUGGAAAUCCUCGGUCAGUUGAUUUAGAUUGUGGGCAUAUAUACACCUAUAGUCAGCCUCCGGCGGUGCAAUCUUUUGGUGGUGUUUUUCAGCCUUUUCUGCUAUAGCGAUUCUUGUUAAAACAUUCAGGUGCUAGGGUUGUUUUGUUGGUAAAGGGAAUUGGAUUGUUGUAUCUGCGGUUGUGGCAAAGGUAAUUUUCUUGCCCUUGCUAUUCUUUUGGGAUGUCUGAUUAUAAAUAGCCCUUCUAACUUUGUUCACCUGUUCUGUAUGAUGUGUGUCAUUUGUGAUUGAGUCGAGCAGUAUAUCAUUUUGAUGCAUAUUGUUAAUUUCACUCUGGGAAAUUUUUAUGCUGAUGUUUGGGCAAUUAAUUCUGGUUAUUUCGUUGAUUUUGUUUGUGGUUUGUUUCCACCUGCCAUUAGAACUGUAAAGUAAAGUGUAUUUAUUGAUCAUGAUUCAAGUGUUUGUAGAUAAUCGAUGUGGGUGACAAAGAAGCUGCAAAUGAUGAUGGUUCUUCACAAAUUUUAUCUGCUUUGCUUCCUUUUGUUGUGGCUCUCACCAUGGUUGUCAAGUCGACGACUGCUGUUGCUGCUCUUGCUCAGCCCUCAACUUUCACCUGGUAACAACUUUUGUAUGUUUGGUAAAAUAUUUUGAUUUUUUUUUUUUUGUAAGGGUAAAAUAUUUUGAUUGUGAUAAGCUAAUUUAUUGUUUUUUAAUGAUUCCAACACUACAACAGAUUUAGCAUCACACAACGGUUUUUGCCCGUUGUCUGAGACCACGGAAAACCGUGGUCUAUCGAGACGCCGUCUGAUAUGCGUAUCAGACAACGGUGCGCACCGUUGUGUGAUAGUGCUAAACACGAUGGUUUACGUUAAAAAAAUUGUUGUGCAACACCCAGAACCAACAACGUUUACUCUUAAACGUGGUGUUGUUAGAAACACUCCUUAACAAUAGUCGAUUUCAAAAAUGGUGUUGUUAGAGAGACUAUCCACAACAGUUUUAUUAGCUCGCAAGACUUGUUGGAAAGAUGAUCAUACAACAGUAGUUGAAAUAGAGAAGCUCGUUCUUUCCUCUCUUGUACAACGGGUUUCGAACACCAAGCCACUUGUGUAAGGCCCCUUCUAACAAUGUUUUAAUUAGUGAGGUUGUUGUGUUUAGUUACGUCAGACAAUGGUUUUCUUUCAUAGUUGGUUGUCGUUUACAUGUUUUAACAAUUGUUUCUGUUUCAUCAUUAUUGCAAGUCAUUUGUUUGGACAAUGGUUUUGUGACAAUAAAUCAUUGUUUCCAGUUUUAUGAGACAAUGUUUUUAAUGAAUAAUGAUUAUUGUAUCAUGUUCAGUAUGACAAUGGCCCUGUAUUAUCCCAUUACCUAAAUACAUAAUAGACAAUGAUUAACAUAACUCGAUUAAACUAAGCUAGAGAAUGUAAUUAAAAAGCCAAAAAUUUGUAAACAAAAAAUUUCAUUAUGCACUAAUAACCAUUGUUACAACCAAAUCAUAUAUACCAUCCAAUAUCCAGAAAUAUUUCCCCCGAGGAUGGCAAAUCUCAAAAAUAUAAAUACCUACAAUAAAUGGUAGCAUCUAGAGAGGCAUAUGUGACUACAAGAGUCUUUUGUGAGCUUUUCAACUACCCAGCCCAGGAACAAUCCUCUGAUUGCAUUCUUUUGAUUCGGAUGGAGCCCUCCUGCUAUCUCUUUUGGAAGUGACUCUACUGCAACCACCUGUAAUACAUAAAAAAGUUCUUGAUAUGCUUUUCGUACAAAGAAAUUAAUGUGGUUGAGGAGUAUGUUUCGAGUUCAAAAUAUACCAGUGUGCCAUCUUCCAUGGUUUCACGUCAUUCAUACACAAUAAAUUGUAGCAAUUGUGAGCCCUAUCAACAUACCAGUCUUUCUGUAUUUAGAGUUGGAGCAGCUAAGCCAAAAUCAGACAAAUGGGGAUUGAGUUCAUCAAGUAAAAUAUUUGCUGACUUUAAGGUACUAUUAACAACAUAAGGAACAACAUCAGCAUCUUGCUUCUAUCAUCAGUGAAGUAUAAAAACUCUUGCAAGCUACUAUUUGCAAUAUAAUCAUGGACCAGAAGACGUACCAUGUUCAGCGGAAUAUCAUUCAAAUCUCUGGCAUGGUUGUUGUGAUGGAUAAAAAUAAGUUCCUUUAUGACCUGAAUUAAACAUUAAAAGAUACCAAAUUAACCGAAAUGCGUAGAGAUGCACAAAAAGUCCAGGCCCGAAAAUAUGGUCAUAGAGAUUUAAAAAAAGUCGAAAAUAAAGACAAACCAUGUGAGUAAAAAGCAGAGUAAGGAGGAUUGAUGGUAGUGUUUGAUAUAGAUGCCAUGUGGGUAGAUCCAUAUGAGCUGCUGGAAGCAGAGAGAUUUCUUCCAAACUCUCUUACAUUAUUGACAACAUUUGUGUUAACAUAUAUGUGUUGUAUAUGAAAUUUUAAAGAUUAGAUACAUAAAUAUAAUAUUAUUCGGAAAAUAUAACAUACCAUCUCGAGUCAUUUUCUUGCUUGGUCAUUAAAAUAACCUACAGCAAGUAAUGUACCCUCACUCUAUAAGAAGAAGAUGGACAAAAAGAAGUCAGUUGUAUGGAUGCCUCGGAAUAUAUACAAGAAUGUCCCAGGGAUAUUUAUUCAGUUGAUGAAGCAUGUAUAUCUAGAAAUUAACAAACCUCAUCAGCCAAAACAAAUAUAAAAUUAAUAAAAUCAUCUGUCUCCAAACACACAGAUUAAAAUCAAAGCACAAAUGUUAUCACACAAAACCAAGACAACACAAGAUCCAUCACUAAAACACACAACUACUACUAAAAUCAAACACACAAACAAAAAUCUCAUAUAGAUUCAAACUUUAUCCCCAAAAUCAAGUAUAAUUACACAGUAAAAAGCAUUCGUUUACCUCUUCAUAAGGUGAAUUGUUGUUAAACUAAUCAGCACGGUCAACACCGGCAUCAAAAACUUGAAUGGCCUUUGGGGUUAUCGCCGACAGAACAGAUCUGAGUAAGCUUUGUAGAAAAUGAGAUAGAGACGGGGGAGGGAGGGGAGAGUUCAGAGGAGGGUGAGGGAGAGACAGAGGGCGAGAGGGAGGGGAGGGGCGAGAUGCUUUAACAAAUCAAUUGCGGCAAGAGUGGGGAAGACACAGCCGCACCAGAAGAGGAAGAGAUAGAUUCAGAAGAAGAGAGAUUUACUCUCACUUACAAAUUUUAGGUCAAAAUAGAGGGGGGGAAAUGAAAAUUUGGAUAAACAAGUAGAGAGGGAAUUGAAAAUUUUUGUAAGGUGGAAAUCAUUCGUUCAUCCCGUGUAAAUAACAAAAUCAAUGUAUUAUAAUAUCCAUAUAGUUGAAUUAUAAAUAAAUGAAUUUUUUAAAUUAUAUUUUUGUAUUUGAUUACAAAUAUUUCAUAUUAAAUAAAUUUUAAAAACAAUUUUAAUGUAGAUGUCAAUAUCUAAUUAUUUUAGUUAUUUGUGAAAAUCUUCAAAAAAUUAAAAAUUAAUCUGGUAAAUCUUUUUGACAAAAUAUAGUUGAAAUACAACUAUUUAAUAAAAAAUUAAUAAUUCUUUAAAAGUUAAAAUUCUCAUUUUCUCGAUGUAUUCCGUUUUUGUACUCUUUGUCUAAAUAAAAUAUACACAAAUUUUUAUUAUUCAUUUGUAAUAAGAAGAUAUUUGUGUGGUUCAAAUGUCAAUAUUAGUAUAAAUUUCAUAUUUACAAUAUAGGAUGUACUUAAUAGAAGUUUUGUGAUCUAUAUGAUUAACCCCGUAUUAAUUUUGAAAUAUUUUCGAUCAUCCAAACAUAUAAAGAUCUUAAUAUCUAUCAAUAUUAGUCAUGUAUAAUAUUUUUAAAUUUUUCUAUAUUUAUUUAUAUCUUGUUGUAACAAAACUAGUGAUGAUCGUUGUUUUUAUGUCAUUUCUUAUUUUUGUACUUUUUAUCAAAAAAUUAUAUUUAUAUUAUGCAUAUGUCCAAAUUUGUAUUAUUCAUUUGUAAUUGGAAGAUAAUUUUGUUGUUCGGACCUGAGUAUUACUAUGUGUUUUAUGUUCACAAUUUAGGAAGCACUAGAUAGAAUUUUUGUUAUCUACAAAAUUUGCUCUGAAUUAAUUUAUAAAUAUUUUUUUCGAUGAUAUAACCGUACGGAUGUUAAUAACUAACAAUAUUAGUCAUGCAUAAAAAAAUUAGAUUUUUUUAUGCUUAUUUUAUAUGCUUUUUUUACAAAACUAGUCAAUUGUAAAUUUUGUCUUAUUGUAAAAAGGUAAUUUUUGUCUUGUAGUGUCCAACAGACAACGGUACUUAUAGGCACGUGUGUUGUAUGAGUUAAAAUGACACAACUGUUAUGGACAUUAUACAGUCAUAACAAAAUCUAUUGUCUAAAAUAGGCUCAAACAAUGUUUCGGGAAAAACUCGUUGUGUGUAAGUAGUGUAGACAAUGGUUUCUGGGAGGCAAACCGUUGUAUAAUAAAUUUUCAUUUUUAAGAGUUAGAAAUUCACAUUUUCUUGAUUAGUUCUUGUUUUUGUACUCUUUGUCUUAACAAAUAUACUUAUAUUAUGUAUAUAUGCAAAUAUCAAUUGUCAUUUGUACUAUGAAGAUAAUUUUGUAGUUCGAACAUGAGUAUUGGUAUGUGUUUUAUAUUUACAAUUUAGAAAGUACUGAAUAGGAUCUUUGCUAUAUAUAAGAUUAGCUCCGUAUUAUUUUAUAAAUAUUGAUUUUGAUGAUCUAACCGUACGGAUGUCGAAAACUAACAAUAUUAGUCAUGUAUAAAAAAAAUCAAUUUUUUAUGUUUAUUUUGUAUGUUUUUUUUAACAAUACUAGUCAAUUGUAAAUUUUGUCUUACUGUAAAAAGGUAUUUUUUGUCAUGUAGUGUCUAACAUACAAUGGUUUUUAUAUGCACCUAUGUUGUAUAAUUGAAAAUGAUACAACUGUUACAGAAGUAUACCGUUCUAAGAAAAUCUAUUGUCUAAAUUAGGCUCAAACAACGGUUCACGGAAAAUCCGUUGUAAAAAAGUAGUGUAGACAACAGUUUAUGGGAAGGAAACCGUUGUAUAAUAAAUUUUCAUUUUUAUGAGUUAAAAAUUCGCAUUUCCUUGAUCAAUUCUUGAUCUAAUGCAAGAAAAACAUAUGACUAUCAAGAAAUUGAUUGUUUUGUUAUAACUUUGGUUAGGACUUUGAAUCUUUGCACUCUCUUAUGUACAUCCAUUUUCUUAAAAUUCAUUCAAUCAUACAACAUUUUAUUAGUUAGUAGAGGCUUGUCUAUAAUGCCAUGCUACAAUGCUAACAAAAACACUUGUAUGUUAGCUUCCCAGUCACACAACACUAUAUAAAACCCUUGUUUGAACUCCUCGUAAACAACACAACAAAUAAAACACUUGUCUAAUUACAACGACGGUUUCUUGAACUAUUGUCUGAAGUUUCUUCACACAUCGGCUCUCAAAACAGUUGUCUAACAUGCAUCAUUACACAAUACCACAGUUAAGAAACCAUUGUCUAAUUGAAUUUACUAGACAACAAUUUUUUAACCGUUGUAGGUCGUAGAUGUUAGACAAUAGUUUUUCGAGGCCGAAAAGAAAGUGUUGUGUCUUUUUUCCAAACAACGCUUUUUUCACCGUGCGUUGUCUGAUCAGUGUUGUCUAAUGGUGUUAUUGUUGUAGUGCAAGUUGGAUUUAUUUAAUGCUAAUAGGUACUUGUUCAAGUGAGGAGAUUUAACUGAGAUUCAGGUUCUGGCAUUUGUCUUGUGUUGUUAUUUGUUUAUGUACCGGUUUUGAGAGUCAUUAGAGAUAUGUAAGGUAUUUAUUCCUAUUUUUUAUUAUUAGUAUUACAUCGUUUUCGGGUAAAAUAAUCGAUGAUUGUUUGUUUUAACUGUGUAAUAGCCUUAUGAUCUGCCAACUUAUGUAGACAUGUGAUAAACAUGUUGACUGUGGUCAAUAUUUUAGAUGAGGUAGUGUGUUUGUUGUUAUUGCAAGACUUUUUGGAAUAAUCAUUGUCAAAAAGAACUAACGAUGAAUGGAAAUGAAGUUCUGAAGAAGUGAUGAUACAAUGUUAAAGAGAUUGCUUUUUGUUGAAUUUUUCUGACUCUGGAAUUAAACUGCGUUAGUAUCUUCUUCUCUGAUUUUCCUUAUUUGGUAGACCUACUACUUUCAGAAGAUACAUGUGGUAUUUGUUUGGUUGAUUAAUUUUGGUAAGAUACAGUUUCCGUUUGGAAUCAGACUAUCCAUUGAACAAUCAGACUAUCCAUUGAAGAUUUUAUGCUCGCUCUUAAAUGGUUGAUCCACUGAUCUUAUUCUUACUUCAUAUGAGCUAAAGCCAGCUCUAGGGGUGUUUCUCGCAUACAAAAAAAUUAAAAAAAAUAUUAUGAAACUAUACUUUGCAGGAGUCUCAAAAUAAAUAAGUGUAAACGAUAAACUUAAACACCUAACUUCUUAAACACCUAGCAUAACACGGGUGAGCAUAUGGUCAAUCAUACCAAAUUGAAUAAAUCGAAAUUAAAAUUUAAAUAUUUUUAGACUGGACCAAACUGAAAUAUUUUGUCCGAUCCAGUUCAGUAUGAUCGAAAAGAAUUGAUUCUUUUGGAAAAAGUAACUUAAUAUUAUAAAUAAAAUUAAGAUUUAUAAUUUAUUUAAAAACUAUCAAUGAAUCAUCAACACUUCUUCAAAAAUAGAUACAUUUGAAUUUAUACAUUAGAUAUUAUAACUUCUAAAAAGUAUAUAAAAAUAUAUAAUAUAAAUAUAAAUUUAUAGUAUAAUUUUUUUGACUAUUUAGAAUAUAUUUUUAACCCAAAUAUUUUUUUUUAAAAUCAAAUUUUAUUUCGAUGAACUUUUCUAGAAAAUUAAGAUAGAAACGAAACUCAUUCCUACAGUAAGGUUUCAGUUUUUCGGCUGCAAUACGGUUUUGCUCAUCAUUAGCAUAAAUGGAGUAUGUAGUAAAUAUGAAUGAAUGGCAUGGGAAUUCUUGGAAUGGUAUCAAGAAUUAAGAUUAAAGCACAUUAGAAGUUUAGAACCAUGAAUGUUAUUUUUGAAAAUAGUAAUCCCUCCGUUUCUUAUCACGUUUCUCGUUUGAUAUGUCGGAACGGUUCAUAAUAUGAGACAAAUUAGUAAUUUAUGUCCAAUUUAUAAAAUUAAAUAUAGUCAUGAGUGAUCUUGUUGGAUUCGUAUCUAUGAGUACUUUAAUAAGAUGAAAUUUUUAUAUUUAAUGUUAAUACAAAAUUAAAAUAUAUUAAUUAAAAAUAUAUAUUGACAAACGUGAUAAAAACAAACAGCAAAAAUAUUAAGAAACGAAGCGAGGGAGUAAUAAAUAUGCUUUAUGCUGAACUGAAUUGAGUGCGUGGAAGCUUGGGGAGGCAGCUUACUACAGUAUCUACGUGUAUCUGUAUAUGCAAUAAAGACACAAAUACUCACAGGAGAUUAUUUUUCAAACACUUAAUUUCCCCCUUUCCUUCUCGUAAUAUUCAACUCAAUUCAUCACAUCAUCUUCUUCAGACAAACAACUAUACUCACUUCAGAUCAUCACAUCAUCUUCUUCUUGACUUCAGAUCCACAUUUCAAACCCUAAUCAUUCGCUUGGUCCCCUCCCUCUCUGUAAUAAUACAAUUCUUUCUACACACAAACAAUAACAUCAUCAUCAUCGAGUGAAGCUUCAUAUCCACAUUCCAAGACCUAAUUACUCGCCAAACCACUCUCGCUCUCAUGGAGGAGGCCUUAGAAAUGGCGAGAUCGAAUGAUACCAAGAAGCGAAGGGCGGGAGUGGAUCGGCUGCAACAGCUUCUUGAAGAUUCAAGAAAGUGCUUGUCAUCGUCGGAAGUGACGGCGCUAGUCGACACGUGUCUUGAGCUUUUGAAGGACACGUGUGUUGCUGUCGUCGGCCGCGGAGUUGUUUAAGUUGCAUUCUGAUAGAAUUAUGACGGCGGUUGUUGAUAGGUUGUGGGAUGGGGAGCAGCGGGUUCGAGACUCGGCGAGGAGGCUGUUGAUUACCCUUAUGGAGGUAAUUUAUUAAUUUUCUUGGGGAAUGCCAGUUGAUUUUAUGGAAUGUGAUAUAGUAUAGUUUCUAUCAAUCGAGUAUCUUAAAUUGAUGACUACAACAAGUAUUAUCGUUUUGCACGCAAGUGGCUAAACUUUUAUGCAUGCCAAAUUGCCAAUCGGGUUUCAAUUUCAGAUCUCUGCCUUCACUUGCAUACGAACACAUUUGAGUUUAAAAAGAUGAAUCACCUCAUAAAUAUCAUUAAUAAUUAGUUGGUGUUAAUAGUGCACUGAAAAAUGGGAGAGAAUGACAAGACUAUAGACAGUAGUAGGGCUGAGCGAGAUGUUAAUUGAGUACUUAUAUGAUGCUUCACUAUGUUCAGGGAGUUAGUUUAUUGCUUCUUUCCUACACUUUCACUUGAAUUAGUACUAAUUAAUAAUUCCUUCUCUAUCUUGUAAAAUUUCUCCUUCAUUGCUAAGCAUAUCUACUCUGAUUAAUUUUCAAACAAACUUUACUACUGAGAUAGGAUUGUUUGCUGGGUAGGAGCACCAUAGAAUGAGUAGCUCUAUUGCUAUAUACUGAAGGGUGCGGUGGCAUCCUCGGUUAUAUUUUAAGUGCUACUUCGAAUUUAGUUGUUGGCUUUUGCAAUUUAUUUUCAUUCACAAUGUUUUAAUAAUGAUACCCCAUAUUAGGUGAGAGAUAUUAGUGCCAGGCUGGAGCAGAUUCAGAUUCAACCAGCAACUUCCGUCUCUUCCAUCUCUGAAGGACUUAAUAGUAAUCUUCUCCACCAUGCACCUGAUUUAGAAGUAUAAUGUAUUAAUGUGAACUUUUUAUUUAUAUUUAUUUCCAUGUGUAGUAAAACGAUCACAUCUUUUAAGAGCUUAGUACAAUGUUAUGUACAAUGUGUAAUUAAUUAAGAGGUUUGUACAUAGUUUAGUAUGAAAUGGAAAAAGUUUGUACAGAAGUUUAUUUGUUCACAUUACAGCUGAGACGAGCAAGCAAAAACCAUCAGAGAAUUCAAAGGAUAAUGAUAAAGGAAUUGAGCCCCUACUGGAACUGCCGGAAGAUAUUAUCUUUCUACAAAUUCUGCCUAAGUUGAACAGCCUAGAUGUUCUUCCCCUGGUUUUGGUGGCUAGGAGUUGGGCCUCCUUUCUUUUGCAUGAGGGACCCAGACUGAUGUUAUUCAACCCACCUAAAAAUCCUACACCUAAACACACUUCAAUUUUAUUUGAUGUAAGCCCGAUUCCGUACUCUGUUUCAGUUUUGUUAUCCCCAGAGAGCCGCCAACUGUGUCAGUCUAGGUGUAUAAUUGUUCCAAUCUUGAAUUCUGGUAUAAAACAUGCUGUUCCAAUUUUCACUGACUACCCAGAUUUUUUAAAGCAGGGGGAAGUCCCAACUGUAGUGGGAUCUUCCAGUGGUAUUAUAUGCCUCUAUAUCACCAGUUCUCCCUCUAGAUACAUCCUGCUAAACCCCUUAACAAAACAUUAUAAAGAGGUUGGGGCCCCUUAUAUUUUUGUACCAGAUUGUGAGCAAGCUUCUGUAACUUCUGGAUUCUUUUAUGAUGAAUGGACUGAUGACUUAAAGAUCGUACAAUUGUUGAGAUGGGAUCAAAGGCUUACGAGCUUGGAUGCUCCGGGACCCAAAAAGAUACAUGCGCUUCGCGUUUGUUCUGUAAAUUCUGCAAAUUGGGAAGUUGUUGACUUGGGGCCAAUGAAAGUCUCCGAUCGUCUUGGUGGUGUGUUAUUUUUGCCGAAAGCUCUCGUCACAUUUGUAGAUGCGUUUGCUACAGAGCCGGAGAUUAACUUUUGGUUGGAUUUUCGUGAUUGCCGUCUAAAGGCAGUUCCGGAAUUAGAAGGGGCUGAACUCAGUAUGAAAUCGGUUUGGUGGAAUAACCAGGUUGGUGUUAUUGUUGGAACUGACAGCAUUUAUGUCCUUGAUGAGGAGUUUGCAGCCUGGUAUUACUGCACAGUGCUUCCGGACGUGGGAAAUUGUGUAUUCUGUUUAGAUGAGAACAAAAUUGUGGGGAUGGGGGCUGGGGAAAGCGGAAGCGUAAAUGAUUACAAUAUUCUUAAUUCCACAAGCGGCGAAAUCCAACAUAUAAUCUCGUUGCCUUCUUGCAGGGUUUUUCCGUAUGUUCCUACAUUCUACUAUAUCGAGGGAAUGGCUAAUUUUUAGACUUUUGCAAGUCACAAUGUAAUAAAAGAAUGUAAACAGUACAUAGCAGCAAUACCUCUCUAUAGCAUAUAGUUUCAGAUACAACAUGUAUUGUGAUGCCAGCUUGUAGAGUACAAGUAUUAUUCUAGGUGAUUGAUUGUUGAGAAUAAUAGAGGCAACCGGUUGCAUGAUGGUAUCCUUGAAACUUUCAUAAUUACUAAUAUCGAACUCAGAUAGCAUGCAAUUUUUCCGGAGAUCAUAUUCUUUAGCUAUCAACUAACUCUACAUUAUAUAUUAUGUCCCAGAUCAAUGAGUUUGUUUGCUAUAAUGUCCUAUUUUAUAUGUGAUUUAGGAAUAUGUUCCAUUAACUUGUUAUCACCCUCAAAUCUAAAAUCUAAGACUACCAUGUCCUUAGUUUAUUUUGUUUAAUAUUUGUGAAUAGACUCUAAUCUGAUCAUAUCAAUUAUAUUUUAGUAACAGAUGUUUAAAUGCAUAUGUUUUUGUUAUCUAGUUAUUUCAAUGAUGAUGGGAUUAAAUUUUUUUAUUCUUGUAAUAUGUACAAUGAUUGGUUUAGCUUUAAUAUUUAUUUUUAUUUUUAUUUACCAAUUUUAAUGUAGGUAAAGUUUUAUCAGCAAAUUUUAUUUUUUGUAUGCAGUAAUCUGUUCUAAUAUCAAAUUUUGAUUUAGAUCGAGUAUUAGUAUGUUGAAUUUGCAUUCAUCUAGUUAGAUGAGUGAAACUGGCUAAUUAAUGGAAAAUCAUAAGUACCUGAGUUGUUUUCAAAUUUUUUUCCCAAAUUUUAAUUGUUUGAUUGGUUUCUUCAAAUUAAUAUUAAUGGAAUCAUGAACGCACAUAAAUAAUUUAAUUAAAAAUUAUUUAUUUAUGUGUCAUUUAGAAAAAAUUGGGGACAAAAUUUGGGAUAGUAAUGGGGACGAAAUAUGUGUUAGCGUUAAUGGUUUAGCGGCAGUGGAGAACGCAAUUUAAGAGCAAAUCCAAUAGUGUCCUAAACUAGUAUCCUAAAUUAAAAAUUAAGGUAUUUAUAUAAAUGAGUGCUCCACCUAAUGAGUGCUCCACCAAUGUCCAGUGAUACCUUAAAAUACUAGGAAAUCCAUCAAGCGUCUCGUUUUUAAGACAUCACUAGGCAUGCCCUAUUUCACUUCUAUCAAUAAAAUAUAUCUUUCCCUCGUUUUUUACAGAUCUCUUCUCUCUCAUUUUUUCCAUUUAUGCCCAAUUAUAAUUCAAAUAUAAUACACCUUCAGUCCCUUUUUAGUUGUGAAAUUUACAAAAAUAAUUUGUCCUUAAAUAAUAUUCUCAUCCUUGUUCCAAUACAUAUUUAUACAUAUUUUUUCAUGUUUACCCCUUGAUUGUUGGUUCAAAUGUUUGACUGUACUACUAAUAUAUACAGUUUUGACUUAGUAUUUAAUAUAAUAAAUAAGGGCAUGCGUGGAAACAACUUACAACAUUUAAUUUUCUUUAAUAUAUGUAUUUUUGCAAAUGUGACAACUAAAAAGGAACAGAGAGAGUAUUAUUUUAAUCAUAAAACAUAUUGUUGGAGUUAAUAUAAAAAAAUCAUGUCUUAAAUCAUAAGAUUACUAUAUUUAAUUAUAUUUAUAAGGCAUCUAAUAGUACAAUAUUGGAUUUGCUCUGAUCACAGAUCAAUCAAAUGAUCGGCAACUUAAGCGAUCAAAUGAGAUGACUCGCAUAGUCCACGCUAAUCGAUAUCCUUAAGAGGAUGUUUGCCUGGGCUUAAAGCCCUUGCUUUAAGCCAUCUUUGGCUUUAAGCUGAAAAAUGUCUGUUUGUGUAAUAAGUCAGAAGCCAGCCUAAAGUCAGAAAUAAGCCAGAAGCUGACUUAAAGCCAGAAGUUAAUUUGAGGUACUUUUUUCAGUGGCUAAAUUUUUUUGAACUUUUUUUUUGAUAAAAAUUACUCCUAAAUCAUAAGUUUCUUAUAAAUCACUUUUAUUUUUAUUAUUAUAUUUUUAAUAACUCAUAAGUCAUUCAUAAGCCAAAAUUACCCAAACAGACAUUUUAAGCUAUCAGCUUAUCAGAUAAGACACGUUAAGUCACAAGUCACAUUAAGUCAUAAGCCAUAAGCUCAGCCAAACGGGCAAGUUUUCUAAGAGACAUUCCUGCUUAGUGCAUUUUUAAUAGGGUUGCCUAAAUCGUUGACGAAAUUGGACAUGUGAGACAUUAUAUAAAAUUUGUUAAACAUGUAAGUGAUUGUGUUUCAAUAAUGUUAACUACAUUGAUAGAUUAUAACUUAAAAAUAGUAUGUUAUUAAUAUUUAGAUUGUUAUAAAAAAAUAUAUGAGUUUAAUAUGAUAGGAAAUGAUGUGUAAAUUACCCCGAUUAUAUAUAUAUAUAAAUAAUAAUAUAUUUAUAUAUAUUAUACUAAAUAUAUUAUUAAAAAUAGAUAAAUUUUAUAAUAUAAUCAAAAGUAAAAAAUAAUCUUUAUUUUUAUUGAUUGAUUAUAAAUAUAUUGUAAUAUAAUAUAUUUUAUAAUUUUAAAUUGUUGUUUAUUUAUAUUAUAAAUCAAUUUUAAUAUGAUUUGAGGUUGAAAAUAUAAGAUAAUAUUAUUUUAUUAUUAUAUUAGGAGUUUGUAGUUUGUUUUUUAAUUAAAAAAAUAUAUUAUAUAUUAUAAAAUUAUUAUGUUUUUAUUAAAAAAUAAAAUUCCCCGAAACCCCGCGGGGAUCCCCGUUCCCCGUUCGGGGCGGGGAUCGGGGCGGAAAAUAAUCCCCGUUCGAGGUUCGGGGCGGGGUCGGGUAGGGCCGUAGGGGUAUUGAAUUCGGGGAUCGGGGUCGGGGAUAGCACUCCCCGCCCUCGAAGUCUCCCCGUGCCCAUCCCUAGUCGAACCUCUAGAGGUCCGUAAAAAAUCUCCAAGAAGAUUACACUAUGUAAUCUUCUUGGAGAUUUUUUACGGACCUCUAGAGGUUCGACAAAUAUAGUGGCCGGUAGGAUGUUGGUUAAAAUUAUAGAUAAGUGGUGUCUAUGGUUGAGUGUGAUUUUUUUGAAUAGAAUGGCUAUAUAUUUUAUUUUUGGGAUGCCAACUCAAUUUUUAAACUAAGGACUUCUCAUAUUUGGAGAUGCUAUAUGAUGGCAAAUCCCGCAAAUCUUCAAUUUUGACAUAUAUUAUCCUAAAUUCUCUUUCAACAAUGAUUGAUUCAAAUUUGGAUCAAGAUUGUUGGAUCCCGCUGACGUGGCAGUGACGUCAUGUUGACGUGGCGCCCUGGGGUGGACCCCGGUGCUGACGUGGCAGAUGACGCGGCGGUGACAUGGCGCCUGGUUGGGGUCCCAUUACUAACGUGGCAUUUGGGUAGAAAGUAUAAAUUACGGAAAAUUGAUGACAAACUGAGAGGUGCAUAUUAUAAGUUUUAAAAAGUAUGAGGAGAUAUUUGAUCAGUUUAAAACUAGUUUUUAGGUUUUUAGGCUAACCGUGGUUUGUAUAUUCGAGCAUCCCCGUGUAUAUUGACAUAUAGGUAAACUCCUUGCAAUACUUUGAGCUGCAAAAUCCAUCAAAAUUUUGAUUUAUCAUGUAACUGUUUGACAGAGUACUUCCAACUUUCAAGCGUAAGUAUCAAAAUCACUACCUUCAUAUGUUCCAUUAAGCGUGAAAGGUACAGAAUAAGAAGUGAAAGAAAUCCUUUAUAUUUACACGGCCAUUGAUCUUAUAGGAUCACCUAGCCCAUCAGUGCUAGGGAAUACGGAACCAUCUUAUCAAUUAACGAAGAAAUGUAUGCAUGCAGUGUCACCACCACAAGUCAGAAAUGGUGAUGAUGCUAAUGAUAAUGAACUCAAUUGGGAGUGAUCCUAAUGGGAUAUGGAUGUGGAUUGGUAUGCGGAUUCUUUGGGGUUUAUUGUUCUUACAAUGGGAAAGCCUUGGUGGUUUAUGAGAUACAUUGAAGUAAGUUGAUAAUGACAUGCACGGCUUAAUUAAGAUUAAUUAAGACAAACACCUUGACAAAAUGUUGUCUUAGAAUGAUAUGUAUUCUGAUUUUUCCUAAUUUAAAAUCAAAUUUAUUACAAUUAAAGUUAAAAUCUGCGUAGCACAUACUAUACUUUGAUUAAAUUUUUAUUGAAGUUGUCCAUAUUAACCUAGUGGCCGAAAGUGAAUAAAUUAAAUUAGUGGGGUCUAAUAUAAAAAUUGCAUUAAUUAAAAUUUGUAAUGUAUAGAUUAUGCUAAAGCUAUUCAUUAUAAAGAACAUAGGAAUGUUAAUCUCUUUAUAUGUUUGCAUGCGGAUAGUCUCUCGGGAGUGUGGUAUAUUGUCAUGGCUGGAAAAACGGCUAAUUUCUACGGUUUUUUUUUGACAGAAAUUAAUUUUGACGGAAUACUGUCGAAAUAUCGAAAGUCGAAAAUAAGCCGCAAAAUUACUUUUUUCAAUUUUCAAUUGAAAACUGUCAAAAAAGUCUCUGGCAAAAUUAUAUUUAUUUCUACAGAUAAUGUCGAAAAUAUUUUCCUGCAAAUUUCCCGCACCUUAGUUGUGAGCGGAAAUAGAUAGUUUGGACAGAAUUCCGUCGAAAUUACGCGAGUUCUUUGUAGUGUGUUUUCACACAUACGCUGAUAAUCUUUGGGGACUGGGGUAUAUUGUUUUCGCAAAGCACUGGUAGUUUGUGAGCUUGUCCAAUUUUUCCCCCCAUGCCUAUACUGGUUGGUCUCAGUCUUAGUGGUAAUAAGCUGGCGUCAAAUUUUCCAGAAUUCAUAUAUAAUUGCUAUAACAUGAUCCGAUGCCUGAAUCAGCAGCUAACAAUUUACGUAAUCUUGAAGAACUAUAUCUUGGUGCCAAUUCUUUCGAGGGCUCAUUUCCAACGAAUAUAUUCAAGCUUUCCAAAUUAAGGGUUCUUGACCUAUCUGUGAAUAAUUUUUCAGGUUCCAUUCCCAAUGGUAUAGAGAUGCUUCCCGAUCUUGGAAUAAAUCGUAUUUAUAAUAAUUCAUUUGAAGGAAUUAUUCCUUCUUCAAUUAGUCUACUUAAAGAUCUUCAACACCUAGACUUCGGUGACGACAACCUUGUGGUUUCAAGUAUAAUGUCUUACGGGUCCAAUCUAACCGAUCAUUACAGGCAACCCCAUUGGAGAUGCUCUUAAUAACAUUUUAACUAGAGAGUAUUUUCUAUCAAUUGCAUUUGUAUUAAAUUUGAUUUAGAUGAAGAGAAACAGAAUACAUAUGAUCCCGAGACAACAUUUUGUCAAUGUUUUCGUCUUGAUUGAACAGUCUUCUUCAUGCGUGUCCUUGUCAACUUCAGUUGCAGUAAUUCAAUGUAUCUCAGGAACCACCUUGGCUUUCCCAUUUUGAUAACAAGUAUCCUGAAGAUAAUCCGCAUAUCAAUCCACAUCCGCGCGUAUCCCAGUUGAUUUAUUAAUUUAUUCAUGAAGUGUUGCGAACGACAUUCCUGCAAAAGUAAAAGUCAGUGGAAUUUGUAUGAUAGCAUGAUGAAUAUUUAAAGUUUCAGUUAAAAUUUCACCAAGUAUUUUAUUUCUGGCUUAAGUCCCGGAUUGACGAAUUCUGCUGAUCACAUUUCUAAUCGACCAAUUCUGGUCGAAUAAAUUAAAUGGCACACUUCCUGAGUUGGUGGUAGGGGCGUUCUUCUUGUGUUUCUUUCUUUUCAUUAUUGACAUUGUUAUCCAGGCCCUUGCUUCUGGGCUUUUGUAAAGCACCCAUUUACGCCAUUGUCAUGAUCAUAGCUAGUCUUCCAUAUCCAAGAUACGCGCAUUAUAGUGGAUUUAUCUUUAUUAGUGAUUUCUGUGGAAAUGCAUAAUCUUAAUUAUAAGCUCCAAUAUUAUAAAAUAAACCUAACUUAUUAGAGUUAACAGGGCAUUUGUGUUGAUAAUUUGCGCAAUGUUAAUGGGGAUCGCUCCCAAGUCUUGGACGGACUCUUUCCAAGUCUUCUGAGGACCCAUCUGCACACUAAUUUGUCCGCCAACUAAAAAUUUAUAUAUAUUUUUCCAUAGAAUAUAAAUAGUUGGGGGUACUAACAGAACCUCUAGUAAAAUUAAUUAAUACCGUUAUGAUUUCGCAAACACAGCAGACAGCAGGCAUAAGGCUUAUAAAUAGAAGUGUCGUAUUUGGUUGAUGGUCAAGUUGAGUGGAAAUAUGGCACACUUUGUAAAGCCUUGUUAUCCUCUUCUCUUUGUUUUCUUUCUCUCAUUACUUCAAUCCAUUCUAACAACACAAGAGGGAGAAGCUCUUGUGAAAUGGAAGAAUAGCCUAGCCCCUUCUUCUUUUCUCGACUCUUGGUCACUCACCAAUCUCGAUAAUCUUUGCAACUGGACUGGCAUUACUUGUAACUCUGCAGGUUCAGUCUCUGAGAUUAACCUUAGUGAGAAACAACUUGAUGGAAUGCUGUCCGAGUUUGGUUUCACUUCAUUUCCAAAUCUCAACAAUCUCACCCUCGCAAUUAACUACUUCUCGGGUCCAAUACCACCAGCCAUUGAGAAUUUAACACAGCUUCAAUAUCUUGAGUUGAGCAAUAAUUAUCUAGAUGGUCCCAUUCCUUUCCAGGUUAGCAAUCUUCAGAGGUUGCUCAUCUUAAACCUGUCAGAGAAUGAACUGCAAGCUCCAAAUUGGUCCAAUUUUUCCCCCAUGCCUUUUUUGACCAUCCUCGACCUUUAUAAAAAUAAUCUUUUGUCAGAAUUUCCCGAAUUUAUAUCUAACUCGUGUAACCUUACGUACCUUGACCUCUCAUCCAACAAGUUUAGAGGGGAUCUUGCGCGAGAAUCAGUAUUAACCAAUCUAGGUGAUCUUGAAACCCUCUAUCUUAUUAGAAAUUCUUUCAAGGGGUCAUUUCCGUCAGAUUUAUUCAAGCUUUCUAAAUUAAAACGUCUUCACCUGUCGAGCAACAAAUUUUCAGGUUCAAUUCCUAAUGCCAUAAGGUUGCUUUGUGAUCUUGAAUUCCUAUAUUUAGGCAACAAUUCCUUUGAAGGACUGCUUCCACCAAAUAUAUUUAAGCUUUCAAAAUUAAAACAUCUUGUUCUUCGGAGUAAUAAGUUUUCAGGAUCUGUUUCCAAUGAUAUAAAUUUGCUUCCUGAACUUGAAUAUCUCGAUCUUAAUUCUAAUUUUUUUGACGGGCCGCUUCCUCCAGAUGUAUUCAAGCUCUCCAAACUAAGGUUUCUUUACCUCUCGGGUAAUACCUUUUCACGUUCUGUUUCCAAUGAUAUAGGUUUGCUUUCUGAGCUUGAAACCCUCGAUCUUAACUCUAAUUUUUUGAGGGUCCGCUUCCGUCAAAUAUAUUCAAGCUCAAAUUAAAAAUUCUAGACCUCUCAAACAAUAGAAAUUUAUUUCAAAGAAGUUUUCCUAUUGGACUGGAACUCUUGAGUAACCUCAGCUACUUAGGUCUAAGUUCCAGUAAUCUCAGUGGCAAUAUUCCAUCUUACAUUGGAAACCUGAAGCUACUAAUAUCUCUUGAUCUCAGUUCUAAUCAAUUGACUGGACCGCUUUCAAAGCUCGUUUCUAAUGUCACAAAUCUUAUAUUUCUUGAUUUAAGAGAUAAUAGUCUUAGUGGAAAUAUUCAGACUGACUUGUGGAAAUAUAACGAUCAUCCAACUCUGGAAUACAUCAAUUUGAGUGGGAACUAUUUUACGGGUAUAGUUUUUCUCUAUAGAUCUUUUCUUUUGUCAUAUGUAACUAAGCUAGUAAUCUGAUUAAUUGCAGUUUUACCAAAGUUUCAACAAUCUUGACAGGUGAGCUUCCAACAACAAUUUGCAAUGUCACUUCCCUUUCGGUUCUUGAUUUGUCAAAUAAUAACUUAAGUGGUGCACUUCCAAAAUGUUACGGGAAUCUUGCUGAUGGAUUGCUUUACAUUAAUCUUGCGAAUAAUCACUUUCGAGGAACAAUACCCACUACUUUCUCCAGGAGUUGUCAGCUGAUAUAUCUGAACAUGGAUGAUAAUGAGUUUGAAGGAUUGAUGCCCCCAUCUUUGGCGAACUGUAAGCACUUGAAAAUUUUUGAUAUUGGCAAUAAUAAAAUAGGUGGUACAUUUCCGUCAUGGCUUUAUGCACUUGGAGAGCUAGAAGUCCUUGUCUUGCGAUCAAAUAAACUCUAUGGUACAAUAAGUGGAAGGAGCAUAGAAGAUCCCUUCCCCAAGUUGCGGAUUGUGGAUCUGUCCAACAAUCAAUUCACAGGCCAUUUGCCAAUUCAAUACUUUAAGAAUAUGAAAUCAACUGAUAAUUUGUAUCGUUAUCAGAAUGACACAGGAGUUUUUUCUUUCCAUUAUGAAGCAUCUGUCUCAUUAACUGUGAAGGGAACAGAGUAUGAAGUGAAAAAUAUCCUUCAUAUUUACACAACCAUUGAUCUGUCCUGCAACAAGUUUCAAGGAGAAAUUCCUGACGUUAUUGGAGAGCUUAGAUGGCUUGCAUUGCUGAACUUAUCUCAUAAUAGUCUAACAGGACAUAUCCCAUCAUUGCUGAGAAAUAUGAAAGGACUCCAAUCUUUAGAUUUGUCUUCAAAUCAACUGAAAGGGGCUAUUCCACUUCAGUUAACUGCAUUGACAUUUCUAGAGGUCUUGAACCUCUCGGGAAACCAUCUUAGUGGAGAGAUUCCUCAGAAAGGGCAGUUCAGCACAUUUAACAUUGAUUCUUAUCUAGGAAACUCCGCGUUAUGUGGUUCACCUUUGAUGAAGAAAUGUGCAAACACAGCAUCACCUCCACAAGAAGCCGGAAAUGGUGAUGAAGAUGAAGCUGGUGAUGAAUUGACAUGGGAAGCAAUCGUGAUGGGAUAUGGAUGUGGACUGAUAUGUGGAUUGUCAUCUGCAUACAUUGUUCUCAAACUAGGAAAGCCUUGGUGGUUUGUGAGAUAUAUCGAAGUACUGCAACAGAAGUUGAUGAAAAGAUAUGCAUGAAGAAAGGUACUGGUAGAUCAAGAUGAACUUGAAAGUUGUUGUCGUGGUAGACAUUUGUGAACCAGUAGUGUACUAGCUGCAUAAGUAUUUGGUAUUAUGUAAUAAUCCGUUUGGUCGGGACUCAAAAUGAUUUCUCUUGCUUCAGGGGUAUUAAUAUUAACCUUGCUAUCUUGAUCAAUGUUAGGGCAAAUUAAAAAGAAUAUAAAAGCAAAAAAUUUGCAUCAAACACCUGUUGUACCAACAUGCAUCCAUUAAUUUGCUUUCAUCUAUUAAGUAACAAUUUAAGAGCGCUUCCACUCUGUUUAAGCAUGGAGAUAACACAAAGAAGGCAAGUCCAUGGACUAAUAUAUUAACACGUAGUCCACAUCUAUGGUAUGAACAAUUCAUAUUGCUCUUCUAUCUGUUCAACAGUCUCCCGAAGAUAGGCCAAAAAUGUCAUCUGUGGUUCUUAUGUUUGUCAGUGAAGGAGAAUCUCUGAUGCCUACACAACCUGGUGUUUUUACAGAAAGGAAUGUAGGUGAAACCAGGGGCGUAAAAUGAAUCAGGACUAAAAUCUGCUAAAAUGAUAAUUAUUUACUCAUCAUUCAAGAUUAGUCGGGCUCAAAGAUUUAUAUGGAUUUUAAGAACAAACUAUGACUAAAUAUGAAAAAAUCAUUAAUUUUUCCGACUCAAUAUUUUUUAGCCUCCCCCGGCCCUGGGUGAAACCAUAAGCUUCUCUGGUGCACAUCCAAAUCAUUCAGUUGGUUCUACUUUCAGCUCACCCACAGGAACAUCAUUCUGCAGGUACUCUUUUAUCUGUACUUUCUUAUAUUGUAUGCCAGUAAAUUUUAUAUCGACAAACUGCACAAUACACCUCGAUCUCAUAUUAUUGACAGGUGAGCUCCUCUCAUAAUGCUCACAGGCGAACCCCUGCAUAUAUACUUUGUGAUGUCAUUGAUGAUCGAUAGACUUGAAAAAAAAUUAUGACAAAGAUUCAUAAAAUAUCUACUUCCAUCCUAAUUCAGUAUUCAAUAUUAUUCAUUCGUAUCAUCAUCCAAUCAAUUCUAAUAGUUCUUCUUUAAAUCAGUACAAAUAUUGUUAAAUACCUGGAUGAUGGUUGUCUUUCCGCGAACCAAUCAUGAAAUUACCUCUGUAUAAAUCCAUCGGAAAUAAGACAGUUAAUAUCCCAAUCGAAUACACCCCGUCAGUUGUCAAACUCCUCGAAACGUAUUAAUCACUUUAGAAAAUUUGUUCCACUGGCGCUAGUCAGUCCCAGAGUUGGUGGUGGGUGCUUCUGGGCUUUCGAAAAGCACCCAUUUACUCCAUUGUUUAGAGAAGUAAAACCCCACCUUCCGCUCAUUUGAUUGAUCAGCUGAAUUAGGCAGAGUUUACAUGGUCAUGAUCAUAGUCUCCCAUNUUAAUAGUCUGACAGGACCUAUCCCAACAUUGCUGAGAAAUAUGAAAUAACUCCAUUACUCCAAUCUUAGAUUUGUCCUCAAAUCAACUGACAGGGGCUAUUCCACCUCUGUUAACUGCAUUGACAUUACUUUUCUCUUUAUAUUCUUUCCUUUUGUAUGUACCUAUGCUAAUUAUCUGAUUAUUAAAAUUAUAACAAAGCUUCAAGAUUUUUAACAGGUGAGCUUCCACUAAAAAUUUGCAAAGUCACUUCCCUUUCGCGUCUCAUUAUGUUAGAUAAUGGGUCAAGUGGUGCACUUCCACAGUGUUUGGGGAACCUUUCUUUGCUUGGUUUCAAUAAUCUUGCUAAUUAUCAAUUUCAAGGACCAAUACCAACGACUGUCCAAGACUUGUCUGUGCAUAUCUAAACAUCCAUAACAAUCACUUUGAAGGUUUGUUGCUCCAAUCUUUGGCAAACUGUAAACACUUACAAAUUCUUGAUAUUGGAAACAACGUUGGAGAGCUAGAUGUCCCAGUUAGGGCGGUAAUUCGACUAGAGCAAACCGAGUUUUGAGCGGAGCCAAAUUCGAGCCAAGUUUAAUCGAGUCGAGCCGAGUCGGCUCGUUUAGCUAAUCGAGCCUAAAACUUAGCCCGAACUCGACUCAUUUAAUUUCACGAGUCGAGUCGAGCCAACUCGUUUAGCUAAAUGAGCUGAUUUUAACAAGUCGAGCGAGCGAGCUCGUAUAAUUUUAACUUAGUCGAGCCUGAAUCUCUACCCAAACUAUUGGCUCGUGUAAUUUCGCGAGUCGAAUCGAGCCGGCUCGUUUUAUUAAACAAGCCGAAAUUUUUGCCCGAAUUUGCUCGUUUAACAAGCCGAUCUGAGCCUAGUUAAAUGAGUUCGAGUUAGUCGAGCUCGCGAGCUGCGAGCUCACCUGCCAGCUCUAGUCCUAGUCUUGCAAUCAAAUAGGUUUAACGGUAUAGAAAGUGGAAGGAGCACAAGGCAUCCAUUCCCCAAGGCUAUUUACCAAUUCAGUACUUUGAGGAUACAAAAUCAUUCUGCAGGUACUCUUGUAUCUGUACUUUCUUGUACUGUAUGCCACUUUGACAGUAGAGUAAAAUUUAUAUCGACAAACUGCAUAUGUUCUGAACUACUCCUCUAUCCCAAAUUAGAUGAGCUAGUUGACUUUGAGCACGUAACUUAAGGUACAUUGACCAACUAGUUCCGAUAUUUAUUUUUUUAAUUUUUCUUUUGUAAAUGAAAAUUUCAUAUUUAAAUUUUUAUUUGCAAAACUAAAAUUUAAAAAUAUGUAAUGUGGCUAUGCGGUCAAUGUCAACGAGCUCAUCUAAUUUGGGAUUGGGAUGCAGGGAGUAUUACGUACUAUGUUAUGCAAGCUGUUUACAACUUUCAUCAAAAUUUUCAAACAUUUCUGAAUAUGUAUUUUCAAAGAAUUCUCGGGCACUCUUAAGGCCUAUAAUUAUUGGAACUCUCACGUUAUGGACCAGAGGACCACUAUGUAUUUUACAAGCACGACGAAUCAUGUGGUCAUUAUGGACUCCCCAAGCCUUAGAGGACUCAUUCCAGGUUUUAGGAGGACCACUGCCUAGCUCACCCUUUCGGAGUGAUGUAAAUUAGUUUCCAGACACUAAAAAUAAGUAAUCAGAUUAAUCAUUACAAAAUUUUGAUAUAAAAUCAGAAUAAAUCCUAAACUUUGAUGAUACAAAAAAAAUUAUAAUUGUAAAUUAUACAAUCAAAUUAAGAUCGAAUUAACUUCCCUCACACUUAAAAUUUAUAGCGAUCAAAUCAAAAUCGAAUUAACUUUCCUAUUACUAAAAUUUAAUUACAAUAUUAUUAGAUAAAGAGAAUAUAUAAUAAUCAAGAGAAAAUAGAUUUUUUUUUGCCACUCAACUUAUUGUGUUUUAAGAAACUUACCACCCAACUAAAUUUUUUUCCUUUUGCUCACUAAUGUUAGGUUUGGAUUUGUUUUUAGCCACCAAAUAAGGUUCGGAUUUGAUUACCAGCAUUAUGAUAAUUUUUUUUGUCACUAAACUUAUUGCGUCUUUAGAAACUAACCACUGAACUAAAUUUUUUUUAUUUUACUCACUAAUGUUAGAUUUAGUUUUUUUUGUCACUAUAGUUAGGUUCAGAUUUGAUUAUUAGCAUUACAUUAAUUCUGUGUAGCAUUUUUAAAAUAUGGUAGUAGUCUGUGAUAUUUAGAUGAUUUGAUAUAUGUCUGUAUUUUUAUAUAUAGUAUAUUUUAUGUCCCCAAGGUCGUUUACCUUGGGUCAUAAAAAUUUUACACUCAUUUUAUGACUUUUAAAAGAUGUAGUUUCAUAAAUAAUUUUAUUUUUUUCUUUCGAAUUAAAAUUCAGCAUUUGAAUUUUACACACAAAAAAAUCGCAAGAAUAAGAUAUGAAACUAUGCUUUACAAGAGUCUUAAAAUACGUGCUAAACGGUAGAAAAAACUGUAAACUAAUGAGAGGUACAUAGGGAGUAAUAAUAACAUAAAAUGAUGCACAAUCAUCGAAUUAAGUUUUCCUCUCUCUAUAUAUUUAUUUUGUAAAUUUUAAUAAGAUAAAGUUAUUAAAAUUUAUGAUAUAAAUUUAAGAGAUAUCUUAGAUUGAGUGGCAAAAAUUUAGUUGGGUGGUAAGUUUCUAAAAACACAAUAAAUUGAGUGGGAACAAAAUCUAUUUUCCCAAUAAUGAGUGGGAAUAAAAUCUAUUUUCCCAAUAAUCAAAGUGACGAAAAAUCAAAGUCAUCUAAUAAGUCCAGAAAAAAUAUGACCAUUAGUAUAUUGAAAUAAUAUUCACGCAUUUAUAUACGAGAAUAUAUGGUCCACAAGUUAGUGCACAAUGUCCAAGAAUCUUUAUCAAAUAACACGGCAAGCAUGCAGCAUAUAAAUAAGAGUGGGCAGUAUGGUAUUGCAUUCAUAACCCACUUGAGCAGAAAUAUGGCACACUUCCUAAAGCCUUCUCACCUUCUUCUCUUUGUUUUCUUUCUCUCGUUACUUCAAUCCAUUCUACCAACAAGACCAGAGGGAGAAGCUCUUGUGAAAUGGAAGAAUAGCCUAGCCCCGUCUUCUUUUCUCGAUUCUUGGUCACUAACCAAUCUCGAUAAUCUUUGUAACUGGACUGGCAUUACUUGUAACUCUGCAGGUUCAGUCUCUGGGAUUAACCUUUAUGAGAAACAACUUGAUGGAAUGCUGUCCGAGUUUGGCUUCACUUCAUUUCCGAAUCUCAACAAUCUCACCCUCGCAUACAACUUCUUCUCGGGUCCAAUACCACCAGCCAUUGAGAAUUUAACACAGCUUCAAUAUCUUGAUUUAAGCAUCAAUAGUCUCGAUGGUCCCAUUCCUUUCCAGGUUAGCCAUCUUCAGAGGUUGCUCGUCCUAAACCUGUCACAGAAUGCAUUGCAAGCUCCAAAUUGGUCCCAUUUCUCUUCCAUGCCUUUUUUGCGCAUCCUCAAGCUCAGUAGGAAUCAUCUUGUAUCGAAAUUUCCAGAAUUUAUAUCCAAUUCUCAUAGCUUGGCUAUCCUUGACCUUGGCCAGAACAACUUUACAGGUGAUCUUGUGCGUGAAUUUACCAAUCUACAAAAUCUUGAAACCCUCUGGCUUUAUCGUAAUUCUUUUGAGGGGCCAUUUCCGCCGGAUAUAGUCCAGCUUUCCAAACUAAAAGAUCUUGCCCUGUCAAGUAACAAAUUUUCAGGUUCAGUUCCCAAUAACAUAAGGUUGCUUUGUGAUCUUGAAUACCUAUAUUUAGGCAACAAUUCCUUUAAGGGGCCACUUCCACCAAAUAUAUUUAAGCUUUCAAAAUUAAAACAUCUUGUUCUUUGGAGUAAUAAGUUUUCAGGUUCUGUUUCCAAUGAUAUAGGUUUGCUUCAUGAGCUUGUAACCCUCAAUCUUAACUCUAAUUUUUUUGAGGGGCCGCUUCCGCCAAAUGUAUUCAAGCUCUCCAAACUAAAGUUUUUUGCCCUUCAUGAGAAUAACUUUUCAGGUUUUAUUUCUAAGGAUAUAGGUUUGCUUUCCGAACUUGAAAUCCUCUAUUUUGGCUCUAAUUUUUUUGAGGGGCCGCUUCCUCCACAUGUAUUUAGGCUCUCCAAAUUAAGAGGUCUGGACCUCUCACACAAUAGAAAUUUAUUUGAAGGAAGUAUUCCUAUUGGACUGGGACUCUUGACUAACCUCAGGUACUUAGAUCUACAUUCCAAUAAUCUCGGUGGCUAUAUUCCAUCUGACAUUGGAAACCUGAAGCUACUAGUACUUCUUGAUCUCGGUUCUAAUCAAUUGACUGGACCGCUUUCAAAGAUCGUUUCUAAUCUCACAAAUCUUAUAUGUCUUGAUGUAAGUCAUAAUAGUCUUAGUGGAAAUAUUCAGAGUGACUUGUGGAAAUAUAACGAUCAUCCAACUUUGGAAUACAUCAAUUUAAGUGGGAACCAUUUUACGGGUAUAGUUUUUCUCUAUAGAUCUUUUCCUUUUCUCAUAUGUAACUAAGCUAGUAAUCUGAUUAUUGCAGUUUCACCAAAGUUUCAACAAUCUUGACAGGUGAGCUUCCAACAACAAUUUGCAAUGUCACUUCCCUUUCGGUUCUUGAUUUGUCAAAUAAUGAAUUAAGUGGUGCACUUCCAAACUCUUUGGGGAAUCUUGCUGAUGGAAUGCUUUACCUUAAUCUUGCUAAUAAUCAGUUUCGAGGAACAAUACCAACUACUUUCUCCAGGAGUUGUCGGUUGACAUAUCUAAACAUGGAUAAUAAUGAGUUUGAAGGAUUGUUGCCCCCAUCUUUGGCGAACUGUAAGCACUUGAAAAUUCUUGAUAUAGGCAAUAAUAAAAUAGGUGGUACAUUUCCGUCAUGGCUUUAUGCACUUGGAGAGCUAGAAGUUCUUGUCUUGCGAUCAAAUAAACUCUAUGGUACAAUAAGUGGAAGGAGCAUAGAAGAUCCCUUCCCCAAGUUGCGGAUUGUGGAUCUGUCCCACAAUCAAUUGACAGGCUAUUUGCCAAUUCAAUACUUUAAGAAUAUGAAAUCAACUGAUAAUUUGUAUCGUUAUCAGAAUGACACAGGAGUUUUUUCUUUCCAUUAUGAAGCAUCUGUCUCAUUAACUGUGAAGGGAACAGAGUAUGAAGUGAAAAAUAUCCUUCAUAUUUACACAACCAUUGAUCUGUCCUGCAACAAGUUUCAAGGAGAAAUUCCUGACGUUAUUGGAGAGCUUAGAUGGCUUGCAUUGCUGAACUUAUCUCAUAAUAGUCUAACAGGACAUAUCCCAUCAUUGCUGAGAAAUAUGAAAGGACUCCAAUCUUUAGAUUUGUCUUCAAAUCAACUGAAAGGGGCUAUUCCACUUCAGUUAACUGCAUUGACAUUUCUAGAGGUCUUGAACCUCUCGGGAAACCAUCUUAGUGGAGAGAUUCCUCAGAAAGGGCAGUUCAGCACAUUUAACAUUGAUUCUUAUCUAGGAAACUCCGCGUUAUGUGGUUCACCUUUGAUGAAGAAAUGUGCAAACACAGCAUCACCUCCACAAGAAGCCGGAAAUGGUGAUGAAGAUGAAGCUGGUGAUGAAUUGACAUGGGAAGCAAUCGUGAUGGGAUAUGGAUGUGGACUGAUAUGUGGAUUGUCAUCUGCAUACAUUGUUCUCAAACUAGGAAAGCCUUGGUGGUUUGUGAGAUAUAUCGAAGUACUGCAACAGAAGUUGAUGAAAAGAUAUGCAUGAAGAAAGGUACUGGUAGAUCAAGAUGAACUUGAAAGUUGUUGUCGUGGUAGACAUUUGUGAACCAGUAGUGUACUAGCUGCAUAAGUAUUUGGUAUUAUGUAAUAAUCCGUUUGGUCGGGACUCAAAAUGAUUUCUCUUGCUUCAGGGGUAUUAAUAUUAACCUUGCUAUCUUGAUCAAUGUUAGGGCAAAUUAAAAAGAAUAUAAAAGCAAAAAAUUUGCAUCAAACACCUGUUGUACCAACAUGCAUCCAUUAAUUUGCUUUCAUCUAUUAAGUAACAAUUUAAGAGCGCUUCCACUCUGUUUAAGCAUGGAGAUAACACAAAGAAGGCAAGUCCAUGGACUAAUAUAUUAACACGUAGUCCACAUCUAUGGUAUGAACAAUUCAUAUUGCUCUUCUAUCUGUUCAACAGUCUCCCGAAGAUAGGCCAAAAAUGUCAUCUGUGGUUCUUAUGUUUGUCAGUGAAGGAGAAUCUCUGAUGCCUACACAACCUGGUGUUUUUACAGAAAGGAAUGUAGGUGAAACCAGGGGCGUAAAAUGAAUCAGGACUAAAAUCUGCUAAAAUGAUAAUUAUUUACUCAUCAUUCAAGAUUAGUCGGGCUCAAAGAUUUAUAUGGAUUUUAAGAACAAACUAUGACUAAAUAUGAAAAAAUCAUUAAUUUUUCCGACUCAAUAUUUUUUAGCCUCCCCCGGCCCUGGGUGAAACCAUAAGCUUCUCUGGUGCACAUCCAAAUCAUUCAGUUGGUUCUACUUUCAGCUCACCCACAGGAACAUCAUUCUGCAGGUACUCUUUUAUCUGUACUUUCUUAUAUUGUAUGCCAGUAAAUUUUAUAUCGACAAACUGCACAAUACACCUCGAUCUCAUAUUAUUGACAGGUGAGCUCCUCUCAUAAUGCUCACAGGCGAACCCCUGCAUAUAUACUUUGUGAUGUCAUUGAUGAUCGAUAGACUUGAAAAAAAAUUAUGACAAAGAUUCAUAAAAUAUCUACUUCCAUCCUAAUUCAGUAUUCAAUAUUAUUCAUUCGUAUCAUCAUCCAAUCAAUUCUAAUAGUUCUUCUUUAAAUCAGUACAAAUAUUGUUAAAUACCUGGAUGAUGGUUGUCUUUCCGCGAACCAAUCAUGAAAUUACCUCUGUAUAAAUCCAUCGGAAAUAAGACAGUUAAUAUCCCAAUCGAAUACACCCCGUCAGUUGUCAAACUCCUCGAAACGUAUUAAUCACUUUAGAAAAUUUGUUCCACUGGCGCUAGUCAGUCCCAGAGUUGGUGGUGGGUGCUUCUGGGCUUUCGAAAAGCACCCAUUUACUCCAUUGUUUAGAGAAGUAAAACCCCACCUUCCGCUCAUUUGAUUGAUCAGCUGAAUUAGGCAGAGUUUACAUGGUCAUGAUCAUAGUCUCCCAUAUAUCCCUGAUACGCACAUUAUAGUGGAUUUAUCUUUAUCAGUGAUUUCUGUGGAGAUGCAUAAUCAUUAUAAGCUCCAAUAUAAAAUUUUAAAGUUAGUAUGGGAAUUUGUGUUGAUAAUUUGCGCAAUGUUAACAGGAUUGCUCCCAAGUCUUGGACGGACUCUUUCAAAGUCUUCUCAGGACCCAUCUGCACACUAAUUUGUCUGCCAACUAAAAAAUCAACAAUAUGUUACUCCCUCCGUUUUUCUUAAACUGAGGUUAAAAUUUUUGACACAAGAUGGGUUGACAGUAUAAAAUUAAAAUAUUUGUGAAUAAAAAUUUUGGUUAUAUUUUUUAUUUAAAAAGAAAAUCUUGAAAAUAAUAUUAUUAACUACCAGUCAGAUCACUUAAGUGUAUGUCCAAAAUUAAAGCGGCAUAUAAAAAAAAGGGAGGAAGCAUGUACUAACUGUUUCCAUAACAGUUUACAAGUAUAAGCUAUACCCCCUCUCUAUUUUUUUCUAUGACAGCUUUGAUUUUGGGCACACAUUCUUAAGUGUUUUGACCGGAUAGUUAAAAAUUUAUCUUCUAAAAUUUUUAAAAAAAGUAAAAUCGCAAAAAAAAUUAGAAAGCUGGUAUUUUUGAUAAAUUUCCAAAUAUGUAAUCAAGAAAAAUAACUUUUACUAUCCAAUCAACUCAUUUAAAGAUGUGUGUCAAAAAUCAAAAUAUCAUACAAAAAAUAGGUAUACAUUUUUUUAAUAGAUUAUACUCCCUCUGUUCCAAAAUAAGUGUCAGCUGGGGGUAAUAACAAGACCUUAGUCAACCCAAGCACAGCAGACAGCAGGCAUAAGGCAUCAGGAAUUUCACAGGACCAUUAUCUUUCUCUUAUUAACUGUGAAGGGAACAGCGUAUGAAGUAGCAAGAACCUUCAUAUUUACACAGCCAUUGAUCUGUCGUGCAACAAAUUUCAGGGAGAAAUUCCAAAGGUUACCGGAGAGCUUAGAUGGCUUGCAUUGCUCAAUUUAUCGCAUAAUUAAUAGUCUGACAGGACCUAUCCCAACAUUGCUGAGAAAUAUGAAAUAACUCCAUUACUCCAAUCUUAGAUUUGUCCUCAAAUCAACUGACAGGGGCUAUUCCACCUCUGUUAACUGCAUUGACAUUACUUUUCUCUUUAUAUUCUUUCCUUUUGUAUGUACCUAUGCUAAUUAUCUGAUUAUUAAAAUUAUAACAAAGCUUCAAGAUUUUUAACAGGUGAGCUUCCACUAAAAAUUUGCAAAGUCACUUCCCUUUCGCGUCUCAUUAUGUUAGAUAAUGGGUCAAGUGGUGCACUUCCACAGUGUUUGGGGAACCUUUCUUUGCUUGGUUUCAAUAAUCUUGCUAAUUAUCAAUUUCAAGGACCAAUACCAACGACUGUCCAAGACUUGUCUGUGCAUAUCUAAACAUCCAUAACAAUCACUUUGAAGGUUUGUUGCUCCAAUCUUUGGCAAACUGUAAACACUUACAAAUUCUUGAUAUUGGAAACAACGUUGGAGAGCUAGAUGUCCCAGUUAGGGCGGUAAUUCGACUAGAGCAAACCGAGUUUUGAGCGGAGCCAAAUUCGAGCCAAGUUUAAUCGAGUCGAGCCGAGUCGGCUCGUUUAGCUAAUCGAGCCUAAAACUUAGCCCGAACUCGACUCAUUUAAUUUCACGAGUCGAGUCGAGCCAACUCGUUUAGCUAAAUGAGCUGAUUUUAACAAGUCGAGCGAGCGAGCUCGUAUAAUUUUAACUUAGUCGAGCCUGAAUCUCUACCCAAACUAUUGGCUCGUGUAAUUUCGCGAGUCGAAUCGAGCCGGCUCGUUUUAUUAAACAAGCCGAAAUUUUUGCCCGAAUUUGCUCGUUUAACAAGCCGAUCUGAGCCUAGUUAAAUGAGUUCGAGUUAGUCGAGCUCGCGAGCUGCGAGCUCACCUGCCAGCUCUAGUCCUAGUCUUGCAAUCAAAUAGGUUUAACGGUAUAGAAAGUGGAAGGAGCACAAGGCAUCCAUUCCCCAAGGCUAUUUACCAAUUCAGUACUUUGAGGAUACAAAAUCAUUCUGCAGGUACUCUUGUAUCUGUACUUUCUUGUACUGUAUGCCACUUUGACAGUAGAGUAAAAUUUAUAUCGACAAACUGCAUAUGUUCUGAACUACUCCUCUAUCCCAAAUUAGAUGAGCUAGUUGACUUUGAGCACGUAACUUAAGGUACAUUGACCAACUAGUUCCGAUAUUUAUUUUUUUAAUUUUUCUUUUGUAAAUGAAAAUUUCAUAUUUAAAUUUUUAUUUGCAAAACUAAAAUUUAAAAAUAUGUAAUGUGGCUAUGCGGUCAAUGUCAACGAGCUCAUCUAAUUUGGGAUUGGGAUGCAGGGAGUAUUACGUACUAUGUUAUGCAAGCUGUUUACAACUUUCAUCAAAAUUUUCAAACAUUUCUGAAUAUGUAUUUUCAAAGAAUUCUCGGGCACUCUUAAGGCCUAUAAUUAUUGGAACUCUCACGUUAUGGACCAGAGGACCACUAUGUAUUUUACAAGCACGACGAAUCAUGUGGUCAUUAUGGACUCCCCAAGCCUUAGAGGACUCAUUCCAGGUUUUAGGAGGACCACUGCCUAGCUCACCCUUUCGGAGUGAUGUAAAUUAGUUUCCAGACACUAAAAAUAAGUAAUCAGAUUAAUCAUUACAAAAUUUUGAUAUAAAAUCAGAAUAAAUCCUAAACUUUGAUGAUACAAAAAAAAUUAUAAUUGUAAAUUAUACAAUCAAAUUAAGAUCGAAUUAACUUCCCUCACACUUAAAAUUUAUAGCGAUCAAAUCAAAAUCGAAUUAACUUUCCUAUUACUAAAAUUUAAUUACAAUAUUAUUAGAUAAAGAGAAUAUAUAAUAAUCAAGAGAAAAUAGAUUUUUUUUUGCCACUCAACUUAUUGUGUUUUAAGAAACUUACCACCCAACUAAAUUUUUUUCCUUUUGCUCACUAAUGUUAGGUUUGGAUUUGUUUUUAGCCACCAAAUAAGGUUCGGAUUUGAUUACCAGCAUUAUGAUAAUUUUUUUUGUCACUAAACUUAUUGCGUCUUUAGAAACUAACCACUGAACUAAAUUUUUUUUAUUUUACUCACUAAUGUUAGAUUUAGUUUUUUUUGUCACUAUAGUUAGGUUCAGAUUUGAUUAUUAGCAUUACAUUAAUUCUGUGUAGCAUUUUUAAAAUAUGGUAGUAGUCUGUGAUAUUUAGAUGAUUUGAUAUAUGUCUGUAUUUUUAUAUAUAGUAUAUUUUAUGUCCCCAAGGUCGUUUACCUUGGGUCAUAAAAAUUUUACACUCAUUUUAUGACUUUUAAAAGAUGUAGUUUCAUAAAUAAUUUUAUUUUUUUCUUUCGAAUUAAAAUUCAGCAUUUGAAUUUUACACACAAAAAAAUCGCAAGAAUAAGAUAUGAAACUAUGCUUUACAAGAGUCUUAAAAUACGUGCUAAACGGUAGAAAAAACUGUAAACUAAUGAGAGGUACAUAGGGAGUAAUAAUAACAUAAAAUGAUGCACAAUCAUCGAAUUAAGUUUUCCUCUCUCUAUAUAUUUAUUUUGUAAAUUUUAAUAAGAUAAAGUUAUUAAAAUUUAUGAUAUAAAUUUAAGAGAUAUCUUAGAUUGAGUGGCAAAAAUUUAGUUGGGUGGUAAGUUUCUAAAAACACAAUAAAUUGAGUGGGAACAAAAUCUAUUUUCCCAAUAAUGAGUGGGAAUAAAAUCUAUUUUCCCAAUAAUCAAAGUGACGAAAAAUCAAAGUCAUCUAAUAAGUCCAGAAAAAAUAUGACCAUUAGUAUAUUGAAAUAAUAUUCACGCAUUUAUAUACGAGAAUAUAUGGUCCACAAGUUAGUGCACAAUGUCCAAGAAUCUUUAUCAAAUAACACGGCAAGCAUGCAGCAUAUAAAUAAGAGUGGGCAGUAUGGUAUUGCAUUCAUAACCCACUUGAGCAGAAAUAUGGCACACUUCCUAAAGCCUUCUCACCUUCUUCUCUUUGUUUUCUUUCUCUCGUUACUUCAAUCCAUUCUACCAACAAGACCAGAGGGAGAAGCUCUUGUGAAAUGGAAGAAUAGCCUAGCCCCGUCUUCUUUUCUCGAUUCUUGGUCACUAACCAAUCUCGAUAAUCUUUGUAACUGGACUGGCAUUACUUGUAACUCUGCAGGUUCAGUCUCUGGGAUUAACCUUUAUGAGAAACAACUUGAUGGAAUGCUGUCCGAGUUUGGCUUCACUUCAUUUCCGAAUCUCAACAAUCUCACCCUCGCAUACAACUUCUUCUCGGGUCCAAUACCACCAGCCAUUGAGAAUUUAACACAGCUUCAAUAUCUUGAUUUAAGCAUCAAUAGUCUCGAUGGUCCCAUUCCUUUCCAGGUUAGCCAUCUUCAGAGGUUGCUCGUCCUAAACCUGUCACAGAAUGCAUUGCAAGCUCCAAAUUGGUCCCAUUUCUCUUCCAUGCCUUUUUUGCGCAUCCUCAAGCUCAGUAGGAAUCAUCUUGUAUCNUUUUUAUUUAAAAAGAAAAUCUUGAAAAUAAUAUUAUUAACUACCAGUCAGAUCACUUAAGUGUAUGUCCAAAAUUAAAGCGGCAUAUAAAAAAAAGGGAGGAAGCAUGUACUAACUGUUUCCAUAACAGUUUACAAGUAUAAGCUAUACCCCCUCUCUAUUUUUUUCUAUGACAGCUUUGAUUUUGGGCACACAUUCUUAAGUGUUUUGACCGGAUAGUUAAAAAUUUAUCUUCUAAAAUUUUUAAAAAAAGUAAAAUCGCAAAAAAAAUUAGAAAGCUGGUAUUUUUGAUAAAUUUCCAAAUAUGUAAUCAAGAAAAAUAACUUUUACUAUCCAAUCAACUCAUUUAAAGAUGUGUGUCAAAAAUCAAAAUAUCAUACAAAAAAUAGGUAUACAUUUUUUUAAUAGAUUAUACUCCCUCUGUUCCAAAAUAAGUGUCAGCUGGGGGUAAUAACAAGACCUUAGUCAACCCAAGCACAGCAGACAGCAGGCAUAAGGCAUCAGGAAUUUCACAGGACCAUUAUCUUUCUCUUAUUAACUGUGAAGGGAACAGCGUAUGAAGUAGCAAGAACCUUCAUAUUUACACAGCCAUUGAUCUGUCGUGCAACAAAUUUCAGGGAGAAAUUCCAAAGGUUACCGGAGAGCUUAGAUGGCUUGCAUUGCUCAAUUUAUCGCAUAAUUAAUAGUCUGACAGGACCUAUCCCAACAUUGCUGAGAAAUAUGAAAUAACUCCAUUACUCCAAUCUUAGAUUUGUCCUCAAAUCAACUGACAGGGGCUAUUCCACCUCUGUUAACUGCAUUGACAUUACUUUUCUCUUUAUAUUCUUUCCUUUUGUAUGUACCUAUGCUAAUUAUCUGAUUAUUAAAAUUAUAACAAAGCUUCAAGAUUUUUAACAGGUGAGCUUCCACUAAAAAUUUGCAAAGUCACUUCCCUUUCGCGUCUCAUUAUGUUAGAUAAUGGGUCAAGUGGUGCACUUCCACAGUGUUUGGGGAACCUUUCUUUGCUUGGUUUCAAUAAUCUUGCUAAUUAUCAAUUUCAAGGACCAAUACCAACGACUGUCCAAGACUUGUCUGUGCAUAUCUAAACAUCCAUAACAAUCACUUUGAAGGUUUGUUGCUCCAAUCUUUGGCAAACUGUAAACACUUACAAAUUCUUGAUAUUGGAAACAACGUUGGAGAGCUAGAUGUCCCAGUUAGGGCGGUAAUUCGACUAGAGCAAACCGAGUUUUGAGCGGAGCCAAAUUCGAGCCAAGUUUAAUCGAGUCGAGCCGAGUCGGCUCGUUUAGCUAAUCGAGCCUAAAACUUAGCCCGAACUCGACUCAUUUAAUUUCACGAGUCGAGUCGAGCCAACUCGUUUAGCUAAAUGAGCUGAUUUUAACAAGUCGAGCGAGCGAGCUCGUAUAAUUUUAACUUAGUCGAGCCUGAAUCUCUACCCAAACUAUUGGCUCGUGUAAUUUCGCGAGUCGAAUCGAGCCGGCUCGUUUUAUUAAACAAGCCGAAAUUUUUGCCCGAAUUUGCUCGUUUAACAAGCCGAUCUGAGCCUAGUUAAAUGAGUUCGAGUUAGUCGAGCUCGCGAGCUGCGAGCUCACCUGCCAGCUCUAGUCCUAGUCUUGCAAUCAAAUAGGUUUAACGGUAUAGAAAGUGGAAGGAGCACAAGGCAUCCAUUCCCCAAGGCUAUUUACCAAUUCAGUACUUUGAGGAUACAAAAUCAUUCUGCAGGUACUCUUGUAUCUGUACUUUCUUGUACUGUAUGCCACUUUGACAGUAGAGUAAAAUUUAUAUCGACAAACUGCAUAUGUUCUGAACUACUCCUCUAUCCCAAAUUAGAUGAGCUAGUUGACUUUGAGCACGUAACUUAAGGUACAUUGACCAACUAGUUCCGAUAUUUAUUUUUUUAAUUUUUCUUUUGUAAAUGAAAAUUUCAUAUUUAAAUUUUUAUUUGCAAAACUAAAAUUUAAAAAUAUGUAAUGUGGCUAUGCGGUCAAUGUCAACGAGCUCAUCUAAUUUGGGAUUGGGAUGCAGGGAGUAUUACGUACUAUGUUAUGCAAGCUGUUUACAACUUUCAUCAAAAUUUUCAAACAUUUCUGAAUAUGUAUUUUCAAAGAAUUCUCGGGCACUCUUAAGGCCUAUAAUUAUUGGAACUCUCACGUUAUGGACCAGAGGACCACUAUGUAUUUUACAAGCACGACGAAUCAUGUGGUCAUUAUGGACUCCCCAAGCCUUAGAGGACUCAUUCCAGGUUUUAGGAGGACCACUGCCUAGCUCACCCUUUCGGAGUGAUGUAAAUUAGUUUCCAGACACUAAAAAUAAGUAAUCAGAUUAAUCAUUACAAAAUUUUGAUAUAAAAUCAGAAUAAAUCCUAAACUUUGAUGAUACAAAAAAAAUUAUAAUUGUAAAUUAUACAAUCAAAUUAAGAUCGAAUUAACUUCCCUCACACUUAAAAUUUAUAGCGAUCAAAUCAAAAUCGAAUUAACUUUCCUAUUACUAAAAUUUAAUUACAAUAUUAUUAGAUAAAGAGAAUAUAUAAUAAUCAAGAGAAAAUAGAUUUUUUUUUGCCACUCAACUUAUUGUGUUUUAAGAAACUUACCACCCAACUAAAUUUUUUUCCUUUUGCUCACUAAUGUUAGGUUUGGAUUUGUUUUUAGCCACCAAAUAAGGUUCGGAUUUGAUUACCAGCAUUAUGAUAAUUUUUUUUGUCACUAAACUUAUUGCGUCUUUAGAAACUAACCACUGAACUAAAUUUUUUUUAUUUUACUCACUAAUGUUAGAUUUAGUUUUUUUUGUCACUAUAGUUAGGUUCAGAUUUGAUUAUUAGCAUUACAUUAAUUCUGUGUAGCAUUUUUAAAAUAUGGUAGUAGUCUGUGAUAUUUAGAUGAUUUGAUAUAUGUCUGUAUUUUUAUAUAUAGUAUAUUUUAUGUCCCCAAGGUCGUUUACCUUGGGUCAUAAAAAUUUUACACUCAUUUUAUGACUUUUAAAAGAUGUAGUUUCAUAAAUAAUUUUAUUUUUUUCUUUCGAAUUAAAAUUCAGCAUUUGAAUUUUACACACAAAAAAAUCGCAAGAAUAAGAUAUGAAACUAUGCUUUACAAGAGUCUUAAAAUACGUGCUAAACGGUAGAAAAAACUGUAAACUAAUGAGAGGUACAUAGGGAGUAAUAAUAACAUAAAAUGAUGCACAAUCAUCGAAUUAAGUUUUCCUCUCUCUAUAUAUUUAUUUUGUAAAUUUUAAUAAGAUAAAGUUAUUAAAAUUUAUGAUAUAAAUUUAAGAGAUAUCUUAGAUUGAGUGGCAAAAAUUUAGUUGGGUGGUAAGUUUCUAAAAACACAAUAAAUUGAGUGGGAACAAAAUCUAUUUUCCCAAUAAUGAGUGGGAAUAAAAUCUAUUUUCCCAAUAAUCAAAGUGACGAAAAAUCAAAGUCAUCUAAUAAGUCCAGAAAAAAUAUGACCAUUAGUAUAUUGAAAUAAUAUUCACGCAUUUAUAUACGAGAAUAUAUGGUCCACAAGUUAGUGCACAAUGUCCAAGAAUCUUUAUCAAAUAACACGGCAAGCAUGCAGCAUAUAAAUAAGAGUGGGCAGUAUGGUAUUGCAUUCAUAACCCACUUGAGCAGAAAUAUGGCACACUUCCUAAAGCCUUCUCACCUUCUUCUCUUUGUUUUCUUUCUCUCGUUACUUCAAUCCAUUCUACCAACAAGACCAGAGGGAGAAGCUCUUGUGAAAUGGAAGAAUAGCCUAGCCCCGUCUUCUUUUCUCGAUUCUUGGUCACUAACCAAUCUCGAUAAUCUUUGUAACUGGACUGGCAUUACUUGUAACUCUGCAGGUUCAGUCUCUGGGAUUAACCUUUAUGAGAAACAACUUGAUGGAAUGCUGUCCGAGUUUGGCUUCACUUCAUUUCCGAAUCUCAACAAUCUCACCCUCGCAUACAACUUCUUCUCGGGUCCAAUACCACCAGCCAUUGAGAAUUUAACACAGCUUCAAUAUCUUGAUUUAAGCAUCAAUAGUCUCGAUGGUCCCAUUCCUUUCCAGGUUAGCCAUCUUCAGAGGUUGCUCGUCCUAAACCUGUCACAGAAUGCAUUGCAAGCUCCAAAUUGGUCCCAUUUCUCUUCCAUGCCUUUUUUGCGCAUCCUCAAGCUCAGUAGGAAUCAUCUUGUAUCGAAAUUUCCAGAAUUUAUAUCCAAUUCUCAUAGCUUGGCUAUCCUUGACCUUGGCCAGAACAACUUUACAGGUGAUCUUGUGCGUGAAUUUACCAAUCUACAAAAUCUUGAAACCCUCUGGCUUUAUCGUAAUUCUUUUGAGGGGCCAUUUCCGCCGGAUAUAGUCCAGCUUUCCAAACUAAAAGAUCUUGCCCUGUCAAGUAACAAAUUUUCAGGUUCAGUUCCCAAUAACAUAAGGUUGCUUUGUGAUCUUGAAUACCUAUAUUUAGGCAACAAUUCCUUUAAGGGGCCACUUCCACCAAAUAUAUUUAAGCUUUCAAAAUUAAAACAUCUUGUUCUUUGGAGUAAUAAGUUUUCAGGUUCUGUUUCCAAUGAUAUAGGUUUGCUUCAUGAGCUUGUAACCCUCAAUCUUAACUCUAAUUUUUUUGAGGGGCCGCUUCCGCCAAAUGUAUUCAAGCUCUCCAAACUAAAGUUUUUUGCCCUUCAUGAGAAUAACUUUUCAGGUUUUAUUUCUAAGGAUAUAGGUUUGCUUUCCGAACUUGAAAUCCUCUAUUUUGGCUCUAAUUUUUUUGAGGGGCCGCUUCCUCCACAUGUAUUUAGGCUCUCCAAAUUAAGAGGUCUGGACCUCUCACACAAUAGAAAUUUAUUUGAAGGAAGUAUUCCUAUUGGACUGGGACUCUUGACUAACCUCAGGUACUUAGAUCUACAUUCCAAUAAUCUCGGUGGCUAUAUUCCAUCUGACAUUGGAAACCUGAAGCUACUAGUACUUCUUGAUCUCGGUUCUAAUCAAUUGACUGGACCGCUUUCAAAGAUCGUUUCUAAUCUCACAAAUCUUAUAUGUCUUGAUGUAAGUCAUAAUAGUCUUAGUGGAAAUAUUCAGAGUGACUUGUGGAAAUAUAACGAUCAUCCAACUUUGGAAUACAUCAAUUUAAGUGGGAACCAUUUUACGGGUAUAGUUUUUCUCUAUAGAUCUUUUCCUUUUCUCAUAUGUAACUAAGCUAGUAAUCUGAUUAUUGCAGUUUCACCAAAGUUUCAACAAUCUUGACAGGUGAGCUUCCAACAACAAUUUGCAAUGUCACUUCCCUUUCGGUUCUUGAUUUGUCAAAUAAUGAAUUAAGUGGUGCACUUCCAAACUCUUUGGGGAAUCUUGCUGAUGGAAUGCUUUACCUUAAUCUUGCUAAUAAUCAGUUUCGAGGAACAAUACCAACUACUUUCUCCAGGAGUUGUCGGUUGACAUAUCUAAACAUGGAUAAUAAUGAGUUUGAAGGAUUGUUGCCCCCAUCUUUGGCGAACUGUAAGCACUUGAAAAUUCUUGAUAUAGGCAAUAAUAAAAUAGGUGGUACAUUUCCGUCAUGGCUUUAUGCACUUGGAGAGCUAGAAGUUCUUGUCUUGCGAUCAAAUAAACUCUAUGGUACGAUAAGUGGAAGGAGCAUAGAAGAUCCCUUCCCCAAGUUGCGGAUUGUGGAUCUGUCCCACAAUCAAUUGACAGGCUAUUUGCCAAUUCAAUACUUUAAGAAUAUGAAAUCAACUGAUAAUUUGUAUCGUUAUCGGAAUUCCACAGGACCAUUAUCUUUCUCUUAUGAAGCAGCAGUCUCAUUAACUGUGAAGGGAACAGAGUACGAGGUAGCAAAGAACCUUCAUAUUUACACAGCCAUUGACCUGUCGUGCAACAAAUUUCAGGGAGAAAUUCCAAAGGUUACUGGAGAGCUUAGAUGGCUUGCAUUGCUGAAUUUAUCUCAUAAUAGUCUGACAGGACCUAUCCCAUCCUUGCUGAAAAAUAUGAAAGAACUCCAAUCUUUAGAUUUGUCCUCAAAUCAACUGACAGGGGCUAUUCCACCUCAGUUAACUGCAUUGACAUUUCUGGAGGUCUUCAACCUCUCGGGAAACCAUCUUAGUGGAGAGAUUCCUCAGAAAGGGCAGUUCAGCACAUUUAACAAUGAUUCUUAUCUAGGAAACUCCGCGUUAUGUGGAUCACCUUUGACAAAGAAAUGUGCAAACACAGCAUCACCUCCACAAGAAGUCGGAAAUGGUGAUGAAGAUGAUGCUGGUGAUGAAUGGACAUGGGAAGCAAUCGUGAUGGGAUAUGGAUGUGGACUGAUAUGUGGAUUGUCAUCUGCGUACAUUGUUCUCAAACUAGGAAAGCCUUGGUGGUUUGUGAGAUAUAUCGAAGUGCUGCAACUGAAGUUGAUGAAAAGAUAUGCUUGAAAAAUUGUACUGGCCGAUCAAGACGAACUUGAAAGUUGUUGUCCUUGUGGACAUUUCUGAACCAGUAGUGUACUAGCUGCAUAAGUAUUUGGUAUUAUGUAAUAAUCCGUUUGGUCAGGACUCAUAAUGAUUUCUCUUGCUUCAGGGGUAUUAAUAUUAACCUUGCUAGUUAAUUCAAAUUAAAACAAAUAUAAAAUCAAAAAAUUUGCAUCAAACACCUGUUAUACCAACAUCCAUUAAUUUGCUUUCAUCUCUUACGUAACAAUUUAACAGCGAUUCCACACUGUUUUAGGCAUGGAGAUUACACAAAGAAGGCAAGUCCAUGAACUAAUAUAUUAACCCGUAGUCCACAUCUAUGCUACGAACAAUUCAUAUUGGUCUUCCAUCUAUUCAACCGUCUCCCGAAGAUAGGCCAAAAAUGUCAUCUGUGGUUCUUAUCUUUGUCAGUAAAGGAGAAUCUCUGAUGCCUAUACAACCUGGUUUUCUUACAGAAAGGAAUGUAGGUGAAACCAGGGGCAUAAAAUGAAUCGGGACUAAAAUCUGCUAAAAUGAUAAUUAUUUACUCAUCAUUCGAGAUUAGUCGGGCUCAAAUGAAGAUUUAUAUGGAUUUUAAGAACAAACUAUGACUAAAUAUGAAAACUAGACAACCUGGUUUUCUUACAGAAAGGAAUGUAGGUGAAACCAGGGGCGUAAAAUGAAUCGGGACUAAAAUCUGCUAAAAUGAUAGUAAUUAUUUACUCAUCAUUCAAGAUUAGUCGGGCUCAAAUGAAGAUUUAUAUGGAUUUUUAAGAACAAACUAUGACUAAAUAUGAAAAAAAUCAUUAAUUUUUCCGACUCAAUAUUUUUUAGCCUCCCCCGGCCCUGGGUGAAACCAUAAGCUUCUCUGGUGCACAUCCAAAUCAUUCAGCUGGUUCUGCAGGUACUCUUCUAUCUGUACUUUCUUAUAUUGUUUGCCAGUACAUUUUAUAUCGACAAACUGCACAAUACACCUCGAUCUCAUACACAGGUGAACUCCUGCAUAUGCUUUGUGAUGUCAUUGAUGAUCGAUAGACUUGAAAAAAAAUUAUGACAAAGAUUCAUAAAAUAUCUACUUCCAUCCUAAUUCAGUAUUCAAUAUUAUUCAUCCCGUAUCAUCAUCCAAUCAAUUCUAAUAGUUCUUCUUUAAAUCAGUACAAAUAUUGUUAAAUACCUCGAUGAUGGUUGUCUUCCCGUGAACCAAUCAUAAAAUUACCUCUGUAUAAAUCCAUCGGAAAUAAGACAGUUAAUAUCCCAAUCGAAUACACCCCGUCAGUUGUCAAACUCCUCGAAACGUAUUAAUCACUUUAGAAAAUUUGUUCCACUGGCGCUAGUCAGUCCCAGAGUUGGUGGUGGGUGCUUCUGGGCUUUCGAAAAACACCCAUUUACUCCAUUGUUUAGAGAAGUAAAACCCCACCUUCCGCUCAUUUGAUUGAUCAGCUGAAUUAGGCAGAGUUUACAUGGUCAUGAUCAUAGUCUCCCAUUUCCCAGAUACGCGAAUUAUAGUGGAUUUAUCUUUAUCAGUAAUUUCUGUGGAGAUGCAUAAUCAUUAUAAGCUCCAAUAUAAAAAUUUAAAGUUAGUAUGGGCAUUUGUGUUGAUAAUUUGCGCAAUGUUAACAGGAUUGCUCCCAAGUCUUGGACGGACUCUUUCAAAGUCUUCUCAGGACCCAUCUGCACACUGAUUUGUCUGCCAACUAAAAAAUCAACAAUAUGUUACUCACUCCGUUUUUCUUAAACGAGGUUAAAAUUUUUGACACAAGAUGGGUUGACAGUAUAAUAAAAUUAACAUUUUUGUGAAUAAAAAUUUUGGUUGUAUUAUUUUAUUUAGAAAAAGAAAAUCUUGAAAAUAAUAUUAUUAACUACCCAGUCAAAUCACUUAAAAGUAUAUGUCCAAAAUUAAAGCGGCAUAUAAAAAAACCGAGAGAGAGUAUGUACUAACCUGUUUCCAUAACAGUUUACAAGUAUAAGUUAUACUCCCUCUCUAUUUUUUUAUAUGACGCUUUGAUUUUGGGCACAUAUUUUUAAGUGUUUUGACCGGAUAAUUAAAAAUAUUAUUUUCUAAAAUUUUUAAAAGAAAGUAAAAUUGAAAAAAAAAUAGAAAGCUGGUAUUUUUGAUAAAUUUCCAAACAUAAUCAAGAACAAUAAUUUUUACUAUCCAAUCAACUCAUUUACAGAUGUGUGUCAAAAAUCAAAAUAUCAUAUAAAAAACAACAAUAUGUUACUCCCUCCGUUUUUCUUAAACUGAGGUUAAAAUUUUUGACACAAGAUGGGUUGACAGUAUAAAAUUAAAAUUUUUGUGAAUAAAAAUUUUGGUUAUAUUUUUUAUUUAAAAAGAAAAUCUUGAAAAUAAUAUUAUUAACUACCAGUCAGAUCACUUAAGUGUAUGUCCAAAAUUAAAGCGGCAUAUAAAAAAAAGGGAGGAAGCAUGUACUAACUGUUUCCAUAACAGUUUACAAGUACAAGUUAUACUCCCUCUCUAUUUUUUCUAUGACGCUUUGAUUUUGGGCACACAUUCUUAAGUGUUUUGACCGGAUAGUUAAAAAUUUAUCUUCUAAAAUUUUUAAAAAGAAGUAAAAUCGCAAAAAAAAUUAGAAAGCUGGUAUUUUUGAUAAAUUUCCAAAUAUGUAAUCAAGAACAAUAACUUUUACUAUCCAAUCAACUCAUUUAAAGAUGUGUGUCAAAAAUCAAAAUAUCAUACAAAAAAUAGGUAUACAUUUUUUUUAAUAGAUUAUACUCCCUCUGUUCCAAAAUAAUUGUCAGCUGUGACAUUUUGCAAAAGUAGCUGGGGGGUAAUAACAAGACCUUAGUCAACCCAAGCACAGCAGACAGCAGGCAUAAGGCAUCAGGAAUUUCACAGCACCAUUAUCUUUCUCUUAUUAACUGUGAAGGGAACAGAGUAUGAAGUAGCAAGAACCUUCAUAUUUACACAGCCAUUGAUCUGUCGUGCAACGAAUUUCAGGGAGAAAUUUCAAAGGUUACUGGAGAGCUUAGAUGGCUUGCAUUGCUCAAUUUAUCUCAUAAUAGUCUCACAGGACCUAUCCCAUCAUUGCUGAGAAAAAUGAAAGAACUCCAAUCUUUAGAUUUGUCCUCAAAUCAACUGACAGGGGCUAUUCCACCUCAGUUAACUGCAUUGACAUUACUUUUCUCUUUAUAUCCUUUCCUUUUGUAUGUACCUAUGCUAAUUAUCUGAUUAUCAAAAUUAUAACAAAGCUUCAAGAUUUUUAACAGGUGAGCUUCCACUAAAAAUUUGCAAAGUCACUUCCCUUUCGCGUCUCAUUAUGUCAGAUAAUGGGUCAAGUGGUGCACAUCCACAGUGUUUGGGGAACCUUUCUUUGCUUGGUUUCAAUAAUCUUGCUAAUUAUCAAUUUCAAGGACCAAUACCAACGACUGUCCAAGACUUGUCUGUGCAUAUCUAAACAUCCAUAACAAUCACUUUGAAGGUUUGUUGCUGCAAUCUUUGACAAACUGUAAACACUUACAAAUUCUUGAUAUUGGAAACAACAAAAUAGGUGGUACAUUUCGGUCAUGGCUAUUUAUUUUGGAGAGCUAGAUGUCCUAGUUAGGGCGGUAAUUCAACUAGAGCAAACCGAGUUUUGAGCGGAGCCAAAUUCGAGCCAAGUUUAAUCGAGUCAAGCCGAGUCGGCUCGUUUAGCUAAUCGAGCCUAAAACUCUGCCCGAACUCGACUCGUUUAAUUUCACGAACGAGUCAAGCGAGUGAGCUCGUAUAAUUUUAACUUAAUCGAGCCUAAAUCUCUACCCGAACUAUUGGCUCGUGUAAUUUCGCGAGUAGAAUCGAGCCGGCUCGUUUUAUUAUAGAAGCCGAAAUUUUUGCCCGAAUUUGGCUUGUUUAACAAGCCGAUCUUUCAUCAAAAAUUUCAAACAUUUCUGAAUAUGUAUUUUCAGAGAAUUUCUCCAGCACUCUUAAGGCCUAUAAUUAUUGCAACUCUCACGUUAUGGACCACUGUGUAUUUUACAAGCACGACGAAUCAUGUUGUCAUUAUGGACUCCCCAAGCCUUAGAGGACUCAUUCCAGGUCUUAGGAGGACCACUGCCUAGCUCACCCUUUCGGAGUGAUGUAAAUUAUUUUCCAAACAUUAAAAAUAAAUAAUCAGAUUAAUCAAUACAAAAUUAAAGAUAUAAAAUCAGAAUAAAUCCUAAACUUUGAAUAUACAAAAAAAAUUAUAAUUGUAAAUUAUACAAUCAAAUUAAAAUUGAAUUAACUUCCCUCACACUUAAAAUUUAUAGCGAUCAAAUCAAAAUCGAAUUAACUUUCCUAUUACUAAAAUUUAGUUACAAUAUUAUUAGAUAAAGAGAAUAUAUAAUAAUCAAGGGAAAAUAGAUUUUUUUUUUUUGCCACUCAACUUAUUGUUUUUUAAGAAACUUACCACCCAACUAAUUAUUUUUUCCUUUUGCUCACUAAUGUUAGGUUUGGAUUUGUUUUUAGCCACCAACUAAGGUUCGGAUUUGAUUACUAGCAUUAUGAUAAUUUUUUUUGUCACUAAACUUAUUGUGUCUUUAGAAACUAACCACUCAACUAAUUUUUUUUUAAUUUACUCACUAAUGUUAGGUUCAGUUUUUUUUUGUCACUGAAGUUAGGUUCGGAUUUGAUUAUUAGCAUUACAUUAAUUCUGUGUAGCAUUUUUAAAAUAUGGCUCAUAAGAAUUUUACACGCAUUUUAUGACUUUUAAAAGAUGUAGUUUCAUUAAUAAUUUUAUUUUUUUCUUCCGAAUUAAAAUUUAGCGUUUGAAUUUUACACACAAAAAAUCGAAAGAAUAAGUUAUGAAAGUAUGCUUUAUAAGAGUCUUAAAAUACGUGCUAAACGGUAGAAAAAACUGUACACUAAUGACAGGUAAAUAGGGAGUAAUAAUAACAUAAAAUGAUGCACAAUCAUCGAAUUAAGUUUUCCUCUCUCUAUAUAUUUAUUUUGAAAAUUUUAAUAAGAUAAAGUUAUUAAAAUUUAUGAUAUAAAUUUAAGAGAUAUCUUAGAUUGAGUGGCAAAAAUUUAGUUGGGUGAUAAAUUUCUAAAAACACAAUAAAUUGAAUGGGAACAAAAUCUAUUUUCCCGAUAAUCAAAGUGACGAAAAAUCAAAGUCAUCUAAUAAGUCCAGAAAAAAUAUGACCAUUAGUAUAUCGGAAUAAUAUUCACACAUUUAUAUACGAGAAUAUAUGGUCCACAAGUUAGUGCACAAUGUCCAAGAAUCUUUAUUAAAGUAACACGGCAAGCAUGCAGCAUAUAAAUAAGAGUGGGCACUGGGCAGUAUGGUAUUGCAUUCAUAACCCACUUGAGGAGAAAUAUGGCACACUUCCUAAAGCCUUCUCACCUUCUUCUCUUUGUUUUCUUUCUCUCGUUACUUCAAUCCAUUCUACUAACAAGACCAGAGGGAGAAGCUCUUGUGAAAUGGAAGAAUAGCCUUGCCCCUUCUUCUUUUCUCGAUUCUUGGUCACUCACCAAUCUCGAUGAUCUUUGUAACUGGACUGGCAUUACUUGUAACUCUGCAGGUUCAGUCUCUGAGAUUAACCUUUAUGAGAAACAACUUGAUGGAAUGCUGUCCGAGUUUAGUUUCACUUCAUUUCCAAAUCUUAACAGUCUCACUCUCGCAUACAACUUCUUCUCGGGUCCAAUACCACCAGCCAUUGAGAAUUUAACACAGCUUCAAUAUCUUGAUUUAAGCAUCAAUAGUCUCGAUGGUCUCAUUCCGUUCCAGGUUAGCCAUCUUCAGAGGUUGCUCGUCUUAAACCUGUCACAGAAUGCAUUGCAAGCUCCAAAUUGGUCCCAAUUCUCUCCCAUGCCCUUUUUGUGCAGCCUCAACCUCAGUAGCAAUCCUCUUGCGUCGAAAUUCCCAAAUUUCAUAUCCAAUUCUCAUGGCCUGACUCACCUUAGCCUUGAUCAAAACGAGUUUACAGGUGAUUUAGCGCGUGAAUCAAUAUUUGCCAAUCUGCAUAAUCUUGAAGUCCUCAGUCUUGUUGGCAAUUCUUUUGAGGGGCCAUUUCUGCCAAAUAUAUUCAAGCUUUCCAAAUUAAAACGUCUCACCCUGUCAAGUAACAAAUUUUUAGGAUCAAUUCCCAAUGACAUAAGGUUGCUUUGUGAUCUUGAAUUCCUGUAUUUAGGAAACAAUUCUUUUGAAGGACCGCUUCCACCAAAUAUAUUCAAGCUUUCAAAAUUAAAACAUCUUGUUCUUUGGAGUAAUAAGUUUUCAGGUUCUGUUUCCAAUGAUAUAGGUUUGCUUUCUGCGCUUGAACUUUUGAAUCUUCACUCUAAUUUUUUUGAGGGGCCGCUUCCGCCAAAUGUAUUCAAGCUCUCUAAACUAAGGUUUCUUAACCUCUGGGGUAACAACUUUUCAGGUUCUGUUUCCAAUGAUAUAGGUUUGCUUCCGGAGCUAGAAAUCCUCAAUCUUCACUCUAAUUUUUUUGAGGGCCGCUUCCGCCAAAUAUAUUCAAGCUCUCUAAACUAAGGUUUCUUAACCUUUGGGGUAAUAACUUUUCAGGUUCUGUUUCCAAUGAUAUAGGUUUGCUUCCUGAGCUAGAAUUCCUCAAUCUUCACUCUAAUUUUUUUGAGGGUCCGCUUCCGCCAAAUGUAUUCAAGCUCUCUAAACUAAAGUUUCUUCAUCUUCGAGGUAAUAAGUUUUCAGGUUCUGUUUCCAAUGAUAUAGGUUUGCUUCCUGAGCUUGAAAUCCUCAAUCUUCGCUCUAAUUUUUUUGAGGGGCCGCUUCCGCCAAAUGUAUUCAAGCUCUCCAAACUAAGGUUUCUUUCCCUUAAGGAAAAUAAAUUUUCAGGUUCUGUUUCCAAUGAUAUAGGUUUCCUUUCUGAGCUUGAAUACCUAUAUCUUGACUAUAAUUUAUUUGAAGGAAGUAUUCCUAUUGGACUGGGACUCUUGACUAACCUCAGCUACUUAGAUCUAAGUUCCAAUAAUCUCAGUGGCUAUAUUCCAUCUGACAUUGGAAACCUGAAGCUACUAGUAUUUCUUGAUCUCAGUUCUAACCAAUUGACUGGACCGCUUUUAAAGAUCGUUUCUAAUCUCACAAAUCUUAUGAAUCUUGAUGUAAGUGAUAAUAGUCUUAGUGGAAAUAUUCAGAGUGACUUGUGGAAGAACUCUAUAUCCUUACGUUACAUUAAUUUUGCAAAUAAUUAUUUGUCUGGGAACAUUCCUAAGGAAUACAACGAUCAUCCAACUUUGGAAUACAUCAAUUUAAGUGGGAACCAUUUUACAGGUAUAUUUUUCUCUAUAUAUCUUUUCCUUUUCUCAUAUGUAACUAAGCUGGUAAUCUGAUUAUUGCAGUUUUACCAAAGUUUCAACAAUCUUGACAGGUGAGCUUCCAACAACAAUUUGCAAUGUCACUUCCCUUGCGGUUCUUGUUUUGUCAAAUAAUGGAUUAAGUGGAGCACUUCCAAAUUGUUUCGGGAAACUUGCUGAUAGAUUGCUUUCCAUUAAUCUUGCUAAUAAUCAGUUUCGAGGAACAAUACCAACUACUUUCUCCAGGAGUUGUCAGGUGAAAUAUCUAAACAUGGAUAAUAAUGAGUUUGAAGGAUUCUUGCCCCCAUCUUUGGCGAACUGUAAGCACUUGAAAAUUCUUGAUAUUGGCAAUAACAAAAUAGGUGGUCCAUUUCCGUCAUGGCUUUAUGUACUUGGAGAGAUAGAAGUCCUUGUCUUGCGAUUAAAUAAACUCUAUGGUACAAUAAGUGGAAGGAGCGUAAAAGAUCCCUUCCCCAAGUUGCGGAUUGUGGAUCAAUAGACAUCGGCUAAAAAGCGAUGUCUAUGUAAAAUCAGACCGAUGUCUUCGUGGGUGAUGAGAAAAGUAAGUGCAUUACACAUCGCUUUCUAGCCGAUGUCUAUAACCUAUUUACACAUCGUUUAAUAUGACAAUCUGAUGUAUUUUUUAACAGUAGAUACCUUCACUAUAAUUUCAGUUCCUCAUUCCUAUGCCCUCUAUAUCAUUUUAAACUUGUCACAUGCUUAAUAAAAUGAUACUUUAACAUCUUAAAACUUGUAAAAUAGAUGUAUAUGAUAACCUUUUACAUCAUGCUUUUAUAGGAAGUGAUGUGGUACCCUUCUUUUCUUUAAGAAAGCGAUGUCUUUGUUCUUGUUUUACAUCAGUGAUUUUUAUACUCUGAUAUCUAUUAUAUAGUUUAACAUCAGGCUUUUUCUUGUUAACUGAUAUGUAUUCAUUCUUAUGACAUCGCUUACUAAGUGAUGUAAAUGUUAGUUUUAAAUUGCCAUGAAUCCUCCUGUUUCUUAUGAAUCCCCCUGUUUCAUUUAAAUUUCCAACAAAUUCCAAAACAACACCAAAGCUAUACUAAUUAAACAACCAAUUACCAAUGUCUAGCCUACCAUAACAGAACUAAAACAAAACUAGCUAGCAAAACAAUACUUCCGCAAAAGCCAAAUAUAUUACCAUCAAUCAUUACCAAUCAAAUUACAUCCCACAAUCAAAGAAACUGCACAAAUCCUAAAUAUUAACCAAGCAACCAUAAUUUACAAGCAGUUCACCACGUACUCCAGCAACCAUAAUUUACCAACUACAUUUCCCUCCAUUUAUCAACAAAAUCUACUUAGCUAGCUAGUGUCACUGUCUUACAUAAACUGAACUAAUUAAAGGAAACCAAAGUUCUCCAAUAAACCAAAGGCCUGUUUAUAAGAAGGACUCGAUAUGGCUAAGUGUCUCAAACCGAACCUCGUCAAGCUCAGCCUUGGAACAAAUCACUUUUCGAUUCUUGGAUGCCCACUGAAAAAUGUAAAACAAUAACAUUGAAUUAUACCUAAAUUUAUAUGUACACCAUUUAAUUAUAUCAACAAUGGAUUAGGCAAAGAAAAAUACCCUUUUAAAAAAUGUCAUUUCAUUGUCCAUGACAAUCUCUUUCAUAUACCGCAUAAUAACAUAGCCGCAUUCAGUUCCACCGGGCUGUUUAGGACAUCCCUAUUUAACCAAAAAAAACUCAAAAUAGUAAGUAAAGUAAUGCCCCUGGUUCUAAGCAUCAGUAGCACAAAUUGUUAAAAAUAAAUACGAAAGCUUACUGUAAUAUAUUUGAAGCUUGGGGCUUUAUUUCCCCUUCCGGCCUGAACAUUGAAAGUAAUCACAGCCCUGUCAUCUUGGCAGUGUUAAUAAUGCACAUGCAUUUAUAUCUCCAUAAGAAAGAUAAUCAAUAAAAAAAUAAAUGAAAAUACCUUGAUAUUGCUUUUUCCAAGUUGGGGAAACUAGUUGAACGAGGCAGAGGAUUAAGUAUGAAAACCUCGCCACCCCAAAACAGAACCAAUACCCAAUGGAAACUAUUUUUAACAAAUAUUUAUGAAAAACACAAUUACUAUCAAAAUCAUAUAAAUUUUAUUUUCAGUCAUGUAAAAAACUAAAUAAAAGAGAUUUAUAAUAAAUAAGAAAACACUUAAGCUACUUACUUGCUAUUAUGCGGCAUCAAAAAGAGACGAUCAGGAUUACCCUCUUUAAAUCGAUUAACCAAGUUAUCUUCAAAAGAAUUGUUCAUCAAGUUCAGCGAGGCUCCAGGAUCACAAAAAGCAAAUUGAUCCUUAGUGCCAUUUUCACGAACCACGCAAUGCAAGUAUCUACAUUGUAAAUGAAAUGAAAUUAUAUAAAAUUACACGAAUAUGAAUUAUAACUAAACAACAGUCAUGAUCUAGAAGACAGUAAUUAAAAAAAGUUUACUCACGCCAUGUAUGCAGCAAUUGCUGCUUGGCCAAUCAUAUUAAACUCCAGCAAGGCGACUAUGUUUUCAUACAAGAUGAAGAUUCUUUUCUCGAUACCAAACACCUCAGCAUCACACGGGAUUUGAAUUGAGUCUCCGGAGGAUUGCAUAAAUGUUGUUGCAUGUUUAUACAACAACCGAAAGCGUUUUGGAACAUUUUUAUUGAUCUCCAUGUUAUGAAACAAGGACUGGACUUUAUCUAAAUCGGUUUUAGGUUCCUUUACUUUCCGUUUACCUUUCUGAAAAAUGAACAAAAUUAAUUUAAAACAAAAUAUAACAAAAUAUAGGGGUAACAUAUAAUAGUACAAUCCAGUACAACAAUUAUGUUAAAGUACACACCAUAGUAGGAAUAGUAGGAGGGGCAUUUGGGAAUAUGAUCAAGUCGCGGGGCCAUGAGACGUACGAGCCAACAGCUUGCUCUACUGUUUCAAUCUCACCUGGUACCGGUUUAGGAAUCUUGGCUUGUCCUUGAAUUGGGCCAUCCACUGAGACGCGAACACAUCCAGGCUCUAUCGGCACUCCAUGUAUAGAUUUGUUCAUGUUAUCAUCAUCAAACAACAAACCAAAUGCCACUUUAUUUUCUAUUGUGCCUACAGCCAACUCACAUUUUCGUGGACCGGCCUACACACAUAUAUUUAAACAAUUAUGACGAAUGCUUGAAAUAUGUUGAGCUAAAUUGAAUAAAUGUGCUAGUUAUUUUACCUUAUUCUCUGGUGGAUUAGGUUCCAAGUCAACUUCAAUCAUCUCUGGUUCCAGUUUUUUCACCACCUCUGUCUUAGCUUCUUUGACAGUGUUUGCCUCACAACUUGCUUUAUCAGAAGCAAUAGGAGAUGAAAUAUUUGCUUUGCUGAGCAAGGCCUUCAUUUCAGCCAUCUCCUGCCUUGUCUUCUCCAUUUCCAUGGCCAUCUCUUUCUUGGCUUUCUCCAGCUCCGCGUCCCUCUCUCGAUCCCUCUCCAACAACUCAGCUUUGGUGAUUCUAUUUCUUCUUCCUGGUGGUAUAUUAAAAAAAAUUGACGGGCUCACAAAGCCUCCAACUCCUCGAACCCUCCCCGAAUGUUCAGGAGUUUGUAGGGCCGUAGUCAACACAUCUCGACUCCCAGAAGGAGUGAAUUCCCCCUUACUUUGCUGCUCUAGUAAAAUAUUCUGACAUGAAAAAUAUGAACAUACAAAUCAUCAUCUAGUGAACCUCAUCAUCAAUAUUAACUUUAAUUUUACGAGCCUUUUAAUUAUAAAUACUCACAAUUCUUUUUCCUAUUUCAGCUAGGUCUGAAUCCUCAUCAUCAGCAUCAUCAGCCUCAUCAUCAUCAUCAACAUUAUCAUUAUCAUCAUCAAUUUUAAUUUUACGAGCCUUUUGCCACAUGAGAGCCCGAUCAGGUUCUUCAUCGGCAGCCAAAGUUCCUUUCUUGAUCUGAUUAAAAUCAAAAAAAAAUUAAAAAGGCCAAGAUAUGUAAAAUACAAUUAUUUAGGUUCAAUGCUUAAAAUACAACUAUUUUUAUACCUCUUCUUCCAAUAAUCCAAUGUAACCCUUUCUUGAUGUCCGGUGAGGAUAUUUUCGAUUACUCACCCUCAGCUUUUGUUUUUCACUAAAAGACUUCAAAUAUUUUAAAUAAUAUUAGAAUACUAUUUUUCAGAAUAUAAAAAGACAUUUAUAUCACAAUAAAGCAGAACAUAAAAUAUAUUUCAUACCAGAAAUUUCGAGGUAGUCCUCUCAGCAACAAAAUUUUUCCAAGCCUCCUUUCCAACAAAAGCAUACUUCUUUGGAGGCUUUCGUAAUUUCUUCUUCUGCCCAAGAUACGGCCUCACAUAAUCUCUUGUUAAAUUUGCUUUAAAAUUCCUCCACUUUGCUCCUGCAGACCUGAUCAACCCCUUCUCAAGUUGCUUAGGAACUUUAAAUGUCUCCUGCAACCAAUGUUAAUUGACAAAAUUUACAAAAUUAUACUCUAAAUGAGUAGAAGAAAAUGCAAAAUUUACAAAAUGCAUAGGAGAUUACUUAUUUUUAUACCUUCACAUCAAUCCAUAUUUUCUCCUUUAGUUCAUCAGGUACCUUUGACCAGUUAGGAUAAUCAAUCGGAAUCAUUGUCCUAGCCAACAUUCCAGUGUAGGAUUGUAGACUGUGCCUUGCAUCCCCUGUAGGAACUCCAUGUGCAUUACAUGAAACCUUUGUUUUCUUGCCCUGCGCCUUCCUCACCACCACUUUAUACAUAGCAGAAACCCCUCGGGCACCCCCACGCUUUUUCUUUGCUGUUUCAGAUGUUGUAACUGUUGCAUCCGUUUCCUCCACAGAAUUCACAUUUUCUCCCUGAGGUUCUGUUGUCAGCUCCAACCUUUUAUCUGAUGCCUCAUCCGACUUUUUGGAGUCUUCAUGGAAUUGUACUUUGGUUUUUUGCUUUUUAUUUGCCAUUUAUCUUCUUCAAUCUGAAAAUGAAACAUAUAUAAUCCAUUAGUCACAGGCAUAUAUACGAGCAAUUACAGGAUAAGCAGUUAUAAAGUUACAUAAGCCUACAUAAGCCGUUACAAAAUUGUAAAAAUGCAUAACUAAACAUUUACACAGAGUGAAAAUUACAGGAGUCUAAUUACACAGAGUAAAUUACAAAGUUGCAUCACAUAUAUUACAUGACUUGAAAUAAUGUUAUCACAGAGUAAAUUACAAAGUCUCAUCACAAAAUUAACUAUUACAUGACUUGAAAUAAUGUUAUCACUUCUUAACCCAAGUGCCCUUAAUAUUUUCUCUAAUACUUUUCUCAACAUCAUCACCGACAUCACAUGUAGGAAUUUGGCAGCAGAAUGGAGGAUUUUCCAUGGUUGUGUCUCCUAAAUCAUCAUCGUUAUACACCUCUUGGUAGUCUCGAGUUGUAGAGGUUAAUACGACGGACCACUUGGCAUCCACCGGAUCUUCAAUAUAAUAAACUUGCUUUACUUGAUCUAUAGACACGUAUUUAUCUCUCUUGUGGCCUUGUCGACUUAGAUCGACAAGUGUGAACCCAAGAUCAUCCACCUUAAUUCCCUUGUCAUUGUCCGCCCAAUUACAUAAAAACAGUGGGGCUUUGAAUGCAUGAUAAUCCAGCUCCCAUAUAUCUAGGAUAACACCAUAAAAUGUCAAGUCACUUUCUACGGGGUUUAAAUCUUUAGCGCUAGACACUUGGACAGUUUUAGCAACUAAAGACACUCCGCUGUUUUGAACUACCCUCACAUUGUCUCGCUGUUUUGUAAAGUAUCGGACCCCGUCUACUAGAUAAGCUUCGUAAGUCAUAACUGAAAAUGAUGGUUUUCCAGCUAUCCAUCUUACUGUCUCUGAAACUCCUCCAGGAUUCUCCACCAUUUCACUACUGACCUACACAUUUCAUAAACAGAAAUUAUCCUAAAUUACUAUAGAGAAAAUAAAUUAGGCACAAAUGAAACUAUAAAAAUACUAACUUUUUCUAGAAACCAAUCAGCAAAACUGUUAUUGUGCUCUCUCAAGAGCCAAUGAACGCUUUUCUUUUUCCCACGAUGGAUUUCCUCUAGAUACUCCUUAUGCAUUCUGCCAAAAAUUAUAUAUUCAUUAAAGAAGUAGUUUAUACAGAAUGUAUAUAUUAAUUGAACAGCCACAAAAUUAAAAAAAUCUUACAAGAUAUAUGGCUGUACUUCAAGGUUGUUUAGAAGAACGUGUAAAUGAGCUUCAUCCCUCUCUUUUUCUUCGAUUGAUUUCAUUACCGCAACAGAUAAUGGACCACUUAACUUGCCUUCAUCUUUGCGAAGACCAGCAGUGGUGCAAGUUUGCUUGACAAACUCUUGGCAGAAUUCAAUCGAUUCUUCUCCAAGAUAACAUUCUGCUAUACAACCUUCGGGGUAGUAACGAUUGCGUACGUAACUCUUCAACACCUUAUUAAACCUCUCAAAUGCAUACAUCCAUCUAUAGAAGACUGGCCCACAUAACCGUAAUUCCCGAACCAAGUGCACUAUGAGAUGUAUCAUUACAUCAAAAAAUGAUGCAGGAAAAAUUUUUUCUAGCUCGCACAAAGUUACUAUUACAUCUGAUUGCAAUUUAUCUAGUUUAGAUACGUCGACAACUUUGCUGCAUAAAGCAUUAAAGAAGAAACACAAUCUAAUUAUUGUGACCCUGACUUUUUUUGGAAGUACCGCGCGAAUUGCAAUAGGAAGUAAUUGUUGAAGUAGGAUGUGGCAAUCGUGGGACUUCAACCCAAACAUUUUUAAUUCUUCCAUGGAAACACAGUUUUUAAUGUUUGACGCGUGUCCAUAAGGAAGUUUCAUGUGCAUUAACGAUGACAACAUCUUCUUCUUUUCUGCCUUGGACAAAUUAAAAAUCGAAGGAGGUAAAUAGGUCUUUCUUUCUCCUUUUUGUGGAGCUAGAUCAGCCCUAACCCCCAUGUCAAUCAUGUCAAGACGAGAAGCUUCACUAUCUUUAGACUUAUGUUUCAUAUUCAGUAGUGUGCCAAUCAAGCUAUCACACACGUUUUUCUCCACGUGCAUAACAUCUAGACAAUGACGGACAUGGUGAAAUUUCCAAUACUCUAACUCGAAGAAAAUUGACUUUUUCUUCCAUGGACAGUCAACCUUCUUUGACUUCCUUACUUCUUUCCCAAACUGAAAUUCAAUUUUUUCUUGCUGCAAUAAAACCUCUUCUCCCGAAAGAGGUUGACGUGCCUGCCCUAAUUCUUGUUGUCCAUUAAAAGCAGCUUUUUGCUUCCUAUAUGGAUGAUUUCUAGCCAAGUAACGUCGAUGACCUUGGUAACACAUCUUCCUACUAUGGCUUAAAUACUUUGCAACAGUAUCAUCACCACAUAUUGGACAAGACAUAUAACCUUUAUUAACACAUCCGGACAGAUUUCCAUAUGCGGGAAAGUCGUUUAUUGUCCACAAUAAAAUUGCUUUUAAAGUGAAAUACGACUUAGUGUGUGCAUCAUAGACAUUUGGUUCACCUUCCUCCCACAACUUCUUUAAAUCAUCGAUUAGAGGCUGUAAAUAUACAUCAAGGUCAUUACCAGGCUCAUGAGGACCGGGAACUAAAACUGUUAGCAUCAUAAACUUCCUCUUCAUGCAUAACCACGGAGGAAGAUUAUAAGUCACUAGUACUACUGGCCAACAAGUGUAUCUAUUGGUUAGACCGUUAUUAUGCGGGUUUAUACCAUCUGCAGACAACGCCAAGCGAAUAUUUCUUGCCUCACUACCGAAGGCAGGCCACCUAUAGUCGAUAUUUCUCCAAGAAGGAGAGUCGGCUGGAUGCCGCAUCUUUCCAUCUUCUAUUCGCUGCUUUGCGUGCCAGGUAAUCAGUUCAGAUGUAGAAGGAGAUUUAAACAUUCGCUUCAAUCUCGGAAUAAUUGGAAAAUACCACAUUAUUUUAGCAGGAACAUUAAUCCUUACUUUACCAUCCUUUCCUAACUUCCAGCGAGAUAGACUACACUUAGGACACUUAGAAGCAUCAACAUAUACCCCCCGAUAUAGUAUGCAAUCGUUUGGACAUGAGUGGUACUUUAUGUAUUCUAGGCCUAAGUUGGAUAAUGUUUUCUUGGCUUCAUAUGCAUUAGGUGGCAUCACAUUUUCCUUAGGAAGGAGAGAGCCAACAGUAGACAAUAAAUCUGUAAAGGCGCUAUCACUAAUUCCAAACCUUGCUUUCCAAUUAUGCAGUUUUAGCAUCGACUCCAAUUUGGUACAUUCACUACCCUCAUACAAAGGCUGUUGAGCAUCAGCCACAAAUCUCCUAAACUGAUACGACUCAUUAUUGUACUCACUCGAAUUAUACGCAGCAUCACAAACAUUGACUGUUUGUGAUGCAUGACCAGGGGAAUGCAUCGAUGCAGGGUCAAGCGUAGGUGCAGGGCUAGGGGCAUUGUCAUGAACUGUUGAUCCAGUGAUUCCACACCCUUGUGUGUGCCAAAUCCAAUCAAGGUAUCCCAAACUAAAACCGUAUUCAUAUAAAUGUCCCCUAAUAAUCUUAACUGCAAAUUUUUUAAAGUUAACACAUCUUUUGCAGGGGCAUGGGAUUUUUUUAGUAUCACUAGCAUUUUCCUCGGCAAAUAUUAAAAACUCUUCAACCCCGAUUUCAUAGUCAAGUGUAUCCCUAUCUUUGAAAAUCCAAGACUUGUCCAUGUUAUUCUCAAACUACCUGAUUGUCAAAUAUGAUAUCAAAUUACAUGGUAACAAAGAUCCAAACACAAUAUACAAUUACAUUUACAAACUAAACAAACACAAAUAUAUUUACACAGCUGUGCAUAAAACAUAAAAAACAAAUCCCAAGCUCUAAACAUAUAUAACACAGUACAUAAAAAAGAAACCCCAAGCUCCAAACAUAUAUAAAACAUAUAUACAACUACACGUUUAAUUUUCACAUGCAUACAUAUAACUACAAAAAGUUAUACUUGCAACCGAAACAUUUAUAUAAAUAUAAAGAAGAAUAUAGAAGAAUAUAUAUACCUAAAACCCAGCAGCUUCGAAACCCAGCACCUCCAAAAUCCAGCAGCUAUCCAGCAGCUUCGAAAACCCAGCAACUACCCUAAUCUCCAAGCUUCAAAUCUCCAAGCUUCAAAGAACCCUAAUCUCCAAGCUCCACUCGACCCUAAGCUUGAAGAUCGAACCUUAAGCUUGAACACAGCAGCUUCGAAUCGCGCACAAAUCGCACCUAGGGUUUAGAAGAGAGGGAAUCAGUUAAUAGAACAUUUGAAAGGGGGUUUAGAAGAGAGGGAAUCAGUUAUUAAACCAAGAACGAGGAUUGAAGGACUGAAGGAUUGAAGAAAAUCGCAUACCUAGGUUUAGCUGUCGAGAGAAAGGGGGAAGAGCUGCUGUCUGAAAGAAAUAUGUAUAUAUGUCCCGAUUGUUUUCUUUUGAAUGCUUUUGUUUUAAUUUUGAUUUAUUUUUAAUGUUUUUUUAUUGUUUUAUACUGAGGCGGGAGUGAAUGAUAUGUUAAAGGGGGGGAAAACAGUAGGGGGAACUAAUUAAAAAAUUGACUAAGGGCGGGGGAGCGGAGGGCGCGGGCUUUAAUAUUUUUAAAAUUGAGAUUAGACAUCGCUUAAUAAACAAUGUGAUGUGAAAAAAUUUUAAAGUGAGAGCUUAGACAUCACUUAUGUUAAGGACUGAUGUAAAGAUACCAGAAAGACAUCACAUAUAAAACGAGCGAUGUAAAAAAGGCAUUUUACAUCGGUGACACUUCCGACUGAUGUCUAAUGUGCGAUGUCUAUUGACGAAUUUCUAGUAGUCUCCAAAGGAUAUUUAUCUUUCCAUCAUGAUGCAGCAGUCUCCUUAACUGUGAAGGGAACGGAGUAUGAGGUAGCAAAGAACCUUCAUAUUUACACAGCCAUUGAUCUGUCGGGCACCUAAUUUCAGGGUCGAAUUCCAAACGUCACUGGAGAGCUUAGAUGGCUUGCAUUGCUCAAUUUAUCGCAUAAUAGUUUAACAGGACCUAUCCCAUCAUUGCUGAGAAAUAUGAAAGAACUCCAAUCUUUAGAUUUGUCCUCAAAUCGACUGACAGGGGCUAUUCCACCUCAGCUAACUGCAUUGACAUUUCUAGAGGUCUUGAACCUCUCGAAAAACCAUCUUAGUGGAGAGAUUCCUCAGAAAGGACAGUUCAGCACAUUCAACAAUGAUUCUUAUCUAGGAAACUCCGCGUUAUGUGGAUCACCUUUGACGAAGAAAUGUGCAAACACAGCAUCACCUCCACAAGAAGUCGGAAAUGGUGAUGAAGAUGAUGCUGGAGAUGAAUUGACAUGGGAAGCAAUCGUGAUGGGAUAUGGAUGUGGACUGAUAUGUGGAUUGUCAUCUGCGUACAUUGUUCUCAAACUAGGAAAGCCUUGGUGGUUUGUGAGAUAUAUCGAAGUACUGCAACUGAAGUUGAUGAAAAGAUAUGCAUGAAGAAUGGUACUGCACUACAACAAAAACAGCAUCACACAACGGUUUUUGCCCGUUGUCUGAUACCCAAGAAAACCGUGGUCUAUUGCGAUGCCGUCUGAUACGCGCCUCAGACAACGUUUUAUUAGUUAAAGGCUUGUCUAUAAGGCCAUGCUACGAUGGUAACAAAAACACUUGUAUGUUAGCUUCCUGGUCACACAACACUGUAUGGAACCCUUGUUUAAACGGCUCGUAAACAACACAACAAAUAAAACACUUGUCUAAUUACAACAACGGUUUCUUGAAAUAUUGUCUGAAGUUUCUUCACACAUCGGCUCUAAAAACAGUUGUCUAACGUGCAUCAUUACACAAUAUCACAGUUAAGAUACCGUUGUCUGAUUGAAUUUACUAGACAACACUUUUUAAACCGUUGUAGGUUGUAGGUGUUGGACAAUAGUUUUUCGAGGACGAAAAUAAAGUGUUGUGUCUUUGUUUCGGCCAACACUUUUUCCAGCGUCCGUUGUCUGACUAGUGUCGUGUGAUGCCAGUUUUGUUGUAGUGCUGGUUGAUCCAGACGAACUAGAAAGUUGUUGUCCUGGUAGACAUUUCUGAACCAUUUGUGUCCUGGCUGAAUAAGUAUUUGGUAUUAUGUAAUAAUCCGUUUGGUUGGGACUCAAAAUGAUUUCUCUUGCUUCAGGGGUAUUAAUAUUAACCUUCCUAUCUUGAUCAAUGUUAAAUCAAAUUAAAUGAAUGAAAAAACAAAAAGUAUGCAUCAAAUCCGCUCCUGCUGUACCUAACAAUUUAACAGCACCCUUCCACACUGUUCAUACCUAAUUUGCGUGUAAUAUGAAAACUAAGAGGCAUGGCUUUUGUCUUUGAGAGAACUUAUUCCAAGUCUUCUUCGGAGGCCUACUGCCUCAACAACCUUUCAAAGACUAUGCAAUAAUCCACGUGACAGAAAAACCAAAGUCCAAUUAGUAUUAUAAGUUCAUAAAAAAUACUAUAGGAUCAUUAGCAUUAGCAUUACAUUAGCAUACAGCAUAUAUAUAAAUAGAAGAAUGCAGUGUGGUAUUGGAUUCAUAAUCCAAUUGAGCAGAAACAUGGCACACUUUGUAAAGCCUUAUGACCUUCUUCUCUGUGUUUUCUUUCUCUCAUCACUUGAAUCCAUUCUUGCAACAAGACGAGAAGGAGAAGCUCUUGUGAAAUGGAAGAACAGCCUAGCCCCGUCUUCUUCUCUUGAUUCUUGGUCACUCACUCAUCUCGAUAAUCUUUGUAACUGGACUGGCAUUACUUGUAACUCUGCAGGUUCAGUCUCUGACAUUAACCUUUUCAACAAACAACUCACUGGAAAGCUUUUCGAGUUUGGUUUCACUUCAUUUCCGAAUCUCAACAAUCUCACCCUCGCAGAUAACUUCUUCUCUGGUCCAAUACCAUCAGCCAUUGGGAAUUUAACACAGCUUCAAUAUCUUGAUUUGAGCAAUAAUUAUCUCAAUGGUUCCAUUCCGUACCAGGUUAGCCAUCUUUCAAAAUUACACGUCUUAAACCUGUCAGAGAAUGAACUGCAAGCUCCAAAUUGGUCCAAUUUCUCCCCCAUGCCUUAUUUGACCAUCCUCGACCUUUAUCAGAAUAAUCUUAUGUUGGAAUUUCCAGAAUUUAUAUCUAACUCGCGUAACCUGACAUACCUUGACCUUUCAUAUAACAAGUUCACAGGCGAUCUUGUGCGCGAAUCAGUAUUAGCCAAUCCAGGUGAUCUCGAAACCCUCUAUCUUAAUGAAAAUUCUUUUGGGGGGCCAUUUCCACCAGACAUAUUCAAACUUUCCAAGUUGAGAGUUCUUGCCCUGUUCAAUAAUCUUUUUGAGGGGCCGCUUCCGUCAAAUAUAUUCAAGCUCUCUAAACUAAGAUUCCUUUUACUUUGGAGUAAUAAUUUUUCAGGUACUCUUUCGAAUGAAAUAGGUUUGCUUUCUGAGCUUGAAGACCUAGAUCUUCACUCCAAUUUUUUUGUGGGGCCGCUUCCGCCAAAUAUAUUCAAGCUCUCUAAACUAAGAACCCUUUUCCUCUUGGGUAAUAACUUCUCAGGUUCUAUUUCCAACGACAUAGGUUUGCUUUCUGAGCUUGAACACCUAUAUCUCGACUCCAAUUCUUUUGAGGGACCUUUUCCAACAAAUAUUUUCAAGCUUUCCAAAUUAAUACAACUUGGUCUCGCAAACAAUACAAAUUUAUUUGAAGGAAGUAUUCCUCCAGGACUGGGGCUCUUGACUAACCUAGAGGACUUGUCUCUUGCUUACAAUAAUCUUGGUGGCUAUAUUCCGUCUUCCUUUGGAAACCUAACACUACUAGUAUAUCUUAAUCUCGCUCGUAAUCAAUUGGUUGGAACACUAUCAAAGACCAUUUCUAAUCUCACAAAUCUAUGGUUUCUUGAUGUACAUCAUAAUAGUCUCUCUGGGAAUAUUCAGAGUGACUUCUGGAAAAACUCUACAUCACUGCGUUACAUUAAUUUGGCAGACAAUAAUUUUUCUGGGAACAUUCCUAAGGAAUAUAAUGUUCUUCCAAUCCUGGAUCACAUCAAUUUUAGGGGGAACAAUUUUACAGGUAUUUUUCUUUCCAUAUUUUUUCCUUCUGUUGUAUUCAAUUAUGCUAGAAACUACAGCCUCUGUUUUUUCAAAUACAUAUCGUUUAACUUUUUGGCACAAAACUUUAUAAUAAUUCUAACUAAAAGGUCAAUGAACUCAAAAAUGUGUGUCAAAAAGUCAAACGUCAUUUAUCUGAAAUCAGAGGGAGUAUAUAUUACUGUUUUACCAAAGUUUCAACAAUCAUGACAGGUGAGCUUCCACCAACAAUUUGCGAUGCCACUUCCCUUUCGAUUCUUGAUCUGUCAAAUAAUGGAUUUAGUGGUGCAGUUCCACAUUGUUUGGGGAAUCUUGCGGAUAAAUUGAUUUCGAUUAAUCUUGCUAAUAAUCAGUUUCAAGGACCAAUACCAACAAAUUUCUCCGAGAGUUGUCGUCUGACGUAUCUUAACAUCUAUAACAAUCACUUCAAAGGUUUGGUUCCCCAAUCUUUGGCAAACUGUAAGCACUUGCAAAUUCUUGAUUUUGGAAAAAAUGAAAUAGGUGGAACACUUCCGUCAUGGUUUUUUACUCUUGGAGAGCUAGAAGUCCUGAUCCUGCGAUCAAACAGAUUUUUCGGGAGAAUAACUAGAAGGAGCAUACCACGCCCCUUUCCCAAGUUGCGGAUUUUGGAUCUAUCCAACAAUCAGUUCACCGGCUAUCUGCCAAUUUUAUACUUCAAGAAUAUGAAACCAAAUGAUAAUAAUUAUGAUUAUUUCAACAACACAAACGAAGCCUAUUACGUUUAUCAAGUUUCUAUCACAUUAAAUGUGAAAGGAAGCGAGCAUGAAGUGACAAAUAUUCUUCAUAUUUACACGGCCAUUGAUCUGUCGUGCAACAAAUUUGAAGGAAAAGUUCCAGACAUUACCGGAGAGCUUAGAUGGCUUGCAUUGCUAAAUUUAUCUCAUAAUAGUCUUUCGGGGCCUAUUCCAUCACAACUGGGAAAAAUGAAAGAGCUCCAGUCUCUAGAUUUGUCGUCAAAUCAAUUGACAGGUGUUAUUCCGGAUCAACUUACUAGUAUGACAUUUCUUGCUAGUUUGAACCUCUCAGAAAACCAUCUUUCUGGGAAAAUCCCUCGGAAAGGACAGUUCAGCACUUUUGGCGAAGAAUCUUACUUAGGUAAAUCGGCCUUGUGUGGAGUUCCUUUGACAAAGAACUGUAUAGACGAUGUGCCACCUUCACAAGUUGGAAAUGGCAAUGAUGAAAAUGUUGAUGAAGAUGAUACCGUUGAUGAAUUCAAUUGGAAAGUGAUCCUGAUGGGAUAUGCAUGUGGAUUAAUAGGCGGAUUGUCUGCAGGAUACAUUGUCUUCACAGUCGGAAAGCCUUGGUGGUUUUUGAGAUACAUUGAGACACUGCAGCAGAAGUUGAUCUGAUGCGCAACUAGAAACAACGUUAUAAUCUUAGAAUGACUUGUGUCUUUAAACAGAGUUAGGAACUUAGGAUGACUUGUGGUGCUAUAUUUUUUUUUUGAAAAAAAAAAACAUAUUUUUGUAAUUUUUUAGAUACAGAUGUUAAGAAGGUGUUGUAUAUUCAUUUUUUACCCAAAAAAAAAAAGAGGGCUUAUUUCAUGAAAAUUAGAGUUUUAUGUAUUUUCUCCAGAAAUUAGUCCUUAUUUCUGAAAAUAAGGUUAGUCAAAACGGUCACUACACGAUUGGUAGCCUUUCAGUUCUUCCUAGUGUCCACUACAGUUUCAUUCCUUACCAGUUAUUUUAUGCUCUGCACUGCAUUAUGCAGCUUUCAUAUUACUGACAGCUAAUCUCCUUCCAACACUUUGCGAUGCGAAGCAGGGACGCAUAAGUAUUUUUAUAUGUGUAUUAGUUUUGAAGAUUAAAGUUGCAUGGACAAUUGUGUUGAUAAUUUGAGCAAUGUUAACCGGGAUAGGUCUUCUUCUCUCUCCCAAGUCUUCUGAGGACUCAUCGGCUCAGAUUAGUCUAUCCAAAAAUUAUGAUCUGACGGCUAUUGGCACACUAACGAUUUACAUAUCACUUGAAUAUUACUGGAUACCCGCAUCUUGUUUUAAAUGGCGUAUAUCGGCUAAUAGUUCAACGAUGGUGACAAAUCCCGGUGAUCCAAAUAAUUGAUUGUCGCAAAAUUUUCCGCUUACAUCCAACUAACACGUAUUAGGAAAAAAAAUUAUAUAAUUAAACACGCUCAUGUAUCUAUAUCUUUUACAAGAUUGUAAGUCCCCAAUUCUAUGUGAUAUUAGCUAUAUGUGACUAGAAGGUUUAGAAAUACUAGAUUAUCAAGAUUUCUUUUUAUUCUAGCUAGUGUUGAGUUAUAUUUAUUUUCUUCAAACAAUCAAUACUUAUUUUUUAUUAAUAUGUGAAACUCCAAUAUAUAUUAUUAUACGAUAUAUUAUGAAAACACUAUAUUUUGUAAUGUUCAUCUUAUCCUACCAGCAAAAUUACAUCGCUAACAAAAUUAUAUCAAUUUUAUUUUAUAAACUCAAAUAAUUUAAUUUAUGAAACAACUCUAUGAGAUUCUUAUCAUGAGUUAGAAUUCAAAUAAAUAAAGAGUUCAUAUUGAUAAGUGGAAUUGAUGUGCAAGUAAGGGGUAUAAAAAAAUCUCAAAAUAACUCCAAAAAGCACAUGACAUGUUUGAUUUAAUAGAACUGGUACAUAAACAGGGGGACCAUUAUAUUUAUAAGCAAGUGACCAACAAUAGUUUACUACUGAUAUUUUGUGAUAUUUUUUGUGAUAUUUUUUGAGACCUUUAACAUUAUUCUGUGAAGUGGUAUACUACUGUUACUAGUUCUGAAACUUCAAACAAAGUAGGCGCAACAUUGUAAGAGUGAUUAAUAAAGUUGAGAAACAGUGUGUACAUUGAGCAGUAUGACAAUCAGGUUCAGCAUAUAAUACAAUCAGAUUCACAAUCAGGUUCACGAGAAACAUGCUGCAUUCCAAAAAGCCUUAUUAUCUUCUUCACUAAAUAACAAGGCAAAUACAGCAUAUAAAUACAAGUUAUAAGUACAAGUGUGGUAUUAGAUUCAUAACCCAGUUGAGGAGAAACAUGGCACACUUUGUAAGGCCUUCUCACCUUCUUCUCUUUGUUUUCUUUCUCUCAUCACUAGAAUCCAUUCUUGCAACAAGACGAGAGGGGGAAGCUCUUGUGAAGUGGAAGAAUAGCCUAGCCCCUUCUUCUUUUCUCCACUCUUGGUCACUCUCCAAUCUCGAAAAUCUUUGCAACUGGACUGGCAUUACUUGUAACUCUGCAGGUUCAGUCUCUGAGAUUGACCUUUGUGAGAAACAACUUGAUGGAAUGCUGUCCGAGUUUGGUCUCACUUCAUUUCCAAAUCUCAACAAUCUCACCCUCGCAGACAACUUCUUCUCAGGUCCAAUACCACCAGCCAUUGAGAAUUUAACACAGCUUCAAUAUCUUGAUUUAAGCAUGAAAAGUCUUAAUGGUCCCAUUCCGUUCCAGGUUAGCCAUCGUCAGAGCUUGCUCAUCUUAGACCUGUCACAGAAUGCAUUGCAAGCUUCAAAUUGGUCCAAUUUCUCUCCCAUGCCUCAGUUGCGCUUCCUCAAGCUCAGUAGCAAUCAUCUUGUGUCGAAAUUCCCAAAUUUUAUAUCCAGUUCUCAUAGCCUGACUUACCUCAACCUCUCAUAUAACAUUGGAAACCUCAAAAAAUAUAUAUUUAUAUAUUUAUAAUUAAAAAAUUGAAUUACUUAAUAUAUUAAAAAAUUGAAUAAAAUUUUAUAUAUUUUAUUAAAAAAUUGAAUAAAAAUUGAAUAAAAUUGAAUAAAAUUGAAGUACACGAAAAGGUACACGACACGAAAUACACGACUGAGAAGUCGUGUCGGUUUUGUGUUUACCCUUCGGGUACACGACACGAGGUACACGAAAUAAAUAAAUAAAUAUAUAUAUAUAUAUUUACCCUUCGGAUUAAGAGUUGGUCGCGGACAAAUUCAAAGUUUCCCAAUUAUCCUUUAUUUUAUGUAACUUUGCUUAUGUUUAAGCCUAAAUUUGGACAAUAUUUGUAAAAUAUUAAUAUUUCGUGUACUAAUUCGUUACCAGUUUCGUGUAUUUUUUCGUGUAUAUUUCGUGUUUUCGUGUUUUCAUGUACUAUUUCGUAUCGUGUCGUUUUCGUGUACAUGAAAAAAUUCGUGUACUACAGUUCGUGUCGUUUUUACCUGUUUCUAAAUCGUGUCGUGUUCGUGUUUACAAUCGUGUACACGAAUUGAAUUCGUGUCGUGUUCGUGUAUACCCACCAGAUACACGAAACACGAAAGUACACGACACGUUUAUACACGACACGAACGAUUUGCCAGGUCUANGAAACACGAAAGUACACGACACGUUUAUACAUGACACGAACGAUUUGCCAGGUCUAUUCAAACCUAGCAAGUAACCAAGAGGGGGCAAACUCCACCAGAGACAAAUCAAAGACCAUACCUGAGUAUUGCCAACAUAACAUUACAAACUGGCAGGUGAAAAAUAUGUGAAUAAGGUCUUCGUCACCAGAGUUACACAUGGGACAGUCAAGAGAAAGAUUUACUCCCUUAGAUUGUAAUCGACUUUUCACAGGCACAUUAUUCCUGCAAAAACGCCAUAAAAACACUUUGAUCUUAAGAGGAACCUCCAACUGCCAGAGUUUCUUCCACCCACUAGAUUGUGUAACAGUGCCAGUGCCAAUAUUUUGGGCAUGCCAAAACUGGUAACCUGUUUUCACAGAAUUUUGGCCGUUAGUAGUCUUUGACCAAGCUAGAUGAUCCACGGUCGACCUAUAGGGAACAGAAGUUUUUAAAAAUUAUGUAAUUCAUUCAAUUCCGUAUCAGACAAUACAUCUUAUCAUCGGUGAUAAUGGAAAUAGUGUAGAUGUUUGACCUAGUCCAUGUUUGACAACCAAUAUAAUAAGAAAUAAAUUCUUAUUUUUCUAAAAAAUAUAUUUUUGUAUAUAAAUGUUAAAGAGAUAUUUCUUAUUUGUUGUUUGAAAAAAGUAAAGACUUAUUUCAGAAUAAAUAAAAAUUAUUGUACAUUCUCUUUAUUUUUAAAAAUAAGUUUGGUCAAAUCGCCCAUAAUUCUCGUAAUUCAAAAGCCCAUUAUUUUUUUUUUUCUUGCUAAUUGAUCAGCACACGCACACGUUUCCAACUUCCCGCAAAGGGUACCGGAGUACCACCACACCGACGCUUUGUUGGGCCCAAUAAUUGGCUGAAGUUGAACGGGGCUUUCUGCCUCCGCUGGACCCCAGUUGGGAGGACUCUUUCCAAGUCUUUCGGAGACUCUUUCCCAUUGACUCCAACUUUCCAGGGUGUAUACAAAUUUUUUGAAAGAGGGUGUAUACAAAUUAUUCACGGCCAUCAAAUUAACCAGCGUAGCUGGUGAACAAAUAUUAUUGUUUAUUAUAAUUUUAUUUAAUUUAAAUGUGAUUAUAAAGAACAUAAGAGGACGUUUGAAAGUGUGGGUCUUAUUUCAAACAGUAGAUUUCAAAAAAUAUGAUUUCAAUUGUUAUUUAAAAUUCUUAAAUUUAUAUUAUAUUAAAAUGUUCUUAUCUAUACUAUACUAUUAAAACCGAAACAUUAAAAGUUUGGUCGGUCGGUACUUGGGCCGAUAUAUGGGCCUAUCUAUAUAACUAAUUAUUUUUUUUUAAUUUUGGGCCGAAAUACAGGCCUGUCUAUAUAAUCAAUUAUUCUUUUUAACUAAAAUAUGUUAUCUUUUUUACUAUUAAAGCCAAAACAUUAAAAAUUUGAUCGGUCGGUACUUGGGCCGAAAUAUGAGCGUAUCUAUAUAACUAAUUAUUUUUAUUUUUUUUUAUUUUUGGCCGAAAUACAGGCCUAUCUAUAAAAUCAAUUAUUCUUUUUAACUAAAAUAUGUUAAUUUUUUUUACUAUUAAAGCCGAAAUAUUGAAAGUUUGGUCGGUCGGUACUUGGGCUUCUAGGCCGAAAUAUAGGCCUAUCUAUAUCAUCAAUUAUUCUUUUAAACUAAAAUAUGUUAUCUUUUUUACUAUUAAAAUCGAAACAUUGAAAGUUUGAUCGGUCGGUACUUGAGUCGAAAUACGGGCCUAUCUAUAUAACUACUUAUUAUUUUUAACUUGGGCCGAAAUACAGGCCAAUCUAUGUAAUCAAUUACGCGGUAUUCUUUUUAACUAAAAUAUGUUAUUUUUUUAACUAUUAAAGUUGAAAUAUUGAAAGUUUAGUCGCUCGAUACUUGAGCCGAAAUACGGAUCUAUCUAAAUAACUAAUUAAUUUUUUUUAACUUUGGAUGGAAAUACAGCCCUAUCUAUAUAAACAAAUAUCUUUUUAACUAAAAUAUGUUAUCUUCUUUAUACUUUCUAACUAAAAACUCAAUCUUCUAAAUGAACAUGGAAGAAUAUAGUAAUUAUCUUUUUAACUAAAACAAAUUAUCGUCUAUUAAAUCAAAUUAUAACAAACUAUCCAUAAACAUCCUUAAUUUAUAACAAAUUAUUAAAUAUUUUUUAUCAUCUACUAAAUCAAAACAUUAAAAAUUAGAUUACCAUUAUGGAUCAGUAUUUGAAUUACGCUUCUCUUUAACUUAUAAUAUGUUUUAUACUAUAUUAUUAACUAUUAAUAACUAAAUAUUAAAACGCUGAUUGGGUUGUUUCUAUCUGGGUUUACGGGUCUCCUCAAAUUAUAAUCCCUCCGUUCUUAAAUAUCUGCCUUUUGACUUUUUGGCACGCAUGUUAAAGUGUUUUGAAUUUAUAGUAAAAAUAUUAUUUUUAAAUUUCUUUUUCUGAAUAAAAAUUUUAUAUCAAUACUUUUAUUCAUAAAAAGAAAUAUUUGAAAAUAACAUUUCUAGCUAUGUGGUCAAAAUAUCUUAAAAUGUGUGCGAAAAAGUCAAAAGGCAUAUAUUCAAGAACGGAGGGAGUAACAUGUAAAAAAAAUUAUUUUAACAUUAUCAUUAAAAAAUUAUAUAUUUGACCUAAUUAUAAAUUAACUAUUUGAAGGAAUAAACUAUUAAGAAUUUAUUUAGCUGCUAAAUAAAAGUUUUUUUAAUAACAUUAUUCUAUCACAAUUUUACUUUCAAUAAAAUUCGUUAAAUCUAAAAUAUAUGCGAUGAAAUAACAAAUAUUAAAACCGCCCGUGCAUUGCACGGGUUUUAAGCUAGUUCUAAUUAAUGAGUCACUAUUCGUAUUCUCAAGCAUGUUAGUUUGUUAAAAUUUAAAAUUUCAAAUGAAAUUAGGCUAAAAGACCAUAAUAUCAAAUCAAAAUCUCAUUAUCCAAUAUAUUGGUGGGCAAAAAUAUUAAACCUGGCUAUUCAUUAAUAUUGGUUCUUUAUUCAAAUUAUGUCAAAUUUAUAUAAAAUUUCGAAAAUUAUUUAUGAAUAAGAGUCGGCAUUCAUAUAUUUAUUAAGGAUACAAGUGAGAAAAUGUUAUUAAAUUAAUAUUUUUUAAUAUACGUAAGUUUUUUAAAAUAAAUUUGUAGCGUGGGACGGGAGUAUUAGACUGAUUCUGGCUUGGAGUGAAUCAGCCCAUAAAGUUUACAGGGUAGAUGACCAUUCUUAAAUCUUAAAGAAUCUUACGGUGACAGCUAACUGAACGACUCGGUUUCAGAAGUGCUGAAAAGUUUCGACGUAAACUACAAUUUGCCUAGCAUGUAAUUUCCAUGCAUUUUCUCGUUACGAGUAGGUUUGUCCGGAAGUACAAUUCAAAAUAGAGUGCUGUUAAAAAAAAUUGAGUUACUUAUUCAAUAACUUUUUUGAUAUUUAUAUAUUUUUAAUUAUAAUAAAGAUACUAGUGAUUAUGGUUAGCUUUUGGAGUACUUUUGGAGUACUUGGAAAUUUUCUUUUCGAGAAAAACGAGAGUACCUAUUUCAAUUUUUUACCAAAAAUUAUAAUUGAAAACAACGGACUUUUAUACUUAUCAUAACAAUUUUUAACAUCUUGUUUAGAAAUAACCUGUUGUUGUAUUAUGCAAAAGUAAUAUCACUAGUUUCUAUAUCCGUAUUCUAAUGAUAAUAAAAACAUCUCUAAUUCAUUAAAACUCUUACAUAGAAAUUGAUAAAAAAAGAAGAUAUAAAAUAAUUUAUUAAAAAUAUAUCAAAGUUUUUGCACUCGGUUAUAAUUAUUGUGUAAUUUUUUUUUUCAAUUCCAAGAUAUUGUUAUAAGAAAAUUUUACAUCAUAUAUAUAUUACAAAAAAAAUUAAUGUAUUAUAUAUAUAUAGGGUCCUACUCUGGUACAAACCUUUUUAGCGUACAAACUACAAACCAAAAUUAAAAAGUCUCUAAAUCAAAUCAGAAUAUAGCACAUAUGGUAUGGAAAUUGAUCGUUGCGAGAUGAACAAAAAUAAUGAUUAUAAAGUUUGUAUUUGAGCCAUUAUAUAUAUACUUACAAUAAAAGUAAUAAUAUAUUAUAUUCUAAAUAUAGUUAACCACUGCAGUUGGUCGCUUAUAAAUAGAAGUGUGCAUUAUAGGAUGAAACGUACAUCAAGCUGAGGAGAAACAUGGUACACUCUGCAAAGCUAUAUCAUCUUCUUUUACUUGUUUUCUUUUCCUCCUUACUUCCAUCCAUUCUAUUGGCAACAAGACGAGAAGGAGAAGCUCUUGUGAAAUGGAAGAAUAGCCUAGCCCCGUCUUCUUUUCUUGAUUCUUGGUCACUCUCCGAUCUCGAUAAUCUUUGCAACUGGACUGGCAUUACUUGUAACUCUGCAAGUUCAGUGUCUCAGAUAAAUCUUUCCCAAAAACAGCUCGAUGGAACGCUGUCCGAAUUUGGUUUCACUUCAUUUCCGAAUCUCGAAAAUUUGACUAUAAGAGACAACAGCUUCUCCGGGCUAAUACCACCAGGCAUUGCGAAUUUAACACAGCUUCAAUACCUUGAUUUAAGCUACAAUUAUUUCAGUGGUUCCAUUCCGUACGAGGUUAGCCAUCUUCAGAGAUUACGUGUUUUAGACUUGUCGUAUAAUGAAAUGCAGGCUCCAAAGUGGUCUGACUUCUCUCCCAUGCCUUUUAUGAGCAUCCUCAACCUACGGGCCAAUCAUCUUGUGUCGAAAUUCCCAGAAUUUAUAUCCAAUUCUUUUAGCCUGACUUUCCUUGACCUUGGAGACAACAAGUUCACCGCUGAUCAUCUUGUGCUCGAAUCAGAAUUUACCAAUUUGCAAAAUCUUGAAACGCUGUUUCUUGAUGGUAAUUCUUUUGAGGGGACGUUUCCACCGAAUAUAUUCAGGCUUUCUAAAUUAAAAUACCUUUCCCUAUCUGCUAAUAAGUUUUCAGGUUCUGUGCCGGAUGACAUAGGGAUGCUUCGUGAUCUUGAAUCCCUUUAUCUUGGUAACAAUUCUUUCAAAGGGAUGCUUCCACAAAAUAUUUUCAGACUUCCCAAAUUACGGGAUCUUUCCCUCUGGGGUAACAAUUUUUCAGGUCUUAUUUCAGAUGAUAUAAGGAUGCUUUCUAACCUGGAAUCUCUUGAUCUUAAUGGUAAUUCUUUUCAGGGUCCGCUUCCACCAAAUUUCUUCAAGCUUUCCAAAUUAAGACAUCUCGCCCUCUCAAAUAAUAAAAGAGUAUUUAAAGGAAGUAUUCCUCUUGGGUUGGGGCUUUUGACUAACCUUGACUACUUAUGUCUUAAUUCCAAUUAUCUCACUGGCUACAUUCCAUCUGACAUUGGAAAUCUAAAGCUACUAGAACAUCUUGAUCUCAGUUUUAAUCAAUUGACCGGACCGCUCCCAAAGAUCAUUUCUAACCUCACUAAUCUAACGCGUCUUGGUCUGAAUGAUAAUUGGUUUUCCGGCAGUAUUCCAAGUGACUUCUUGGAAAACUCUACAUUAUUAUUUUACAUUGAUCUUUCAAACAAUGAUCUGUCUGGAAGCAUUCCUAAGGAAUUCAACGUUCAUCCGACAUUGGAUUAUAUCAAUUUAAGUGGAAACCGUUUUAGAGGUCUACUUCUCUCUUUAAAUUUUUAUGUUCGUUUUGUAUAUGCUAGUAACCUGAUUAUUACACUUUUACUGAAGCUUCAACAAUUCUAACUGCAGGCAAGCUUCCAGCAACGAUUUGCAAUGCUACAUCCCUUUCGACUCUUGUUCUGUCAAAUAAUGAAUUCAGCAAUGCACUUCCACAUUGUUUGGGGAAUCUUGCUGAUCAACUUCUUUCCAUUAAUCUUGCUAAUAAUUUGUUUCGAGGACCAAUACCAACAACUUUCUCUAAGAGUUGUCGGCUGACAUAUCUAAACAUGUACAACAAUCACUUUGAAGGGUUGUUGCCGCAAUCUCUGGCAAACUGUAAGCACCUACAAAUUCUUGAUAUUGGAAACAAUGAAAUAGGUGGUAAAUUCCCGUCAUGGCUGUUUACUCUUGGAGAGCUGGAAGUCCUAGUCUUGCGAUCAAAUAGAUUCCACGGUCCAGUCAAUGGAACAAGCUCAGCAAAUUUAUUCCCCAAGUUGCGGAUUGUUGAUCUCUCCAACAAUCAAUUUACAGGCGAUUUACCAAUUCAGUAUUUUAAGAAUAUGAAACCAACAGAUAACCACUAUAGUUAUUUUUAUACAGAAAGUGGUUUUUACUAUCAUCAAGCAUCGAUCUCAUUAACUGUGAAAGGAAGAGAGUAUGAAGUGAAAAAGAUCCUUCAUAUUUAUACAGCCAUAGAUGUGUCAUGCAACAAAUUUCAGGGAGAAAUUCCCGAGGUUAUUGGAGAACUUAAAUGGCUUGCAUUGCUCAAUCUAUCACAUAAUAGUCUUAUUGGACCUAUCCCAUCACAGCUCGGAAAUAUGGAAUCACUUUUAUCUCUAGAUUUGUCUUCAAAUCAUUUGACAGGGGGUAUUCCCGAUCAGUUGAUUAGGUUGACAUUUCUAGAGGUCUUGAACCUCUCGGAAAAUCAUCUGACAGGGCCUAUCCCCCAAAAAGGACAGUUCAGCACAUUCAACAAGGAUUCUUACCUAGGUAACUUUGCCUUGUGUGGAUUACCUUUAACUAAUAACUGUACACACACUGUGUCACCACCACAAGAAGGCGGAACUGGUGACAAUGAUGCCUAUGAUGAACCCGAUUGGGAAGUGAUCCUCAUGGGAUAUGGAUGUGGACUAAUAUGCGGAUUGUCCACAGGGUACGUUGUCUUCACAUUCAGAAAGCCUCAGUGGUUUAUGAGAUACACUGAAAGCGUGCAACAGAAGUUGAUGAGAUGAUGCAUGUUGAGUACCGUUCAAUCAUGAAGCACAACUGGAAACAAUGUUAUCUUAGGAAAACAUGUGUUCUGAACCAGUAGUGUUUGCACAAAAUUUGUGGUGCUAUGUAAUACUUAUAUAAUUGUACGUAUGAUUAUUGAUUAGUCGUUGAGAAAAUGCAUUUUAUUUCAGUGUCAAUGAUAAUCUACAUGUUUUGGAUACUUCCAGCUUCUCAUACUAAUAUAGGAACCACUUGAAAAAUUUUGGACAGGCUCUGAGGAUGCUAAUGCUGCUGUUUAGUUUCUACCGCGGAAUUGACUUUAGCAUAUACUCGUAUGACAUAUUACUAGAUAUAUGGUUGUUAAAUAAAAUUAUCUUUUUGUGGAAUAAAUAGGAAAGCAAAAUCAUAGAAUAAUGUAUGUUAUAUAGGAAGGUAUUGUCCUCUUAGAUAGGUAUCAUUUAUGCCUCAUUGGCAUGUCUCAGAAAACUUUUGGGUUAACACAAUGUUUACUUAGAGCAUUGCCAUUCCUUAAAUAUAAUAUAAAAUAUUGGAUCUUAGUGACUUAAGAUGAUAAUAGCUAUUCGCACCUCCAACAAUAUUCCUUAUAUUCAUUCCUUAUAUACUAUUUUAUUAUUAAAAGUUACCAUUAUUGCAAUAGGUGAAAAGAGAGAACAUGUUUGUAUUCAAAAUUUAUUGUAAAAUAAUAUUUAGGAGAGGAGAGAGGUUACCUAAAGAUAAGGCAUGGCUAGUUAUUUAGAGAAUCACUAGGAUACUGUUGGAGUGGAUUAUUUUCCCAUAUUACUCAUAUUUUGGUUUAAGAUUCCUAAUAGGGAAGCUGCUGGAGUUGCUCUUAGAGCAUCUCCAAGAGAUUCUUCAUUUAAGCUCCUAACUUGAGAUUUGAGUAGGGAGAGGAAAAAUGUUGCUCCAAGAGACUCUUAAGUGGCUCUUAAAUCACUAAGAGCCUCUUGUUUCUCUCUCCUCUCUCCUCAAAGUUAAGAGCCACCACAUUGCUCCUAACUUAUUUUUUCACAAUAAAAAAAUCUUUUCCUCCAAUUCAGCUCCAUCUUUCCAUCUCUUUUGUUAUAGUGGAGCCCAAUAUAUGAAUAAAAUAUGAAAUAGAGAAGAGAUGUAGAGAGUAUUGUUGGAGUUUACACUCUUAACUUUGUCUUAAAUUGCUAAGAGCUAUUUUUUUAUAUUAUAUUUAGGAGCCAAUAAGGAGGCUCUUGGAGAUGCUUUUAGUACUAAUUGUUAGAAUAUGAAAAUGCAGUUAUGAACUAUUAUGCUAGAGAGAGAAAAAUUCAACAAACUUCAUUUCUGUAAACUACAACUAUUAGUCUGUUACAUUGCUGAAAGCUACAUUUAUACAUUUACAGUUUACAACAAACUAUGAAACUGAUUUUCCCGCGUCCUCCUCACUUGUCCACGUGGCCUGACUGGCUUGGUGUCCUUGACACUCUUUAUUAUUGCUAAUAUAUACUUAACACUAAUACCUCAAAGCAGGGUAUAAAUUCAAUAGCACAGCUUCUGGAUAAUGGAAAUUUAGUUAUCCAGAGGUCUUGGUUUUACAUAUCACUUGUAUAUUAUGUCUCGGUCUCAUUGAAGCAUACCAAACGAGAUUUUGGGUUUGUUAAUAUUUUUUUAGUCCAAAUUUGAAUAAUACUGUUAUGCUUAUUCACACGGUAGACGUGUUUUUAUUAAAAUACUGCAACUGAAAUUGAUGAAAACAUGCACAAAGCAUAGCAGACGAAAGACUUGAGGAGAUAUUGUCUUAGGCGAUGCAAUACGUUCUAAUAUAAUGCUAUAUUAUGCAAUCUCGUUUAAUACUUUCAUCAUUAUUCUCCAAGAUGUCUGAACAUGUAUUUUCAAAGAAUUCUCAGUUCACCUUUAGUCUUAUAGCGACAUUUUGAAGGCACUCUCAACUUACACCCUAUAUAUACACGUACGGUUCACUUCAGUACAAAGAUUUUAUGAUACAACUCUCAUAUUAUGAACUAGUUCUGUCGAAUACAUGAAUAUUGAUCAAUCAUUUGAACUCGAGUUUCCCAGCUGGCCAGAUACCCAGAUUAUUAGCCAUGCAAAACAUGCAGAACCACUAGUAAUGCAGAAAAACAAUAUAUUAGUUUUCUCCGGUGUUACAGAAAUCAGGAAUCGGACCUAAUCGGUUUAGCUACCGAUUUAGGGAUUAAUAGGAAAUAGGGGAUUAAUCGGAGUGAAAAUCGGAUUUAUUUUAAUAUUAAAAUAUUAUUUAAUAUUUAGUUAUUAUUAUAUUAGCUAUUUAGUAACUAAUAUAUUUACUAUAUUCAUAAACUCUAUAAUUAUUCGUAUUGAAAGUAAUAUAGUAUUUUAAUUUUAAUAAUUUACUAUAUAUACUUCGAUUAAGAAAUAUAUAUAUAAGGAUUAAUCGGAUUUCAAAAAUCGAAUCGGUGGCCAACCUUGCAGAGGAUUAAUCGGGGAUUAAUUGGUUGAAUCGGGGAUGUUUAGAACACUGGUUUUCUCCAAAUAUCACUACAACAAAACUGCCAUUUUACGACGGAAAUCUAAUAUUCUAAAGGGUUACGACCAAACUAUGUCGGUGGACUUUAUUUUAAUUUACCGUUUAACAGUAGUUAAUUUUGGAUAUCUACACUUGCGAUGGAAAACAUACGACAGUCUACUUCGUGAGAGAAAAUCAUUUUAUUUUAUUUUUUAGCGCCAGAAUUUUAAUACUGAAAUAUUAUAUAUAUGAAGGAAACUGAUCUCUAAUGUUUUCAGCUUGCUCAUCCAUCGUAAGUAAUCCGUCGAAAAAGUUAGUUUGUUGUGGUGGUGUCUUAUCAUGAGAGAAAAUGAUAAUAUCGCAAAAUAUUUGCAACUGAAAGAUAAAUUAUAAUUCUAGAAACCAUUUAGGUAACGAUGCACGAAGUUAUUUUCACUCACUUAGAAUUAAUGNUGAAAACAUGCACAAAGCAUAGCAGACGAAAGACUUGAGGAGAUAUUGUCUUAGGCGAUGCAAUACGUUCUAAUAUAAUGCUAUAUUAUGCAAUCUCGUUUAAUACUUUCAUCAUUAUUCUCCAAGAUGUCUGAACAUGUAUUUUCAAAGAAUUCUCAGUUCACCUUUAGUCUUAUAGCGACAUUUUGAAGGCACUCUCAACUUACACCCUAUAUAUACACGUACGGUUCACUUCAGUACAAAGAUUUUAUGAUACAACUCUCAUAUUAUGAACUAGUUCUGUCGAAUACAUGAAUAUUGAUCAAUCAUUUGAACUCGAGUUUCCCAGCUGGCCAGAUACCCAGAUUAUUAGCCAUGCAAAACAUGCAGAACCACUAGUAAUGCAGAAAAACAAUAUAUUAGUUUUCUCCGGUGUUACAGAAAUCAGGAAUCGGACCUAAUCGGUUUAGCUACCGAUUUAGGGAUUAAUAGGAAAUAGGGGAUUAAUCGGAGUGAAAAUCGGAUUUAUUUUAAUAUUAAAAUAUUAUUUAAUAUUUAGUUAUUAUUAUAUUAGCUAUUUAGUAACUAAUAUAUUUACUAUAUUCAUAAACUCUAUAAUUAUUCGUAUUGAAAGUAAUAUAGUAUUUUAAUUUUAAUAAUUUACUAUAUAUACUUCGAUUAAGAAAUAUAUAUAUAAGGAUUAAUCGGAUUUCAAAAAUCGAAUCGGUGGCCAACCUUGCAGAGGAUUAAUCGGGGAUUAAUUGGUUGAAUCGGGGAUGUUUAGAACACUGGUUUUCUCCAAAUAUCACUACAACAAAACUGCCAUUUUACGACGGAAAUCUAAUAUUCUAAAGGGUUACGACCAAACUAUGUCGGUGGACUUUAUUUUAAUUUACCGUUUAACAGUAGUUAAUUUUGGAUAUCUACACUUGCGAUGGAAAACAUACGACAGUCUACUUCGUGAGAGAAAAUCAUUUUAUUUUAUUUUUUAGCGCCAGAAUUUUAAUACUGAAAUAUUAUAUAUAUGAAGGAAACUGAUCUCUAAUGUUUUCAGUUUGCUCAUCCAUCGUAAGUAAUCCGUCGAAAAAGUUAGUUUGUUGUGGUGGUGUCUUAUCAUGAGAGAAAAUGAUAAUAUCGCAAAAUAUUUGCAACUGAAAGAUAAAUUAUAAUUCUAGAAACCAUUUUGGUAACGAUGCACGAAGUUAUUUUCACUCACUUAGAAUUAAUGCUAAAUAUUUGCAACUGAAAGAUAAAUUAUAAUUCUAGAAACCAUUUAGGUAACGAUGAGCGGAGUUAUUUUCACUCACUUAGAAUUAAUGAUAAAUAUUUGCAACUGAAAGAUACAUCAUAGUUCUAGAAAAGGAUCCACGAAGUUAUUUUCACUCACUUAGAAUUAAUUGUAAGUUAUUGUGAGUUUUUGAAUAUGAAUUAUCUCAAAUUUUAUUAAAACACAUGUUGAUUCUUAUAUACAAAUUUGCCUAUCUAAUAUUAUAAUAUUUAUGGAGAAGGUGUAUGAACAAUUGUGUAGAUAAUUAUACUUUACAAAGCAUACUUCUGCUAGCUGAAUUUUGAUUAAAAAAAUCGAAAGGGAUAGGUCUGGGUCUCUCCAAGUCUUUGAGGACUCAUUCCAAGUCUUCUGAUGAGGACAAAAUAUAUUGCUGGAAGUCUUUCAGUCCUUCCUAGAGUAUUUUGUGCUCUGCACUGCAUUAUGCAGCUCUCAUAUAACUGACCGCUAACCUCCUUCCAACACUUUGCGAUGCAAAACAGUGGCAUGUUAUAAGUAUUUCCGUAUGUGUAUUUAUUUGGAUAUUAAAGUUGCGUAACAUUUGUGUUGAUAAUUUGCGCAAUGUUGAUGAGGAUUGCUCCCAAGUCUUGGCGGACUCUUUCCAAAUCUUCUGAGGACCUAUGGGUUCAAAUUAGUCCAUUAAAAUGAAUACCAUUGUUUUGUGAUUAAGUUGUAUGGUUAAGAGCUUAUCCUCUGUCGUCCCAGGUCCUGGGUUCGACCCUGGCUCACCCCGAGAGUUUCGUAGAACAGAUACUCAUUAUAAGGCUAUAAGCCAUAUUUGUCAAAAAAAAAGUUGUAUAGGCAAUAUGCAUUGCAAAAUCAGCAACAGAAUAUAUACUAAUUAAUUACCUGAUAUCGGUUUGAACAAAUACUUUCUAUGUAGUUGUAAUAUUAGUCUUCUUUAAAAGUUAUCAUGAGGGAAGAUAUAUAUUGUGAUGCGGGGGAAAUAUUGUAACCGAAAAUAAUUAUAAUUCUAAAAAUUUCCAUUAUACACUUUUUUUAGUGUUCGUACGUGGUAAGUACUUCAGACGACAUUUCUCGCGUAUGCCUCCAAUUAAGAAUUUGAUGUUCAGCCUAGUCCUAAACUAAAAUUAUUAUAAAUGUGUAAUUCAAAAUUAUAUUGCUGGUAGGCUCUGAGAUUAACCUUAAACAAAAACAACUCAGUGGAACGCUUUCCGAGUUUGGUUUCACUUCAUUUCCAAAUCUCAACAAUCUCAACAUAGCACGAAACAACUUUUACGGUCCAAUACCACCAGCCAUUAAGAAUUCUAUUUUAAUAUGUAACAUUCUAUUUUCUAAAAUAAUAAAUAUUUUUUUUAAUAGUUGGUCAAAAAUUAGUCAAUUUGACUUCUCAAAAAGCAGAAAGGACAUGUAAAUUGAGACGGGGGAGUAUUUAACGGAAUUCAACGAAAGGUGUGCGUAUCGUUCUUGAAAUGUAAAAAUAGGUGGUGCAAUUCGAGUUUCCAAACCUAUGGGUACAAUAUCGUUUUUAAACGUAAGCUAGGGGGUCCAAAUUACAAUUACAUGUAUAUAUAGUGACUUAACGGAGUGCAUAUAGUUAACGGAAGUUAACGGCAGGGAGUGCAUCUCGGGCUUGAAUAGUAAAGAUAAAAGGUGCGAGUUGAGUUUCUCAAAGUAUGAGUACAAUAUCGUUUUUGAAUGAUAGUUAAGGGGUGCGAUAUGCAAUUACCUCAAAAAAAUAUGAUCAUUAGUAUAUUAUAUUAGUAUCCACACACUUAUAUCUCAAAAUCUAUCCUCCAAAAUUAUCAUCUAUAUAGGCUAGCCACAUAAAAUAAAAAUUUAAAGAUAUUAGAUAUUUAGUUAUUUCAAUUAUAUAAUUUUUCCACGCAAAAUAACAAAAUAUCUUUAUCAACUUAUUAUUUAUGAGUUAAAUAUUCAACUUAUAUAAUUCGGGCAUGCUGGGUAUAAAUAGAAGUGUAACGCCUAAUUUCCGGGGUCUGGGAGUAGUUAGCGGGGUAUGAGAGAGCAGGCUAUUUAGAAGUCUUGGUCAUGAAAACUUCCAAGCUAACUUCGACAACGGAAUCUUCUGAGGCUACUAUUCUAAAGCACGCAUAAUCAUUGUAUUCAUUUUCCUCUAACACUGGCAAAAAGUCUAUUUAAGCAAAUGAAAUACAAACAACUGAGUGGAAUGCUGACCGAAAGUCUUUUUGGCUGAGCUUAUGAUUUAUUAGUACAUGAUUAAUAUGAUAAGCUAAGCUGAGAGCAUAAGAUAUCGUGUGUAUAAUUUUGUGUUUAUUAAUGACUUAUAAAUUAUUAAAAAUAUAAUAAGAAAAAUAAAAAUGAUUUAUAACUAAUUUAUGUUUUAUGAGUAAUUUUUAUUAGAAAAAAGUUUUAAAAAAUUAUUUCACUGAAAAAAAAUCCUCCAACUAACUUUUGGCUCUAAGUCAGUUUUUGAUUUAUUUAUGAUUUUAAGUCGGAUUCUGAUUUUUACACAAACAGAAAAUUUCCAGCUUAAAGUUAAAAACAACUUUAAGCUCCGGUUUUAAACCUCUGAGUUUGGUUUCACUUCAUUUACAAAUCUCAACAAUUUCACCAUCAAACACAAUGACUUCUCCAAUCUCCGGUCCAGUUCACCAGCCAUUGAGAAUUUGGCACAACUUCAAUUCCAUACCAGGUUAGUCGGCUUCGGAGGUUACACGCCUUAGACCUGUCAAAUACAAAUUUCAAUCUCCAAACUGGUCCGAUUUAUCUUCUAUGCAUUUUGUUGAGUCCGGCUCAUCUAAAACCUGAAGGUGUUAGAAGAAACCCGAAUGAAUCUUAUAUAUGAAUCUUAUAUAUGCUAUAUUUAAACAAUUCUGAGCACACUCAACCUUGGUAUUAAUAAUAUCGUGUCGAUAAUUCCAGAAUUUAUAUCUAAUUCUCAUAGCCUAACUUUCCUUGACCUUUCCAUAUAACAAAUUUACAGUUAAUCCUGUGCUUGAAUCAGUAUUUGCAACCAAAAUUAUGCAAUUAUAGUGCAGGUAGUCUUCCAGUUCUUCCUACUCUAUGCUAUAAUUUCAUUUGAUACCAAUAAUUUUACGCUCUACACUCCAGGAUGAGCUCGCAUAUUAUUGACAGCAAUAAUCCUUCCAACACUUUGUGAUGCAAAGCAGGGGGGCGCCUGUAUUUUCAUAUGUCUAUAUUAUUGGAGAUUAAAGUUGUGUGGACAAUUGUGUUGAUAAUUUGCCCAAUGUUAACAGGGAUAGGUUGGCUUAAAAAUAUAUAAGGUCACUUGUGCAUCGCUGUUCACACACUUAGACCCUGUUUGUGUAAGCUUUAAGUCCGGGCUCAAGCAAUUUCGACUUAAUCACUUCCGAGGACCAAUACCAACAGCCUUCUCAAAGAGUUGCCAGCUAAGAUAUCUAAACAUGUAUGACAAUCAGUUAGAAGGACUAUUGCCCCGAUCUUUGUCAAACUGUAAGCACUUAAAAAUUCUUGACAUCGGGAACAAUAAAAUGGGUGGUACAUUCCCUUCAUGGCUAUUUAAUCUCGGAGAGCUAGAAAUCCUAGUCUUGCGAUCAAAUAGACUGUACGGUCCUGUAAGUGGAAGGAGCACAUCACAUCCAUUCCCCAAGUUGCGGAUUCUAGAUCUCUCCAACAAACAAUUCGCGGGCUAUUUGCCAAUUCUAAACUUUAAGAAUAUGAAACCAGCUGCUGAUGAUAACGCGUAUAGUUAUAAAAAUAAGUCACAAGGACUAAUUAAUUACAUCUAUGAAGCAUCUAUCUCCUUAAAUGUGAAAGGAACAGAGUAUGAAGUGAAGAACAUUCUUCAUAUUUACACAGCCAUUGAUCUAUCGUGCAACAAAUUUCACGGAGAAGUUCCAAAGAGAGCUUAAAUGGCUUGCAUUGCUCAAUCUAUCUCAUAAUAGUCUUGCCGGACAUAUGUUCUGAAUUAUUAUUAUGCUUUCAUCAAUAUUUUCAAACAUUUCUCAAUAUGUAUUUCAAAGAAUUCUCAAGCCCUGGAACAUUUGGACCGGUCCUUUCGAAGCCAAGAUGCCCAGGUUAUCAUGGCCAUGCACAAAAAUGAAUAAAUUAUUCCAAGUCUUCCAUGACUCAUUCCAAGUCUUCGGAGGAGACCCUGAGCACAAAGAUGCUCAGGGUCUCCCCAAGCCUUCCAGGACUCAUUCCAAGUCUUCGGAGCACGGCCUCGACUCGCCCUUUCAAAGAUGUGAUAGUAGCUCGAGAGUGAUAUAAAUUAUUUUCCGGACACUAAAAAUAAAUAAUCAGAUCAAAUUAAUCAAUAAUAAAUUAAGGAUGAAAUCCAAAUUAAUCCUAAAUUUUGAUAAUAUAUAAAAAUUAUAAUUAUAAAUUAUAUAACCAAAUCAGAAUUGAAUUAACUUCCUUGGCACUAAAUUGAUAAGGAAAGUAUAAUAAUUUAAAUUUAAUUGAUGAAAAGUCAAAGUCUUCUAAUAAAUCCAUAAAGAAUAUGAUAAUCAAAAUAACGAAAAUUAUAAUUGAAAAAUCAAAAUCAUUAGUGUAUUGGAAUAGUGUUCACACACUUAUAUAUCAAAAUUUGUGGUCCAAAAACUAUAGCACAAUAUCCUAAAUACACCACAUUAAAUAUUAGUUCAAAAAUAUUCUGUAAAUAAUUGUUUUCAUUCAUCAUUUUGUUAUUUAAAAAACUAAUAAUUUGGGUUGAUGUUAACCUAUAUUUUAAUAUAUAAUUAUAUUAUUUUCGUAUUAUUUUAUUUAACUAGAAACAAUAUUUUUAUCAGACAUCAAUUAUAUUAAAAGAUAUAAUUUUAUUAAAAAAAAUUGAAUUAAAUUAAUAGGAUAACUCUACGCCUCACCAAGUCUACAAGACUCAUUUCAAGUCUACCAAGGACCACUACCUCGGUCCUCAACCAUUGGGAGAUGUGAAAGUAGCUUGAGAGUGACAAAAAUUAUUUUCCUCACAAUAAAAUUUAAUAUCUGAUAUAAAUUAAUUAAAUUAGUUAAUAAUAAAUUAAAACUAAUCAUGAAUUAUGAUAAUAAUUAAAUAAAUUAUAAUUAAAUUAUAUAAAUCAACUCCAAAUGAUACAAAUGACACUAAACCUUAGUUACUUUAUUGGUAAAUAAAUAUAAUAUAAUAAUCAAAUUGAUGAAAAAUCAAAAUCAUCUAAUAAAUUCAUAAAAAAUAUAUGAUCAUUAAUAUAUAUUAUAUUAGUAUCCACACACUUAUAUUUCAAAAUCUAUCCUCCAAACUUAUCAUCUCUGUAAACUAGCCACAUAAAAUAAAAAUUUAAAGAUAUUAGAUAUUUAGUUAUUUUCAUUAUAUAAUUUUUCCACACUAAACAACAAAAUAUCUUUAUCAAAUUAGUAUUUAUGAGUUAAAUAUUCAAGUUAUAAAUCCAGCAUGCAGCGUAUAAAUAGGAGAAACAUGGCACACUCUGCAAAGCCUUCUCACCUUCUUCUCUUUGUUUUCUUUCUCUCAUCACUUGAAUCCAUUCUUGCAACAACACGAGAAGGAGAAGCUCUUGUGAAAUGGAAGAAUAGCCUAGCCCCGUCUUCUUUUCUUGAUUCUUGGUCACUCACUCAUCUCGAUAAUCUUUGUAACUGGACUGGCAUUACUUGUAACUCUGCAGGUUCAGUCUCUGAGAUUUACCUUUAUGAGAAACAACUUGAUGGAAUGUUGUCGGAGUUUGGUUUCACUUCAUUUCCAAAUCUCAACAAUCUCACCCUCGCAUACAACUUCUUCUCCGGUCCAAUACCACCAGCCAUUGAGAAUUUAACACAGCUUCAAUAUCUUGAUUUGAGAAAUAAUUAUCUAGAUGGUCCCAUUCCUUUCCAGGUUAGCCAUCUUCAGAGCUUGCUCAUCUUAAACCUGUCAGAGAAUGCAUUGCAAGCUCCAAAUUGGUCCCAUUUCUCUCCCAUGCCUUUUUUGCGCAUCCUCAACCUCAGUCACAAUCCUCUUGCGUCGAAAUUCCCAGAUUUUAUAUCCAAUUCUCAUAGCCUGACUCACCUUAGCCUUAAUUAUAACGAGUUUACUGGUGAUUUAGCACGUGAAUCAAUAUUUGCCAAUCUGCAUAAUCUUGAAGUCCUCAGUCUUAAUGGCAAUUCUUUUGAGGGGCCAUUUCCACCAGAUAUAUUCAAGCUUUCAAGAUUAAAACGUCUCUUCCUGGCAGUUAACAAAUUUUCAGGUUCAAUUCCCAAUGACAUAAGGUUACUUUGUGAUCUUGAAUACCUAUAUUUAGGCAACAAUUCUUUUGAAGGACCGCUUCCACCAAAUUUAUUCAAGCUUUCGAAAUUAAAGCGUCUUUUUCUUUGGAGUAAUAAGUUUACAGGUUCUAUUUCCAAUGAUAUAGGUUUGCUUUCUGAACUUGAAACCCUCAAUCUUCAAUUUAAUUUUUUUGAGGGGCCGCUUCCCCCACAUAUAUUUAGGCUCUCUAAGUUAACAGGUCUAGAACUCGGAGACAAUAGAAAUUUAUUUGAAGGAAGUAAUAUUCCUAUCGGACUGGGACUCUUGACUAACCUCAGGUACUUAGAUUUACAUUUCAGUAAUCUCAGUGGCUAUAUUCCAUCUGACAUUGGAAACCUGAAGCUACUAGUACUUCUUAGUCUCGGUUCUAAUCAAUUGACUGGACCGCUUUCAAAGAUCGUUUCUAAUCUCACAAAUCUUAUAUUCCUUGAUGUAAGUGAUAAUAGUCUUAGUGGAAAUAUUCAGAGUGACUUGUGGAAAUAUAACCAUCAUCCUACUUUGGAAUACAUCGAUUUUAGUGGGAACCAUUUUACAGGUAUAUUUUUUCUCUAUAGAUCUUUUCCUUUUGUCAUAUGUAACUAAGCUAGUAAUCUGAUUAUUGCAGUUUUACCGAAGUUUCAACAAUCUUGACAGGUGAGCUUCCAACAACAAUUUGCAAUGUCACUUCCCUUUCGGUUCUUGAUUUGUCAAAUAAUGAAUUAAGUGGUGCACUUCCAAACUGUUUCGGGAAUCUUGCUGAUGGAUUGCUUUACAUUAAUCUUGCUAAUAAUCAGUUUCGAGGAACAAUACCAACUACUUUCUCCAGGAGUUGUCAGCUGACAUAUCUAAACAUGGAUAAUAAUGAGUUUGAAGGAUUGUUGCCCCCAUCUUUGGCGAACUGUAAGCACUUGAAAAUUCUUGAUAUAGGCAAUAAUAAAAUAGGUGGUACAUUUCCGUCAUGGCUUUAUGCACUUGGAGAGCUAGAAGUUCUUGUCUUGCGAUCAAAUAAACUCUAUGGUACAAUAAGUGGAAGGAGCAUAGAAGAUCCCUUCCCCAAGUUGCGGAUUGUGGAUCUGUCCAACAAUCAAUUCACAGGCCAUUUGCCAAUUCAAUACUUUAAGAAUAUGAAAUCAACUGAUAAUUUGUAUCGUUAUCAGAAUUCCACAAAAGUUUUUUCUUUCCAUUAUGAAGCAUCUGUCUCAUUAACUGUGAAGGGAACAGAGUAUGAAGUGAAAAAUAUCCUUCAUAUUUACACAGCCAUUGAUCUGUCCUGCAACAAGUUUCAAGGAGAAAUUCCUGACGUUAUUGGAGAGCUUAGAUGGCUUGCAUUGCUCAACUUAUCUCAUAAUAGUCUAACAGGACCUAUCCCAUCAUUGCUGAGAAAUAUGAAAGGACUCCAAUCUUUAGAUUUGUCUUCAAAUCAACUGACAGGGGCUAUUCCACCUCAGUUAACUGCACUGACAUUUCUAGAGGUCUUAAACCUCUCGGGAAACCAUCUUAGUGGAGGGAUUCCUCAGAAAGGACAGUUCAGCACAUUCAACAAUGAUUCUUAUCUAGGAAACUCAGCGUUAUGUGGAUCACCAUUGACGAAGAAAUGUGCAAACACAGCAUCACCUCCACAAGAAGUCGGAAAUGUUGAUGAAGAUGAUGCGGGUGAUGAAUUGACAUGGGAAGCAAUCUUGAUGGGAUAUGGAUGUGGACUGAUAUGUGGAUUGUCAUCUGCGUACAUUGUUCUCAAACUAGGAAAGCCUUGGUGGUUUGUGAGAUAUAUCGAAGUACUGCAAUUGAAGUUGAUGAAAAGAUAUGCAUGAAGAAUGGUACUAGCCGAUCAAGAUGAACUCGAAAGUUGUGGUCCUUGUGGACAUUUCUGAACCAGUAGUGUUCUAUUCUCUUUGUGGCUGCAUAAGUAUUUGGUAUUGUGUAAUGUUCUGUUUGGUCUUGAAUCAUAAUAAUUUUUCUUUCUUCAGGGGUAUUUAUAAUAUAAACCUUGGUAUUGUGUACUAGCUGUAAUAUUCUGUUUGAUCAAUGUUUAUACCAGUAAUUUUAUGCUCCGCACUGCAUCAUGCAGCUCUCAUAUUAUCUUCAUAUGUGUAUUUAUUUGGAUAUUAAAAACAUAUGGGAUAUGUGUUAACAGGGACAGCUCCCAAGUCUUGGAUAGACUCUUUCCAAGUCUUCCGAGGUCCUAUAGGUUUAAAUUAGUCCAUUAUCUGCAUACUAAUUUGUCCAACUGAAAAAUCAAGGAUAUUAUGUAUUAACUGUUUUAAUAACAAUUUACAAGUAUAAAUUUCAUAUAUUUUUUCAUAGAAUAUAAAUUAGUUGACGUACUAAAAUCACUAGUCAAAUUAAUUUAAAUAAAUAUAUUGAAAAGAUGAUAAUAAAAUUAUGGUAAUUUAUCACUACAACAAUUCUGGACAUUAAUUAUAUGUAUACUUAAAUAUAUUGAAAAGAUGAUAAUAUAGUAGAAUACAAAUGGUUAUGAUUCCGUAGUAACUACACCGUCGUAAGUUCACAUAAUUAUAUAAUUAUAGUUAUUUGAAAACGAAAAAUAAAUGAGAAAAUAUAUAGUGACCAAAUAUGAAUCAAUCUAAAAUUUUCAUUAUGGAGAUCGUAAGAAACGUGAUGAAGAACUGGAAUGAGAAUUCCUUACAAAACAUUUGGGUUAUAUUAUCAAUGAUGAAUGUUGUAUAUUAUACCUAUGAUUUCAAGUCUCAUACAAAAUUAUAUUGCUCAUAGUCUUUCGAUCAGUUCUUACUAGUGUAUGCAAUAGUUUCUCAUUCCAUACCAGUUAUUUUAUGCUCUGCACUGCCUUAUGCGCGCAGCUAUCAUAUUACUGACAGCUAACCUCCUUCCAACACUUUGCCAUGCGAAGCCUGAAGAUUAAAGUUAACAGGGAUAGGUCUUCUUCUCUCCCAAGUCUUGGACGGACUCUUUCCAAGUCUUCUGAGGACCCAUCGGCUCAGAUCCGUCCAUUAAAAAUUUAUUAUUGAUUACUUAUUAUUAUUGAUUGAUCUAAGAUUCCAAAGACAUGUUCCCGUAAUUUUCAGACUUAGCCAGUUGGUGUGGGCAGAAGUUUUAGAAAUAGUAGAUUAUGGGGAUUUUAUUUAUUCUAACCAAUUUUGAGUUAUUUAUUUUCUUCAAAAAAAUCAAUACUUAUUUUUUAUUGUUAUGCGGAAUUCCAAUAAAUAUUAAAAUAUAUAAUUUUGAUUAUUAUCAUAAAUUUAUUUAUUCAAUAAAUAUUAUUAUACUAUUAUGGAAACAUUUUAUUUUGUAAUGUAUAGUACACCCUUAUCCCACCAACAAAACUACAUCACAAACAAAUUAUAUCAUAUUUAAUUUAAUAAACUCAAAUAAUUUAAUUUAUGUAACAACUCUAUAAAAUUAGAGUGAUUGAUACUUUGCACCCCUUAUGUUUAAGCGUUUUUUCAAUUUGGUUUCAAACAAUUUUUUUGGCAGUAUGCACCCCAAAAUUUGAAAAUUGCUUCGCUUUGCACCCUUUUAAUCGCUCUCCGUUUAAUUGAUAUUGACCGUUAAAGACUUAAAGUUGACAGAUAUGGGUUUACAUUUUCAACACCACAAUUUUAAUUUUUUUUCAUGGGUAUUUUGAAAUAUUCAGACGACUGGGAUGAUUCAAGUGUCUUCAUGUUAGACAGUGCGAUAGGUCGGUCGAGGGGUUUUCAGAAACUGGGACCAAAGAUUGGCGCCAUCAGAUUGGAUUUAUAUCAUUGGAAACUCUCUGUACACCUCUAUAGAAACUGGGACCAAAGACAAGAGGGAGAAGCUCUUGUGAAAUGGAAGAAUAGCCUAGCCCCGUCUUCUUCUCUCGACUCUUGGUCCCUCACCAAUCUCGAUAAUCUUUGUAACUGGACUGGCAUUAAUUGUAACUCUGCAGGUUCAGUCUCUGAGAUUAACCUUUGUGAGAAACAACUUGAUGUAAUGCUGUCUGAGUUUGGUUUCACUUCAUUUCCAAAUCUCAACAAUCUCACCCUCGCAGCUAACUACUUCUCCGGUCCAAUACCACCAGCCAUUGAGAAUUUAACACAGCUUCAAUAUCUUGAUUUGAGAAAUAAUUAUCUAGAUGGUCCAUUCCGUUCCAGGUUAGCCAUCUUCAGAGCUUGCUCAUCUUAAACCUGUCACAGAAUGCAUUGCAAGCUCCAAAUUGGUCCGAUUUCUCUCCCAUGCCUUUCUUGCGCAUCCUCAACCUCAGUAGCAAACCUCCUGCGUCGAAAUUCCCAGAUUUUAUAUCCAGUUCUAAUAGCCUGACUCACCUUAGCCUUAAUUAUAACGAGUUUACUGGUGAUUUGGUACGUGAAUCAGUAUUUGCCGAUCUGCAUAAUCUUGAAAAGCUCAGUCUUGUUGGCAAUUCUUUCGAGGGGCCAUUUCCGCCAGAUAUAUUCAGGCUUUCCAAAUUAAAACAUCUUAGCCUGUCAGAUAACAAACUUUCAGGUUCAAUUCCCAAUGACAUAGGGUUGCUUUUUGAUCUUGAAUACCUAUAUUUAGCCAACAAUUCCUUUGAAGGACCGCUUCCACCAAAAAUAUUCAAGCUUUCAAAAUUAAAAAAUCUUGUUAUUUGGGGUAAUAAGUUUUCAGGUUCUGUUUCCAACGAUAUAGGUUUGCUUUCUGAGCUUGAAAGCCUCUAUCUUGACUCCAAUUUUUUUGAGGGGCCGCUUCCGUCAAAUAUAUUCAAGCUCUCCAAAUUAAGGAUUCUUUUCCUUUGGCAUAAUAACUUUUCAGGUUCUAUUUCUAAGGAUAUAGGUUUGCUUUCUGGACUUGAAACCCUCUAUCUUGACUCUACUUUUUUUGAGGGUCCGCUUCCCCCACAUAUAUUCAAGCUUUCCAAAUUAACAAGUCUUGACCUCGCAUACAAUAGAAAUUUAUUUGAAGGAAGUAUUCCUAUUGGACUGGGACUCUUGACUAACCUCAGAUACUUGAGUCUAUCUUCCACUAAUCUCGGUGGCUAUAUUCCAUCUGAAAUUGGAAACCUGAAGCUACUAGAAGUUCUUGAACUCAGUUCUAAUCAAUUGAAUGGACCGCUUUCAAAGAUCAUUUCUAAUCUCACAAAUCUCACAGUUCUUGAUGUAAAUGAUAAUAGUCUUCGUGGAAAUAUUCAGAGUGACUUGUGGAAAUAUGACGAUCAUCCAACUUUGGAAUACAUCGAUUUAAGUGGGAACCAUUUUACGGGUAUAGUUUUUCUCUAUAGAUCUUUUCCUAAUCUCAUAUGUAACUAAGCUAGUAAUCUGAUUAUUGCAGUUUCACCAAAGUUUCAACAAUCUUGACAGGUGAGCUUCCAACAACAAUUUGCAAUGUCACUUCCCUUUUGGUUCUUGAUUUGUCAAAUAAUGAAUUAAUUAGUGGUGCACUUCCAAACUGUUUCGGGAAUCUUGCUGAUAGAUUGCUUUUCAUUAAUCUUGCUAAUAAUCAGUUUCUCCAGGAGUUGUCAGCUGACAUAUCUAAACAUGGAUAAUAAUGAGUUUGAAGGAUUGUUACCCCCAUCUUUGGCGAACUGUAAGCACUUCAAAAUUCUUGAUAUUGGCAAUAAUAAAAUAGGUGGUGCAUUUCCGUCAUGGCUUUAUGUACUUGGAGAGCUGGAAGUCCUUGUCUUGCGAUCAAAUAAACUCUAUGGUACAAUAAGUGGAAGGAGCAUAGAAGAUCCCUUCCCCAAGUUGCGGAUUGUGGAUCUGUCCAACAAUCAAUUCACAGGCCAUUUGCCAAUUCAAUACUUUAAGAAUAUGAAAUCAACUGAUAAUUUGUAUCGUUAUCAGAAUGACACAGGAGAUAUUUCUUUCCAUUAUGAAGCAUCUGUCUCAUUAACUGUGAAGGGAACAGAGUAUGAAGUGAAAAAUAUCCUUCAUAUUUACACAGCCAUUGAUCUGUCCUGCAACAAGUUUCAAGGAGAAAUUCCUGACGUUAUUGGAGAGCUUAGAUGGCUUGCAUUGCUCAACUUAUCUCAUAAUAGUCUAACAGGACCUAUCCCUUCGUUGCUGAGAAAUAUGAAAGGACUCCAAUCUUUAGAUUUGUCUUCAAAUCAACUGACAGGGGCUAUUCCACCUCAAUUAACUGCAUUGACAUUUCUAGAGGUCUUGAACCUCUCGGGAAACCAUCUUAGUGGAGAGAUUCCUCAGAAAGGGCAGUUCAGCACAUUUACAAAUGAUUCUUAUCUAGGAAACUCCGCGUUAUGUGGAUUACCUUUGACGAAGAAAUGUGCAAACACAGCAUCACCUCCACAAGAAGUCGGAAAUGGUGAUGAAGAUGAUGCUUGUGAUGAAUUGACAUGGGAAGCAAU